AGAUACUUACGUUGGUCAUAACUCUAAAGCCGCAGACAUGUUAUUUAAUUGUUUUGAACAGCUAGCUGCUAACUUUCACUUCACACUUAGCUUCAUUAAUUAAUUACUCAUACCAAGUUCUUAAGAGCUGCCUAUGUUGCCAAAUUUCAUAGUUCCUUCGUUUUUUUGACCGGAACUAUUAUUACCGUUGCCGGUAUUGGUAUGGCCACCACUAUUAUGGUAAGAAUAAGGAGGAUAUGGAUAACCUGGACCUGGCUGUGAAGGGUGGCCAUAAUAAGGUGGUGGUGGAGGAGGAGCCGGAGGAUAUCCAUGGUUGUUAUGAGGUGGCGGAGGAUGAGCCGGAGGAUACCCGGGAUACCCAUAGUUACCAUUAUGAGACGGUGGCGGAGGAGGAGGAGGAGGAGGAGCAGGAGGAUAUCCAUGAUUUCCAUUAUGAGGUGGCGGAUGAUGAGCCGAAGGAUAUCCGGGAUACCCAUAGUUUCCAUUAUGAGGCGGUGGCGGAGGAGGAGCAGCAUAGCUGUUGGGAUUGCAUUGUGGUGGCGGCGGAGGAUAGGAAUGAUAAGAUUCAUAAGACGAAGGUGGUUGUACUAAACAUUUUGAUGAAGCUUUCUUCUUGAGGUUGGUCUUUUCUUCAGGAUGAGUAUCAGUAACCCAGUUGAAAAGACCGCGAGCAACGCCAUGUAUGGCACCGUCCAGUGGAGCUAAAGGAAAAGUUACAACAUCAGCUACCCUGUGCAGAGUAUCGAACUGUAGUUCGACACUGUCUCUCACCUGAUUUUUAACUCGGACAGCCAUAGCCACACUGUUCUAUAACUAGCUUAAUUACUUAUGCUUUGGUUAUGGUGCACUGAUACACUUAAUAUAUACAAUCUAUUUAUGGAUGUGUGCAGGGAUGAUGAAGAAUAUAUUUUCUGCUUCGUACUAAAGCUACUUUUUCUCUAUAAGAAUUAUUCAUAUUCACCAUAUUAUGUGGAGAAGAGGACUGCGACUAUUUUAUUUUUCAUGGUUUUUCACAGUCUUGGACAGGUAGAUACUUACGUUGGUCAUAACUCUAAAGCCGCAGACAUGUUAUUUAAUUGUUUUGAACAGCUAGCUGCUAACUUUCACUUCACACUUAGCUUCAUUAAUUAAUUACUCAUACCAAGUUCUUAAGAGCUGCCUAUGUUGCCAAAUUUCAUAGUUCCUUCGUUUUUUUGACCGGAACUAUUAUUACCGUUGCCGGUAUUGGUAUGGCCACCACUAUUAUGGUAAGAAUAAGGAGGAUAUGGAUAACCUGGACCUGGCUGUGAAGGGUGGCCAUAAUAAGGUGGUGGUGGAGGAGGAGCCGGAGGAUAUCCAUGGUUGUUAUGAGGUGGCGGAGGAUGAGCCGGAGGAUACCCGGGAUACCCAUAGUUACCAUUAUGAGACGGUGGCGGAGGAGGAGGAGGAGGAGGAGCAGGAGGAUAUCCAUGAUUUCCAUUAUGAGGUGGCGGAUGAUGAGCCGAAGGAUAUCCGGGAUACCCAUAGUUUCCAUUAUGAGGCGGUGGCGGAGGAGGAGCAGCAUAGCUGUUGGGAUUGCAUUGUGGUGGCGGCGGAGGAUAGGAAUGAUAAGAUUCAUAAGACGAAGGUGGUUGUACUAAACAUUUUGAUGAAGCUUUCUUCUUGAGGUUGGUCUUUUCUUCAGGAUGAGUAUCAGUAACCCAGUUGAAAAGACCGCGAGCAACGCCAUGUAUGGCACCGUCCAGUGGAGCUAAAGGAAAAGUUACAACAUCAGCUACCCUGUGCAGAGUAUCGAACUGUAGUUCGACACUGUCUCUCACCUGAUUUUUAACUCGGACAGCCAUAGCCACACUGUUCUAUAACUAGCUUAAUUACUUAUGCUUUGGUUAUGGUGCACUGAUACACUUAAUAUAUACAAUCUAUUUAUGGAUGUGUGCAGGGAUGAUGAAGAAUAUAUUUUCUGCUUCGUACUAAAGCUACUUUUUCUCUAUAAGAAUUAUUCAUAUUCACCAUAUUAUGUGGAGAAGAGGACUGCGACUAUUUUAUUUUUCAUGGUUUUUUCUUUUUAGAGAAAUAAUGGAAUUAAACUUGUUAUCCCACUUGCAGUAUGGGAAUUAUCUAGUAGGGUGCCAAUUACCAUUUUAACGCAGAUGGGGUUGAAUUGAUAUGGAUCUCUUUUCAUAAGAGAGAAACAAAAUUUUAAUAUAACUAUGAAUAUAGUAUAAAUUUUUAUUUUCAUUAUUGAAAAUUUUUAAUAUUUCUAAUUUUCAUAUUAUAUAAAUUAUGCAAAAAUAAUUGUACGAUAUAGUUGCCAAAGAGUGAAUGAACCAAUACAUGAUUAGGGGUAAUGGUAUUCUCAUAUCUUUUUCUUGUUGUUCAGAUUUUUAAAAUUUUUUUACUUAGAUUGGGUAUGCUGAGAGACCUAUAUAUUGGUUUAAUUAAAAUUAAGGUUUUUACAUUUGCUAAGUUUUUCUUAAAUUUAUAAUUAAUAAUAACAAACUAUAAAUUGCUGAUAAAAAAAAAAUAUAGACAUAUUCUAAGGUUCUAAAAAUAUUCAAUUUUUGUGGCACAGUUAUCUAAUGUUUUCUUUGGAUUAAUGAAGUGCUUUAUAUAUAUUGGGGGGACUUGAAUGUGGUUGGAUGAUAGUGUGAGUAUCUCAUUUUCAGCUGCAAGAUAAGACAUGAGACUUGUUUUGAAUCUUUGAUAGCUAGUUUUCAAGGCAUGAUUCUCUGAACGUCGUAAUAUUUGGCAUUAAAACCAAACUCCAUCCAAUUGCAAUCGAGCGACGCACGUACGUAGUGACGCUGAAAUUGUAAUAUUCUCUAUAGAGAAGGCAAUGUUUGCGCAGACUGGCUUGCACAUUAUGGAGCUAGUCUUGCGCCUGGGCUGCAUCGAAUUCAACGGCCUCCUACAGGCAUGUUUCAUUUGAUUCUUCAUGACUUGUGUUUGGAGUCUCGUAUCUUAGAAAUGUUCUGAUGUAAUUUUUGUUCGUUUUGUUAUCUCAUUCUUUUUUCAAAACGAAAAAAUCUUGUACACAACUAUUCUAGUAAAAUAAUUUAUAUGAAAAUAUUUUCCAUAAUUUUUCAUUGUUUGAGGGAAUUCAGGAAAAAAAGUCAACGGAAAAUAUUUUCCAAUUUAAAGGAAAAUUAAAACAUUUUUAAGGAAAAUAAUUUUUCAUUUUUAAGAGCAUAAAUCAUUUUUCAGAGUUUGACAAACUUAUAAUUGUAACGUUUUAUUUUUCUAUUGAAUCGAGUCGUUGCUUAGAGUCGAGUCGGGCUGCUUUAAAACCCGGUUCGAGCCAUUAGAGUCUAGAGUGGGCUAGAAUGAAAUAAGGAGAAGAAGUGGACUUAUUUGAAGGAAAUAAAAGAUCAAAGUAUAAGGAUUAGGAGUUGAUUUCAUUAAAGUAUAAAGUUGAGGUAUUGAGUUGUACCAUUUUGACACUUGAGGUACCAUUUGGUAAUUUUCACAUAAAAAUCAAUGUAAUUCUAGAGACUACCCGUGAGUUCCAUUUCACUUUCAUUUCUUCAUCCUUAUCUUCAUCUUCUUCCUCUACUUUCCUCUUACACUUUCUUUUCUCCAUCAUGUUUAAUGGUGGGGAAGAUGUUAAUGGGAGUUAAGCAUUAAUUCAACUNNNNNNNNNNNNNNNNNNNNNNNNNNNNNNNNNNNNNNNNNNNNNNNNNNNNNNNNNNNNNNNNNNNNNNNNNNNNNNNNNNNNNNNNNNNNNNNNNNNNNNNNNNNNNNNNNNNNNNNNNNNNNNNNNNNNNNNNNNNNNNNNNNNNNNNNNNNNNNNNNNNNNNNNNNNNNNNNNNNNNNNNNNNNNNNNNNNNNNNNNNNNNNNNNNNNNNNNNNNNNNNNNNNNNNNNNNNNNNNNNNNNNNNNNNNNNNNNNNNNNNNNNNNNNNNNNNNNNNNNNNNNNNNNNNNNNNNNNNNNNNNNNNNNNNNNNNNNNNNNNNNNNNNNNNNNNNNNNNNNNNNNNNNNNNNNNNNNNNNNNNNNNNNNNNNNNNNNNNNNNNNNNNNNNNNNNNNNNNNNNNNNNNNNNNNNNNNNNNNNNNNNNNNNNNNUUAGCUUUACAUGGGUUUUUGAAUCACCCAAAUCGGAGUUAUAUAUUGAGAGAUAUGGUCAAAAGAGUACAGACUGUGCAGGCUGAAAAAUGCGCGCGCGCGAAUUGCAUGAAAAGCUCGCGAUCGCGACUUUCAUUUGCGCGCUCGCGACCUUCACCUGAAACUCUCUGACUCUCAUUUGGUGCUUUACGCACUCGCGACUUUGCACUGCGCGCUCGCGACUUGUGCCCGAUAACUCACUGACUCUCAUUUUUNNNNNNNNNNNNNNNNNNNNNNNNNNNNNNNNNNNNNNNNNNNNNNNNNNNNNNNNNNNNNNNNNNNNNNNNNNNNNNNNNNNNNNNNNNNNNNNNNNNNNNNNNNNNNNNNNNNNNNNNNNNNNNNNNNNNNNNNNNNNNNNNNNNNNNNNNNNNNNNNNNNNNNNNNNNNNNNNNNNNNNNNNNNNNNNNNNNNNNNNNNNNNNNNNNNNNNNNNNNNNNNNNNNNNNNNNNNNNNNNNNNNNNNNNNNNNNNNNNNNNNNNNNNNNNNNNNNNNNNNNNNNNNNNNNNNNNNNNNNNNNNNNNNNNNNNNNNNNNNNNNNNNNNNNNNNNNNNNNNNNNNNNNNNNNNNNNNNNNNNNNNNNNNNNNNNNNNNNNNNNNNNNNNNNNNNNNNNNNNNNNNNNNNNNNNNNNNNNNNNNNNNNNNNNNNNNNNNNNNNNNNNNNNNNNNNNNNNNNNNNNNNNNNNNNNNNNNNNNNNNNNNNNNNNNNNNNNNNNNNNNNNNNNNNNNNNNNNNNNNNNNNNNNNNNNNNNNNNNNNNNNNNNNNNNNNNNNNNNNNNNNNNNNNNNNNNNNNNNNNNNNNNNNNNNNNNNNNNNNNNNNNNNNNNNNNNNNNNNNNNNNNNNNNNNNNNNNNNNNNNNNNNNNNNNNNNNNNNNNNNNNNNNNNNNNNNNNNNNNNNNNNNNNNNNNNNNNNNNNNNNNNNNNNNNNNNNNNNNNNNNNNNNNNNNNNNNNNNNNNNNNNNNNNNNNNNNNNNNNNNNNNNNNNNNNNNNNNNNNNNNNNNNNNNNNNNNNNNNNNNNNNNNNNNNNNNNNNNNNNNNNNNNNNNNNNNNNNNNNNNNNNNNNNNNNNNNNNNNNNNNNNNNNNNNNNNNNNNNNNNNNNNNNNNNNNNNNNNNNNNNNNNNNNNNNNNNNNNNNNNNNNNNNNNNNNNNNNNNNNNNNNNNNNNNNNNNNNNNNNNNNNNNNNNNNNNNNNNNNNNNNNNNNNNNNNNNNNNNNNNNNNNNNNNNNNNNNNNNNNNNNNNNNNNNNNNNNNNNNNNNNNNNNNNNNNNNNNNNNNNNNNNNNNNNNNNUAGCAGAUAAGAUCAUGCUAGUAUCAUAAUGUGUGAUUAUAGGUUCAUGGAAAGGAGUUAUGAGAUAAUUAGAACUAAAUUAUUGAUGUUUUGAAUUAGAAAUUUAUUCGUUGCUAUAAAGAGACAUUUAUGUUGAAAUUUACUGAUUCUAUGAGUAUCAAUGCUUUAUAAAAUUUGUAUUUUAAGUUAGUUGCCAUCGCACUUUAUUAAGUAUGUGAAUUAUGAGCACCACUGAGUUUUAUACUCAGCGCGUCGAUUUUUAUCACGUGUAGGUUGAAGAUUGUGGUUAGUACUUGAAGAUUUGAGGAGUACGUUCAAAGCAGAAGUGACUAACUUGGUCAUAGUAGAUUGAGAGUUGUAAUAUUAAGAAUUAUGGCAUGUAUUAAGAUUUAUGGCAUGUAUAAUUAUUACAUUUUUUUUGGAGAUUAUGUUAUUUGAAUUAUAUGUAAUAAUAAAUUAUUUUGGUUUAUAUAUUUGGAGAUAAGCAUAGGAUUUAUUAAAUGAGUGAAUAUGAAAUAUUUUAAGUCAGUUGAUAUGAUUACUUCAUUAAGACUUGAUAUCUAUAAUGAAUGCAAGUAAUUGAUCUAGUUGGUAUGAUUAAGUCAUGAAGACUCGAUAUAGAUCAUGAAUGCACUUAAUUGCUAGAUAUUAAAUGCUGUUGAGGAUUUAUACAAUUAUGAAAAGAUAUAUAAAGUGUUAUUGUGUUAUGAUGAUUCUUUGGAGAUGUUGGAAGUUUAGAGUUUNNNNNNNNNNAGUUUAUAUUCAUAUUUUUCAUACAGUAUGAUAUCCGCAUGACAGGACAUAGGUUCAACCAGAUUGUAGCGUCUCGGCUCGGUUCAUUCGGGUUAACGGGUGGACCGGAAAGGGAUGUUACAAUAAUAACCUUAUAAAUUCAUAUUUUGUUAAUUUAUUAAUUAUCAGUAACCAUUAUCACCACUCACCGUUCACCAUCACGGCCACCAUCCACCAACAACACCUGCCACCAGUGACUUUUAUAAUUUAAUUUUUUUUACAUUCUUCUCAUAUUUAACAAUAAAAUUUUUAAAAUACGAAAUUUAUACUAUUAGUAUUUUUAUUUUCAUCGUCUUAUGAGUUAAAAAUUUUAAUAUUUUUAACUAAUUUUUAAAUUGCAACCAAAAAUGGAAAAUAAGUCAUUUGAAAAAUAUUUUCAAGGAAAAUAUUUUCCUUGUAAAAUAUUUUACAAAUGAACCAAUUAAUUGCCCUUGCAUAAUAUUAUAAUAUUACUUAUACGAAACAAUAAUUAAUUUUUUUAAAAAAAAAGAGGAUAUUAGAACAAUAACUAAUUUAUUUAUCAAUAAAGAGAGGUUUAAAACCUCAAAUACAACUAAGAUUACACCAGCAGAAUUAUUCAUACAUAUAUAAUUAUAUAGAUAGAAAGGUCAUUCGGUUACUGCUGGAUCCAUAUAGAGCUUGCAAGCAAACCAUGCAACAAGUUCUUCUUAGGAGCUACCAAUGUUUCCAAAUUUGACAGCUCCAUUGUUUGUUUGCCCAGAACUAUUAUUAUCAUUGCCGGUAUUAGUGUGGCCACCAGUGUUAUAAUAGGAAUAAGGAGGGUAUGGAUAACCAGGACCUGGCUGUGAAGGGUUGGUAUAAUAAGGUGGUGGCGGCGGAGGAGGAGACGGAGCAGGAGGAUAAGCAUAACUAGCAGGAGGAGGAGGAGGAGCAAAACAGCUUUGUGGUUGUGGUGGUAGACAAGUCUCGUUACAGGGUUUAGGUUUUUCCUCAGGAUGGGUAUCGGUGAGCCAGUUUAGAGCACCUCGAGCUAUGCCAUGUAUGGCUCCAUCAAGUGGGGCUAAAGGAAAGGUUAUAAUAUCAGCAGCUCUGUGUAGCCUAUCGAUCUUUCGCUCAAAAUGGUCUCGCACUCGAUCUUUAACUCGUUCUGCCAUAGCUAGCUAGUUGCUUUCUACUAGUCGUCUUUUCUUGUAUAUUUGGGAACAACAAAAUCCUCAUUAUAUAGAAGUUGCAGGAGAAUAUAUGAGGAAUAUUUAAUCGUUAGGUUUAAUUUCCUUUAGACAAAGCUACUUCAUUAGGAAUUUCAAAAUUAUCAUAUUCAUCAUUAUCUUUACUGGUGCAUUUUUUAUGGUAUACAAUAAUUUUAAUAUUUGUUUCAUUUUCUGCAAAGCUAAUGAGGCAUAGGCACAUGCAGGGAAUACUUUUGUGAUACACGUUUUAUAAAUAUAUUCGUUUUCAACUAAUCAAAUGUGAUUUAAUUGGUCUUCUUUAUUAAUGUGAUGAUUCGAAUAGCUCUUUUUUUAACUUACUAAAUUGAUGAAAAUUCUUAUAGUCGAAAGAAUUCAAACUAGAGUUCUUCUACUUCUUGCAUUUUUGAGAAGACCAACUAGACCACAACUGAUUGAUUGUAAGUUUGAUAUUUUAGAUUAACUUAAUUAAAUGAAAAUCUGAAAGCAUAUGAAAAUUAAUCACGGAAUACAAAGGUCUGAUUAGAUUGCUACAAGAUGUCACCUAUAUUAUGUAAUCAUCUUAUGUCACUUUUGUCAAUGGAUAUUUAUGUAAUCAGUUGUAUUGAAAUGGCCGUAUUAUGUCAUUUUCAAGAAACUAAAGUGAAAUGAGAUGAUUCUAUAAUAAAGGGGUGAAAUAAUUUAUAGUCAGGAAAGAAAAGACUGUCUAUGACUUUUCGUUUUUCAUCGGUUUAUAUGAAUUUGAGAAUUCCUUACAUAUAUUUAUUGGUGGGUAGAAAUAGAUAAAUGAAAAAUAUUCUUGGCUAUGAAAUUUCCUUACACGGUCCGAAAUAAUCAAUUAGGAUAAAAAUGUGGGUCCUACUGGUAGUAUUUAUGCUUGUUUUGUUUGUGGUACAGUGUAGACUCAGUGACGAAUUAGAUUAAAUGGAAUCGAAGAAAGAAAUUUUGUACAAUUUUGAAAAAUUAAAAAGAAACUGAAAAUUAGGAAAUAUCUCUCUUCCUCCAAAAGAGGGGGGAUGGGCGAUUUAUGUUAAUUUAGUUUGAUUUGAUAGAAUAUUGAGUGAUCUAAUAAAAAUUUUGUGAAUUUAUUAAAUUUUUUUAUUUAAUUGAAAAAAAUAAAACACAAUAUGGAAUUAAUAGAUUUAUUUUUUUUUAAAGAAACGGAAAUAUAUUAAUCCAUAUAAAGAGAAUACAAAUAAUUUGGAAUAGAUUCUCAAAUUGGGAGACUAAUAUGGUUACACGAAGAUUUUGCUAAUUGAUGAGCUCCAAGAUUCAUUUGGAGUCGAAUCCAUUGAACAGAGAACUUAAAAACUAUUUUACAAUUAUUUAUCACCAAACCAUAAGGAGAGCAAUCUGGUGUUGGAGAUGAUAAAAAUAGAUAACUUGCUGUGAAUCGGUAUAUACAGAGCCUGUUCCAUGUAAAUUACCUCCAAUCCAAAGCAAAUUCUGACGAAGAGCCAUAGCCUCGACUAAAAUAGCAGAACUGCAGCCUGGGAAUUUGCCUGUUAAGGCAAUCUUGAAAUGACCUUCUAUCUCUUCUCAACCGAACCAAAAUCCAACCCUCUAUAUCUUCUCAACCGAACCAAAACCUGAUGCACCCAUUGCUGAAAACAAAGCUCCAUUUGUGAAAACUUGCCGCUGCAGGACUGUCAUGGUUGGUUGGAUAUAUCCAGGAACAGUAUGACGCCUGCUAAGAGUUGAAGACAGACUUGCACGAAGACUAGAUGUUUGGUUUUUUUUUUUUUUUUGAAAAGAAGACUAGAUGUUUGUUGUGAUGAUCCCAAAUAAUCUUGUUACGGUGCCACUAGGGCUGCACGUGGGUCGGGUUGGGUCGGAUUGAUUAAUUUAAAGUUUUUGACCUGUAUAUGUGGGUCUAUAAUUUUUUUAUCCAAUCCAAUCCAUUAAAUGUGUAGACCCACAGAUUAUAAACCGGUUAGGUUGGUUAUAGAUUUAAUGUAAAUCCGCGGUCAAAUAACUGAUAAUAAUAAAAUUAUUUUUAAAUAAAAUAUAACUCUUUAAGAGGGUUAGUAAAAAAAUUAAAUAUACUCAACGAUCUUAAUUAUGUAAUAAUUUUUACAAACUAUAAAUAUAUUUCAAUGACAAUAUUAAAAUUAAAUUUCUUAACAUGUUCAUUAUUAUCGGCAUCAUAAUCAUAAUCAACAAUGAAAAAUUAAAUUUUCCAAUUAAAAAAACGACCAAAAAAUUAGAAAUACUUAGUAACAUAAUUAUAUAAUAUGUUUCAUUUAAACUACAAUAUACUCCAAAAGCAAAGGUAAUAUCUACUAUAUGUAAAUAAUUUAGUAUUUAUAUUCAAAAUUGCAAAUCAAAUCAAAUCAACUAAAUAAUUCAUAAUUAUUUAUGGGUUGGGACGGAUCUACAAAUUUAUCUAUUGAACCUGUGAUCCAACCCAACCCGUAAAUUAUAAAGAUGACUCGCCCAACCCAAUUCAUCAUAUCUUCAAACCCGCCGAGUUGGACAGUUUGGAUUGGAUCGAAUUAUAACGAGUUAUGUGCAGCCCUAGAUACCACCACAGAUACCGUGAAAUAAUAGAUUUAUCAAAAGCCUUAAAUUACAAUUUUAGAAAAGAAAAAUCGCAAGCUAUUUCAUCUUUUUUUUUUUCCAAACAAAACAUAUCAUUUUUUUUAAUUAUAAAAUUUAAACCACUUAAUUUUUUUAUAUAUACUUGCCUUGGAGGUAAAGGGUUUGGCGCAAUUGAAAUUUUGGCCCAAGUGAAGUUUACAUUGUAGAGGAUCAAACUCAUGACCUUAGUCAAAGUGAUUGACUCUACAAGUGCUAUUUGCCACUGAGCUAUCCAUUCGAAUUAAACCGCUUAAUUUUUUUUAAAUCUAUAUUAACAAUGGUGAUAAUAAAUAAUAAUAUUUUUUAUUUUUGAUACUCAAUAAGAGGAUACAAUUAAGAGGAAAAGAGACAAAUAAGGAGCAACAAACCCAGCAAAAUAAGAAAGACCAAAGAGACGAUAUCAAUAUUAUAUGAUGCCAUUAAGAAAGAGGUUCAGAGUCCUCAUAUUACAUCAUCAAGUUAAUAUUAUUUGGAAUUGCAACAGAUUUUAGUUAUUAUUUAUAGCCCUAGGUCUUGGAGCUAGUACUCCUGAUCAAUACCCCCUUCUUCACAGGUUGAAUAUCGGAGCUUAAGAGCUGCCAAUGUUGCCAAAUUUGACAGUUCCAGGACCGUUUGUUUGGUUGGAACUGUUAUUGUUAUUGCCAGUAUCUUUGUGACUGCCGGUGUUGGAGUAGGAAUAAGGAGAGGGAGAGCCAUAACCAGGAUAGUAAUAAGGCUGUUGGGGAGGAGGGUAAUAAUAACUUCCAUAGUAAUAAGAUCCAUACGUCGGAGCUGGGGCUGGAGCUGGAGCAGGAGCAGGAGCAGAAGGAGGUGGAGCAUAGUAGGGUUGAUUUGAAUAUUGCGUUUGAGGAGGAUACCCAUAAUUUCCAUAAGGUUGUUGAUAAUCUUGCGCACUUGCCAUUUUCGUUUUUCCCCCUUGUUUUGAUAUGUAGGAGAUGUAAUGAGAAAAUACUAACCAGUAUCUCCUCCUUAAAUGGAUGUAGGAAGAGGAAUAUAUUAUUUGCUUUAAAUCAAAGCUAUAUAUUUUUUUAGGAAUUUUGAUAUUAAUAAUUGUCACUCUCAUGGAGAAGAAGUCAUGGUGACUUGUCCUUUUAGAAAUUUUUAGAUUCAUUUUUAGUUAAAUCAAAUAAGAAAUAACUAAAUAAGGAACUCUUCGACUUUCAAACCUUAUUUUGAGGAUAAAGGAAAUACAAUUACAUGAAAUGGGUAAAAUUCAAAAAACAAGAAAACAUAUCCUUUAAAAAAAAAAGAAGAAAAAAACAAACAUUACCAAAAAAAAACCCUUUGUUUACCAUAAUCUUAUAAAAAAAGAUAAUUUGAAAAAACAAAAUUUGGCAUUGGAUUGAUAUAGAAAUUCUAUGUUUCCAUAAAAAUUCAAUUAUUGAAUACAUGAAUCUCAUAGUGAUAAGCACUUUCUUAUAUAGAUAGGAAUAUUUUUUCAUAUUAAGGGUUUGUUCGGCAAAAUUAACUGUUUUGAUAGUUGUUAAUCAUUAUAUGAUUUAAUUUUUAUAAAAUAGUACCUUAACCUCUAAGAACUGGUUUAAAAGUUAUGUUACGUAAUACUAUAAAAAAGCAUUCAAUGUUUUGACCAAUCAAAACACAACUUAAAAAAAUUAUUGGGGAAACAAAGCCUUAUUAAGAAAAAGAAGAAAUUUUUAAAAAGUUGAAGGGGAAUAUUUCACAAGUCCUUCAAUGUGGCGAAUAACACAAAUAUAAAAAUAGAUGCUCUAAAUUAAUAAUUACUCUAUUAUAAUGUUCAUGUGAUGACUUGAUUUUCCAUUUCCAAUUUUGAUCCCAAUCUCAUUAUUGCAAUCUUAAUUCCAUGAGUCUACAGUUCCAAAUAUUGUUCAAUUGCAUACAUAUUGGAUAAGGCAAAAGUUGCAUUCAUAUAUUCUUUGUUCUUCUCUUGGUAUUAUCCAUCAUUCUAAUAUUGUACUUUUCAGAAAGUAAUACCAUUUCAAUUGAAUCUUUUCCUUUUUUAGGUAUUUUUGUUUGGAAAAUUGAAGUAUAUAUGAUCUUCACAGCACAGAGCAUUCGACAAUAAGAAUCCAUAUUCCAGAUGCCAAUAUAUGUGUAUGUACAAUAUAUAUGGAUGCUUUGAAGGUGGAAGAAGAAUAUAAUAAAGCCUUAAUGCUUUUGACUGGUAAGAUGAUGCCCAGAGCGUGCUUCACGGAUCCUAUGUAUAGUAUACAAAAAUUAUCAUUAUCGUAAGGAUUGAGUUGUUGAUUACUAGAUUAUUAUUAUUGCGAAUUUGUGAUUAUCUAACAUUCCAUAAUUUCUUAAACAGAUAAUAAAUAAAUAAACUGUAAAUAUAACAAUUAAUUUGAAUUUAUCUAUGGUUUGUUUUUUCUUUAUUCGAAAAUUCUAUUUCGUUCAAUUGGAUAAAAAUGAUUUGAAAUUUAAAAAAAAAAAAGGAUUUUGCUUGUUUAUUUUAUAUUUUUUCUGUUUGAAUAAAAUUAAACAUAAAAAAAUAUAAUUAUAUAUUGAAAUAUUUAAUUAAAUAUUUCAAUUUAAACAGAAAAUUUUAACAUUAACAUAACAUAUUAUAUAUUAAUAUGCCACUUAUGUCAUUUUUUUCAAUCUGCCUUGUAUGUAAAGGCCACAUGCAAGCAAUCAAUUCCAUUUAUUUCUUUAUCUCCCGGUGAAUUGUAUAUUCGUAACAAUAAGGAUAAAAUUUUUUCAAUUCCAAUCGAUUAGGCAUACUGUUUUAUUCGUUUGAGUAAUAUAUUUUGAAAUGUAUUUUGCUUUCUUAUUAACAUUAUUUUGAACACAAAAAUAAUUCUUGAAUGAAGUAUUCAACUUCAGGGAUGAAUCAAAAAAUAAAUCUUUAUUUAUUCUACCUCUCAUUUUUUACGAAGAGAAUGAACCUUCUUAUCAAAGGAUCAGAAAAAAAAAAUGGGUCUACAUCUACGAGAAUGAUUUGGAAGAUCGAAAAUAAAAAAUAAUAGUAUUUACUAGCAGCAACAUAAUGGAGGAAGUUCUAAGAAACUUUCAAUUUUCUAAUCACAUAAGUUUAGCUUAUACUAUCAUAUAAAUCUAAUAUCAAUAUAUCCACAAACCCAACAUAAUAAUAUUUUAUCAUUUUUUUUCUUCUUAUUAAUAGUCAGAAAUAUCAUUAUUUGAAUGUUUUUUAAUUAGUUUAAUGUGAAUCAGUCGAAACAAGAACGUAGAUAAGUCUUUUCUUCAUGAAAAUAUAUAAUGGAGGAAAGAAAAGAUACGUUAGAUGCAAAAAAGAAAAUUGAUAGAGAACGAUAUCACCUUAGAGUCUGGGGCACAACCCUAUCAGUUUUUUAAAAUUCAAAUUUUCCCUAUUAAAUUUUAUAUAUUUUUUAAAAAAUAUCCAUAUAAGCCACCAAUUUUAGUUUCAUUUCUUUUUGUUUUUGGACCUCUCAAUACUUAAAGUCUAGUUACACUCAUGAAAAUCAGUAUUCAUUUUCUGCAUUUCAGAUUCCAUUAAUCCUUUCAAACAACACAUUAAAGUAUUGAAGUUAUUCUGAAAAAUUAAUGGAAAAAAUAAAAACUGGGAAAGAAAUGGAUGACGUAAAUGCUUGAAUGCAGGUCUAGCCAUUUGGAUCGAGUUCAUCGAGUUAUGAAUACUUCUAUUUAACGAGAGGAUGGGAAAGUUUGAUAAAACAACCAAUUAUAAAAAUUAUGAAAAUAUUAAUUAAUUACAUUAUAUAACAUUUUUUUCUGAAAAAAGAAAAAAAAAAUGAAGAAUAAUAACUAAUUUAUUUAUCUUAAAGAGAAGUUUAAAACCUCCAAUAUAUUACAGCAACCAUCUUUUUUCUUGGACACGUACGUUAAUUAAGAUUACACAAGCAUAUAUAGUUAAUUUUCUAGUACCCUGACAGAGCUUAUUACAUGCAAACCAUGCGACGAGUUCUUCUUAGGAGCUACCAAAAUUAGCAACUUUGAUAGCUCCAUCAUUUGAUUGCCCAGAACUAUUAUUACCACUGCCAGUAUUAGUAUGGCCACCGCUGUUAUGAUUGGGAUGCGGUGGCUGUGAAGGAGGAGUCUGAGGAGGAGGAGGAUCAUAAUGAUGAUGAUGGUGAUGAACAAAGUUGUAUUGUGGUGGCCACGUUGGAGCAUAGCUGUAAUGUAUUGGUGGUGGUGGCGGCGGCGGCGGUGAUAUAGAUUUGAUUGUAUAAGUGUUGCUAAAGGGUUUUGGAAUUUCUUCAAGAUGAGUAUCAGUACCCCAGUUGAGAAGACCACCGCUGCGAGAUACGCGGUGUAUGGCUACGCUAUGUACAACUCCGCCAUGUACGGCUCUGUCGAGUUGGGCAAAAGGAAAGGUCAUAUUAUCAGUAGCUCUGUGAAGCCUAUCGAGCCGUUCGAAAUGGUCUCGCAUUAGAUCUGCAAUUCGUUCAUCCAUAGCUAGUUGCUGCUGCUAAUCUUAAUUAUCAGUUAUUGACAAUCUUAAUUUGAAGUCUUAUUAUAUAUACAGAGGUUGCAACUUGCAAGAGAAUAAAGGAUAAGAACUGUCUACUGUAUACGAAACAAUGAAAAACCAACGAAAAGAGAUAUUUCGUUUGAAUAAAAAUAUUUUUCAUUAACCUACUUAUAAAACCGGUUCUAGGCAAGUUGUUCUUGAAAAAAUACGAGGAACUUUUUUAAUUUUUUUACAAAUUUCUAUACUUUUUUUUAUUCAUAAAAGAAAAGAUCGAAUGAAUCCGAAUAAUAUUGCGGUCUACAUAGCAGAAGUAAUCUUCACUCUUGAAUAACGAUCACUAAAUUGAUAAUAAUUUUUAUGGUGGAGAGAUUUAAUCUCGAGACAUUACACUUUUCACAUUUUUCUUUAUAAAUGUGAUAUUAAUCUCAUUUCGAGGUUUGUAAUUGUGCUGCUCAUAAAUUGUUUUAUCUAAGUAUAUGAUGAAUAUUUGAUUAUUCCAUCCAUCCUAAAAAGAUGGUCCAUCUUUUCUUGUUGGUUUGUUCCAAAAUAUAGUUCAAUUUUCUUUUUUGCAUUGUAGUUAAUCCUUGAAUUGUUUACUAUACCCUUAUUAAGUUACUUUAUUUUCAAUAACUCUUAUUAAUUAUUAAUUAUUAUUUUAAUACUCGUGUUAUUUAAGAUGGACAUAAUAGAAAAGUUAUAUAAAUAAAAUUAUGCUUUUAAUUAUAUCUGUUAAUCCGUAUAAAAAUAGAAAAUGGAUUAUUUUUUCGGGACAGAGGUAGUAUUAAUUUAAAUUGCGUUGGACCAAUGCUAGGAAUUCCAAAAUUGUGAUAUUUAUCUUCAGGUGCAUAUUUUAUUGUAGAUAACUCCACAAUAUUAUGACAUCUGUUUUAUUUUUCCUUUUUUUCUUAUUUUUUUUAUACGAAAGGUGAGGCACACACAAGCAUAAAUGCUUUUUGUGAUACACGAUUUGUAAAGAAAUAAUCCCAAGCUUUCAUCACUACAAGAUGUCACCUAUGUUACAUUAUGUAAUUGUCAUCAUCAACAAGGAAGUUAGAAUUUUAAAUUAAGAGAAAAAAUAAAUAAAUGAUAUUUUAUAUAAAAAUUUUUUUAUAAGAAUUAAUUAUUUGAAUUUUGUUAAUUAUAAACUCAAAAUAAUUAUAGAUAGUCAUUUAAUUAACAUUGUUUAUAUAUCACAUUUAAAGAUAUUAAAUAUCUUAUAAUAUGACAGUAUAAAGAUUAAGGCCUAAUGACUUAAAAAAUCUGAACUUUGGCCUUUUUAAUAAUUUUGAUUAAUUUUUUUUAAUUGCUAUAAUUGAUACCGCGAAGUAAUUUUUUCUUAACAAUUGUGGCAUCCGUCCAUCAACCGUUACUACUAUGCUGAUGUGUCCGUUGGUAGGACCCUUGCCAUGACAUGUCACUUGCUGACUGUAAAUUUGCAAGGUAUAAUUGUCAAAAAAAUUGACCAAAAUUAUUAAAAACGCCAAGUUCAGGGAUUUCUUUAGUCAUUAGACCAAAGGUUGUUAGUUUACCAAUUUUAGUCAAGAUUAUUACAUGCAUAUCAAGGUAUAGUCUAGUAGUAAGUGUAAAUACAACUUGUCAAUAAAUCCAAGUUUUUUUAUUAAAAUUAAUUUGUAAUAUUUAUAUAAUUUAUUUGUCAAUAAAUAAUUUUAUAACUUGUAAUAUUCAAAUUUAAUUUAAUAAAUUUAGUUAAAUAUUUUAUAAAUUUAAUUAUAAUAUUUUUUAUUUUAAAUGAUAUAUUAUAAUAAUUAAUGACAAACAAUGAAUAUCAUGCUAAAAAAGUUAUUUCAUUUUAAUAAAAAUUAAUUGAAAAUAAUAAUUAUGACACAAAAUAAAGGGAGAAAAAAAUUUGAAAAGGAGAUAUAACUUAAAAAUUGGAAAGGUGCUAAACUUUACAAUUAAAAUAUAAUAAGAUUGAUAAAAAUUUACAAUUAUAGAUAAAUUUCUCAAAAAAAGAUUAGUGUAAAAGUAUCUGAUGUUAUCCUUUUAAAGAAAAGGACAAAUUUGAGUAAAGGGAUAAUAUUGUUGAAGAAGUUCCUACAAAUAACAUUAUCGCUUUUGAAAUUAAAGCGGAUUUACAAUUGAUUAAUUAUAUAACAUUUAGUUUUCCCCUCUCUCACUAUAUUGAUAAUUUCACUCGAUUUUUAUAUCUCCUUUAAUAUUUAAUCAUUAUAAUAUGAGCAUUGAUAAUUUCGAAUGACUAAAAAAACUAUCACUUCUUUUUUGAAAUUGACUAAAAAAACCCUGUCUUUGAUCUUUUUAUAAUUUUGACCAAUUUUUUUAACAAUUAUACCUUGAAAAUUUAUAAUCAGUAAACGACAAUGUCACGUUAAGGGUUCCACUAACGGCUACACCAGCAUAGUAUUAACGGUUAAUGGACGGAAGCUACAAUUGUUAAGAAAAAAUUAUUUCGCGGUAUCAAUUAUAGCAAUAAAAAGAAUUUGCCAAUAUUAUUAAAAAUGCCAAAAUUCAGAUUUUUUUUUUAGUCAUUAAGCUGAAGAUUAAAAUAAAAAAUUAUUUCAAGAAUUAGAAGGUAAUUUUUUAAUGAAUAAUUUUAAUAAAAAAUUAAAUUGAAAAUUUUAAGAAAAUUGUAUAAUUUAAACUAUUUAGCCAUUCUUAAAUCAGAGAUUAAACAAAUACUUAAGGGUUACCCAAGGAAACUUGCCGUUCAAAAUUAGUCGCUCACGCAAUUACUAAAAAGACUAAUUCUUUGUCUACAUUUGAACGGGAUUAUGUGCUCCUUUAAUUUUGUAUGGGUCUUUGUUUUAUGAUCUUAAUAAUAUGAGCUGAGCUCACUAUUUCAUUAAAAAAAAAAUUGCUCAAGGAAAAAAUCAUCUAAAAGAUUUAAAUAUAUUUAAAUGUUUGAAAUUUAAAAAUUUAAAGAAUCAAAAUAAUAAUAAAAAUUUUGAUCAAUCAUAUAAAAAUUAUAAAAUUAAUAUGCUAAUUAUUAAACUCUCUAGUCUUACAAAUGGGGGAAAAAAGGAAAUAAAGAAAAUCAAUGUACAAAAUAGAAUUUAUAACAAUUAGUAAAAGACAUAAAUUUUUAAGAUCUAAAUCUCACAAUUAAAUUUGCUAUUUUAUUUCUAUUUUUCAGCCUUGCGUGCCUCUUGCUAUAAGAUUUGCAUUAAACCUCACAAAAAAUUUAAUUGUUAUUUACAAUUUUUGGUACACCAACCAAAAACUAAAGAGAUCAAAUUUAUUUUACAUCGAAAAAGAAUGGACAAAAUUUUUUUUUUUUUUUCCUAUAAUCUUUCUCUCUUUGAUGUUUAUAUUAACUUUAUUUGCUGAUUUUCUUUAUACUUCAAAAUUUAAAUGAGUUAGACAUUCAUAUCUCAUUUAGAUUCAAACUCGAGAUCUUUUGGUAGAAAUCUCCGUAAUAUUCUAUUGAGAAUUUUUGUUAAAAUUUUACUAAUUAAAAUUUAUGUAUUCAAACCUAAUUUCAUCCUAACCAUUGAACUUAAAAAUAGAUGUAUAUGAUUUAACAGCUACCAAUGUUGGCAAAUUUGACAGUUCCAGGAGCGUUUUUUUGGCCGGAAUUAUUAUAGUUAUUGCCAGUAUUUUUGUGGCUGGCGGUGUUGUAAUAGGCAAAAGGACAGCCAUAAUCCGGAUAGUAAUAAGACCGUGGAGGAGGAGGAGGAGGAGGAUAGUAAUUUCCAUAUAUUGGAACAGAAGAGGAAGCAGCAGCAGGAUGGGGAGGAGGAUGGUAGUUUUGAUUUGAGUGGGUACGAGGAGGAUGCCCAUAAUUUCCACAAGGAGGAGCAGCUUCUUCUUGUUCUCGUUUGCGUUGGGAACUUGUCAUACAGCCCAUGUUUGUUUUGCUAUGAAGAAGUUGUAAUGAGAAACUGCUAACCAGUAUCUCCUUAUAUGGAUGUAAAAAGAAAGGAAUAUAUUAUCUGCUUUAAAACAAAGCUACUAUUUUUCUCUCUGUUUGAAAUUUUCCAACUCACCUUUUUUUUCAAUCUUUUAACUCACCAAAUUAUUAAUUAUUAAAAUUCGAGACUUUCCACUUCCACUUCCACACCAGUGAAAACACCAACCAUAUUAUUAACUCAUCUUUGAUUAAACCAAAUAAGUUAAAAAUUUACCCAUGAAAAUUUUAAAUGAAUUUAUAUUUAUAUAUUUCUCUUGGUAAAAAAGCAAAAAAGAAAAAGAAAAAGAAAAAGAAAGAAAGAAACAUCGAGUGCAGAAUAGAAAAUCAGUAUUCAUUCUUUUUCUGCAUUUCAGAUUCCAUUUUUCCUUUCAUACAUGAAAAGAACAAACCAAGAGAAAGGACUUCAUUGUUACAAGUGAAAUGAAAUCUGAAGUUACAAUUCCAUGUCCUGGGGCAGAUUUUCUACACUCAUAUCCUCUAAGAAAAGUUACUGGUUUGGCAAUAUUAUGUCUACUAAUCAUUCUACCAUUACAUCUUCUGGAGCUUCAGCGACCGGCUUAGAUUUCCCUUUUUUCUUACCUGUGUAUGGAUAGACAUGCUAGCAUCAGUAGAGGCAUAAGGAAAAGAAAAAGACAAGUGCAAAAUUGAAAAUGACUUGGUAGGAUGCAGCCUGACACAAAAAUGGAAAAUUUACCAUUACUCUUCAACUGUUUGAGUUUCAAACCCUUCUUCACGUUAAAUCUGGCUGGUGUUUUGUUGGCAUUCUCGGAUAUACCUUCACCUAAUAAAUUAAGUUGCACAAGCGUUUCAUCAAGAUGCUAGCAACAGAGGUAGACCAUAGAUUCAACCGAAAGCCAUUAGAUUGUGGUGAUUGCUUAACAGUUUUUUUACACCGCAAACUUGAUUCAUAGCAUACAACCCAACUCCAGUCUCAAGAAUUUGUUAUUAAAGCACAAGGGAGCUCCACAAAGCAUGAAAAUACUAUACAACCAAAAUUGAAGAGCAUAAAUUUUUCAACCCAUGAUAUGCAUACUCUCUACCCAAAAGAACUGUAUUUAGCUGUUCAUUUUGACUUGUAUGAGUAUGAAAAACCUCUCUACUCCAAAAGCACACAAUUCUCCACCUCCCCCACAAAUAGAUUUAAAAUAUGAAAACAAAAGCAUAAUGUUACUUCCUGCACCAACAAGCACAAUUUUUGCUCCAAUUUUCCACCAUAGCCUAAAUUUAGAAGAGGAAACCAAACUAAACCACCUUUGGUACUAAACCUCUAAAACAAGAAAAUGCAUUGCUCUCAAAAGGAAAAAAUGAGCCAGCAGCUCAAUAUACUGGUUAUCAAACAAUUCAAACUGUAGGAAAUCCGAACCUUAAAAUAUGCCUAUUAUUAAAUAUCCACACUUAAUAUGGUAUACUAAAGGCAACAGCAAAGGAAUACCCUCUCUACUAUCACAUACCAAUAUCAAGCAAACUAAUCUGCAAUUAUAAUUAGAACAUUUACUAGAAGUACACUCUCUAAUCUAGUCCUUCUUCAUAGAAAUUAUUAAAUUCAUUAACCAGAUUGAAAUUGCAUCAAAAGAAUAGAAAAACCUUCAGCAGCAGCCAUCUCCACAUCUUCCAUGGUGACCAGACCUUUCUCUAUAGCCUCCUUCUGAUCCUGUACAAAAUUAGCCACGAAUAAAUCAUUAAACGGCGCUCUGUAUUUUUAUUAUCUCCAUAGCUAGCAUAGAGACGAAACUUGUUAAAUUGGGUAUUUACAGAUGAGAUGUGAAGAGGGACAUACUCUACGCCAUUUCUUCAAUAGCUUGCGCUUGCGCUUUCCAGAGAGAGAGAGGGGCUGAGGUUUGUUCUUGAGCUUCCCUGUAACUGGGUCUCCGUGUAUUGCUCUCUUUCUAUAUGCUACUUGUUCUCUUCUCCUUUUUUGCACCACAUUGAAUUUCGCCAUCUCUAUCCUUCUUUCUCUCUACCUAAACCCUAAUUCUUGCAAUUGUCUUUAUACAUUUCCAGAUUACAACUUUGGGCUUGCAUUUGUGGGCCUCGUCUGGGAAGGACCCAUUAUUCACUUGCCUUUUAAUGGACUGGUUUUUUAGCAAUAACAAUUGGGCUUGUUUAGCAUAUCAUACAUAAACUAUUUUAGUAGUUCGCAGCUCUUUUAUUAAUUUUUCAUAAAACUCUAAAAGUUAAACGUGCUUUUAAAAAUUAAUUCAAAUAUUAUAUUACCGGACAUAUAAAAAUAACGCUUAGUAUUAGCUAUUUAAAAAGAUGUUACCGAACACGAUCACGAGAAAGUAAUUAAAAAUGUAGGUUUAAUAUAAUAAUAGGACUUGCAAAAUUGCAAAAUGAAAUUGUUGCCAAGCUGCAAAUGGCGAAAAGAAAAGACGGUUAGACAAAAACAUUGAAAUUAUUGCAACCAACUUAUUAGUAGAAUUAAGAAAAUAAAAAAACAUUUAAUCCUACAUCUUACAAGAUGAGAUAAGCUAAAUAAACAACAGAAACAUAAAUUUGAAAAUAUAUACAUAAGAGUAAAUAGGCAAAAAUAAAGAUCAUAUCAAAUGCUUUUUUGUUGCACAGCCUACAGUACAAUUAGUAUGCUUCUUCUGCCUGAGGAUCUAUAUGCAAUGCGAUGGUCGGAACAGAACGACUCGGGUUUCAUCUCUAUUUACUCUUCCUGUAAUGUUGUCUAUAACUAACUACAAGCAUUUGGCCUCAAUUUCCUCGAGAGUGAGUCCCUUUGUCUCCGGCACAAUGAAGAAUAUGAAAAGAAGAGACAGAAUUCCGAUUACUCCAAAUGCAUAGAAUAAUAUUCCAGCGCCCAACCAUGCCUGCAGCCAAAUCGAAAAAUUCCGUUUCUAGUAUCAGUAUUCAUAGAAAUUUGAUAUAGAAAAUUCAUUUCAAUGAACUAAUGUGAUUUUCAUGAUGAAUAAAACUGCAAUAAAAGAAACAGAAAUAUCAAUAUUCUUCUUCCAAAUGAUUAGAAGCAGAGAGGAAAUGAAGAAACUCAAACAUUAAGCAACUCCAUUUGCAGAAAAUAUGACAGGAAGAGUAGACAAAUAAGAGCAUCAUGACAGAACUGUCCGAUAUGCUCGACUACGUAAUUCUUGAGUUCCUUGAAAAAGAAAAAACAGUACUUCAAUGAUCAAGAACCCGUAAAACAGAAAACCUUGUAUUAGUUUUUCUUUUUAUUUCAGUAAACACCAACAGUUUCACUCAUUAUAAACCUUUUCCAAACUGCAGAAGCUUUAAUGGGCUGAAACAAGACAAGAUUCAGGAGAGCAGGCAAUAUACAUUGAACCUGCACCCUAAACUUCAAACAUAAGUUGGAUACAAAGACUCAUGGUUCAGAAGAAAGUUCAAACAAAUAAGCCUUCAAACAAUUUGAAAACUGAAGAUGCGCCAAAUCCUCAGAAACCCCUAUUCAAAACAAAUAUACUCUGUUUAUCAUCAACUCAAACUUGCAGAAAUUGAAAUCCAUUUAUCAUCAACUCAUGCUUGCAGAGUUCUGUCCUAGCUAAUUUAAGUAAAAUAUGAAACCUUCACCAGUCCUAUUUAGUUAGCUAAUGAAAACCAUUAACUGGCCAAACCAGCUAAAUCUUUUAGAUACUUGGUCAUAAUCACAUUCUUAAUGGCAAUGCCAAUAACCAAACUAAAAAAUAUCUGACAAAUGGUUGCCAUGUUAUAGUCCAGAACAAGCAUGAAAACUAUAACUCCUACCUUCCCAAAUGGCUAGUACUUCCAGUAAUUCAAGCAUUUUUUUUAAGCAUGCAUCCUCAAUAUUAUCCUUAUUUAAGGAUCACAUUUAUUCCUACCAUGGAAUGUGGUAGAAUUUCUAAUUAAAGCUAGGACUGUCAUGACUUAACGAUAAUGAAAUUCAAGCAUUCGAAUAACUUAAAGAAAGUGAGAGAGUGGUAGUUUUUGUCUAUUAUUUUCAUUACUGUCUUACUGAGGAUGACAUGUAUAUAAGCAUGAAUUUACUGGAUAUAUAAAUAGGCUAUCUAAUUACCUUCAAUGGGGAAAAUGCAAAUGUGACGAGUGCAUUUGCACCAAAAUUCACAAGCACUGCUAUACUAAGUCCUCUCCCUCUUAGGCGUAGGGGGAAAACUUCUGAAAUCAUCAACCAACCAAUAGGACCAAAUGAUAACUGCAAAAUUGAUUUCAUUAGCAUACCAUCACAGAUUGCAAAAACAGAAGCUAUAGAAACAAGUUCUGUAACCGAUGAGAGAAAAAAAUGCGUAAAUUUUUUAAUUGAACAAAAAAGUAAAUCAUCUCAUACACUAAUUAUAGAAAUAAUCAAUGCAAUGAAUCAUCAGACGGUAUAAAUUCUACCCAUUCUUUUGCCAUCCACAGAAAAUUGAUUUUCCCACAAAGAAGUUCUCGAAAAACAAAAUAGGCUUCUUAUCCAUCAAGUAUUCUAGGAAAGACAAACUUAUGUGAACAUAAAUGCUUUGAUGGAGUAAAAAGACGUAACAAUGCACAAGAAAGAGAGACAAAUUAGUUGUCCUCUCUUUAUCUCACCCACCUCCUCUAUUCAGAGUCUGUCCAGACAGUAAUUGGCAUACAUUAAUAUCCCAUUAAUAGCUAGUACCUCUAUGUGGUAUUGUGGUUUUGUUAUUACAGGUUUAGGUAUCAGAGAAUCACCAAAUGCAUUAGAAGAUGCCUAACACAUUUCCCAACUGUUGUGUAAAUUUUAGGAAAUAUAAUUCCAAUAAAAAAGACUUAACAUGAUAUGAUACGAAUGGUGAAGGUAUCUUCAGCCUGCUUUCUUGCAGAAUUCUAACAGCAAUAAAGAAAUUGACUAAGCAGAAACUUCAAAGAGAUUUGAAUUUGAUUUAAAAAGUUAGAUAUUGAUGAGCUACAAGCUUACUGAUAUCAAUGAUUUGUCAAUAAGUUCCCAGGACCUGCUUAAGAAAGGCUGAUCACUAGAAUUCUGUAUGAUUAUGCAGUAAGCCCUUCCCAUACUGGGAAUUUCAUUAGCUGUCAUAUAUACCUAUAUAUGCUAAACAGUGUCCUGCACACAAGUAACCUUAAAUCUAAUCCUAAUCCUGACUGAAGGACACAAGUACACAUUGAACCACAAAAUUCAGGGAUGAGAAUUUAGUUGAGAAAUGACAUGAAAAUCUUUGAUUACCUGAUAACAUCCAACAUACAACAGCAGUGCAGCAACAGCCACAAAAGGAGCAUUAUCCAGGAAAAGAUAAUAUGACCCCAGAAGGAAUAAAGAGAUGACCUGUUCCCAAAAUAAAGCAUAGUUCUUAGGAAUUCCUCGUGACUCACUUUAGUUCAUAAAUUAGAUGCCUAUCCUUUCUUCACUCUUCUUCAUUCAGAAAAAUAAAGCUAAAGUCAAGCAAACUAUAAUUCGAUCAAACAGAAUGACCGCCGAAUUGUAAAGACAGAGCUACUGACUUCACACACACUAAUAAAUUCAUGAAAUAACCAUUAUGCAAGAGGAUGGUGAAGAGAAAAAAAUAAAGAGAGAAGAGUUACCAUUCCAGAAACACCACCAAGCAGUAAAGGUCUCCUUCCAAGUCUAUCAACAACAAGAACGGCUAUUCCAGUCAUAAUCAACUACGAAUAGGACAGUCCAAGUUAGAGAUCUCCAGAAGAGAUAUUUAGUGGUUUUUGAUUGAAAACAGUUUAUGUAUAACGUAUAAGAAAAAGAACAACAUAAUAAGUCAGCAUAAUGAAAUGAUAAUUACAUGGUCAUCUAUUCAAAAAGGAAAAAAUAGACUAAUAGAGACUGUGCGUAACUUAAUUGAUAGAACAAAAAAGAAAAAAAAAAAUGGAAAUUCAGAUUUACAGCAUAUUCUACCGAAAACUCCAUGAAAGCAAAGGCACACACCAUAAGUUUAUGUCCUCUUUAUGCAUGGCAAGCACAAGCAAAGGCACGUGACAAGCAAUAAUACUCAGAUAAGCCACAAACAUGGAAAUGAAUUAAUAGCACCAAGAGCAGCAGCAUGUAACUUUGCAAUUUUGAUACCUAGACUUGUUACUUAUAUAGCACCUUAAUUACAUAUGUUUAUAUAGAAUUAUAUAUCACCAAGUUCAAAAUAGAAAUAAUGUUAACAACAACGACAACGACAACAAUCCUCUAGGAUCUGUAAUUUACAAUGUAUGUUAAAUGACCAAAAAAAAAAGUAACUCUUCCCACCAAUUUCAGAUAUCAGAUAGCAUACAGUUAUUAUGAGUUCAAGAAUUAAAUAGAUGAAUCUACCUUCAAUAAGCCAAGUAGAAUUGAAACCCGAGUUGCAUCAGAUGCUGCAGAAAACCCUGCACUCUGCCAAACCAUAUUGGGUUCGUGUGAAGACUUAGAACAGACACUAUUAUAUUGUUAACCAUCUAGUAACCUAUUUUUAAGUAAAUGAAUACCUGAAAGAUUGAUGCGGCAUAAUAGAGUACACUAGGUUGUCCUGUUAUCUGUCAUAAAAGUAGAUCGUUCACAAGGAGAAGUGUUCAAAACUUUGCGUUUUACAUCAUAUCAUUUCUGAUAAUAAAGAUACCUGUUGAAAAAGAACUAAUCCUGCACCAAUGAUAAGUGCUUUCAAGCAUUUUCCUCGAAACAUUUCCCCCAAUGAAGCUUCUUUUUCUUCACCAACAAAACUUAGUUCAGUAAGAAUCUCUUCUACUUGGGCAGGUGCAGUGUCACCUAUAGCUUCCCCCCUGAGUCGGCACAAGCAAAAUAUUGCAGUUUCUUUUAAAUCUUGCAUAUUGCCUUUCCCCUGUAUGGCGCAUAAUAGUAGCCAUCUAGGUGAUGAUGGUAGCCAGCACAUCCCAACUCCCAUUAUCAAUGCCAGAGGAGUACUUGCUACAUACAUAUAACGCCAACCAUCUAUGGUAUCAACCAGAAGACUACCAAUUACAUAACCUGCCUGCACAACUUUAAAUAUUCAGUUUUUGCAAGCAUUAUAAAAAUCAAUAACUACUGAGCACCAUAGCAUGUAAAGCCUAGAAUUACUCAAAGUCCUCAGACAUAAAUGCAGAACUUACAACCAUCCCAAGGACAAUAAAGAACUCUUUGAGAGAGAUUAGUCGACCACGUAUCUGACUCGGAGCUGUCUCAGCAAUGUACAUAGGUGCAGCAUGCAUUGCCUAAAAAUAGUAAACUAGCAUUUAAUACUCCACAUAAAGAUAAACAAGUGCACACAAUAAACUGCAAAUUAUCAAAACCAAUGAAUGAGUUGGCACUUUAAAUCAUCUUUUUUUAAAAAAAAAGCAGCAAGCACAGUUUUCUUGCUCUACAGUAUGCAUGGGGAAACAGAAGUUACAGGAAUAUGAAUAAUCAUGCAUAAAAUUUCAGGGCAUAUUAUAUAACAGAAAUAGAUGUUUUACCAAUCCUAUUCCAAUUCCAAAUACAAAACGCCCAAUCACCAUGAUAACCAAAUCUGGUGCUAGUGCUGUAGCAAGUGCUCCAACAAGAUAUAAUAAAGCAGCAACAAUCAACUCCCUUCUUCUUCCUUCAAUUCAGAUUCAUCAUUUCAACUUCAUCAAGAAAAGGACAUUUACAAUAAUCUUUACCUUUGUAACUUAAAACGUACAAUAACUAACCUAGAAAAUCAGCAAUAUUAAAGGCCAAGACAGAACCAAUCAAGGCGCCAUAUAACGAGCCACUGGUCUGCAAAAGAUAACAGUCACUAAGUUCAAAAAGAACAAGCAUCUGACUUAAACUAAUGGAGCAUUUAAGCAAUUUAUGUUGAUAAUAGGCUUUUCCCUUGUAGUGCAAAUAAUAAGUCAAAUCAAUGUGGAAAUAGAGGAAGGAAGAGAUAUAAAGAAAGGUGCCACUCAUGAAUUAUGAGAGAACAGUUAAAAGAAGCAAUUGUCACUAGAAACUCACAAUGAGCCCAAUUUCCACAGAGUUCAAGUUAUACCAUGAAAUUCCGCUAAAUGUGGAUGACUGCAGGAGAAGAGAAAAGAUUAAUAAGCUCAGGUAAUAGAAGAAUUACAAUUUCAACUAUAGGCGUAAAUGAUCUACAAUUUUUGCAUGCAUGCUUGCACAAAAAUUCACUCUCUCACACGCGCAUGCAGGCAGGCAGGCAGAAAAAUGUGAAAAGUUGUUAAUCUGUCCUCCAUGUAAGUACCUAUCUCUAUUUAGUAUUUAGGUUAUUUGAAAAUUUUGCAAAGAAUUUAAACAUUUAGAAGCAUGAGCGCUAGAUCAAAAUAUUAUUAGCUUUAAUCUAUUAUUAAUGUCUCAUUUCUGCAAGAGUUUAAGCAACAAGCCCGCUAAAGUAUUUGUCAUCAGAUCAAGCAUUAAGCAAAAUUUCUUGUAGGUGAUGAUGUUGCACUGCUCAAUAGGGAAAAAUUCUAAAGGACACAUUUAUUGCUACUUGAGACCACAAAUCAUACUGAAUAGGCAUAUAGAAGAAGUCCUAACAGAAAGAAAAAUAAUAAGUGUAAGCAAAUUCUAAUAAUCCGUCUACAGUCCAUAACUGCAUCAAAAGCACACCUCUAUAUUUAUUGUAGCACAAGAUGUGGAACCAAUAUCAUAACCAUAUAAUAGUCCUCCAAGAGCUGGAAAUAGAAAUCUGAAAUAAAAUAAACUUCUUAAACGUCAACAAGAAUUUUUAACAAAUUAGGAAGCGUGAAGAAGCAACUUUACUUGGCAAAGAUGUGCGUGACAAUUAGUAAAGGAACGAAAAAUAGUAUCAAAACACAGUGAAAUGAACCUGAACUUAGAAGAAGUAUUUAGAACAUAAUAGGCUGGCAAGGUUAGAAUGCAUUAAUUCAUUUCUUUAUACAAAAGAUGCAUAAACUUUAGCAUAAUUCACUUGUAUUGACUCUAAAAUCUCGUGUUUUGAGAACAGACGAACUUACCCUCUACUUACUUUAAUUCAAGAUACUUCAAAUUCAAAAUUGAUAAUAAAACUCAAUCAACUCAAACUAAUAAAAUGAAGAAUAAACGACUACUUAAUUCUACAGCCAAAAUUUUCCUCAUUUACGAAACCUUUACAUAGUUCAUGUUCAAGUGUAGCAAAAAUGAAACAGACAUGGAUAACCAGUCAUCAGAUAUCCCAACAAUGGUAACCGAUCAUCUUUGACAACAUGUCCUAGCGAACAUAUAGACAUAUAUUCCUUCAAAAAUGAAAAUAAUUUGGAAUACAAAAACCAACCAGAAAUAUAAUAAAAGUAAAAACUCACGGGAGAAUUGCAGCAGCAAUAGAAUAGUUCUCAGAGCUAUUUUCCCCAUUAAGCAGAGGCUCCUCAACACCAUCAAUUUCACCAGAAGACUUCCCUACCUAGUAAAAAUUGAUGCAUUUAACAAUAUACCCAACAUGACAGAAUUAAUGAUUAAAAAAAAAGAACUUUCUGUUUAUUUGCACAGAAAGAAAUGCAGAAACAUUUUGUAAAGAAGUCAUUCUCUUGUUUUCAUUCUACAUAAUCAGAAACCGUAGAUAUUUGAAUUAAUGCAACAAUUUUGUUUCUUCAGACUACCGAGAUUGAAAAUCCCGCAUUUAAAAUUUAUUUAAUUCGCUAAAAUUUUCUUAACAACGAAGAAGAUCAAUAUAGAUGCUCUCUCUCGAUCCCUUUGGUCCUCUCUCCUAACCCAAUCAAACAAAUUAAGAAUCGGAAAAAAAUUAAAAACCUUUCCAAAGGAAGAAAGAGAGGACUGCUCAGGAUCAGUCGCCAUAUUUCCCACCUAAGAAACACACAAAGAAAUGUAAGCAAAAAAGAAUAAUUUCACAAUGAGUAAUUCAAAUAGAAUAGAACUAGUUCUUUACUUGUUCUUCUACCAAUUAAUCUAAUAUUCAAAACCAAAAACCAGGGCUUUAAGAUUUCAACUGAAAGAAAGAAGGUGUGAUAAAUAAAAGAGAAAAAAGAUGAUGACGACAGUUGAUUGUUACUUGUUACUUUUUUAGGUAUUUACAGACAAUUAAUAAAGACUGGAAGGUUAGACUUUAAAGAAAGGCGAGCAAGGGAAGGAAGGACGUUAGUUACUCACUUGGUUAGUUUGUUGAGAGUGAAAAUGAAGUAAAUAAAUGGGCAAGACAAUGUGAGAGAGAGGCAGAGACAAAGAGAUCUAUUUUUGAAAGCUUUUCGUCACUUUGGACACGGGAAAAAGCUAGAUCGCGAGCUUACUAGUUACCCCCAUUUUAAUAGAGAAAAAACAGCUGCAACGACAGACGGGUUGACGGAAGAAAGUUGAAAUUUUGUGUCGUUUUGAUAGCCACCUCAAUAUAGAAAGGAAAGUCACAUGUGCCUCGUCAGCCUGUAAUAGGUAGAGUUGACUUUAUAUGAUUUGUAGGACAUGAGGAUUUUUUAAAACAAGAUUCCAGUAAAAUGUUCGGCAACAAAUAUUCAAUUGCAAAUUUAUUUAACGAAAUACUGUAAUAACCGUUUUAUUGAAACAUUAAAAUGUUUAAGUCCUCGCUAAGAAUAUGUGACUACUUGUAUUAAAUUAUAAAGCCUGGAUGCUACUAGAAUAAAAGCUGCGUCUAAGAAUUACAAAUCCCAUACUUGUCUUCUGCCCGUUCACUCGUUUGCUAGUCCUUUCAAUUUCAUUAUCCAUUGCCUGUGCUACUACUAGUACUUUCUUGGCCAUGGUUGGACCAAGUAGAAAUAACUUUAUACACGACCCAAAUUCAGACAACAAAAACUUCCAGGGGGUUCUCAAUGAAAAAAGAAAAAAAAAAAAAAAGCCUCCAACAGUAAACUCGGCUUGUCCGGUCACAAGAGAUGCUUAACAAACAACAUUGUUAACUGCAAGUCAACUCAAUAUUAAUCCAUCUCCUAGAUCUUUCAUUUUGCUUUGGUAGUUGUUCUAUUUACUUUGGUGAUGCAAAUUCAAACGGAAGUUUAAUAUAGAAGGCAUUUCUCUACAUUUCAAUUCCACCACAUGGACCAGGACCAGGGCCUCCAAAUACCCAAGUAAAGAAAGAACAAUAAUGUAACUAGUAUUCUAGCAAAUAAAACCAGUAUCUUUUUGCAAUACAAGACAAACCAUCGAAGACUGCUGCUGAAACAUCUAUUAGCUUGCCUUGUAAAAUUGGAUUAUGAAGUUCACAUUCAAAGUUUUCUUAAUGAAAGCAAAUGCAAACUCUUAUGGCUUCCAAUAAGCACACACAACUUAUUCAUGGAAAUCGGGUUUCAAAGCAAUAAUUUCCAAGUUUACGGGAAGUUUGGUGGACCCAAAGGGUUACUCUGGCUUGGCUGGCUGCCAAGGUUGGUAUCUGGUCCAGUCCUUCUGACCGGGAUUAAGGGCAUGGCCUUUUGAAUGGUAUAUGAACUGCUCACCUUCUCCAGAGAGAUUCUCCCGGUGCUCAACCCCAUACCUCCUAGGUUUCAGCAUUAGAAGCUGCAACAAAUAUGAUGACAUCAUCAUUCAGUAUGAACCUUCCAAUUAUAUUUUCAUUAAAGUAAAUUGUAGCUUACCUCAUCACCAGUGUGAUCAGUUAUGAAAUGAAGCCAGCCAUGCCAUUCUGGUGGCACUUGAGAAGCAUUAUACCGAUCCUUUAAAGCAUAUUCAACCCAUCGAUGUCUUCCUACAAAACACCACAUCAAGUCAAAAGGAGUUAAAACACACCAAGCAUUAAUUAUAGGUGAUAAAAACAUUAAUCAAGACAUUUUUCUGAUACUUCACAAAUAGACACUAAGGGCAUUUUACAUUUUUAAUUCAACACUCAACGAUUGUCAUAGCUCUCCAUACAUGCAUAUGAUGAUAAAUAAAAACGAAUACCAAUCAUGUUUAAAAUACCUAAUGAAUCCUGUGACUGGAGACAUGUUCUUAUUGGUUUAUCAAUACAAGUCAUAGCAUUGCAUAUCUCAUGAAAUCAACAAGUAUUGGGAAUGAGUUUAUCUGUACCAAUGCUUUCAGUUCAAACUGGAAAAGAAAACACAUCACAGUUAUUUGAAGAUCUGUGGUUAAUCAAAAAAUCCUUGACAAGAGGGGGGAAGUGUUAAUGUCCAAGAUAUGCAACUAUAACUGAUUUUGUUAUGCAAUCUACCAAUUUACUUCAUUGAUUAAUGAAAAUAACACUACUUUUUUCAUUUAAAAAAAUCCUUAGGAACUGUUAGGAUUUUUCAGUUUAAUUCAUUUCUGGUACUAAGAAUUUAACGGUUUUAUAAUGGGUGCAAAGAAAAGAUUGACAGAAACUGUAGGGUAAGGAUAGAAUUUAUAGCUCAGAGGAAGAUAAGUUCUUAGCCAAAGUACUAAACAUUUUCCAAACUCGACUUAAAAAUGCCUUAAUUUUAUGCUUUGUCAGAAAUGACUGCCAGGGGGAGAGGAGCAACUUUGUAUGAAAAUUUCUCUUAAGUAUUUUGGUAGGGACAGUGACAAACAGACUUUUUGAGCAGAGCAGAGCAGGACCGUUCAAUAAGCGGGGAACAGGGUACUUUCCUCUAUAUGAGAUGGUAUGCUGCUGAUCCAGAGUAGCUAGGCUUGCUCAUGCAGAAAGAAAGUAACAAAGAAAUGCAUUAACUAAUCUUCUAAUCCAGCUCAAGAAAUGGAGGUAGAUUCCUUAUAACUUCUUUGGGGAGGGGGAGUGCAGUUCUAGCAGUAUAACACCUCAAGCUUCAAAUUUUUUUUUCACAGUAAUUUUGAUCAUGCAAACGACACCACUCACAUGCAAUGUAUGGUCUCAAAUAACAUGGAUACUAAGAGGAAAAUCCAAAUUAUUGCUCAUGAGAAGUAGAGAUGAAAGAUUCCUCCUAACAUACAUAAAUUCAACACAACAUAUUACUAAUGUGUCAGACAUGGGUCUUCUCCUUGCAUUUGAUCUUGUGUCAGUAGAUCAUUGAAGAAAUGAAGUAGAAACGUGGCAGUGUCAUGAACCAAAAAAAGGCCACUUAUAAAUUACACACGUAGGAGCCAACCUCAAUGCGAAAAGCAGCAACAGCCACAAUUAUACAGGAAAGAAAAACGCAUUUUCAUCAUUGCCAAUAGCUACCGAUAGUGCAAUUAGGAAGAAUAUAUCACAUGAAAACGAGGGGGUAAAAAAGUACUAACCAAACUGCGUGUCUUCAAGUCUCUCAUAAUACUUAUUGCCAAACUUGUCAACCCCCACGAGUGUGGCCCCUAUGUUGUGGAUUUUGGUUUGCCUAAAUCAAUUAAAUAAAUUUUAAUUAGAGAAACUUACGAGAAUUCACCUAAAUCUAAGAAAAGCACGAGAAGAAAGAUGUUGGCUUAAAAGUUAAAGGCUGACAAAAAUCCAAAUAAUAUAUCUGAAGUCAAGAAAAUAAACUAAACCAACAAAAAAUAUACAAAACAGAACGCCAGCUCAGACUUCAUAUGUCUGAAGUAUUAAAAUAGAAAAACAAAAAAAAAAAACAUGAAAGAAAUUACCAAAUUCAAAUGGUAUUCUGUAAGAGAACAUAUAGAUAAGCCUAUUUAGUAAGAACACUGUUUUAUAAUUCCAAAAUGACCAACAAAAACAUCAAAGGCAUAGCUUCCAGACCUUAUAAAUGAAAGGGCACAAAUCCAUUGAAUCAAGAAACACAAGCACUCUCAUUUACAAGUCUCCAAUCAGAAAACCUUUAACAAGAAUCAGUAAAGAAAUUUUAACUUACAACAAAUUUCCAUCCAAAAGGCACUUCCUGAAAAAAAUUCAGCAAAACAGAAGGAAGCAAAAUGAGUAAAGAAGUCUGUAAAAUUCAUAAAAAAAAAUAAAAUAAUAGAAAAAAUAAAUGAAUGCAUCGGUAAGAAAAAGAAGAAAUACGAUUGUUAAUGAAAAGGAAGCAUUCAAGAAAAACUCGAAGUUUAAUCCACUGUCUGCUUCAAUAUUUUUUAAUUUUUACUGGUGGAAAUUAAUUCACAAAGGAGUGCCUAUUUAUGCAUCCCGCUCAGGUAUCCAUAUUUAUACACAACCCUCCAUUUGUUAGAGCUUACUACUUAUUAUGAGACACAAACCAGUGAAAAUUUCAGAUUUUUCCCCACUUGCAAACAGCCCAAAAAACCUAAGUUUUCCAAUCUCAAAUUCAUUCAGGUUCCCAAAUUUCAUGAACCUAGUCCAUAUUUUAAUUGCAUUAUUUCUGGAAAACAAUUAAGUUCAUAUUUUUCUAGCAGCACCAUCACCCACAAAAAAGGUUUCCCUUUUCUUCCCCAUUUUUUCUGAGUUACUCAGGUUCAGUUCAUUUCUCGUUUAAAUUAUUUCUUCUGAAUUCAGUGUAUUCCCAGCUAACAAAAGAAAAACCAGAAACCAACCUUACAAAAAAAAUUACUACUUUCACCACUUUGGGAUUUAAUUUAAUUAAAAAAGAAAACUACUGAAAUUAAUAUCUUUGCUCAUAUUCGGGUCAAAACUGAGCAAAAAUGACAUCUCUGGCAUACCCAUUAACACCAAAAAUCAAUAAUAGAUUCGCAAUGUAGCGUUUCUAAAUUCCUUUUGAUUCUACACUCAUCGGGUUGAGAUGAAUCAAUUGAAAAUUUUUUAAAAUAAACAUAUAAACAAAAAUAAGAGAAGAAAGGAAGAAGAAGAUAAAAGGAAAUGAACGACUGACGUGUAGCCUUCUUCCCUGAGCUCUCGUAGGAAGGUGCCUAGCCCUUUCUCUCUGAUGGCCUUCAAGGCUCCCUUCACCACCGUUGAUACCAUCGCUCUCACUCCGUUCUUCUCUCUGUUUAUUCUUUUCUUAUUUUAGGCCUUUUUUUUUUCUUUUAUUUCUCAUUGCGAAAGUUGGCACAUGCAUCGCACGUGUGAUUUUGUAGAAGCAUGUGAGAUAAUUUUACACUGAAAAUAUAUAAAGGGUCAUUUGUUUGGUCUUACCCCCAAUCUGAAUUAAUAGGUUAUUGAACUAAAAGAUUUAUGAAUGUAUAAAAUAUAAAUAAUGUGAAUUGCAUAUCAAGACAUAGUUCAUUGGUAAAUACAUGUAUGACUUGUCAACAAAUCUAGAUUUGAAUCUUUUUCCUCCAAUAUUCAAAAAAAAAAAAAAUGUGAAUUUAUUCUCCUUUCUCUCUUUUUUCUUUACUCAUUAAACCCUAAUUUCAAUUUGGGGCUAGUGGCGGCCUCUAUCUUCUACUAUUUUUUACAACAUUUUUUUAUUAUUAUUGUUAUUUGUCUCUGUAUUUAGAGUUUUUUUUUUUUUUCUCUUAUUUGUGAGAGUGUAAUUUUAUUGAUUAGCAGGUGUAGAUAUUCGAUCAAUAGAACCGGAUAAUAUGGUAUGUGUAAUGCGCAACGGUGAAAACUCAUAUGUGUUCAUCAUAUAUUGUAAAUCCUUAGAAAAGCAUCCAAAUAUAGAAGAUUCAAAAGGACUAAUUGCUUUUGUUAUCCAAAUACGGAUUGAACUAAUUGCUUUUGUUAUCAAAAUAUGGACUAGUUUCUGUAAUAAAAAUUUAUAUUUCUUAUCAAGAUCAACUCUAAACGGAAAUAUUUAAUAUUAUAUUUUUAAAUUUUAAUUUUAUUAUUCAAGAGAAUAUGAAUUAUUUUUAUAUCUGAUUCAUAUGAUCAUUUGCAUUCUUGAUACUAUUAUUAAUUAAUUAUGUGUAUAUUAUUUGAUGUAAAAAAAAAUGAAUGAUUUAUGGAGCAAUACUGAGAGCUUAUUGCUAUUAAGAUUGUUUGAUAAAUUAAAUGUCUUAAUAACUUGAAUAAAUAUAAUUUUACAUAGUUGACCUUUUAUAUUUUUAUUAAUAAAAAUUAUAUUAUAUCACUUAGGUUAAAGCCAAAUAUAUAAAUUUAACUUAUUAUUUAAGUAUUAGCAUAAUGUGAUUGUAAAUAAUAUAAAUAUAUAUUAUUCAUAUAUAAUAUAAAUUUAAUUUUAAUGAUGAAUGUUAUAUAAAUUAAUUAUGUAAAGUUAAAAGUAAUAACUUAAAUAACUCACUACAAAAUAUAAUAUUAAAGUACAUCAUCUUCAAUUAUGAUAAAAUAUAAAAUUAAAUUAUAUCCACUUCUUCCAGAAGUAUACAGCCCAAUAUUUUAAACAUUAUGUGGGAUAUUUUUAUCUUCUAAUAAAAAAAAAGUUACACACUUAAAAAGAAAUUUUAACUUUUGUAAUAAGUUAAUUUUUUGCCAUUUCUGAUAAAUUAUUUAUCUGAAAAGAUAAAAUAAAUAAAUUUAUUUUCUUUUUAUCUCAAUCAAUAAUAUAGGUGUACGAUAAAUUAUAAUGAGUAAGGCAUAUAAGGAAAACCGCUUACAACGUUUUGUAUUAGUUCAAAUCCAUUUUCUACCAAAAUGGCAUAGCCGAUUUUAAUUUCGGUUGAACCCGAAUACAAGACCUAUUUUCUACCCGAAUGACUUUAGGGCAUUUUGAUUUCGUUUUUAACGGGACCCGGAACACAGCUCCGAUCCAAAUCGGGUCCAGUACUUGUACACGUGGUUGAUUUUUAUUGGUAGCACUGACGCGAAACUCAUAUGCCGACUACAGAGUAGAGAAUUACGUACGUAUCAGAAGUCCACUUUAAUCUAUUUUUUAAAAGGAAACACAGAUAGGGAUCGAAACAUUGUGAAGGAAUAGGGAAAUUCUUCCAGGUAUUGUUAAUGUCUCUAUAAGGUUUUAUUUUUUUGAUUAUGAAGCUUUUAUUCACUUGAUUUGAAGGUUUUUCAGGUUAUGUUAGGGCUGAUUUUAAUAUUCUUGUAAUUGGAUGUGUAUUGAAUAUGUUUUUUGUAAAUGACUUCUUUUGAUUGCUCAAAAAUGGAAUACAUGUUUUUAUUCAGAUGAUACUAUAAUCUGAAAUGCUUGAUUGCUAUUGAAUUAUUUUGAAAUGAUAGUUUUUGUUAUGCUUUAUUAUUUAUUUUAAUUUUUGACUCCCUCCCAAUUUGUUGGUUUAUUUGAGUUUGGAAUUGUCUGCCGUUUGAGAAAUUGGGGGGAAGUAUUAUACCUUUCAUCCGAGAGAGAAUCAUCUUUUUCUUACCCAAUUUGAAUUUUCUCAGGUUUUCUCAGAUAAAAGGAACAGUAGGUUCAUCUUGUAUCGGCUUCUAUUAACUAAAUGUGCUGAACCUUUUUAAGUCUGAUAAUAUUCAUUAAAAAAGCAUUUCUUUAUGUUUAUAUCCAUUGAUGACUGAUUUGGUGCAACAGCAGACUCAGAGAAAAUGAUGCGACUGCGCACAUAUGCGAGCCUAAGUUUAUUUGCAACUUUGGCAGUUAUAUAUCAUGCAUUCAACAGUAGAGGCCAGUUUUAUCCAGCUAUGGUUUAUUUAUCAACCUCUAAGAUCAAUUUGGUGCUUCUUCUUAACAUGGGUCUAGUCAUUAUGUGCAUUUUAUGGCAAUUAACUAAACGGCUAUUCCUUGGUUCCCUACGGGAAGCUGAGGUUGAAAGGUUGAAUGAGCAAUCAUGGAGAGAGGUUAUGGAAAUCCUCUUUGCCAUCACUAUUUUCAGGCAGGACUUCUCAGUGACAUUUCUUACAAUGGUUACAGCUUUAUUAUUAAUCAAGGCAUUACAUUGGUUAGCUCAAAAGAGGGUUGAGUACAUUGAGACAACUCCAUCAGUUCCCAUGCUGUCUCACAUACGGAUAGUUUCAUUUCUGGGGUUCCUUCUUCUUCUGGAUAGUCUGUUCUUGUACAGUUCUGUUAAGUAUUUGAUAGAAACACGUCAGGCUUCAGUCUCUCUCUUCUUCUCCUUUGAGUAAGUUAUUUAAUUUUUGUAUUAUUAUUUUUCUUAUCAUUUACAUUGAGUUAACAUGAGUUUUUCUGAUGUCAAUCUGCUACAGUUAUGAGCCAUAUUUUACCUGGCCUUUUGUUUUAAAUUAUUAGGUUUUCUUUACACUUUCCUUUAAUAACAUCGAGGCAACUCCAUCAAUCCCCCAUGUUGUCUCACAUAAUAGUUUCAUUUUUGGGGUUCCUUCUUCUGGACAAUCUGAUGUUUGUCAUUGCUCUAAUAUUUAAUAUUUUGUAUCUUAGGUAUAUGAUACUAGCAACAACUACCGUCUCCACUUUUGUAAAAUAUGUUUUCUAUGUGAGUGACAUGCUUAUGGAAGGACAAUGGGAAAGGAAGGCUGUCUAUACCUUUUAUUUGGAACUUAUUCGCGACUUGCUUCACUUAUCAAUGUAUCUCUGCUUCUUCCUUGUGAUUUUCAUGUAAGUUCAAGUUUGAACUUAGUUCUACACUGUUACAACUCACAAUAUACAUAAAAUUGUUAUAGCCUAUCAUGUCUGACAAAGAUAUAAUCGGAUAAAAUGCAUGAACAGAUGCAGAUCUAUUUGAUCUGGCAAAGAGCCAUGCAUUCAUGAAUAAUGCUAUGUGAUAUUGACUUGUAAAGUUCUGUUUUGGCAUUGAUAAGUUGAAUUUUACUGCAUUGUUAAUAUCUUCUCGCUGAUAUUUGAAUCCCAAUGCUGCUAUCUGGCUUAUGGUGCUUUCUUAUGGGUGGGGAUGUAUUGCAAGUUAGUAGGAUGGAUUUCCAGGGAAAACAACGGUGCUGAUCCUCUUGACCUCAAUCAAGGGCUCUGUACAUGUUUGAUUGAUUGUUGAACUAGUGAAUAUUAAUCUGCGGUAGAGGAUUUGAGUUUUAAUUUACUCUGUUGUUGGAGGCUGUUCUAUAGAGAAUAUAUUGACUCAGUUUUAAACUCAGUUUGUGAUAAAAUAAUUUCUUUUAUAGAUAUCAUGUGAGAAUAAGAAAGAGUGGAGACAUAACGUGUGGCCGGAUGCUUGGGUUCUUCCUUUCUUUUUUGGCCAAAGGAAGUAGCAUUAGGAUCAUUAUUAGACUCUCUUGGGCGUCAUAUUUAGGACCUAUUUAACUUUUGAGGUGUUAUGACUCUUUAUCAUGCAUAUAGGUCACCAUUUGUAAAAAUGCAGAUAUACAUGAGGUCAAAUGGUAAAAGUCAUCUAUUUUUUAAAAAAAUUUGCGCGAUAAGUUAAAAAAUGGUCUUAUAUGAAGUUACCAAGGUUGCUAAGAAUUCUACUUGUUUUCUAUGUACUUGACUACGGAAAUUUUGUCUAAUUCUGCACACUAUCCUAUAGCAGUUCAAUUAAUCGUUUUUGCACAUAUUUAUUGCCCAUUCAGCUUCUAAUUUUUAUCUAAUGAAUUUGCGUUUGUCUUCAUAGGAAUUAUGGUGUACCUUUGCACUUAAUACGAGAGCUUUAUGAGACAUUCAGGAACUUCAAAAUUCGUGUUGCUGAUUACCUUCGUUACCGGAAGAUCACUUCAAAUAUGAAUGAUCGGUUUCCUGAUGCAACACCUGAAGAGCUCAAUGCGUAAGAUCCCUAUGUUGUCCGUCAUUUUUGUUAAUCAUAGUUCAGCACUUAUUCAUUUAGAUCAGCAUUCUUAAUAAUUUUCUUUAAAUAUGCAGAAGUGAUGCAACCUGCAUCAUUUGUCGUGAAGAGAUGACUACAGCCAAGAAAUUAAUCUGUGGGCAUCUUUUUCAUGUUCACUGUCUCCGUUCAUGGUUGGAGCGACAACAUACUUGUCCUACAUGCAGAGCCCUAGUUGUACCCCCUGAUAAUGGUGCGAGUACAGCUGGAGGGCAACAUGGAGCACGGUCAGAUACUCAUAGGCACGGUAAUGUACCAUUACCAGGUUCUGUUGUUCCUGAUAAACGUAUUCGUCCUGUGAAAAAUCAAAUCGGUUAGAUUUUGUAUGCACAUUUUUGUAAAGAUGAUAAAAUUGUGAAAUCCCCACAUUUUCUAAUAAAGAAAUAUGGCAAUUUGCUUAUAUAACUUAUAUAUUAGAGUGUCAGAUUGCUGAACAACAUAAUAUCUGCAUGACAUGAUUUCCUUUGAUCAAAUUGAUGGGGUUUUACUGAAAAAUAAUAAAAAUAGCAACUAUUGAGGAUUUAUUUUGUUUCCGUACCAGAUUUCUUGAACAUGUUGACCAUCUUUCCUCUUGCACAUGAUGCAUUCUCUUGUGACUAUGGACUUCUUUGACUAGCUUCAUCCAAAUGCCAACUAGCAAUUAAGAUGACUCAUGAUGUUGAAACUUUUUCAUUUGCAUCAUUUUAUAUCAAUAGAAUCAUUAUUCUAUUUAAAGCGAAAAAUCAAUAGGAAUUUUUUCUGAGUUCUUUAUCCCCUUCAGCUUUUUCUAAUUUCCUGGUUUGAGAUGUUUCAGUUAGCAUGCCUCGUUGGUUUUAUAAUCAUUCAGUGUUUCGCUGUAAUUGGGAACAGGAACAGGCACCGCAAGUACAGGAGCCCAGGGCUCAGUUGGCAAUGGGCAGGAUGACAAUUUGAGCCAGCAUCAGGCCAGGCUUCAAGCUGCUGCUGCUGCUGCCGCUGUAUAUGAGAAAUCUUUUGUUUAUCCUUCUCCAAACACACUAGUGUGGUAUGUGGUUGUAUGCUGCAAAAGACAGAACAUUUUUAUUUUAACAGCACACAUGCUGUGCUUCCCUUUUUUUGCCAUUAUCUGGCCCUGUAUUUGGUCAGUUUAUCAGUGGAUGCAUACUCUUGAUGAUACAGUCAUACAGAUGCACUAAACAUUUGGCCUAGUUUCCCAGUCCACAAUCUAUCUCAAAGAGUUUGAAAUGCAUUCUUCUAAAGGGGAAUGGAUAUUUAUUUCUACAAGUUUUCCCCCUUUAUUUCUACUUCACAUAAAGCACUGAAAGAGAUGUGUUUUGAGUUAAAUAGUGUAUAUAGUAUUUGGUCAACUUCAUGGCCUGAUAUGAUAAACAUUUUGAUGCAUUUAUGCUUAAAUUUGCAGCUUCCUCUGUUCCUAACUUUGUGUAUAUUUAUUUGAGAUGACAUGGGCCAGGUGUCCCUGUUGAAUGUUUUUGGCCUGUUCUUAAAUUGAACUUCAAAAAAUCUUGAAAAAACAAUUGAUCUUUAAAAUUAAUUUCUAGGUCUCCUGGAUAUGCCUUGCUCCCUCAAGCUCAAAGACCUUUGGCUGAUGGUACUAAUAGGGAAUCUAGUGGAGAACAAGCUUUCAUGGGACAAUCACAUCCUCAUUCUGCAAUCCAUGCUGGGCCAUCAAACUUGCCCCAGCCACAAUUUUCCAACUAUGUCUUUGUACCCUUUCGGGUUCCUGGUGCAAAUGCAACUCAUGGAGAGAGAUUGGACACUAUACCGAACUCUGAGUUGGAAGCUCAGAAAAAGCUUCUCCAACGCCAAAUUGAGGUACCAUCUAUUCAAUGAUCCCAUGAACUUACAUGUUUUAAUAUAUAUGUAUAUAUUUGUAAACUUCUCAUGCAUGUAGUUCUCUAUGUCAUUUCAAAUUCUGAAUGACGCUGCCAAUCUUAUUUCUUGGCUUUUUACUAAGUCUCAUAUGCGAUCGAGGUGUAUACCAAGGUCAUGCAUGUUAAAUUACAGAUCAAAUUGGAAGCUAGUGCUGGCAAUAUUAGACAUGCGAUGUCAGGUGAAAUUAAAUUAGAGUUAGAUUCGUCUUAAUUGUGUCCACAUCGGGUUGAGUUGCAAAUUAAUGCACAUUUGACAUUAGCAAUCAACUGUGAAAGCAAACAUAUUAUUUUUAGUUCUUCUCUUUAUACAUAUUUAUUUCCUUAUACAGUUCAUAUUUUGGACUUUUAUCCUUGAUAGUUGAUUGUCUAUGCUAUAUUGUUUUUACCCUUCUUUCUUUUCUUUUUUCUUCGGCUUGCUUCCUCACCAUUUUUCUUUAUUCCAUAGGUAUUAAUGCACAUUUGACAUUAGCAAUCAACUGUGAAAGCAAACAUAUUGUGUUUAAUUCUUCUCUUUAUACAUAUUUAUUUACUUAUACAGUUCAUAUUUUGGACUUUUAUCCUUAAUAGUUGAUUGUCUAUGCUAUAUUGUUUUUACCCUUCUUUCUUUUCUUUUUCCUUCGGCUUGCUUCCUCACCAUUUUUCUUUAUUCCAUAGGUCCUGCAGAGGCAGCUCCAACUACUACAUCAGCCAAAGGCUGAGGAUAAAGUGCAUAUCGAUCCAACACCUUCAACAGAAAGCAAAGGAAAGACAGUUGUAUCAUCUCCAUCGCUGUCAGACUCCAGUCAUCAUGGAGAGAGUGAUGCAAAUAGUCUUUGAAAAAUUGUAGUUGUAUCAUGAGACCAAAGAGCAUCGAGUAUGUAUAGGGCAAAAGAAGAAUUAGAGAAGAUCCUAGCAAUCUUUACAACUGUAGUUCCCUCGACAGCGAGUUGCGUUUUUUUCUUCUUCUUUUCUUUUUUCUGUGAUGUUUUUUAAGUGUUCUUAAAAAAUUGCAUAGUAUUUUUUUUUUCUGUCUCCAAUAUUGAUUUAUCUCCGGAUAGGCUUGGCAACUGCGUUGACCCCUCACCAGAUUUAACUGAAGUUGUAGCUUCACGGUAAGGCAUCAAUUUAAGAUGUACCUCUGGGGUUCUCUACCCUGGUCUUCUGUUUGCAUUUAACUUGUAUAAAUUUUUAGUGCUACGAGUUCAUUGUCCAAUAAACAUUCGGUAUUCGAUUCUGGUCUUAUUUGGCAUUCGAAUGUUUUCAGACAUCAACCAAUUUCAAAGAAGCUUUCCGUUAUUUGCUUUGGUUUUUAUUUUAGAACAUUUCAAGGCAGUCUCAUAAUCUGAGCUCAGAUUGAAACAUUUCUGAUAUAUUUUAGAUACCUGAACCUGGACUCCAUUUGCCUCAAUAGUCUCAAUCGAUACCCGCAUGGAUUUUCACAUCAAUUACAAACGAGUAGAACUUCACCAUUGUUAGAAUUUGAUCAUGCUAAUAGUUCACUUGGAUCGACUGGGUAUAUGUAUCUAACAAAAGGGUUUAUAAUAUACUCUUUUGAAAUAGAUAAACCCUCUAUUCAAACUAGAAACUCUGUAUCUUUAACCCCCUACCAUUACUGGAGCUUUUAUUCCUUUUCUUUUUCUUUUGGUACGCCAGAAACCUUCUUAAGUGAAAAAGGUGUCAAUAUUUAACCAUUGCCCACCUAUGCCCAGUACUCCGCUUCUAUCAGUUAAACUUAAGUUGGUUGUUAAGCUUCAAUUCACCCAGGGAGCUUAAGCUGCUUGACAUUCUUCCAACUGCAGGCAAAAAAGAAAAAGGCAAAGUUUAGACUUGGUGGCUACCGGUUGGUGCAGGUGAAAAGAAAAAUAACUGAAUGUUCAUGCUCCUAGGGGUAACCCUUAAGAGAAACUGCCAUUCAACAUGUGUGAAAGGGAAGUACUGUAUCAGAAUUGCUGCCAUCCAAUCCAACAUCUUUACCAACCUAGGAAUGAAUGAAAGGAUGUGAUAGAAACAAGCAGAACAUGGAGAAGUUACAGAGUAAAAGAAAAGGAAAAUAGGAAACCUACCUUUUAAUAUAGUAGUAGAAAAAGUCAGCAUAAAGAGCAGUCUGAACAAGGCCUGAAAUCCAAGCUGUUUUGGCAAAGUUGGACAAAAAGCUACCGUUAAUAACAUUACCUAAAUGAGACGAUGCAACCAAUAGGGAAAGCAACUUACGUAUCCAGCGUACUUUAACUCCCCCUAUGAAGAAGCGGUAAACCCAAUUGAGGAUAUACAAAGCUCGGUAAGCUCUAAAGAUAAAAUAAAAAGAAAAGUAUAAAUGUCAAAAGAAUCAAAUGAACAAAAGUUGAGUAAAUAUAAGUUCUCCUCCAGCUUUCAUUUCAUCUAUGUGACUCAAAAGAGUUAUCAAAAUAAUAGAUUAAGGUAAACAGCUGUAUAGGUUAAAAAAGUAUCUCAUCAUUAUGCAGUCAUACUUCUAUCAUUCUGUUUACCAACAAUUCCUUUUCAAAGUAAAGACACUUUCGGUAUAUCAGAAAUUGCACAAUGUCUUCCAAGGUCAAGACAUUGUAGAGAAUGUAGAGGUGAGUCUGCUAAGACCAAAAGGCUUACAGAGGAUUCUUAGCAAUAUAUGUAUACAUCAGUCAUCUCAGCUACAAUUAACCUCCAUUUGUCAUAUUUCAUUACCAAAUUAUGGAUUGGUAAGUGGUAACUCCAUGCAUCCACUUCAGACUACCCAAUACCAAACAUCACCUCAUAUACAUUACAGAUUCAAAUUUUAUAUCACAAUUCUUUACCAAACAUCACUUCAUUUUACCAGGACUAUUGAUCCAAACAUAGAAUAUUAACACACCAAUGCAAAGAAAUUACAAAGUAAAACUCCUUGGCAUGUUUGCAAUGCCAUUUAAAUCUCGUACAGAUUAUGAAGUGUUGGUACCAAAAGACACCAUAUUUUUGAAAAGCCUGUAUCAAUCUAACUUCAUCACUUUCCAAAUCUUUAUCCAACAUUCUGUAGAAUUAUAUUAUGACCUAUACUUACAGUUCCAAAUUUCAAUUAGUGCUACACCCAUUUAAGUUUCUUUUACGCAUGCCUAAAUCAAGCUAUACAUUCUGGGUGUGACUUGGGGUACAAUACGAAUAAGAUCCUCCGCAUGUGUACAUUCACACCAAGUCACAUACAUUCAAACAAGGGGGAAAUUUCAAGGAAAAGUAAAAGUCAUAAAAGCACAAUAAUUGAGAGAGAAUUAUAUGGUCAAUGGAGAAAACAAGGAACUACGAAGCUGCAGGAGUACUGGCACAUACCCGAGAAGGAAAACAUAGUUUACAGUCAAGUUGUCAAUGUGCCUUGACCUUUGUAGUAAUACCAAUUGGGGUAAGAUAGCCACUGCUUCAAGAUAAAUUGAAAAUGCCCACAAAACCUAUUACAAAAUAUCAGCUUUGUGUCAGAGAUUAAAUAAAAAGUGAAAAGCGACAGUUCUUCAGGUAUCCCACUGUCAGUGUCAAGAAAGAAACACCAUUAGAUCAUUAGAAUUUCAGGAAGGGUGUUAUUGCUUAUAAAUGAGAAUUUCAACAAAAAUGGAAAACUGAAGGGCAAAGAUGCUAGUGGAUUACGAAGAAAUCAUUUUUAGUUGCUGCCAAUUAGAGUGAUGAGCACAAUUCUAUAAACAGCUAGCUUCAAAAAACUUGGUAGGAUAUUAAAUUUAAACAGAUCCUGAGAGUUACCUUCUCUCCUUUAAUAAGCUGGAAUCAAGAGAUUUUUGCCUCUACUAGCACAAAUGUCAAAACACUUCAUGUAUAAAUAGUUCUCUGCCUAAGUUCAUAAUAGCACUAGAACCUAAAUGUUUGUUAUCUGACAUCUCUCAUUAUUGUCAUACUUAUAUAACUAAAUAGUUCAUAAGUUUGUGUCAAUUAUAUCUCCAAAAGCUCCAUUUAACAUUAAGCAAACAAGAUAUGUUAUUUGUAUAGCUAUAAAACAUAAGGCUUAUAAACACAAACCUCAAUAACAUUAAAGGAACGGUGGAUUAGAAGCGCAAGGACAAGGGAAGGGACAGCUAAAAGAUAAUGUCUAAAAGAAUCUUCAUCUUUGCUGUAUGUUUGCUUGACAACUUUAUGGUAUCGCAUGUACCAGACAAUUCCAAUUGAAGUCCCGAUGAAUACUACCUUCAUUACAGUAUUGUAGAAAGAGUAGUCCUUUACAAACAAAUCAAGGUACCGAGUGAGGAAAACUAUAGCAUACAGUUCUUGAGUCUUCAGUGAAAUUCCUGAGGGGAAAAGUACAAACAAUGGUAGAAUUGAUAAAUAUUCAGAAAUAUAUGACACAAUGUUCUGGAAAAAUAAGAAAUAAAAAACAUGAGUUUUUGAUAUCUCCUUAUCAGAUUUCUGUUGAAUUGAAAUGACUGUGCAAGAAUUAUUGCAGGUUCUAAACAAAUUUCAGAUUGCUCUCCCAAAGAAAAUCUAAAAGCACUAGAACUUUGAAGUUCAAUAUCAAUGUCCCAACAUGUUGAGGUAACUACAAUUCUGUGAUUUUACUAAUGAGACGAGUAAAAUUCUAAUUCAAAUGAAAUGCAUUGCACUUGUGCACUAGUGUCAAUUAAAAAAUUUUAUUAAGUACCAUGAAAGGGAAUGAAAGGAAAUACAUAGAGCAUGUCUAGUAGCCUUGUGAGUCUUCCAUCAAAUCACUAAAAAGCCAAUAAGGUUUCAAAAAAAAGAUUUUUGUAAAUAGUAACAAAGGUAGCUUAACCACACAAGCACCCAUCAAAAGCAAAUGGAAUAAAAAGAAGGGACUAAAAAAUAAAAUAAAAUCAAAGUUAAUAAUACAUGAGGUUAUGGGUCCUUGGAGUUCUUUUGACAAAAUAAAAGUUCGAACAGUCAUAGGCAAAAAAAAGGAAAAUUGGAGUUAUAUGCCACAACUACAAAUUCUCAUACGAAAAGAAGUAUAAUAAUUAAGAAUCUUCAAUGGGGAUAAACAGAAAUUGGUAAAUCGUGCAAUCUUCAAGAAAAAAGAAGAAAAAGAGAAAACAAAAGAAGAGAGCCAUAGCUACCUGAAAUGGGAAAAGCAAAAGUGAAAAAAGCAGAGACAUGCAUAAAUUGGCAUACCAGCACAAGAUUUCGUUUUACGGAUCUUGAGGAGCAGGACCACUAUACUGAGAAGGUGGGUCAUGUCCCCAGCUAGCCGAAACAAGUUCAUGGCGUUGAUUUCCUAUUUCUCUUCUUGUUCUGUUUUGGGCUGUGUGUUUUGGGUCUUCUUCUUUUCUCUUCUCUUCUUCAGUUAAUUCUUUAUUUCAUUUUCCUCUCGUUUGGAAAACGCGCUGUCUGUAUCGAUGGCUUUGCCGUUAUUUUGGGGUUUAAGUUAAGGUUGUCUAUAACCGUAGUGCAAGCUCCUUUAUGGCGCGUGAUCAUUGACGUCAUCCGGUACUACAGUCUACCCGUAGUCGCUUUCGACACACACUGCUGUUCCAGUACUGGAGGUGUUAAUUAAUUAAUUAAUUAAUUAAUACUGUUUGGUUACGGUUAAUUUUCACAACUUUGUUACAAGUAUUAAGCAAGUAAUUUAACCACCUCAUUCUUAUAAAAAAUAAUAAUAAUUAACUAAAUUAAUCCCUCCCUCCCAUAAUUUUAUUUUAAUUUGAAUAUAUAUAAAUUGAAAAAAUUUAAUUAAUUGUAUAAUCAAAUUGUAAUUUUUAUUUAAUUUUUUUAAUAUCUAUUAAAAUUAAAUGAUUUAUAUCAAAUUGUACUUGAAUUAUAAAAUUAUAAUCAAAUGAAUGUGCAAUGCACAUUAAAUAAGUAUUUUUUUUAAUCCUUGGCUCUCCCACUAAAGUAUGCUAUCAGUGAUCAAAUUUGUAUUCACCGACAUUGAGCUAGCUAGGUUGAGCAUUUAAUUCCACCAAUUCAGCCAAUUCGUUUUGUUGAAUAAAUGUUCGGUUAAAGAAAAUUAAAUUUUUUAUGAUUAAUUCGUUUUUAAAUAUUGCAUUUUUAGUGAUUGAUUAAAGGUUAAUCAAAUUGAUCGACUCUCAAAAUUAAAUCAUUUUCAUUAAAUAGAUAAUUAAAUUAAAAAAUAAAAUAUUUCAGUUUUUAUUUGAUUAAGUAGUUAUAGUAAUUCCAUUUAAUUUUUAUUUCAGUUAAAGUAGAUUAAUUAUAAAUUUCAGUUAAAUUCGAUCGAUUGAUGAGUUUUCAUUUUCUUUAACUUUGACGUGAUUCAAUUCGACUAAAUCUGUCACGACCCGUUUCCAUGGACCGGACCGGCACUAGGGCCCAGGUAAGCUUAAGGCCCCCGAGGCCCGUAGUAAGCCUGAAACACUAAAAUUUACUAUUCCAAUAUAAAUUUCAAGUAUUCAGCCCAUAUUACUAAAUAAAUAAAUCUCAAGAUUUUAUUACAUCUCGGCUCAAAUUUAUCUUCUACAAAAUUCCACAGUUCGGCCCUAAUUAACAAUACAUCACAUCUUAAUAUGGGCUCACAUAAUUAUAUCGUCUAUGUUAAUACACGACUAAUUGUACACAAAUUCUACAACUGCGGAGUCACUAACUAUUUUGUAUACAUAGCUUUUUAUACAUAUAAUUACAUAGUAAAAUAAUUAUGGAACUAGGAAAACUUCUUAAUAGCCCUGUGGCGAAGAAAUAUAGCUUAAACCGUAUUAAAGAGAAACUUACUUCCUGAAAAAUUCAAACAAGACAAGUGAGUUUUCUAAGGAGUAAUAAUUAUUGCACAACACACGCAGUCACACAAAUGUGUAAACAUAUCAAUCUAGUCAUCCGACUAGUUAUAUGCUCACGCAGCCAGUCACACAAAUGGCANNNNNNNNNNNNNNNNNNNNNNNNNNNNNNNNNNNNNNNNNNNNNNNNNNNNNNNNNNNNNNNNNNNNNNNNNNNNNNNNNNNNNNNNNNNNNNNNNNNNNNNNNNNNNNNNNNNNNNNNNNNNNNNNNNNNNNNNNNNNNNNNNNNNNNNNNNNNNNNNNNNNNNNNNNNNNNNNNNNNNNNNNNNNNNNNNNNNNNNNNNNNNNNNNNNNNNNNNNNNNNNNNNNNNNNNNNNNNNNNNNNNNNNNNNNNNNNNNNNNNNNNNNNNNNNNNNNNNNNNNNNNNNNNNNNNNNNNNNNNNNNNNNNNNNNNNNNNNNNNNNNNNNNNNNNNNNNNNNNNNNNNNNNNNNNNNNNNNNNNNNNNNNNNNNNNNNNNNNNNNNNNNNNNNNNNNNNNNNNNNNNNNNNNNNNNNNNNNNNNNNNNNNNNNNNNNNNNNNNNNNNNNNNNNNNNNNNNNNNNNNNNNNNNNNNNNNNNNNNNNNNNNNNNNNNNNNNNNNNNNNNNNNNNNNNNNNNNNNNNNNNNNNNNNNNNNNNNNNNNNNNNNNNNNNNNNNNNNNNNNNNNNNNNNNNNNNNNNNNNNNNNNNNNNNNNNNNNNNNNNNNNNNNNNNNNNNNNNNNNNNNNNNNNNNNNNNNNNNNNNNNNNNNNNNNNNNNNNNNNNNNNNNNNNNNNNNNNNNNNNNNNNNNNNNNNNNNNNNNNNNNNNNNNNNNNNNNNNNNNNNNNNNNNNNNNNNNNNNNNNNNNNNNNNNNNNNNNNNNNNNNNNNNNNNNNNNNNNNNNNNNNNNNNNNNNNNNNNNNNNNNNNNNNNNNNNNNNNNNNNNNNNNNNNNNNNNNNNNNNNNNNNNNNNNNNNNNNNNNNNNNNNNNNNNNNNNNNNNNNNNNNNNNNNNNNNNNNNNNNNNNNNNNNNNNNNNNNNNNNNNNNNNNNNNNNNNNNNNNNNNNNNNNNNNNNNNNNNNNNNNNNNNNNNNNNNNNNNNNNNNNNNNNNNNNNNNNNNNNNNNNNNNNNNNNNNNNNNNNNNNNNNNNNNNNNNNNNNNNNNNNNNNNNNNNNNNNNNNNNNNNNNNNNNNNNNNNNNNNNNNNNNNNNNNNNNNNNNNNNNNNNNNNNNNNNNNNNNNNNNNNNNNNNNNNNNNNNNNNNNNNNNNNNNNNNNNNNNNNNNNNNNNNNNNNNNNNNNNNNNNNNNNNNNNNNNNNNNNNNNNNNNNNNNNNNNNNNNNNNNNNNNNNNNNNNNNNNNNNNNNNNNNNNNNNNNNNNNNNNNNNNNNNNNNNNNNNNNNNNNNNNNNNNNNNNNNNNNNNNNNNNNNNNNNNNNNNNNNNNNNNNNNNNNNNNNNNNNNNNNNNNNNNNNNNNNNNNNNNNNNNNNNNNNNNNNNNNNNNNNNNNNNNNNNNNNNNNNNNNNNNNNNNNNNNNNNNNNNNNNNNNNNNNNNNNNNNNNNNNNNNNNNNNNNNNNNNNNNNNNNNNNNNNNNNNNNNNNNNNNNNNNNNNNNNNNNNNNNNNNNNNNNNNNNNNNNNNNNNNNNNNNNNNNNNNNNNNNNNNNNNNNNNNNNNNNNNNNNNNNNNNNNNNNNNNNNNNNNNNNNNNNNNNNNNNNNNNNNNNNNNNNNNNNNNNNNNNNNNNNNNNNNNNNNNNNNNNNNNNNNNNNNNNNNNNNNNNNNNNNNNNNNNNNNNNNNNNNNNNNNNNNNNNNNNNNNNNNNNNNNNNNNNNNNNNNNNNNNNNNNNNNNNNNNNNNNNNNNNNNNNNNNNNNNNNNNNNNNNNNNNNNNNNNNNNNNNNNNNNNNNNNNNNNNNNNNNNNNNNNNNNNNNNNNNNNNNNNNNNNNNNNNNNNNNNNNNNNNNNNNNNNNNNNNNNNNNNNNNNNNNNNNNNNNNNNNNNNNNNNNNNNNNNNNNNNNNNNNNNNNNNNNNNNNNNNNNNNNNNNNNNNNNNNNNNNNNNNNNNNNNNNNNNNNNNNNNNNNNNNNNNNNNNNNNNNNNNNNNNNNNNNNNNNNNNNNNNNNNNNNNNNNNNNNNNNNNNNNNNNNNNNNNNNNNNNNNNNNNNNNNNNNNNNNNNNNNNNNNNNNNNNNNNNNNNNNNNNNNNNNNNNNNNNNNNNNNNNNNNNNNNNNNNNNNNNNNNNNNNNNNNNNNNNNNNNNNNNNNNNNNNNNNNNNNNNNNNNNNNNNNNNNNNNNNNNNNNNNNNNNNNNNNNNNNNNNNNNNNNNNNNNNNNNNNNNNNNNNNNNNNNNNNNNNNNNNNNNNNNNNNNNNNNNNNNNNNNNNNNNNNNNNNNNNNNNNNNNNNNNNNNNNNNNNNNNNNNNNNNNNNNNNNNNNNNNNNNNNNNNNNNNNNNNNNNNNNNNNNNNNNNNNNNNNNNNNNNNNNNNNNNNNNNNNNNNNNNNNNNNNNNNNNNNNNNNNNNNNNNNNNNNNNNNNNNNNNNNNNNNNNNNNNNNNNNNNNNNNNNNNNNNNNNNNNNNNNNNNNNNNNNNNNNNNNNNNNNNNNNNNNNNNNNNNNNNNNNNNNNNNNNNNNNNNNNNNNNNNNNNNNNNNNNNNNNNNNNNNNNNNNNNNNNNNNNNNNNNNNNNNNNNNNNNNNNNNNNNNNNNNNNNNNNNNNNNNNNNNNNNNNNNNNNNNNNNNNNNNNNNNNNNNNNNNNNNNNNNNNNNNNNNNNNNNNNNNNNNNNNNNNNNNNNNNNNNNNNNNNNNNNNNNNNNNNNNNNNNNNNNNNNNNNNNNNNNNNNNNNNNNNNNNNNNNNNNNNNNNNNNNNNNNNNNNNNNNNNNNNNNNNNNNNNNNNNNNNNNNNNNNNNNNNNNNNNNNNNNNNNNNNNNNNNNNNNNNNNNNNNNNNNNNNNNNNNNNNNNNNNNNNNNNNNNNNNNNNNNNNNNNNNNNNNNNNNNNNNNNNNNNNNNNNNNNNNNNNNNNNNNNNNNNNNNNNNNNNNNNNNNNNNNNNNNNNNNNNNNNNNNNNNNNNNNNNNNNNNNNNNNNNNNNNNNNNNNNNNNNNNNNNNNNNNNNNNNNNNNNNNNNNNNNNNNNNNNNNNNNNNNNNNNNNNNNNNNNNNNNNNNNNNNNNNNNNNNNNNNNNNNNNNNNNNNNNNNNNNNNNNNNNNNNNNNNNNNNNNNNNNNNNNNNNNNNNNNNNNNNNNNNNNNNNNNNNNNNNNNNNNNNNNNNNNNNNNNNNNNNNNNNNNNNNNNNNNNNNNNNNNNNNNNNNNNNNNNNNNNNNNNNNNNNNNNNNNNNNNNNNNNNNNNNNNNNNNNNNNNNNNNNNNNNNNNNNNNNNNNNNNNNNNNNNNNNNNNNNNNNNNNNNNNNNNNNNNNNNNNNNNNNNNNNNNNNNNNNNNNNNNNNNNNNNNNNNNNNNNNNNNNNNNNNNNNNNNNNNNNNNNNNNNNNNNNNNNNNNNNNNNNNNNNNNNNNNNNNNNNNNNNNNNNNNNNNNNNNNNNNNNNNNNNNNNNNNNNNNNNNNNNNNNNNNNNNNNNNNNNNNNNNNNNNNNNNNNNNNNNNNNNNNNNNNNNNNNNNNNNNNNNNNNNNNNNNNNNNNNNNNNNNNNNNNNNNNNNNNNNNNNNNNNNNNNNNNNNNNNNNNNNNNNNNNNNNNNNNNNNNNNNNNNNNNNNNNNNNNNNNNNNNNNNNNNNNNNNNNNNNNNNNNNNNNNNNNNNNNNNNNNNNNNNNNNNNNNNNNNNNNNNNNNNNNNNNNNNNNNNNNNNNNNNNNNNNNNNNNNNNNNNNNNNNNNNNNNNNNNNNNNNNNNNNNNNNNNNNNNNNNNNNNNNNNNNNNNNNNNNNNNNNNNNNNNNNNNNNNNNNNNNNNNNNNNNNNNNNNNNNNNNNNNNNNNNNNNNNNNNNNNNNNNNNNNNNNNNNNNNNNNNNNNNNNNNNNNNNNNNNNNNNNNNNNNNNNNNNNNNNNNNNNNNNNNNNNNNNNNNNNNNNNNNNNNNNNNNNNNNNNNNNNNNNNNNNNNNNNNNNNNNNNNNNNNNNNNNNNNNNNNNNNNNNNNNNNNNNNNNNNNNNNNNNNNNNNNNNNNNNNNNNNNNNNNNNNNNNNNNNNNNNNNNNNNNNNNNNNNNNNNNNNNNNNNNNNNNNNNNNNNNNNNNNNNNNNNNNNNNNNNNNNNNNNNNNNNNNNNNNNNNNNNNNNNNNNNNNNNNNNNNNNNNNNNNNNNNNNNNNNNNNNNNNNNNNNNNNNNNNNNNNNNNNNNNNNNNNNNNNNNNNNNNNNNNNNNNNNNNNNNNNNNNNNNNNNNNNNNNNNNNNNNNNNNNNNNNNNNNNNNNNNNNNNNNNNNNNNNNNNNNNNNNNNNNNNNNNNNNNNNNNNNNNNNNNNNNNNNNNNNNNNNNNNNNNNNNNNNNNNNNNNNNNNNNNNNNNNNNNNNNNNNNNNNNNNNNNNNNNNNNNNNNNNNNNNNNNNNNNNNNNNNNNNNNNNNNNNNNNNNNNNNNNNNNNNNNNNNNNNNNNNNNNNNNNNNNNNNNNNNNNNNNNNNNNNNNNNNNNNNNNNNNNNNNNNNNNNNNNNNNNNNNNNNNNNNNNNNNNNNNNNNNNNNNNNNNNNNNNNNNNNNNNNNNNNNNNNNNNNNNNNNNNNNNNNNNNNNNNNNNNNNNNNNNNNNNNNNNNNNNNNNNNNNNNNNNNNNNNNNNNNNNNNNNNNNNNNNNNNNNNNNNNNNNNNNNNNNNNNNNNNNNNNNNNNNNNNNNNNNNNNNNNNNNNNNNNNNNNNNNNNNNNNNNNNNNNNNNNNNNNNNNNNNNNNNNNNNNNNNNNNNNNNNNNNNNNNNNNNNNNNNNNNNNNNNNNNNNNNNNNNNNNNNNNNNNNNNNNNNNNNNNNNNNNNNNNNNNNNNNNNNNNNNNNNNNNNNNNNNNNNNNNNNNNNNNNNNNNNNNNNNNNNNNNNNNNNNNNNNNNNNNNNNNNNNNNNNNNNNNNNNNNNNNNNNNNNNNNNNNNNNNNNNNNNNNNNNNNNNNNNNNNNNNNNNNNNNNNNNNNNNNNNNNNNNNNNNNNNNNNNNNNNNNNNNNNNNNNNNNNNNNNNNNNNNNNNNNNNNNNNNNNNNNNNNNNNNNNNNNNNNNNNNNNNNNNNNNNNNNNNNNNNNNNNNNNNNNNNNNNNNNNNNNNNNNNNNNNNNNNNNNNNNNNNNNNNNNNNNNNNNNNNNNNNNNNNNNNNNNNNNNNNNNNNNNNNNNNNNNNNNNNNNNNNNNNNNNNNNNNNNNNNNNNNNNNNNNNNNNNNNNNNNNNNNNNNNNNNNNNNNNNNNNNNNNNNNNNNNNNNNNNNNNNNNNNNNNNNNNNNNNNNNNNNNNNNNNNNNNNNNNNNNNNNNNNNNNNNNNNNNNNNNNNNNNNNNNNNNNNNNNNNNNNNNNNNNNNNNNNNNNNNNNNNNNNNNNNNNNNNNNNNNNNNNNNNNNNNNNNNNNNNNNNNNNNNNNNNNNNNNNNNNNNNNNNNNNNNNNNNNNNNNNNNNNNNNNNNNNNNNNNNNNNNNNNNNNNNNNNNNNNNNNNNNNNNNNNNNNNNNNNNNNNNNNNNNNNNNNNNNNNNNNNNNNNNNNNNNNNNNNNNNNNNNNNNNNNNNNNNNNNNNNNNNNNNNNNNNNNNNNNNNNNNNNNNNNNNNNNNNNNNNNNNNNNNNNNNNNNNNNNNNNNNNNNNNNNNNNNNNNNNNNNNNNNNNNNNNNNNNNNNNNNNNNNNNNNNNNNNNNNNNNNNNNNNNNNNNNNNNNNNNNNNNNNNNNNNNNNNNNNNNNNNNNNNNNNNNNNNNNNNNNNNNNNNNNNNNNNNNNNNNNNNNNNNNNNNNNNNNNNNNNNNNNNNNNNNNNNNNNNNNNNNNNNNNNNNNNNNNNNNNNNNNNNNNNNNNNNNNNNNNNNNNNNNNNNNNNNNNNNNNNNNNNNNNNNNNNNNNNNNNNNNNNNNNNNNNNNNNNNNNNNNNNNNNNNNNNNNNNNNNNNNNNNNNNNNNNNNNNNNNNNNNNNNNNNNNNNNNNNNNNNNNNNNNNNNNNNNNNNNNNNNNNNNNNNNNNNNNNNNNNNNNNNNNNNNNNNNNNNNNNNNNNNNNNNNNNNNNNNNNNNNNNNNNNNNNNNNNNNNNNNNNNNNNNNNNNNNNNNNNNNNNNNNNNNNNNNNNNNNNNNNNNNNNNNNNNNNNNNNNNNNNNNNNNNNNNNNNNNNNNNNNNNNNNNNNNNNNNNNNNNNNNNNNNNNNNNNNNNNNNNNNNNNNNNNNNNNNNNNNNNNNNNNNNNNNNNNNNNNNNNNNNNNNNNNNNNNNNNNNNNNNNNNNNNNNNNNNNNNNNNNNNNNNNNNNNNNNNNNNNNNNNNNNNNNNNNNNNNNNNNNNNNNNNNNNNNNNNNNNNNNNNNNNNNNNNNNNNNNNNNNNNNNNNNNNNGGUGGAGUCGCUGCGACGUGGAGCGGCUGGAUGUGGCGCGCGGAGGAGUCCGAUUGAGCUGGAGGUGUCGCGCGGCGCUGCUACAGCUCUGUCUCGCCAAGGACGCAGAUGCAGUGAAGGGAAAAGGAAAGAAAGAAUGGAAGAAGAAGAAGAAAAAGAAAGGAGAAGAAGAAGAAGAAGAGAGGAGAGGAUGGCGGUGGCACUGGUGGUGCUACGCGGUGGUCGAAGGCGUAGGAAAAAUAUGGGUGAGGAAAGUGAGGCAUACGCUGGAAAUAGAGGAAGAAGAGAAUUCUAGAUGGUCUGGGUCAAACCGGUUCGAUUUGAUUCGGUUCGGCCCAAAUCUUUGAUUUUCAACUGGUUUACGGCUUUUUCAAUCGAUUUUCGGUUUGGUUUCUCACAAUGUUCGCACUAAAAUACUAAUAUAAAUUUCUAGGCUGUCGGUUCAUUAAAUUUAAUUGGAAAAUGUUUUGAAAAUAAAAAUUCGGGUUGUUUCAGUCAAUUAGGUUAAAUUUAAUUAAAAAAUUAGUUCAGUAAAAAAAAUUCGAGUAAUUUACUUUGAUUAAAAAUAUUACUCAAAGUGGUCGAGUGCUCACUCCUAGAAGUCGAUUACAAUCUAAUAAUAUUUUAUUGGUUAAAAGAAAAUAGUAUUUGUAGAUCAAGAAAAUAUAAUAGUGCAUAACUAAUAAUUUGUAGCACGCUAAUGGAUUAUUUGGAUGAAAGUUAUUUAGUGGAUUUUGAGAGUAAAGUAAGGUAAAAGAAGAUUAUUUAGUCAUUUGAGAGAAUGGUUUGAGGGAGAUGAUGUUUUUUUUUUUUUUUUGAAAGUUAUUUGAUGGGUUAAAAACACAUCUAAAUACUUCAAUCUUCAACCUGCUGAACUGAGUUAUAAAAAAUUUGAUUUCAAAAAUUAUUUAUAACUAUACUUAUAGAUUUUUUGUGACAAUAAUAUUUUGAUAAUCUUUAUAUUUAACGAUAUUUUUAUCUACUGUCAAACCAAACAAAAUAACGUUAUUAAAUCUUCAUUUUAACAUACAUUUUUCAUAAAUACAAAAAAGACAUUUAGUAUACUUUAUCUUACCAUACUUUACUGUACCUUAUUUUAAUUCAAAUAAAGUAUAAGAUAUAACCAUAAAAUAAAUCCAGCUUGGAAUCUCUCCCAACACGACACUUAAAAAAUAAAAACUUAUUUGUAAAAAUGAAAAAAGGCUUAUUGACACGGGCUAGACACGAACAUGUGGGCCAUGUCUGAUCUAGCCCAUGUCUUGCUAGACGGAUUCGCGCAAGUCCGGCCCAGGUCUCAUUUCCACCGACGGGUUAGCCUUAACACCCAAACGACGCCCCCUUGCUCUCGCCCGGGUCAUCCCUUCUUUCUAUAUAUUAGAGCGCCCCAAAAUCUAACUUCCUAAAAUCAAAAACACCCUUUUUUGUAUAUUAAAAGUUUAAAACCCUAUAAUUUGAAAUUUAUUAUUAUUUUUUUAAUAAAGUCUAUUAAAGUCUUUUUUUUUUUUCUCUCCAUCUCUGCUUAAUUGCUUAUAUUUCAAGCAGAGAUUAACUCUCUCGUGAAAAAUAUAUAUGCGUGUCCUUUCUCUCCCCGUCUCUCUCUACCCCUUACACUGUUUGCAAUUCAACAAUAACAUAAACCCUCACUCCCCCUCUUUCUCUCUCUCUCUCUCUAGAAAUUUCGGUUUUUUCCUUUUUCUUUCUCUCUCUUAGGGUUUGGGUCCUGUUAAGGUGCUAGGGUUUAUUAGCUGCCCUUGAGAGUGUGCUUGUGUUUGGUGAUUAAUGGCGUCUCUGGCUAUGGCCGCUGAGAAACUUAGAGAUUUAAGCCAGCCGAUUGAUGUCCCUUUACUCGAUGCAACUGUCGCGGCCUUCUAUGGCACUGGAUCUAAGGAAGAGGUGACGUUUACUUUCUCUAUUUCUCCUGUUUGGUCCAUUAGAUAGUGACGGAGACAAUGAUGUAAAAAUUCAACUUUCCAGUAUUUAGGAGGUUCUCAAUUGCUUAAGCUGUUUCUCUCCAUUUCUGUUUUGUUUGUUAAUUCGUUGUCUUCUGUCUCCUCGUGCUGUUUGGUUCUUCAUACAGUGAUGGAAAAUUAUGUAGUGGUAGGCUUUUCAGUCUUAGGGUUUUUGAAACUUAUGCACCUUGGAACUUUUUGGUCGUCGUCAUAGUGCGUGGAGAAGGAAAAUCCUUGAAUUGUUUUAGUGUGUAAGGCUCUUGAAACGUUUAACGAAGGCUUUAAUUUUUUUCCCCAUUCCAUUUGUUUGGUUCCCAAGUGCGAGGAAUGCCCAAGGGGCUCAAUCAUACUGUCCGGAAGAAACUUUUGCUCAUAGAUUGAGAACAUUAUUGAGCAUUUUUUGAAAUUCCUGUCAAUCUAAACUUCCCUGGGUUAUUGUGAUCUCGGACCUUCACUAUCUUGGUUUCUGACAUGGUAUCUUGCCUUUUUGUUUAUUGUGAUGCAGUGCCUUGCUGAAUCAGAGAUUCUGGCUCUGCUUAUCAAACUAAAAUCUUAAUGCCGAGUUCUUUCUUAAAAUUUUUAGUCCCAGUUAUACUUCUGCUUUGCAUUUGCUCUUUUUCAAUGCCUAUCUGCAAAUUAUUAUUACUUACUGAAAGUGGCACCUCGUUAAAUUGCAAGUUUAGCUCGUGGCAUUUGUAUGCGGCUAAUUUUGUUCCUGUUCUCUUAUCUUGUACCUUCAUUUGUUUACAGAGGGCUGCUGCAGACAGGAUAUUACAGGAGUUGCAAAGCAAUCCGGAUAUGUGGCUCCAAGUUGUGCAUAUUUUACAAAAUACAAAGAACCUAAACACCAAAUUCUUUGCCUUGCAGGUCGGUUGCAGUGUCAUGUUGCGUUCUUAAAUGAUAUUUGAAUAAAAAGAUUUCUCUCAUAAUUGACAUCGCAAUACUAAUAAACAAUGUUGGAGCUGGUUGUGAGAUCUCUAUUGAAAAACCUGACUCUUGAUUUGCUGUUGCUGAUAAUUAAUUACAACUUGGGUACUUACUGAGUUAAGCUUAGCUUAGUUAACUUACAAAAGCUCUAAGCUAUACUACUGUUAAAACCUUAGAAUGCAUGGCGCAGGUAAUCAAGAACCUAUAGUGAAGAGGUCGAAAUUAUUAAUUUCUUCUAAUUACUGUGACAAUAUUAUCUUUUGGUAACUUUGUGCUUGAUAUGAUUCACGUUUGCACCAGAAGCAAACAAUGUAGUAGAUAGCUUCUAUGGUGUUUAAAUUAAUUUUCAAGCCCAAUCGAGUAUCUGUAAUUUUAGUGGCAUUGAACUGCAUUGAAUUUUUUUUUUUUUUUUUGAUUAGUUUGUUGUGUAUGAAAAAUUUAUUUUAGGAUUUGUAGCCAUUUGAAUGCAGCUGAAAGUCUGGAUUUGGAGCAUGGAUAUAUAUUGCAUUGCACCCUCAGAUAUGAAAUGACUUCAACUAGGCCCUGGAUGGUCUUGCUUUUCCUUUGGCAUAUGGCCAUUGAAGUAUGUCUAGAUGGGACUUACUAGUCUUAUAAGGUAUCAGAGCCGUUAUAGGGGUUUUAAAGUCCUUGCAUCACCCUGCCAGAUGCUGGAUGGACUUUGCAGAGCCAAGAUGGAGUUGAUAUUCUGUGAUAGGAGCCUGUAUUGCCCAUGCAAGGACCACAUUAUAGAUGCAUGUCAAGCUAACAUAUGUUUAUUACUCAAACAUGUUUUCUAACUAGAGGCUUUUUUAAAGAAGGAACUUUCUUGAUUGUAUUAAAUGAAGAAACACAAGUGUAUAGGCAUGUGAUAAGUUUGAGGCCUGUGAGGCCCAUAUCAUGGAUGUUGUCCAGUAUAUCUGGUUAAUGCUCAAGCCAAUAGGGAGGGUCAAUAUAUGGUUUUAAUGAGGUCACAUUUUUGGCUCAGAAGCUUUUUGUGGAUACUGCACAUUGUAAAUUAUGUAUAAUCUAAAAUGGGCUAUUGUGGUUUAGAUUCUUUUAUAAUUUUUUACUCUUAUCUUGGAGAAUAAUCUUUUCAUUUAAUUGUUGUCACUUUUCAUUGGAGUCUCUUUUAAAAUAAUAAAUUUACUAUUGGUGCUCAUAUAUAUGGCUGAUUAAUGCUUAGUGCAUUGGACAAUUAAUGAAUGAGGUACUAAUUUUGUGGCAGGUCCUUGAAGGUGUUAUAAAGUAUAGAUGGAAUGCAUUGCCUGUUGAGCAACGAGAUGGAAUGAAAAACUACAUUUCUGAAGUCAUUGUGCAGGUAUUUACUUGAAAGAGCAAAUAUUUUGAUUUGAAAGGAGUUAGAACAUUUUUCCUUGUUUCUUAAAUUCAUCUUGUGUGCUGUUAUUGACACUUCUUCUCUCAUGUACACUCGAUUGUGUAGCUUUCCAGUAAUGAGGCUUCUUUUCGAUUGGAAAGGCUGUAUGUCAACAAGCUCAACAUAAUCUUAGUUCAGGUACAUCUGGUCUGCUUGCCAACAUAGAAUUUAUUGGCAAACUGAUGUUUAUUGCCUUUGGGAUUUCUACUUCAUUGUAUAUGCAAUAUGUUUAUGCCAAUGGAAGAUGCAACUGACGUGAUUAACUUUCUAUUUCCAAUAUGUGUGUGAAUUAUUCCUUUUCUUUCAUAAAUUUGUUCUUCAUCUGUACUUUUCUAUGGAACUGCAGUAUGUAUGUUUUGUGCAAAUCAAUGGCUCAGUUUUUCAGUUUAUUUUUAUAUUUCAUACCUGAAAUACAUUGUUAACCGUUGACCAUAUUAUAGUGAGAGUUAUUUGUUCUCGAGUUUUACAGAUACUGAAGCAUGAGUGGCCAGCUAGAUGGAGAAGCUUUAUUCCUGAUCUUGUUACUGCUGCAAAAACCAGUGAAACUAUAUGCGAGAAUUGCAUGGCUAUAUUGAAAGUAAGUGUGCUUAUCAUGUUUCUGAACAAGCUUGGUUGUGUCAUACCUGAGUAACACAAGCUGUCAUAUGUCAGCUUCUAAGCGAAGAAGUUUUUGAUUUUUCGCGUGGGGAAAUGACUCAACUGAAGAUCAAAGAGCUUAAACAAUCACUUAACAGGUAAAUUUAUGGGCUGUUGUUUCUUUAGCUUUUUGGAUAGGUCUGUUCUCCUUUUGAAAAGUAAAUUAUGACCUGGGCUUCUGGCUUUAUAUGACAGUCAGAUGUGGAUAGGAUACUUUAAAUUACUAUCAUUAAAUUUCGUACUGCAUGCAAAUAAGUGGAAUUUGUUGUCUACUGUUUCUAGUUUAAGUUGCUCCAUUGUGACUGGUUGUGCUGAUUGAGAAAUAUUAAGUUCCAUGUCGAGGGUGAUCCCUCUUGUACCAAUCUGGGAUUUCUUCUUGUGACCAAACAAAAUUUUCUUUGCUAUUUACAGACUUUUUAAUAUUUUAUUAUUAUUAUUUUUUUAAUUAACUUGGUUUCAUCUUUGAGUCCAACAAGCUGUUCAGUGUUCUUUGUUUCUUUAUUUUUUUUAAUCAUUUCAAGCCCUUCCUUUUCUGUUAUGAACAACUUCUCCUUUAAUUUUAUAUUUUAUGUUUGUUUAUUCUAUUAUACUAAGUAUUGUGUUUGGGUGUCAACAGUGAAUUUCAACUCAUCCAUGAGUUAUGCUUAUAUGUACUAUCAGCAUCCCAAAGAACUGAGCUUAUUCGGGCAACACUGUCCACCUUGCAUGCAUUUCUUUCCUGGAUUCCAUUGGGCUAUAUUUUUGAAUCCCCCCUGGUAUGUCAACUAUUAAUAUCAAUUGUUGGGCUAGAAGGAAGACUUCAGCCGUCCUUAAUACUUGCUUUUAUCAUUGAAGAUGACUGUCCUGAUAUCAUCUCUGACAUUUCAUAUAGCUGGAAACACUCCUGAAGUUUUUUCCUAUGCCAUCAUAUCGAAAUCUCACCCUUCAGUGUUUGACAGAGGUACAUCUUACCAUUAUGGAAGAUAUAACAUAGUUUCUUCUCUGAUGAGUUGUCAGGUAUUAAUUGUUCUCAUAUCUGAUAUUCGCAGGUUGCAGCUCUAAGUUUUGGAGACUUCUAUAAUCUGCAGUAUGUCAAGAUGUAUAAUUUCUUCAUGGUCCAAUUACAGGUGUGCUGGGCAUUUUAUUCCAAAAACGGGAAUCCUCCUUUCUACAUUUGAUUAUGGAUUAUCUAGUACCAAGAGAUAUAUGGCAUUGUUGUGCUGAUUAAAUUCUGGUGAAAUUUUUCAGGCCAUUCUCCCUCCAACAACAAACAUUCCUGAGGCAUACGCACAUGGAUCUGGUGAGGAACAGGUCAGUGUUUCCAAUUUGUACCAUUUAGUUCCAAUCUCUUUAAGACUGGCAACACAAUUCUGAUUUCAACUCUCCUCUUUUGCUUCUUCAGGCAUUUAUUCAGAACUUGGCGUUGUUUUUCACUUCAUUUUACAAGGUAAGUUACUUUCCCAAGUCGAGUUGAGAUGCCUUUUUAGAUACUGAAAGGCUCAGGCAGGGGGAUGCCACUGUAGUAUAUUGAAAUUUUGUGUAAAUUGGCAGUUAUUAUCUUUCAUUAUUGAUUAGUUUUAACUUCCAGUUUGAUAAUAAUUGUUACUCAGUGUCUGGCAUUCACCAAUUACAUAACAAGUCUUUUAAAAUAUACUAUGGGAUUUAAUAUACGGUUGUAAUUUAAGGCACCUCUUGAGACAACAUGACAUGCUGUGUCAAGGUGCUGCAGCUUGAACUGUGACAGUUUGGCAGGCUGUUGGGUGCAAGUCUCUGUGGUCUUUUCCUGGAGCAGAAAAAUGAAAAAUAUCCCUGUAUUAUCCAUGAUGCGAUGCAUAGAUGUGUAUUUAUGGAUGCUCUCAGGUCAUACCUUCUUGUUGCUCAUUGCUUGGAACAAACUGGGCUUGCUCUUCAUUAAUUCACUAAAUUUUUGCUUCUGCUAGGAUAUGCUUGUGGGUCCAUUUAUGGGAUCUUGUUCCUUGCAUCUUAUGGGAAAGUUCUAUACUUUUCUCUGUGCCUUCAAUUUAGUGUCUACCUAAGCCUCUAUUUUACCAUGUUGAGACGGUAUGGCAGAGAACAGUGCGCAUGUUUAUAGGUGUGCCUGCCAAUGAUCCUGGGAUGCUACAUCUUGUUAUUUUAUGAGUUUAAACCAUGGAAAUUGAAAUUUGUAAAUUGUGAUUCGCAAGAUGCUCUUGUGCCUUGCACCUUGCCCUCUUUGGUAUGGGCACAUGAAUUAUGGCUCUUAGGAAUUUGAACAGGCAUUUCUGAUGACUUGCUUACUUUUGCAGGCUCAUAUUCGGGUUUUGGAAACUACACCAGAGAACAUAUCUGCGUUACUGAUGGGUCUUGAAUAUUUAAUUAAUAUCUCAUAUGUUGAUGACACAGAGGUUUUUAAGGUAUAAUGUUCUGUCCUAACUAACAACCCCUCUCCUUUUUCCUUCUUAUUGACUCUCUCUGAAAUCAGAUUUACAUCAUUAUGUUGCGAUUCUUAUUGCUGCAUAAAAUUAUUUACAGGUUUGCUUGGACUACUGGAACUCCUUGGUUUUGGAGCUGUUUGAGGCACAUCAUAAUUUGGAUAAUCCUGCAGUAACUGCAAACAUGAUGGGACUGCAGGUAUGGCAUUUUCAUUAUUGUCAUGUAAUGAUUUGACAACAAUUAUUAAAGGGACGCCUAACUUAGGGCUCAAGGGCUUGUGACUCAAAUGCCCAGGUGGGUGGCCUCACUGAGGUCCUUGCCUCUGGACAUAGUUUGCGGCCUUUUGCGCCUUUCCUUUUUUUUUUUUUUUCCUGAACAGUCACCUAGGUUUUCCUUUCAAUAUAGUGUGUCCAGCUAGCAGCUGUUUACAUAAAAAAAAAAAAAAAUAAAUAAAAGAAACAGAACGCAACAUAAGCCAGUGUUGUGCUAUGCAAUCCAGCCUCCAGUCAUCCAGAUAUGUCUCUCUCUCAAUUUUUCCUGCGGGUGGAGCAAUAUCUUAUAUAUCAUAGCUGAAACUGUCCUUUAUCUUUGUUAGUGGUCCUCCUACAGAUUCUUGGCCAAACUUCAUUGGAUUUCCAUUAACUAAAUUGUUUCCCAAAUUAACCUAUAUGCAUGCUUUUCUUACAUAUAAAUGAGAAGUGCAUGUUGUAGGUUUUGAAUUUCUGAUUCUUUGUUUUGGAGUACAUGCCUGCUAUUUAUUGAAGUUACUUACCUCAGGCUGUGUCUAUCUAUUGAAUCAGAUGCCUUUGCUCCACGGUAUGGUAGAUGGCAUAGGUUCACAAAUAUUGCAGCGGAGGCAACUUUAUGCUAAUCCAAUGUCAAAGUUGAGAUUGCUUAUGAUUUGUCGUAUGGCUAAGCCCGAAGAGGUUCUGAUAGUUGAAGAUGAAAAUGGCAAUAUUGUUCGGGAAACCAUGAAGGACAAUGAUGUCCUUGUUCAAUAUAAGGUGAGAAAUCUUUAUCUCUUGUGCAAAUAUAAUCUAUGAUUCUGUCUCAAUUAUCAAGUGACGGGGUGUAUAUAUCAUGAUUGUUGAUUUUCAAGCAGUGAAAAUCAAUUUCUCAAUUUUGACAUGUAUAUUUAUUCAUGGGUAUUUAAAUAUAUGAAGUUGAUAUUAAAAAUUUUGCAAUUGAUUGUUAGUUAUAUUAUUACUUCCACAAUGUCUGGGGCAAGACUAAUAAAAUCUGUUUCAGUCCCUAGAGGUCAAAUUCAAACUGUCGCCCAAGAAUAAUUUUGUAUUUUCUUUUCAAAAGUUAACAUCUAGAAAUCAAAAGGUUCUUUUGAUUUUAUUAUUGAGUUUUCUAUUUUUUUUCCUUUUUCUGGGUCUCUUAACUAAAGUUACUGGUUGCUAUGGCUGAUCAACAUUUAUUAUGCAGAUCAUGAGGGAAACUUUGAUCUACUUGUCCCAUCUUGAUCACGAGGACACUGAAAAGCAGGUAUGCUUUUUGGCACACUUGGAGAUGAUUUCUGUGAAGCAGCAUAAAAGUUGUCUUUUAUGGCUUUCUUUAGUUCAUAUAUGUGAACACCAAUAUUUUAAGGAACCUUUUUCCUUAUUAUUGUUAUUAUUAUCAUUAAUUGUAACUGAUGAACACAGAUCUAUUCUUGUUUUUACCCUCUUUUCUUAUUUAUGCAAGGUCAAUGUUUAAUAUUAAUUUUGUUGCUUAAGCAUUUAAUUGCGGGAGCUGCUCGGAUCAUGUAGUCAUUAUCAGACAAGUUGAAAUUAAAUGUUUGAGUAUCAUAGAGAAUAGUUAUAUUGUAAUAUUUAUUCAUUUGCUCUUCAAUCUUUAAUAAGGUUGACGAGUUGUUUUUCUGUCAUGCAUACUAUGUACAGGUAAUUAUUAUGCACAGAAAAGAAAGAUAGUUUAACUGAAUGUACUGGUGCUAACUUUACCUUGAACUGCAUGAGGAUUGAAAAUUGGCUUUUCAGUAGUUUUGUCUAACAUCUUAAAGUGGUCCUUUCUGCUUCCCCUCUUGUACAUCACAGAUGCUGAAGAAAUUAAGCAAACAGCUAAGUGGGGAGGAUUGGAGUUGGAACAAUCUGAACACUCUUUGCUGGGCAAUUGGAUCUAUCUCAGGUUCCAUGAUGGAAGAGCAGGUAUCUGGUCUAUGUUUUCUAAUUCUCCUUUUUGGUAAUGUUGCAAUAACAUUUUUGACUUGAUAGUCUGUGUUUUAUUGACCUCCUGUCUUGUGUAAUCCUUUAAGUGAUAUAUUCUGUUUGCAUUUUGACAUUCCAUUAACUGUCUAUGGAGUGCUUAUUGCCUUGAUUGUUUCCAAUUUGUAUGAAGCAAGUCUUGAUGUGUCUCUGAUCUUGGCUUCUUUGCAGGAGAACAGAUUUCUGGUGAUGGUGAUUCGUGAUUUAUUGAAUUUGUGUGAAAUCACAAAGGGAAAAGAUAACAAAGCUGUUAUUGCUAGUAACAUCAUGUAAGAAUUAAUAUUGUGAUGAUGUUUGGUAGUGUUUACCAUUGGGCACACUGAUACAUGUAUUUUAAUUGGAAUUUGUUAAGUAACCUGAUUGGGUAAGUUGGCUUAUCUUGAUUUUUUUUUUCUUUUGAUUUGCAGGUAUGUUGUUGGGCAGUAUCCACGAUUUCUUAGAGCCCAUUGGAAGUUUUUGAAAACUGUUGUCAAUAAGUUGUUUGAGUUCAUGCAUGAAACACAUCCUGGAGUUCAGGUUGUUUUUGUGUCUGUGGUCCUUUGCAAUGCUGUAUUGACAUGCUGCAUAUUGGAGAAAUUUAUUAUCUUGCAUGACACUUGGUCUCUAUUAAUUGAAUAGCCUGUAAUCAUUGAUUAUGACGUUUGUUAAUGUCUUCUAGGAUAUGGCCUGUGACACAUUCUUGAAAAUCGUUCAGAAAUGCAAGCGGAAAUUUGUUAUUGUACAGGUAACUUCUAUUUCUUGUGUUGCAAUUGUUUCUAUUUUGCUAGAAUUGCACUUCAAUUCUCUUCAUUGGAUCUAUUGCAUCAAAGAAGAUAAUUGGGAAUCUGCUUAUCUUGCUCACAGGUUGGAGAAAGCGAACCAUUUGUGUCUGAACUUCUGACGGGUCUUCCAACUACUGUUGCUGAUCUCGAGCCUCACCAGAUACAUACGUUCUAUGAAUCUGUAUGUUGGGUGUCUUGAUGGUGAAAUUGUGCACCCUAUAAAUUUGUGUUAUUAUAAAUUCCUAAUGUUUGCUUUUGCUUUUCUAAUUCAGGUAGGGCAUAUGAUUCAAGCAGAAUCUGAUCCACAGAAGCGAGAUGAAUACUUGCAGAGGUUGAUGGAUCUCCCAAACCAGGUCUGUUUCAUUAUGAACUGCCAACCCCUUCUANNNNNNNNNNNNNNNNNNNNNNNNNNNNNNNNNNNNNNNCCCCAAAAAAAAAAAAAAAAAAAAAACCCUCCUUCUCUCAUUCCAUGUGCUUCUAAAUUUUGAAGAUUUGAUAAAUAAGGUGGAAAUUGAGGAGGCAUUUGAUAGCCAAUUCUUAUAAAAUGAUAUGCAAUUAUUGUUUUAAACUGUCUGCUCUUUGUGAAAAGAUACCAUGGAUUCUGAUUUUGUUUGAUAUCAUUUUCACCCCUUCUUGUCAACCUUUUUCAAUUUUUCGAAGUUCUUUGCUGGUAGUGUUGGCUGCUGAUGAUAUCUAACUCCCUCUACAGAAAUGGGCUGAAAUUAUAGGGCAAGCACGGCAAAGUGUUGAUUUUCUAAAAGAUCAAGAAGUGAUUCGGACUGUUCUCAAUAUACUGCAGGUGUUGAUCUUAUUCAAUUUUGGCUUCCUAUGAUCUAUCAAGGCAUUUGUUGAAAGAGAUUUGCUUUUGAUUGCUCUUUUGAUUGAUCUGGCAUUAAGGCUUUGUUUGGGGGGGUUGAAAAUGGGAGUAUCGGAAGUGGGAGGGAAAUGUAUUUUGUCAAUAAAAGUUGACUAUAUACAUUGAGAAAAUGAAUCUAUCCUGUCAUAAACAUCGACUGUUUUCUUUCAUUCCAAUUUAUAGUCUCCCAAACCAAAGACUAAAUGCAUCACAACAGGGCUUGAUGCCUUAUAUUCGGUAUUUCUUUGUCAUGAUUUGUCGGUUUACUCUGUGUCCUUUUAUUUGUGCAAAAUUUCAGUGAGGGUUAAAUCCUCUAUUUUGAUUCAUGAUGAUAUAGCAGUGAAACUAAAUUCUGCUUAGUGUAAUUGCUCUGUAAUAAUCAUACAAUUUAUUCAAGCUAUUCUUUCUUUGCAGACGAAUACAAGUGUUGCUACUUCUCUGGGAACUUACUUCUUGUCCCAAAUCUCGCUAAUUUUUUUGGAUAUGCUUAAUGUGUAUAGGUAUGUUAACGGAUUUUAUUAUUUAUUCAGUUGCUUUGAACUUUUCAUACUGGAAAAUUUUAUUGGUUUAUUGAUAGCUAAUACACGUUGGUCACGAAUUCGAUUUUUUGGCAGAAUGUAUAGUGAGCUUAUAUCAAGUAGCAUUGCAGAAGGAGGUCCUUAUGCAUCUAAAACAUCCUAUGUGAAACUUCUAAGGUCAGUUAGUCAUUUGAAUUUAUAUGUCUAGUGAACCCACAAACCUUUUUACAAUUUAGUGCGUUUUGUGGAACAGAUCUGUUAAGAGAGAGACGCUUAAGCUGAUUGAGACAUUUUUGGACAAGGCUGAAGACCAACCACAGAUUGGGAAGCAAUUUGUUCCCCCAAUGAUGGAUCCUGUUCUUGGUGACUACGCUAGGAAUUUGCCUGAUGCUAGAGAAUCAGAAGUUCUUUCACUUUUUGCAACAAUUAUAAACAAGUAUGCUAUCCUUUUUAAUAUAUGUAUAUAUCCUGUUACAUUUUUCUUCCCCCUUUCAGUGUGUACCUCUUUUUUUAGUUAGAACAGUGGAUUUUUUUUCCUGAAUUGUUGUUAAAGUCGAUAUUUGAACCUGUAACCUCUAAAGUAGACCUUGAGGGGCUUAAUUUUCUGUAGAAUCCCCUUUAAUUGCCUGUUGAGCUCAAACAGUCUUCAUAGAAUGAAAUUUGAAGAUGCAAUACAUUGCUAGAUAAAAUUUGGGAUAUCUUGUUGCUCAUUGGUGAGCGUUGGUAAACUUUGGGAUACUUGUAUUGUUCAAUAGUACCUUUUUCAUUCUGCUGUAUUUGCAUGAUCAUUUACGGUUGAGAUUGAAAGGGGAACUAGUUUCUUUCACUAUUAUGUUGGUUUGUUGCUUCAUAGCGGUGCUUCCAUUUUUUUUUGUUUUUUUUUUCAAAGGGGUGUUUUCAUUUUUUUUUUUUUUUUUAAGAGGACAAAAUUCUCUUUUUUUUUUUUUUUUAAGAGGACAAAAUUCUCUUUUUUUUUUUUUUUUAAGAGGACAAAAUUCUCUUUUUUUUUUUUUUUUAAGAGGACAAAAUUCUCUUUUUUUUUUUUUUUUAGAAGUCCAAAUGUCCUUUUUUUUUUUUAUUUCCUAGUUUUCCUUUUUCCUCUUCAGGUAUAAAGCUGCAAUGAUAGAUGAUGUGCCUCGUAUAUUUGAAGCAGUGUUCCAGUGUACCCUUGAGGUGAGGAUAUUCGCUUAUAAGCUAUAAUUUUUUUGUUGCACACUUAUGUAGACAAACCUUUAUUGUGCUUUGUUAGUCCUGUAUUGAAAUUUUUAUAUUGACCUUGAUAUUGCAACUAAUGUUUAAGUGUAUCUACUGCAUCAAUUUUUAUGUAAAUAAGUGGUAAGAUGGUCCAACUGGUCGGAAAUAAGAAGUGCCGUUUAGAAUAGUGGCUGAAGCUUUUAUUGUUUGAAAAAAAGCACUAAAUGAAUAAAACAAUCUGGAAUAUGAAUGCUCUUCUUGAGGAUAUAGGCUUAUAAGCUGCAAGUUUUUUGUUGCACACCUGUGUUAUGCUUUUGAUGUGCUUUGUUAGUCCUGCUAUGAAAUUCUUUAUUCACCCUGAUAUUGCAACUAAUGUUCGAGACUAUCUACUAUAUUGGUUUUUAUGUAAGUGGUGAAAUGGUCCAAAUGGUCAGAAGUAAUAAUAAGUCUGGUUAGAAUAAUGGCUUAAACUUGUUUGUAUUGUUUGCACAAAUGUUGUACUGAUCUUGAAUAUGGAUGCUUCAUCUUGAAUACCAGUUUGUAAGGCCAAGAAAUGAUGUAUUUAUACAUUAUUUAGAUCUUGCCUGGGAGCUGAUUUUAUACUAUUGAUGAUCUUUGUCUUAUGCAUUUAAUAUAUAUCAAGGCUUUGCACAUCUUUUUUGAAAAUUAAUUGUUUCAGAAAUUUGCACAAUCAUAUUAUGGACGGCUAUAGUGGUUGCUUUAGGGGUCUCAUGUUGAUUUACAAAUUAGAUGCUAGAUUAGAUCCACUUGAUAUUUGGUGCAUAAUCUUGCCUGGGAGCUGAUCUUUAGGUUAUUCAUGAUGUGUUCCUCUCUUUCCAAGUCUUGGUGAUUACUCGGAAUUUUUUGUAUCUUUUCGUUCAAAUUUAGCGAAGCGUUUCUUAUUUAAUUUUACUUGGGGGAAAGGGGUAUGGAUGGUUAAUUUUAUUUAAAGGAUGUACUGUGUUCUCCAAGUCCUGAUGUCUUAUGAGAGAACUUUCAUUGUUGCUUGUGCACUGGUUAAUUGAAAAUGCGAAAUUAUUUAGGGCGAAUAUCAAAUUCAACAUGAGCAGAUGUAACCUAAGUUGAAAUGUCUCUACUUUCUGUACACCUUGUUUUGCUGACGCCUCUGGUUAUUGCACGAUAAAUUUCUUGAACUUCAUGUAUACUUUCCUUGGCUGAUUUUCUGGUUAAUGCACAACGCAGAUGAUAACCAAAAAUUUUGAAGAUUACCCAGAGCAUCGAUUGAAGUUCUUUUCAUUGCUUAGAGCCAUUGCAACCCAUUGUUUUCCUGCUUUAAUUCGGUUGUCAAGUCAGGUUUGUAUUUGAAUUUAUUUCAUUCAAUAUAUAUUGGUUUUAUACAAACACACCAUUUUUUAAAUUCACUUAUUCAUUAUAUUGAAUCUGGCCCCUAUUUAACUCUUGAAGAAAGGUGCAGCUUACUUUCUGUAUCCUGCAUCUUGUCAUAAUUUUCUGGUAGUGUUAUAUGGCAUUUUUUUUACGAGUAUAUAUUGAUAUAAUUUGUUGGAUUUAGUUGUACAUUCUUGUUAUAAUGAACACUUCUUCCUGCUCCUGGUGUUACACUUUUAUCUUUGUUAUAACUAUUGUUGAUGUAUUUAAUAUUCUUUUCGUUUGCUCUUCUCUGCAUCAGCAACUAAAGCUUGUAAUGGAUUCAAUCAUAUGGGCGUUCAGGCAUACAGAAAGAAACAUCGCUGAAACAGGGCUGAAUCUUCUUUUGGAGAUGCUGAAGAACUUUCAGGCAUGUAUUUUGCUUUAUCCUUCAGUUUCUUUCCUACUCGUCAAAGUCAUUUCAUUUAUGUGCUAACUUCUUUGUAUAAUUUAACAGGCUUCGGAGUUCUGUAAUCAGUUCUACCGGACGUACUUUACGACUAUUGAGCAGGAAAUAUUUGCAGUCUUGACGGACACAUUUCACAAACCUGGCUUCAAGUUGCAUGUCUUGGUGUUACAACACUUGUUUUGUCUGGUUUGUGCCUUGCUGUCUUUUGUCUUUGAUUAGCGUGAGGCAAGAGCUGUUGUAAUUUGUAUAUGCAAUUUCAGGUUGAGAGUGGUGCUUUGACAGAGCCUUUAUGGGAUGCUACAGCAGUUCCUUAUCCAUAUCACAGUAAUGCCAUGUUUGUUCGCGAAUUCACUAUUAAACUUUUGAGUGCAUCUUUCCCUAACAUGACCGCAUCAGAGGUGAAAAUAAAAAGACGUUUCAUUUCCAUUGCUUUGUUUCUGCCACUGCUGUUCAUUGGAUGUGGCUAAUUUGAUCAUUUUUCAGGUCGCGCAAUUUGUUAAUGGACUCUUUGAGUCAAGAAAUGACCUCUCUAUAUUUAAGAAUCACAUUCGUGAUUUCCUUGUGCAAUCGAAGGAGUUUUCGGCUCAGGUAACACUUUGUGCCAAUUAUUGCAUGCUUGGGAAAAAAAAAAAAACGUGAAGACAAAAUGAAUAUGGAUGGCAAAAAUGUUACUGAACGCUGUGCAAAUGGAAAGGUUAUUAACACCUAUGUAAUGCUUGGGUUUUCUUUGCAGGACAAUAAAGAUCUAUAUGCCGAAGAAGCUGCUGCUCAGAGAGAAAGAGAGAGACAAAGAAUGCUUUCUAUUCCAGGGCUUAUUGCUCCUAAUGAGAUCCAGGAUGAGAUGUUGGACUCGUAGAUAUAGAAAUCAAUUUUUGCGGUGGAAGCUAACUUCAUGAGUUUUAAACCAGGAGUUGCUGUUGCCUAGAAGUUGAUGGAUUUCAACAGGUGCAGCAGUCUUUUCCUCCAUUGUCUGAAAUUUUUAUUUGGUAGAUGACAGAGGUGCCUUGGCAUGAAGGUUUGACUGCUGCAAAGUAGUGGAUGUAUAUCCAUUGGCUGGGUGUAGAUUAUUUAGGUGCUAAUGUAGGAAUAUAUUUGGAGUCAUUGUGCGGUUUCUGGGAUCCUGCUUGGCCCUUUGUAUUCAUCGUGAUGAUGGUAGGGAUCAAACUGUUUAGAUGACUCGUUUUGGAUUGUUGAUUCAUUCAUCAUAGGUGUAAUGCAUACUAACGCUGUCGGGUUGUGCAGAUAGUUCAAUUUUCUUUCACAAUGCCGUGUUCUAAUGUUUGGUUAGGGGCUCUUUUGAUUUUCGCCCUCCGUGAAAAUGUACCUAUGUGUUUUAAUAUAUAUUAUUCUUUACGUCCCUUGUUUUACUCAUUUAUCUUUUCUUUUCCACCUCGAGAAUCCUUAGCAGGAAUAUAUUUGUUUGUUGGCAAAAGUGUUUGUUCGUUAAUCAUGGGGGUUAUGAAAGUCAUUGUACUUGUAUGGAAAUGGGUAUGCUGCAAGCAUUUGAUCGUAGACCGGAAAUGAGAAUUUUUCUUGAGUUGAGACUAAAUUGCAAGCAGUACAAGAUCAACACUACCUUUUUACAGUUCACAAGCGGGGAUAGUUCUCUUGACGUAGGUAAAAGAUUUAUUAACCCCAAGAUUGGAAGCCUUAUAGUACUAGCCUACUAAUGGUUGAAAUUUUCCACGACGAGUUACUAAUUCUGCCAAUGCAGUGAAAUUCUUGAAAGAGCUCCCAUUUGGUCCGGUUGCACUUUUCGCGAGUUCUUUAAGUGCUUUAACAUUUUCCCUCAUUUUCUUUCCUUUUUCAUGCGAGAAAAUCUUGUUUAAACAUUCAAUUACUCCAGUUUUUGAGAGAAUUCCACUCUCAACUUUGACACCAAUUUCCCAAACAUCUUCAACCAUCCUUCCAUUUAACAUUUGAUCACCAAAAAAAGGCCUACAAAUCAUAGGCACCCCUCCUACUAUACUUUCCAUCACUGAAUUCCAACCACAAUGUGUAAUAAAAACCCCAAUUGCACUAUUUGCUAACACCUCCAUUUGUGGAGUCCAUGCCACCACAAUUCCAUUUAAUUUUGUUCUUUCCAGAAACCCAUUUGGCAAAUUAACCUUUAAAUGCUCCUUAAGUGACCAUAUGAAAUGUAUCUUACUUGACUCUAAUGCUUCAGCUAGUGCAACUAAUUCAUGUGGAGGCGGUGUUGCCACUGAGCCAAAACUGAUAUAGGCCACUGAUUCAGGUCUUUGCUUCUGAAGCCAAUCCAGGCAGCCAUACGAGUCUGGUGUUGGUUUUGGCGGUGAAAUCAAAUUGAAGGGUCCAAUACUGAGGAAUUUGUUGAAUUUGGAAUUCAGGUCACUUGUUAUUACAGGCUCUAGCUCUUCAAAUGAAUUUAAGAAGACUGUAUCUGCUUUGACUAACGUGAUUCCCAUCUUGUGUGACAUUUGGGAGAAGACUGAUUCUAAAUUUCCAAAGGUUAUUCCUUCUGGUAAAUCUCUAAUUUGAACUUUAGACAUUCCUGGAAUUAAAUUGAGGGUUUCAUUUUCCCCCGCUUUACCUGUAAUUUGCACAAGUAGAAAAAAAUGUCAUUAUUCUGUUUGUCAUUUUCUCAAUUAUAAUUAAAUAUCAAGUGCUGAGAAUUUACCUUCAACUCCAAAAGUCUCUCUUAUGGAAUCAGUAUAAAAAUGAACAGAGAUUGAUACAGGCGAACUUGUCCAAAACGCCAUCCAAGCCACCUUCAUCUCCUCCGCCAUCUCCGCCCCGAACCAAAAGAAUGCAUCAGUAACCAAACACGUGACUUCCUUUCCUGUCUCUGCCACCGCUUUCAUGAUUCCUUUCUUGAAGCUUUCAGGAGCUGCUUUCAUGAAUAGCUCUAUAUCCUCCUGUGGUUUCCCUAGAAAUUGGUAGCCGUCAGGGACGCCAUCCCACACGUCAUAGACUUUAAUGCUCGGUUCCAGAAUAUUAUUACUGUUGGUGGAGAAGAUGGAUUUGUUGGAUUUUGAGAUGUUGAGGAAGGAGAAGAGUGUGUUUGGAGAUAAAAUGGCUAGCUGGUUGGUGAUGGAGAAGAGUGGAGCUGCGUGAGUGCCGAAAGGGAAGGCUAGCACCACAACAUGGCGGCCAGCGGCGGUGCCGGUGUCGGUUUCUGGCAUGGUUAAGCUAAAGUUAUGGAAGUGGAAAUGAAGCUGAAGAUCUGUAAGUUUAGCUUAGUUAUAUGCACAGCAAAUGGUUUCUUUAAUUCUUUAUAUAAUGUGAUUAUAUUUAUAUAUCUAUAUAUAUUAGGAGCUAAGAUCAAUUAGCUAUGCUGAGUGAAACUCUCUGCUUCAUCUAACUGGUGGUUAGGUCCAGCAUACGAAUGGCAACCCCCGUGAAACAGAUUUUUCAUUUUUUCUAAGCAUUUUCCCCGAUUUUUUGGUAUAAGGUUAGCCUCCUGAUAAAUAUUUUUUCCAUAAAUAUAUAACUAAUAAAGAAUGUUGGUUACAUUAUUUAAAUGUUACUUACUACUACUUAGAACACUCUUUAUGAAUUUUGAAUUAAACUUUUAUAUAUAUAUAUAUAUAUAUAUAUAUAUAUAUAUAUAUAUAUCAAAUCAAAGAAAAUAAGUUUUUUUUUUUAAUUCUUGAUAAUUAGUUUUUAUUUUUUUCCCGAGUGAAUAGUCUAAAAUAUUCGUCAAUAAGAAAAAUAAUUCUUAAAAAAGAAAGUCAUUUUUUAUUGCUUUCUCUGUCUUGGACAAAUAUUAAAGAGGAAUUAAUUUUACUAAAUUAUUACAAAAUCAAAGGGAAAUUUUUACUAAAUUACAUUUAUCUCAAAAUUAAUAAUAAUUUAUGAGGGUAGUUAUUAUAUUUAAUGUAAAUAAGAGUGAUAUUAAAAAAUAUUAUUUAUUAUUUUUUAAAAUAUUUAAAACAAUUUAUAUUUAGGAUAAAAUAAUUAUAAAAAGAACUUAUUUUUUAGGAUGUUGGGGGUUGUUUGGUGUAUGAAUGGAUUGGUAGAGCUGCACGUCAAUCCCAUAAAGUUUUCAUCGUUUAUUGCACUCAUCAAUGCUUAGACUGUAACUGCCAUGAGCCAAAAACAAAAAAAUGUCAGAAAACAUAAAUACAGUAUGAUUCAAUCAAUUAAUAAAAAAGAAUAAUGUUUUUGUUAUUAUUUUAUUAUUAUUUAAAGUCGAUUUAAACGAAAUAUUACAGCAAAUGGCGACUAAUCAUGCCGGGCCGAACUUAUGUCGAAACAAAUAGUUGCGGCCCAGCUUUAACUCGGUCCAAACUGAGUUUUAGAAUAAAAUAUUUUAUAAAAUAGAAAAAAAAAAUAUAUUCCACGCCUGUAAAGACUUGCGCUGAACAAAAGCAAACGCAUUUUCUCUUUCUUCUCACUCGUUAUGCCUCUGAAUAAAAAUAUAUAAAACUCAAAAAAAUUUAAAAAAAAAAAAAAGAAAAAAACACUGUCAAAUCGAUUUCGCUCUGAAUCUCUGAAUGUAAACUUCCAUCGGAAAAUCAUAGCAUAGCGUAGAAGGAGAUCAAAGCCCAAAUUGAAAGAAGGUAAAAUUAAAAAAACCUUCAUAUUCAGCAUCAAAGGGGCGGCUACGCAAUGGGUCAAGCCUUUCGCAAGCUCUUCGAUACCUUCUUUGGCAACACUGAGAUGCGGGUACACUCUCUCUGUUUCUUAAUAGUAUAUGUGCAUAAAUACAUAUAUGUUUACGCGGUUGCUUUCUCUUAACGCGAUAAUACUUUACCAUCUAGGGUGUGUUAGGAGUUAACACUGGGGUUAUCUAAAAAUUUCCUCUAUCGCUCUGCUGCUGCUGUUGCUUUAGUUGUUAAUUUCCUUGGAAGUUAAUGGGUUUUGGAGAUUAGCGUGUUUGACGGAUUGUUAUUGGACUUGUGUUUUUAGAACUAAUGACAGCACAGUAGUGAAUUUUGUUUGUUUAUUUAAUGGGUCAUAAUGCUUUCUACUAAUGCUAACAUCCAUGAGUAUAAUAUUAUUAUUUUGGGUGCAUCAGAAUAUAUAUCCCAUCUAAUGAGAAUUAUAGGGAGGAAACCAAUUGCCAGUGAUUUAUCAGGAUUUUAAAUUUAGAAGGUAUAAAUAUUUAUCCUAUUUUCUAGCUUCUUUUUUGUUAAUGAAUCAUUUUUCAUGUAUAUUCUGCGUUUUCAUUUUUAAUGAAUCAACAGUUUUAUUAAUCAUGGAAAAACAAGUUUAGGCUUUCACUGUUGUAGUUUUUGAUAGCUUGAUGACACUGCACUUGAUUUUGCAUUGUGUAUAAUACUAUUUACAACCUUCAAUUUGUUCAAGUACUUUGACUAUCUGGUUAGUUUAACUUCUAUUCUUGUCUGUGUUUUCAAUACUGCUGAUGGGUACCUUAUAUGUUAAGAAGUUCCAGUGUUGAGUAUAUGAGGAUUUUUCUUCCAUCAAAGAGUUAGAAGUUUCUUGCAACACUUGCGUAAAGUAAUGUGAAUUUAUAAAGAAUAGAUCAUGAAAAGGAAUAUAGUAAAUUUGUUACUUAAAAUGAUACUUCAAAUUGGACCAUUUAGUUCCUUCCUGGUGGCAUGUAUAAUUCGACUCUGUUUUUCCAUAGUAGCCGUCAAUUGAAUUAGUGACCAUAAUUGAAUAUAUCUAGACUUUAAAAUUAUGGUGAUUAUGGAAGGAAUGGCAAAGAAAUGGGGUUAUUAGAUUCUGAUGCAUCUUUGCUCAACGGGCAUGUUUGGGAAGUUAAAAUAUCUAUGGCAUAACUGAAUGUUUCUAUGACCAUUUGAUGUCAAAUAUGACUACAUUGGGGAUUUAAUGCUUGGUGUUGGUGUAAUGUAAGGUUGCUCUUUUAUUGGCUGAAAGGCUGUUUUCUUCUCUCCCUUCAAUGCGAUAAACUUAGCUUUUGAAUAUAUAAGUAUGAAUAGAUAUUUAUAUUUUUAUAAAUAUAGAUAUAAAUAUUCAAUAUGGUCAACUUAGCUUGUAAUAAAUAGGGAAGCAACGAUUUUGGGAAAAAUAUUAGACCGGUAUAACUUAAUUACAUAAGAUGUAGUUGAGCUAUUGCAAAUAUGUGGAGGGUAUACUACCUUUAGCUUCCAGCUUGUUUAUAACUGGAAUAAUUAAUUGUUGGCAGUGUUCUGCAUUGAUAUUUAUUGAAUUUUGACCAUCUUUCAUAUUCUGGAAUUCGGGCUUUACUUAUAUGCAACAUACCUUUGAUUCUUUUUUCUUAUUUGUUACUUUCAUUUUUGCUGGCAUAGGUGGUGAUGCUAGGGCUGGAUGCAGCUGGUAAAACAACCAUACUUUACAAGCUACAUAUUGGAGAAGUCUUAUCUACUGUUCCAACAAUUGGUAGGUUUCUUUUUUCAUGAUUACUCACUUUAAUUAUGACGGUGCAAGGCUUAAAUCUGAAACAAUCUGCUAUUUAUCUAUAUCUAAUCACUAACAUCAUGCAAUAGUGGAAAUAGAUGCAUGGUAGGGAACUGUUACAACUUUUUGUAUAGGAUCAAGUACAGGUCUUGUAAAUGGAAGUGCUAGGGUAGGGCCAACAGAAAUAUGCUGUUUGGAGUUUUUCUGCCUUUUAUAUCUGUUUAAUGGGAAGAAAUAAGAAGUUGUUACAGAGAGAACCUUUCAAUCUUUGGGUUUAAGAAUUGACCUUCGAAUAAAAUACUGUCUGCCUUCAUUUCAUUCUCUUCUCUUCUAAAUAUAAGCAAGUAAAAUCAAAGAAACAAUUUCAACACACAGUAACUACCUACCACAUCUAAGGGAAAUUGCUAGCCACAAUUAAAAGAAAUUAUCUAUGUUAUAGGAACACGUGGAAAUCCUAGAACUGUACAAUAAAAGAAAUAGAACUGAACAACAAAGUAAAUAUUCUUGCACCAGAUUUAAUAAACUACUCAGGCCUAAAAUAAAUAGUUUGAUAAGAAAGAGAAAAGAAAAGAAAUUGGUGACUUUGUGCAGCUGUGACUGUACCUGUCUCUGUACCCUAGGUACCGUAGCAGUAUUGGGAAAGAAGGGAAAAAAGAGGAAAACUAAAGGAGAAAAACCAGGGGUGCAGGUCUUCCUACUCAGAUGAACGUGUUCAUUAUUCAUUGUCAAAAUCUAAGAAAAUAACAUGUUGUAAAGGUAUCCAAAAGACAAAUAACCAAUUCUGGAAAUCCUAAAUAAAUACUAAAUAGGAAGCAAACAGUUUCAAACAGGUUCUAACAAAAAAUUUCUGAAUCACAGUGAUCCUAUAUUUUCUAGAUAAGAAUAUAGGAAAUUACAAAAUUUUCGUAUGGAGAAAAUUCACAUAAGAAAUUAGAGUUCUCAUACAUAAUUAAAGAUGAAAUCAAAAUAAUUGCUAAAUCUGUUUUUCCUUGACUGCACCACUGAUUUUCCUUGACUGCACCUUGAUUUUCCUCAAUUGAAUGACCAUAAAAAGCACUAGAAAGAAGAGUGAACGUGCAUGUGCAUUAAAAAUGAAAAGGAUAAGUUAAGGCUAGUACACAAAUAAAUGGUCAAUCUUUCACAUCUUUUUUCUCAUGUUAUUUUCAAUGAGAAUAUUUGCCAAAAAUAUUUUGAAUGAUAACUAACACAUAAAGCCUGUGGUAAAAAAAAAGAAAAUGAAAAAAAAAAAAAAAAAAAAAAAAAAAAACAGUGAUGAUGAGUCUCAUGUCAUUUAGAUUAAAGACUGUAAGUGUCAUGGCAAUUACUGAAUGGACCUCUCAUGAUUAUAUAUUCUGAAAUCUUCUCUCUGUCUGAAGCUUAAAUCUGUUCUAUUGUCCAAUGUUUCUACCCCACAUGGUGGCACUGCUAUUCUCAAUUACCAUUUUAUCGGCUUCUUGUAGUUUUCACCAAGUAAGUAGCCACUGUCAGCUCCUUACCAAGCAUAUAAGUGACGUGCUAAUCUCCAUACAAAACCUCACACCAAUGUUGCUGCAGAUGUGACAGCUGAAGACCCACAGUAUAUUCCACUUCUGCCUCAAGACAUUUGAGACCAUAAUCAAUAAAUUAGUCAUUUAUAAUCAUUUUGAGUUUAAACUGUGAAAACUUUCAACUAUCACAGCUGUGGUGGUGGGUCCUAGCUCUUCAUAAACCUAUCUAUUGAUGUUGGAGAUAUAUUAAUUCUCCUUAUCUGCUGUAGGGUUCAAUGUGGAGAAAGUUCAGUAUAAGAAUGUGAUGUUCACUGUUUGGGAUGUUGGUGGGCAAGAGAAAUUACGGCCACUUUGGAGGCAUUAUUUUAAUAAUACAGAUGGAUUGGUAAUAAUUAUUUUCUGUUAGUCUUCUUUUGCUAAUUAAGCUCUUGCAACACUUGUUUUUUUCUUCCAAAAUAAGGUUUUCUGUUUGCUUUAUUGCGUGCAUCCUACAUGUUAGCUUUUGAACUUUGUGUCAAAGCUGAUAGGUAAAUUUGGAUUUUUUUUUUUUUCCUUCCCGUUGUCCAUACAGAUCUAUGUUGUUGAUUCCUUGGACCGUGAAAGAAUUGGCAAAGCAAGAGCAGAGUUUCAGGUUGUAUGUCAGAAAGGUAUGCUGACCGUACUGCAAUUUACCUAAACACAGUUUCUAAAUUAAGUGCGUAUUUCCUUUCAGGCCAUCAUCAAAGAUCCUUUUAUGCUCAACAGUGUCAUCUUGGUGUUUGCCAACAAACAGGACAUGGUAUGUUAUCAAUCUUUUUGCAUAUGAAUGAUAAAAUAUAGUUAAGUAGGCUUCUAUAAUGAGACCUAGGAUGUUUAUAUACUUGACUUGAGAUAGUAAUGUACACAUUAUUGUACAAGUACCUGGUGCAGAAACAAUGUGUCUGACCCAAUGAUCUUCCAGAAAUGGAUCAGUAAAAUGAAUGAGACUGUCGCCUUUUUGACAUAGAGAAACCAAGACAAGGGACAUUGUAGAAAUCCUAUCCAAUUGUAUAAAUGCAAAACAUCAAAGACGGAGACAAGCAUGCCCAACUCUGUAUCUUACAAAAUGACAAUUAAGUACUGUCUCAAAUCAUUUAUAUCUGUCUUUCUAGCAUGCUUUCAUGCUAUAGCCUAUUCUUUUCAUUGCAUGUGGCGUGGCCUAACUACAUCUGCCAUUUAUUUAGUAAGACCUGAACAGUCCAUUAAGUUAUUUAACUGCCAGAUUGGCUUUCUUUUUUACAUACAUAAAAAUUCCACAUAAAUGCAAAAAUGGAAUUAUUAUGUCAUCUCAAACUUGCUUAUUAGGCUUUGAUCUUGAUGUCCUUACAUUGAGUCCUUUUUGUUGGAAUGCUAUACUUUAGAGGUUAAUCCUAAUAGCAUAUUUAAAUUUUCUAAAGUUCUAGAAGAUUGUGAGGCUAAAAGAGCUGAUUGAUCCUGCUAACCUUUUCAUCUUUGAUCAAGAUUUUGCCAUAUCUUGUGUGGCCUUCAGAUGUUACUUAGAAAUGAAGGAUAGGCUGGGUAUUCAGAAGGAAACCCAUGUUUCUGCCUGAAAUAGUUGAUGCUUAGGGCCUGUUUUAUGGAUUCCAACUCCCCUCCCUUUUCUCUCUGUUUCCAGGUUAAAGCUUACUGCAAAUAGGAAGUUAUUUCAUAAAUUCUUUUGAGAGGAAAGCUUGAUAAUUUUUUGCAUCUGACCUUAAUAAAUUUAUAAGGACACUUUUUCUGGGUACUGUAAUGUAGCCAAAAAGACACAGGCAUUGGAGGACUUGGAGAUUGUAAUGGUGGUGUUCUGGACACUUUCCUGUGUGUGGUGGAAGUAGAAGUAAUUGUCUGGUGUAAAUAGUUGUGGCGGUGGUCCGAAUUAUGGUAGUCUGGAUGGUUGAUUGAUCUUUGUGAUUCUGUGCCAGUCUGUGGCAAUAGUGAUGAUAAUGGUAGUGGCAUGGGUAUUGUGUAUCUCUGUUGAAACUCUCCUGGAUUUGAGUCAUUCUUUGGAAGUUUUACUUUGUGUAUUGUUCUUUAUCUUUUUGGCCAUUAAUCUAAAUUGUUUUGAGCAUGUCAAGAACUUCCAUGCAUCGUUAUCAUUGAUGUUACUAAAAUUCGGAAAUAUGCUGAAGGCAUCCAAAAAUUGCUUGAAUUUCGCUUUCAUAGAUUUAUCUAGUGUGUAUAAUUAUCAUUAGUUGUAAAUGAAAUUUGGAGGGCUUGGCUGCUGACGUGUUUAGGCUUCUAGCUGGUCCACAUCAACAAUAUCUAAAUUACAUAAAGCAUAGAUGAAAUGAAGAACAUAUGAAAAAGAUAAUGUAAAAAACUUACAAAAGAAAAGGAAGAAGACUAACGUAGGAGCAGAGAUUAGAAGGAUUAGAUGGACACCUGUGGCUUUUAUAUUUCGGUGUCUAUUUGUGUGCCUGUUUCUAUUGCCUCCACAUGGCUGGGAGAAACAAACCCCAAAUACUAUUUCUUAUCUUUGAGAGAUCGACAGCUUUGUCUUUGCUGCCUGCAUAGACCAAAGAUGUUUGGUUAAUGUGAUGUAGGAUUUCUAAGCUUGAAUCUGUUUCUGUUGUUAAGAAAGGAGCAAUGACACCAAUGGAAGUAUGUGAAGGAUUAGGUCUCUUUGAACUUAAGAACAGAAAAUGGCACAUCCAAGGGACUUGUGCACUCAGAGGAGAUGGUCUGUAUGAAGGUUUAGACUGGUUAGCUUCAACUCUGAAAGAAAUGAGAGCUGCUGGAUACUCUUCUGUGGGCACCUCAUCAUUCUAAUACACCAGGUAACUUGAUUUUGCCUGUUUUUUGCCAGUUCAAAGUAAUAAACUUGAUUUUGUUGCUUAGUUUUUGUGAACUUGUUUCUGCAGAUUCACUUGAAAACUUGAGGUUCGUGCAGAUUAAGCCACAAGCAUCAAGGAAGUCCUAAAAUGUAAUCAAAUUUUUGUGGGUUGUCUGAAGUGAACAGAGUUUAUGAGGGUUCUUACAUUUUGUCCCACUGGGUACUAUCUGACUUCCAACAAUGUAAAUUGAAAUUCUAAUGAGACCCUGUAAUUGAAAGUUAAAUUGGAAACUGGGAAUAUAUUAAUAUACAUAUAUAUGCUUAGAUGUCCCUUUAUAUGUAUGGUAAAUUAAUGUUUUUUUUUUUCUGUUUUGAGAAUAAUAUGGUAAAAUAUUGCUAAUCACUUAAUCAUGUCUUUAGAUGUCUCUUGGUCAGAAAUGGUUUGCAAAUUGAAAAUGCUUUCAGCUAGUAAAUUUGUUGCAUGCAAAUUACACAAAUUCUUCAUUAUUGGCAUUUAACAUGUAGGCCUAUAAUUGACCCAUAAAGUUGAAUAAUUUCAGACCACCGGGGAUAUUUUUUACUUUCAUAUAAAACAACGCAUAUAGCAAAGCAAAAUCAUAACGGCUUCUAACUGUCACCACAAAAUUUUUAACUGUCACUCUCUCACUCCUUCCAACCUCAAUAACUCUCCCACCAAUCAAAAUUAAAAAUCCCAACCAUACACACAAUCUCUCUCCAUAAUAAAAUAAUAUUUGCUAGAUUUUUAUUUUUUAUUUUUCUUCAUAAAAAAACCAAAUCCAACCAACUGCAAACCAAACAACUAAAAAUCAUUUCCCAAAUUUCAAUGCCUUCCUCUUCCUCGUCCUUUUCUCUUCCAGAAAUGUUUGCCAGAAAAACAUCUCCUUUUCUCCAGAAGUUCCAAUUUCACCCCUUUUACUUUCGCCAUACUAAUCACAAUUCCUUCAAAUUCCGUUGCCUUCUCGACGAAAUUGCCCCCAAAUUUGUCGUCUCCUCCUCCCUCGCUUCCGUUUUCCCUACCGGCAACAUCAUCGCUGCUGCUACCGCCGCUUCCUCUGGUACUACCUCCGUCCAUGGCGCAGUGUCGUCUGCUAUUACUCAAGUUGCUGUCACCGCAGUCGCUAUUGCUUCCGGUGCUUGCCUCUCCACUAAGGUUGAUUUUUUGUGGCCUAAAGUGGAAGAACAACCAGGUAAUUACUUUUUCUGUAACACCCACGGACCAAUACGGCUACCGCCUAAAUAUGCUCAAAAAAUAGUAAAUAAAAUAUUAAAUAGGUAUAAUAAUUUUUUCGGACUAAAAUAAUACCGAGUUUAAAAUAAUACCGAGUCCCGAACCGACUAAAAUAAUACCAAUGCUCCAAAAAUAGUAUUAUUCACGGACAGGGAAAUCACUGUUACCGAAAAGAAAAUCAGACUGUUACAUUUUCUCCUCAAAAGCAAAAAACAAAUAGUCUAACUAUUUAUUUUUUAAGUAAAUUUAUGCUUGUUAAUUUGGCGCGCAGGUUCUUUUAUAGUAGACGGAGUGGAUGUGACUGGUUGUAGUAUAUUUAGUGAUGCAGAGGUUUACCAUCUCUACUUGUAUUUUGAUUUUUUUGCGUAAUAUUCACAUGCUUCCACUGAAUAGUUUUAAUCUGUGAUGUGAAGGCAGGUGCAAAAGGCUAUUGCUUUUGCUAAGAAGGCUCAUCAUGGGCAGUUCAGGAAAACAGGAGAGCCUUAUUUGACUCAUUGUAUACAUACUGGAAGAAUCCUGGCAAUGCUGGUUCCCUCAACUGGCAAAAGGGUAAUGCUGUUUUACUAUCAAUUGUUAUGAUUUGAUCUUUUUAUAUUCUUUCACUGUUACUAGUUUAGCUCCAGUUUUCUAACUAGCGUGAGCCGUUUUUCUAACUAGCAAAUUAAUGUCAUUUGCUUGUUUUCCUAGGCCUUCUAGAUUCUAUAAUGGCAUCUAGUUUUGCAUGUUCAGUUAAUAUUAGUUUUCUUUUAGUGUUUGUAACACUGGCAAACACAUCUUUCAAGCAUUUUGCUUUCACUAUACCCUCAAAUGAUAUAAAAUCUAUUGUAGGCUGUGGAUACAGUUGUGGCUGGGAUUCUUCAUGAUGUGGUGGACGAUACUCAUGAAAAUUUACAGAGUAUAGAAAAGGAGUUUGGUGAACAUGUUGUGAAAUUGGUAGCUGGUGUUUCCAGAUUGAGUUAUAUAAAUCAGGUAAUAAGCUUGUUAUGCCUGUGUCUCUCAGUCACUUUCCCUCCUUUCCCUUUUCUUCUCUUUUGACAUUGCAUUUCUUUCAUCAGGGAUUAUGGUGACUUUUGUUUUGUUAGACAUCUUUUGGGAAGGGAAUGGGUGGAGUUUUGGAAAGUGGAAAUACCCUGUUGUUUAACCCAAUGUUGAUGUCUGACUUGAAAAGUAAAAAGAGUGGUGUAUGUGGUAGUCUUAACUCUUACACAUUCACAUUUUAAGAUAUGAAUUUUUUUGAAAAGUUUAAGGAACAUAGAAGUCAUUGAAGUCACUUUAACUCUUACAUAUUCACAUUUUAAGAUAUGUUUAUUGCUUUUUUUCACUUUUGUUGUGGUCAUCAUGAGAUUGUAAUUUAUAGAUAUGCUUUCUCUGGUCCUAUGGUAUUCCAUACUUUUUUGCUGCUGUUCUUUCUUAAUUUAAUAUUUUAAUUUUGCAGUUGCUACGGAGACAUCGAAGGAUAAAUGUGAACCAGAGCACCCUUGGUCAGGAAGAGGUAUGCAAAUUAAAAUUUCUCUAAAACCCUUGGUCAGGAAGAGGACGGAACUUAAAAUUUCUCCUAAUGAUUGCGUAAAACUGUUACCAUAGAAAUCAGGAUAUGUAUUUUGUUCUAUUCAUCAUUUGCUACAACUAGCUGUUUAUGCUAAUAAUAAUAGUACCCAUAAAAGAAGAGUUGAUAUUUGACAGAAAACUGAAUGAGGUUGAUUUGAUCUCUACCAACGGGUCUGUGGCGCUUUCCAAAGCAUUUGGUCAAUGUAUAAAGCUUUCAUUUUCAAAUUUCUUUACUUUAUAAAUGAUGAUCAGAAAUUAAUUACCAUCCAAAGUUUGGGUUAGAUGGUUCAACUAACUAUAGCAUAAGUGUUACAAAAUGCAUAACUGCUAGAUUUUUCUGCUCUAAAAGACUAGCAUAGAAGCAAUAGUUAACUUCAGUAGUUUAUUAACUCUCAUUUUAGAUUAUUGACUCUUGUAAAUUUUAUUGCUACCUUUCAAGGCAAAUAAUUUACGAGUUAUGCUCUUGGGCAUGGUUGAUGAUCCACGGGUGGUGCUGAUCAAGCUUGCAGACCGCCUUCACAACAUGAGGACCAUGUAUUGACUUCAAACUCCAUUUACACCAACAUUUUACUCCUGUUUGAGAGGGUUGUCUCUCUGUUUAAUUAGUUCCAUGUUCUGGAAAUACUUUUUUCUUAUUUAGGAUUUCUUUUAUCUGAAUCUUUCUUCCUUUCUUUAUGUUUUUUCAACAUGAUGGCUUCGAUGUUUUGUAAAGGUUUGAAAAGCUUUCAUUCACAAACACAGAUGUUUACUUGAGAUAGCAAUUAUUUGCAGGCCAGAGUUUCUUGCUUAGAGACUUAAUUUUUUGGAUCACAAUCCUGGAUAACGAUUUAUUUUCUUUUAGUUUAAAGAAUUACAUUGUGGUUUACAGUCUUGAAUAAUGACUUGUUAUUUAUAAUGUUGCAGUUAUGCUUUGCCACCACAGAAGGCUCAAGCUGUUGCGCAGGAGACCUUACUUAUUUGGUGCUCACUUGCUUCAAGAUUGGGUUUAUGGGCUUUGAAGGCUGAAUUAGAAGAUUUAUGCUUUGCAGUACUUCAGGUGUGACUUAUAAUUUUGAUUGUGCAAAAUAUGUUAAUCUAUAAUAAGCUGAAUGCAUUUGUAGACUGAUUUGGUUAGAAAUUGGUAGUUCUCUAAGAACAUGGCAUAAUUUAUUGAUCAUGUUAGUUAAUCAGUCCAAGUAAAACUAUGCUGUUGCAUCUAUUUUGCAUUUUUCUCUCCAUUGAAUCUGUUAAUUUUUUUUAAGCCAAGUAAAUAUGGAAAAUAAUAUGUUUUACAGAGUGAUGACUAUAAAUCUAAUUCACAUAGUGUGAACACUCCAGAACUGGACCUUUUGCAUUCUCAUUAAUGAAAUUUUGAAAAAUGCGAAUGAACAAAGUAAAGGAAUCCAGCAUCUAUGUUUUGUAUGAUCCUAGUUGCAAGGUGUGGGACAUAGAUCCCACAUUGAUAGUAUGAGAUGUUUAGUGGGAUUUAUAUAAAGUUGGACUCUCCAAGCUCAACGGCUAGCUUUUGAGGUGUAGUUUUCCAAGGUUCGUAUCAUGAUCUUGCAACCCUGAAUUCUUAAGGAUGUGUUGUAGCAUAGCAUUAAACAAAUACGAGGUUUCAUCAAAAGUUCAUCAGAAAUGAAUUGAAUAACUUGUCCUUAGCUAGUAUCGACCUGUCCAAAUCCAGAACAAUUGUUUUGCAAGAAUUGAGUUCAAUUUGGAGCCUUCUGAAAUUGUUGCAGCAGUUGGCCUUUUGGAUGGCAAAUUUGUGAACAACGGUAGUCAGAGAGAAUGGAGCAGCUAAUUCAGAUCUUUUUAGGAAAAUUUAAUCCAUUUCGUUCUUUAUUUAGUGUACUUAAUCAUAAAUGAUAUGCAGCCUCAAUUGUUUCGGAAGAUGCGAGCUGAUCUGGCUUCCAUGUGGAGCACUAGCAACAGAGCUGGAUAUCCAAGAAAAAUGUCUAACAAAUAUGGCUUGAUACCUCUAGAUGAGAAAAAUUUGACUCCUGAUGGCGGAGAUACUUUAGCUUUUGAUGAAGACGUCUCAACAAUGAAGGUAUUCUUCAUAUUCCCCCUCCCCAACCCCCCAAUAAGAACACACAAACAUGCACCACAAACCAUGGAGCAAAAGAAGAAAGAAAGACAAGGCUAAGAAAAGUUGUUGAAAAAAUAUAUCUAUAAAAUAAUGGUGCAAUGAACUGUUUAUUUAACCACAAUAAAUUUGUUCCAGAGGUUUUCUAGCAAAUUCAUGGAUUCCAAAUUUCUCUCUUAAUUCCAUGGUCUUUUGGCCUGCUAGAAUGAUAUUUAUUCUAGCUGCAUUUUCAUUUUGAGUGCACACCAAAAACAAUUAGAGUUUUUUGAGAGCUGAAUAAAACAUCCAUAUUUUAAGUCAUGUUGUUGAUCUUUUCUAUAUGUACAGGAUCUCCUGGAAGCUGUAGUGCCUUUUGAUGUCUUGUUAGAUCGGAAAAAAGGGGCUAUAUUUAUUAAUAUUCUUGGUAAAACAUCAGAGACUCAAAGAGUAUCAAAGGUUGUUCAAGAUGCUGGAAUCGCUCUAGCUUCUCUAAUUGCUUGUGAGGAAGCACUUGAGAAGGAGCUAUUUAUAUCUACUUCGUAAGUUUUACCUUUCACCAUUGAUAUUUACUUCUUGUAGUUCUGGGAAGAAAACAUAUAAAUAAUACCAUUUAUCAAUGAUUCAUCAAUUCUCACAUCUUGUCUAUUGAAUGACUAUCGCCAUUUUGCCCGUCUCAUGGAUGUUCUCUCUCUCUCUCUCUCUCAUGCUUGCAGUUAUGUUCCAGGGAUGGAAGUGACUUUAUCUAGUCGACUUAAAAGCUUGUAUAGUAUCUACAGCAAGGUAUCACAAAUGUUUUUUAUUUGAUUUAAUUUGUAAAGCAUGCAUUAAACUUUAUUUAUAAAUUCAUUUGUUGAUAGGAAUGUGCCUAGAGGCCUUGUUAUUUUUAAUCUGCAGUUUAAAAAUAAUGCUAUUAUUUUUUAAUUUUUGUAGAUGAAACGGAAAGAUGUGGAUAUCAAUAAAGUAUAUGAUGCCCGUGCAUUGAGGGUAGUUGUUGGAGACAAGAAUGGUACUUUACAUGGACCUGCAAUUCAGUGUUGUUACAGUCUUCUCAACAUAGUGCAUAGGUAUACUCAAUUACUUGUAAUAUUUAGAUUAGAUUAAUUCUCUUAGUUGUCAUAAUAUCCGAUCUAUAACCAGCUGCAUUUUGCCACUUUCUUUUAAACCAUUUCCCUGCAGCUAUUAUAGCUAAUGAUUUUCAGACAUUUGAUCCAAAUAGGUUUUUGCAAAUUUUCUUUCAUUAGCUUUGUGAGUGUUAUUGUUUUAGUUCCAUGCAUCAUUAGAAGAUACUUGACAAUAUCAUGGUGCCUAUUUCAAUAUUAUACGAUGUUUUCUGUGCUUUCUCAACCAUACUGGUCAUUUCCAGAUAACAUGUCAUGCUAUUACCUUCCUGUGCAGGCUGUGGACCCCCAUUGAUGGUGAAUUUGAUGAUUACAUUGUUAACCCAAAGCCCAGUGGAUAUCAGGUGAUGUAUCAAUUAAAUGUCUCUCUAUUAAGUGAAAGUCCAAUGUAGUCAACUUAUUUACAUUUAAAUGCUUAGGCAGAUAAGUGGUGCACCAUUAACAUUUAAUCAUGCUAUGUUCUUGCAAAAAGUAAUAUGAUAUGAUAGAGUUUCUUAUCUUUGUGAAUCCUAUAAGAUCUUGAGAAGGAAUAAAAAGAUAGUGUCACCUAUCUCUCACGAUAGAGCCUCAACUGCUAACUUGGGGAGAGGGGAAGGAUGCCUGUUGUAGAGUUCUAGUGGUUCAUUGUAUUUCUGAACAUAGAUAGAUGUAAUGAGAAAAUACUGAAACCUAGUAGUUGUGGUAUCUUAUCUUAUGGAUAGUUUGGAUGCCUCAUGGCUGCUAGAAGUAAAUUAAUUUAUUUGUCAGAUCUUCCUUGAACCUUUGUUUUAAGACGUGCUAAAUGGUCAGGUUUCCAAAUAUUAGUUUCAUACAUUUUCUUUUGACCUGAAAUCAUUCUCCUUUUUUUCAACUUUGUGGAUUUGAUUUUGCAUGUUGAUAUUCUUAGAAUUUUGCUAAUUCACAUACCUAGUGUUAUGUUGAGUGACAUUUUCAACCGAAGCUUCCUUUUGCCUAUUGCAGUCUCUGCACACAGCAGUACAAGGUCCUGAUAGUGCGCCGUUGGAAGUCCAGAUAAGAACACAGGUGCCAAACUUCUCUAUUUUUGUUUUAUCCAAAAGUUAGUUGCAUGGAUUUUUAUUAGCUCAUACAACUACAUUGUCACUUCAACCUUUCAAGAAAAUGCAUGAAUACGCUGAGCAUGGACUUGCUGCACACUGGCUUUAUAAAGAAACUGGAAACGAGUUGCCUCCUGUAAACAGCAUGGAUGAAUCUGAAACAGAAGCAUCUUCCUGUCUCUCCAAAGACAUUGAAGAUCAUAAUUCCUUAGAACGAGAUCAAUUUCAGAAAUACAGAUACCUGAAAGUGGGACAUCCGGUCCUUAGAGUUGAAGGAAGUCACUUACUUGCUGCUGUUGUAAUCAGGUAUGCUAUAACUUCUUGUUUAUAGUGUAUGCUAAUCACUAUAAGCUUUGGAUUCACAUGAUUGUGCAUGAAAGUUGGAUUUCAGAGUAGACAAGGGUGGAAGAGAAUUGUUAGUGGCUGUGAGCUUUGGAUUGGCAGCUUCUGAAGCAGUAGCUGACAGAAGAUCUCCUUUCCAAAUAAAGCGGUGGGAAGCUUAUGCAAGAUUGUAUAAAAAGGUUAAGUUUCUUUCUGUUCCAUUUGGAUUAUUUGGUCUAGUAAGUUGAAGCAAAGUUCAAGGGUGUGCUUAAAUAUCUGAGCAGAUGUGAAGAUUUUGUAUUUCUUGACAUCAACUUGCUGUGAUUUAUGGUGAAAAAGAAAACGUUUGAUGGGAAAUAAAUGAAAUGAGUUAGACAGUGAAGAGAAAAAGGCAAUCACACUAAAUAUGCAUACUCAGAAUGCAUGGAUAUUUAUGGACUCUUGAACUCUGUUACAUCUUACAAGGAUAAAAUUCAUGGAAACUACUUUUAGUUACGCCAAAAGACAACUUAAUUGGAAACAAAACAAACCUAAAACUCUUUGAAACUCCAAAGGGUGUGCUUUAAAUAUCUGAGCAGAUGUGAGGAUUUUGUAUUCUUUGAUGUCCAACUUGCUGUCAUUUAUGGUAAAAAAGAAAAUGUUUGGUGGGAAAUAAAUGACAUGAGUUAAACGGUGAAGAUAAAAAGGAAAUCAUGCUAAAUAUGCAUACUCAGAAUGCAUGGAUAUAUAUGGACUCGUGAACAUCUGCUUCAUCUUAAAAGGGUGGAAAUUCAUGAUGGAAACUACUUUUAAGUACACCAAAAGGCAACUUAAUUGGAAAGAAAAUAAACAUAAAACUCUUUGAAAAUAAACCUAGACUCAAGUCAAAGGAACCAAAUACCCAAAUAGGACUAUAUUGAAACAACAAUGUCUACAGGGACAAAAAUAUCAUGACGCUCAUGUAAUGAACUCCAAAAUCCGAAACUAAUAUAAUCCUAAUAACUAAUAAUUAAAUGUAUUGGAUCAAAAAAGUUGUAAUAUCCUUGUUUUCCUACAGGUUUCAGAUGAAUGGUGGUUUGAGCCGGGACAUGGGGAUUGGUGUACUUGUCUUGAGAAGUAUACGCUAUGUCGAGAUGGAAUGUAUCAUAAGGUAUGUCUGAUGCAAACAUGAUGAGAAGAUGUAAAGAUGGAGUUAAACUUUGUGAUCAUGUUUACUAUGCAUUUCCAUCCCUUCAAAGAUGCAGUGCUUGUGUUUUGCUACAAAGGAUAUAUAAUGAAAAGUUAUCAUGAGCUGGGGAUAUGGCAGUGUCUAAGUAAAACCUUCCCAUAAAUUCCAAUGUUGGAUGAAGAAAAUACAUAUGGAUAUUUAUGUAAGUAAAAAACCAAGUCAAUGGAAUUUUCUUUUCUGGUAAAGGGAAAAGAAUGAAAGAAUAGGACAUAGAUGCUAGGUGCAACAUUGUACAAUCAUUUAACUUGAUGGAUGCAAUAGUUCAAAAAAACCACAAUUGGUGAUGCGCAUUCCUCAUUGCUUAAUUAUAGUUGAUUAUAGCUUUACUGGAGAGCUCAACAGAUAGUGGACUCCUCUCAAUUAUUUUCUCCUGACUUUAUUAGAGGUUUUGUUUCCAAUUCUCCCACUAGUUGUGCUAGUUAAUAUGUAAAGAUUUCCAAUUUUGUUCUUCAAAUUAUUGACAAUGGGCUACCAGCUGUCAGUAUAUAAGAAAAAACUUCUGAAACUAUGCUAGUAUUCUAUUGUAAAAGUUUAUAAAAUAAUCUGGAAAAUUGUUUUUUAUGAACAUAAUAUGAGAUGAGUUCUAAUAUUAUCCUUUAUUUAUCAGUAUCAAGCAUGAAUACAUUUCUCAGUUUCUAAUUUUUACGAACUGAUGAUGGGCUUAUCUAAAUGUAAUACCUAUUAGAACUAUCAGGUUUGAAAUUCAUAGGAAAAAAGGGUGGUCAUGUGCAGCCUCUGGAGGGGUUGCAGAAUGACAGGAUACUCAUCUUGUGCGGUGAUUACUUUUGUUUCCGUUUGCCAGUCUUUAGCAUUCUCAUCACUUUUCUCAUUUUAUUAUUGACCACUCACCUCACAUAAAAAUAUCAAAUAUAAUUAAUUAUGAAUUACCGAGCAUGCAUAAGACUGAUAAACAUAAUACUUAAGUUUGCUUUAUACAUGAUGGUAUUGUUGUUAAAAUUUCACUUCUAUCUCUAUAACACUGUUCUUGGUCAGAGCCAAAUUUUGCUUCUUUGGCAUUUUACAGUUCAAGACUUGCUGUGAUACUACUAUACAUCAAUUCCACAUUUUGUAUUUGUUUAGGAAAUAAUGCUCUUAGAGACUUAUACUGGACUUCCUCAAGAAAUUCAUUAAUGUAUAUGUUGCAGCAAGAUCAAUUUGAGCGCCUGUUGCCAACCUUCAUUCAGGUUAUCGACCUAACGAAGCAAGAAGAAUCUGAAUAUUGGGCUGUUGUAGCUGCUGUUUUUGAGGGCAAAUCUAUUGAUUCUGUUACAUCCAGGUCGAACAUAGAUUCUGUUGCUUCCAAUUCUAUUGAAGCUAGCAUCAACAAUAAGGUCAGUGUGCAAUCAUCUGGUUGUUUUGAACUCAUUCACUUGAUUGGUAGCUGGUAGAAUCUUGUAACAAUUUUCUAAGUUUUCCUGACACUGGCUUCCUGCCUGCCAGGAAGCAUUCUAGUGUAAUGAUUUUGACUAGUUAUCGCAACCUGAGCAAGGUCUACCACAUUCAUUUUUCCUUCUCAUGAUAUAUGUUGGCCAAUUUGUAUGUAACUGUGCACACUCAUUGGUUAUUUUUUGCACGACUCCGACUUGUAUCAUCAGUUGCCUACUUCUAUUUGUGUAUGAGGCUUCUACACUCCCCUGAUCAUGCCAAAACAUAAAGCAUUGGUAGUGAUAAUUCCAGCAUAAAAUGGUCACUUUUCCUUGUUAAUUUGGGAAUCUCAAGGCUUCUACCUAUUUGUUACUAGUUCCAUUUUGAACCAGAUGCAGGUUCAGACAGCUUAAUCAUAUUCUGCACUUUUAGUAACAGCUGAUGAAAGUUAAACUCCCGUGCACUUAACCAAUGCAGACACAACAUGCACAGGCCGCAGUUGCAUGCAUUCAUGUACACACAGGAUAGGAUAGUUCUAUAUGAACUUGCUUGUUGUAUUAAUGACUAAUUUCUAAGUUCAUAUUUUAGGUCCGACUAUUAAGGACAAUGCUUAGGUGGGAGGAACAACUACUCUCUGAAGCGAAUCUUGGACAACAAAAGUAUGAUAGAAAAUCUAAUAGCAGCCCUGAUUCUGUUGUUCUUGGUGAAGUGGUAAUCAUUUGUUGGCCUUGUGGCGAAAUAAUGAGAUUAAGGACUGGUAGCACUGCUGCUGAUGCUGCUAGAAGAGUAGGACUUGACGGCAGGCUGGUUUUGGUGAAUGGUCAGCUUGUAUUACCAAAUACCGAGCUCAAAGACGGUGAUGUGGUCGAAGUUAGAGUGUAAAUACACUCCUCAAAGCGCAAUCGAUUAGCAUAGAUAACAGGUACUUUACAGUUCAUUGCCAUUUUAAUUACCACAUCUGAUAGAAGGGUCUUUAACAUGCAUAGUCCAAUUGAAGAACUUAGGCCUUCCAUUCAGUUUGAUGUUGUAAAUUUUCUUUGAACAUUGCAUUGAUGUAAAUAUUAGCAAAUUUUAUAGCAAUUAGAUGGAAAUUUUGUGAUUUAUCUAUUUGUUUCUGAUUUUGACUCCAAAUGCCAAAUCAAUUUAGCGUACAUUUAGCAAGACGUAAUAUAAUAUAAUUUAAUGUGAUCAAAUGCGUUUCUGUUGUAAAACAAAUUAUGCUGCUUUUGUUUUUUUCAUUUUCAUUCAAAUAGAAAUAUACUUGCAUCUAUGCAACACAUACGCAACAAGACAAGAAUUAAUAAAUUUAAAGAGAGAAUCUAAGCCAAAUUCCUGUGAGGUCAGUUAUGAAUGAAGCCCCAAAUUCAAUAUAGAUUUGUGAAUUAAUAUACAUAUAUAAAUAUAUAUUUUUGAUUUAGAAAGGAUUAAAUAGUUUAGCGGGGCUAAAUUUUAAGGACUUUGUUGUAAUUCGUCUAAGUAAGGAUAUAAAUGAGACAAGCCGCUUGUGAGCUAAUCAAGACUCGAUUUGGUAAAAGCUCGCUUGAACUCAUUUGAUAAGCUUAUCGAGUCGAGCUAUUGAGCUCAUUUAAUAGAGCCAAGCUCGAACUCGAGUCAUUAGUUCGCGAGCGAGUUCUAUCAAGCCGAACUCUCGAACUAGUCUUACUGAGCCGAGCUCAACUCACGAGUUAGCUCAAUAAGUCAAAAUUAAUUAAAAUCUACGUUAAAAAUGAUGUUUUUGUUUAAUAAAUUUCGAGCUAGAGCCGCACUUGAGCUUGGCUCAGCUUAAGCUCAGAUUUUCGAACUCAAAAUGACUUGAACUUGAAUAUAUCCUUAACGAGCCGAGCUCGAGUUUACCAAAGUUCAGCUCGGUUUGUUUACAAUCCUACGGUGGCCCAGAAGUUUGUAGAUGAAAUUGGCAUUUUCUACAAUCGUCUAUAUAUUGUCGUUUUAGAUUUUUUUUUUUUUUUUUUUUUUUCUUCUGAAACAGAUUAGUGGUUUUGCUGUAACAAGUUGUGGUGGGACAAGUUAGUUACUGGUUGGUUAAUUAAUUAACUAAUGGUACUCUUUUAGUUGGUUUUAUCAAUAAUGGAGUUUAGAUUUCAGACUGUUCGAAAGAGUUCCCCAUGAUAAUGAAAGGAUUGAUAAUUAGGUAAUUGUGAUAUCAAGGCAGGGAGGACGGAACCUUUAUAAUUUUUUUAAAAAAAAAUAUAUAUAUAUAUAUAUAUAUGAAUUAUUUAUUUUGAUUGAUUAAAACAAUUUAUUUUAAGAAUAAGAUGGAAUAUCUUAAAUCGUAAUUCAGACAUUUAGUGGAGCACAAGUUGCCGUGCGUACAAAAUAAACAUCACAAAAAAGAAAAAAAUAAAAAAUUAUCUUUUGGCCCUCAGCCUCUUGACUCUUUGUUGCCUGUCACCUUACAAGAUAUUUUUCUCUAUUUGCUUCCUUCACACAAUUAAAUUUUACAUUACUACAUUUUGUUUGGAAAGAAAAUAAAAAUGUGAAAUAGUAAUAAGAAUUUAUUUCAUUUAUUAUUUUUUUUCUUUUUUGGAUGGAAAGAAAAUAUCAAUACUUUCUCUUAUUUUCAGAGCUUUGAAUUUUAUAUCUUUAACUUUAUUUUUGUAUAUUUUUAGAUGGUCUAAUGAAAACCAAAAGGUCUAAACUUUAAUAUCUUUAUCAAUUUUAACCAAAAUUUUUAAUUUUAUUAAUCAAUACUUUAAAUAUAUUUUUUUCAUGUGAAAUCUAACUUCCAUUUAUAUUCUGUCAAAUUGAUACUGAUAUGGCAAUUAAAAAUAAUAUGUGAGUCCUGUGAGAUGUCAAGUCAGUGUUAAAACAUCAUUUCAUAUGAAAUAACAAAUUAUUUGAUUUUUUAUUUAAUAUCAAAAAAUAUUUUAAAAAUAUUUAAUUUAAAAAAUUAUUCAAUUUUCUAUACCUUAAAAAUGAAAAUUUAAAUUAUUAUUAUUAUUUAAUUUUAAAAAUUAAAAAAUUAUAAUUUAUAUAUUUAUUAUAUGAAUUUAACCAAUAAUAAACAUGAAAUAUUUUAAUUAUUUUUAGUUUUAGUUCAAAUCGAAUAUGGAGUAAUUAUUUAUAGAUUAUUAAUUUUACAAUCUCAAAUUUAAUUAAAAUAUAUAAAACUAAUUAUUUAUAAUUAAAUUUUUAAAUUUAAAAAACACAAAUUUUAUAUAACAUAAAAACCGAAAAGUUGAUUUAAGGUUUUGGGUCAAAAUUGCAAAAAUUAAAUUGAAUCAAAAUAAAAAUGUAACGUUGAAACUCUCAUGGUAAAAAAAAAAAAAAAUUAGAAUUUUAAUUUUUUUUUUUUUCAAAAUUGUUAGGUUAUUAAAUUUUUUAUUAGAAGGCAAAUUUACAUUUGUAAGGUUUUUAAAAUAAUAAUUUGUCAUUUUUCAUUUUAAAUUUUUAAGUAAAUAAAAUUAAUAAUUUUUUAUUUACAUGAACGAGUGAUUUAAUACUAAAUAGACAUUUUGUAGACCUACAAAUCAAAUUUAACGUGAGCACCAAUUUGACGGAAUGCUGACGGAAAUUAGAUGUGAUAAAAAAAAUAAAUUUAUAAUAUUGAUGAUAAAAUUAAAAGAAUUGACUAGAAUUGAUAAAAGAUUAAGGAUCGGGAUUCUUUGUAUCAUUUGUGAUCUAUAACGAGUAUUACUUAUAAUUGUAAAUAAAUAGCGCUUUUGCAGUGUAUUUCCUCUCUAAUUUAGAAAGAUGGGAAUAUUGUGAGUAUAAGAGAAAUUUUCUAUCUAUUUUUUUUCCUUCAAUAUUUUUUUUCUCUAUUUCCAAACACGACAAAAUUACUCUCUUUCAAUAUUUUUCUCAUUCAUUUUAUUUCUUCUAAUAUUUUCCCGCCAUUCAAAUAUAGAGUUGACCUUUUUGGAUAUGAAGAACAUUAAUUUGUUCUUAUCCGCACCCUUAAUUUUCUUACUCUGAAAUAUCUCUACUGGACAAAUGUCUUGUAAAUCCAAAUGGUCAAAGAAGUUUUCUUUUUUUGCUUUUUUCUUCAUCUAAAGAGAUUUUGUUUUUAGCUCAUAUUUGAGAUUUAAAAAUCUUAAUCUUUGGUUAUCCAGAAAUACUACUGAUAAACUUUCACCACCACACAGAAAAAAAGGCAAGAGGAGAGAAAAUGGAAGUCUGGUUCAUCAUCGUUGUCUCUCUUUCUCUCUGUUUUCUCUUCAACUCCCUUUUCUCUCUUCUUAAACCCGCUCAAAAACUCCCUCCUGGACCUACUACCAUUCCUAUCAUCGGCAAUCUUCUCUGGCUUCUCAAAUCCUUUUCUGAACUCGAAUCCAUUCUCCGCCACUUACGCCCCAAAUACGGCCCUAUCAUUACACUCUCCGUCGGCUCUCGCCCUGCCAUCUUCAUCUCCACUCAUUCUCUCGCCCACCAAACUCUAAUCCAAAACGGUGUUGUCUUUGCUGACCGUCCACCAGCCCUUCCUGUUAGUAAAAUCGUAACUUGUAAUCAGCAUAACGUCAGCUCUUCCUUUUACGGACCAACUUGGCGGCUUCUCCGCCGUAACCUCACUUCCGAAAUCCUCCACCCCUCCCGGAUAAAAUCGUACUCACAAGCUCGAAAAUGGGUUCUUGAUAUUCUAAUUAGCCGUCUUAAGCCUUGUUCAAAAACUGGUGAACCCUUUCUUGUUAAGCAACAUUUUCAGUACUCUAUGUUCUGUUUAUUAGUUCUUAUGUGUUUUGGUGAGAAGCUUGAAGAAGACAAAAUCAAACAGGUUGAACGAGUUCAACGUCGUGUGCUUCUAAGCUUUGAUCGUUUCAAUAUACUGAAUUUUUGGCCCAGUCUAACAAGGGUUCUGUUCUAUAAGCGGUGGAAUGAGUUAUUGAAGGUCAAACAAGAUCAAGAAAGUGUGCUGAUUCCCUUAAUUAGAGCAAGAAAAAAUUCAAAGGUUGAAACUCGUAGUAUAGAUAAAGAGGAUUAUAACAAGAAGGUGGAAAAAGAAGAGUUUAUAUUAUCAUAUGUUGAUACACUUUUCGAUUUGCAUCUCCCAGAGGAGAAUAGAAAGCUUAUAGAAAGUGAAAUUGCUAGUUUAUGCAGUGAGUUUCUUGAUGCAGGUACAGAUACUACAUCCACAGCUCUCCAAUGGAUUAUGGCUAAUUUAGUUAAAUACCCACAUAUUCAAGAAAAGCUAUUCCUGGAAAUUAAUGGGGUUGUUGGAGAUGAAGAAGUAGUUAAAGAAGAUUAUUUACAAAAAAUGUCAUAUCUAAAAGCAGUGAUUUUGGAAGGAUUAAGGCGUCACCCUCCAGGACAUUUUGUGUUGCCACAUGCAGUGACUCAAGAUACAGUUAUAGAUGGGUUUGUAGUUCCUAAAAAUGGUACAGUGAAUUUCAUGGUUGCAGAAAUGGGUCGGGAUCCUAAGGUGUGGGAAGAUCCUAUGGCGUUUAAGCCUGAAAGGUUCUUGAAUAAUGGAGACCAAGCGUUUGAUAUAACAGGAAGCAAAGAGAUAAAGAUGAUGCCUUUUGGCGCAGGGAGAAGAAUUUGUCCUGGUUAUGGUUUAGCGAUGCUUCAUUUGGAGUAUUUUGUAGCUAAUUUGGUUUGGAAUUUUAAGUGGAUGGCUGUUGAUGGAGAUGAUGUUGAUUUGUCUGAGAAGCAAGAAUUUACCGUUGUUAUGAAGAAUCCACUUAAAGCCCACAUAUCUCCAAGAAUCAGGUCAGAUGUCUGUUGAGGAGAUUUAAUUAAGGGAGAUUUAGUUGUUUCUAUGUAUAUGUAUAAUGUAUGGAAGGAAGUUUAGCAUUGGAAGUGCUUGUUAGUCUCUAGUGGGUUAAGCUCCUCUGCUAAUAUUAUUACAUAAUUGUCUUUUUGAGAAUCAAAAGAAUAAGAUUAAUUACUUGCAUAAUAAAUUUAUAUGCAUGAUUAAUUUUGUACGAGGUGUUAAUUAUCAUCUAAUGGAUGUUUUAGGGCUUAAAAAUGUUGAAGCUUGAUUCUAUAAUUUUAAUAAAAAAAAAAAUGGUUGGAGCUUGAUUUCAGUUCAUUGUAAAAUUACUUAUUUGUAUGAAUUUAUUAGCUCGGGUUUAAAAUUGACAAGGUAUCCAUUUAAAGUUUCCAUCAUUGGAUCACUUGUUUUCAAUUAUCUAGUAAUUCAAUAACAAAAAUACAAAUAAUUAAUAGCAAAAUAAUCUACAAGGAGGUGGUCAAGUAUAAGUUUACUUCUGGAAAAACAAUUAAUAACAAAAUAAAAAAAAAAUAGUAUAAAAAAAAAAAGGUUUACAAGCACGCUGCAGUACUGCAAAUCAUGAAUUAAUAUUAACUAGUUCCAUCAAACCGACUCAAAUUCUUGGACGCUUCUUACUUAAAUCUUCAAUUUUGAAGAGAGAAAUAUUCUUGUUUCUUCUAUCCAUGGUCCGUGCAACCUUCAAAAUGUGCCUUACUAAAAUAUCAAGAUUACCGGUAUUAAAGCAAUUUAUUACAAAAAAAAAAAAAAAAAAAAAANNNNNNNNNNNNNNNNNNNNNACCUUAAAAAUUUGCCUUACUAAAAAAAAAAAAUUACCGGUUUUAAAGAAAUUUUUUAAAAAAAAAAAAAAAAAAAAAAAAAGUAACAAAGUAUUAGGUUUAUUUUUAUCUAAAAAGAUUUGUUAGGUUAAAUUGCUUAUUAUAUAUAAAUAAAAUAAAUAAAUAAAUAAAAAUAAUCUCCAGCUCCAUAUAGUUCAGGUCAUAGCAAUGGCAACAAAAAAUGUUUCCACACGAGCCAUGUGUCAAUUACAAGGAGAAAAGUAUAAAUACAUCAUUCAAGUGAGAUACAUUAACCGGAAUGUUCUAAUUCCAUGUCACAUAGAUCUAAGCUUGUGGCUCACUGCUGCUAACCUAAGGAUAGGAACAUAAUGAGGCCAACCACAUCGUCCAACUUAUAGUCUCUCACUCUCACAGGUCACAGCAAAGCAGCUAAUGGAUCCAUGAACUAUUAAAAGAAGUUGAAGCCAAAAACAAUAACCCAAAUUUAUGAAUUUUCAGUUGGCGUAGGAUUUGGCUCUGAUGAUCCAACUAUUUCUUCAAAGGCUUCCAUGUCAAUGGUCAUAUCAUCAUCAAUGUCCGCCUCCUGUACCUCAGCCAUUAUUUCAUCCCCGUCUCCGACCAUAGGUUGAACUCCAUUUUGUGUUGAACUGGGUUGUAGCUGUGAUUCAUCACAUGCCUUAUCUACUUCAUCUGGCUUUUGCAUUGCUUGCGGAUAAGGAUCGGUGCAAACAGUUAAUGUAGAUGUCACCAAAAGAUUCUGCAAAUAGGUUCAGUGUUGGUAAAAAUUUGAGUCAGACAUCGAAUGAAAAUGCUAAUUCUGAAAAACUAUUGAACUUCUUUGACAUUGCAAACUUUUUUUGUUUUUGCUUUUCUUAGCGCUAUUAUAGACCACGCAUGCAAACUAGUCAAUGUUAGGACUUCACAAAUUUUAAUUUUUGUCAUCCUACUUCCAUAACUAACUAAUACUAAAGUUUUAGAUAAUGGGCCUAACACAAAAUAUUAGAAGCCAUCAAACUAGAAGUGAAAUCAUUAGAUAAAGAGACUAUAGUAAUGAGCUAACAUACUAAUAAUUUCAAAUUUUCAGCAUGAUAGACUUUUUACUCUUGCAAGUUGCAAGUUUCAUCUAUAAAUAUUCACACACUUGGGGACUCACCCAGCUCAAUCUUCAAAAACAGGGGCUUGGAAUGGUGGUUUUGUCCCUAGCACAAUCAAGGCUAUCUCCAAAUAAAACAGGCUUGAAAAAUGACCCAAGGCUAUUUUGCCAAAAUUACACUUCCUUUUUCUAUAUAUUUAAGCAGUUGGAACAGGCCAUUGAACGGGUCUAUUUUCAUCUAAUGGGCAUCAGAUAAAAGGUUGCUAGCUUUAAGCCUCAUAAAGCAUGGACACCAUGCAUUUAUAAUCACCAUGCAUCGUUCGAAAAGUUUAGCUAGUAAAAUCACAAUGCAUUGUCUCAAUAAACCAGGAAUCAAAUCCCACUCACAUCAACAACAGAAUAGACAUGUUAAGUAAGAGUAAGAAUACCUCCUCUAGAAAAUAGCCAUUGAAAAAACAAAUGCAAAGAUAUACAACAUACUGAACAUCCUAUUUAGCACAAUGGACAUGACAUUUCAUCUAACCAAUGGGACAGGCAAAAGUAGCAUAAGAAACAAUUUAUUUAGAGCAGAACUUGUUCAGAAACUUGAGAGAUUCAACCAAUCAAAUCCCAAUGUUCAACAAAGUGUAGACAAGGAUAAUGGCACAAAGAAUCCAUAAAUAAAAAUAUUCAAGACAAUCAAAACAGAGAUUCUACUGAUGACAGUGAAAAUGUUAGUACAAACUCCUAUAAUUUAUCAUGAAACAGAGUACUUGAUGCAUGACGCUGACUAUAAUGUCAAAUCAACAGAAGGUAAAUAAUUUAUUGAAGGGAACUUAAGAUAGCACACCUUUUCUAGUGCCAGGGCAGCUUUUGAGAGGUUGGGAUAGAUACUUCUAGCAGCCAAUAGGAUCUGUAAAAUAUAAAAUGAAUAUGAUAUCAUAUAAUGAUAUUUGAUGCCCGUUAAGCGACAAAGUAAAAGUGAAAGGAUAAAAUGGAUACAAAAAAAUUAAAAGAGAAGCAGAGUUGUCAAAUACAAUUACUGUAUUAUAUGCUUGUAAUAUUUGCUUACUUAUCAACAUAUCUUGAAGGAGAGAAAAAAAUAAAGGGAAAAGGCACUAGUAGUUGGAAUCAAAUAAAUAGCGUUAGCAGGUAAUUCAUGAUAGACAAGAAACUUAAAGUCAUAUAUUUUUGUGAACCCCUAAGGCUCUAACUCUUGAAAAAGGGCUUAGUUUAUAUAUUUAAUGUUAGGAGUCAAAGCAUUCCACAGCCCCAUAGAAACAAGCAUGCAAAGUACAGCCUUCGAUUCUUAAACUAGAAGAACACGACAACGAACGUAAGGACAAAUUACACACUGCAACAUAUAAUCACCCUUACACUCUUAAAGAGUUCAUAAUUCUGACAGUGUCCUAGUACUAAACAUUUCUCUAACUUUCAGACAAAGGGACUUUCUUAGGAUAAACAGUUUCAGUUUUCUCCCUAAAGCCAGGUACAGGAAUCAAAGUAUAAGCUGCCAUAUCAUUGUCCAAACUGAUAUAUCAUAGGUUUUGCAUGCAUCAUGAGAAUCAAUCAAACUGCAAUACUCCUGCUCAUUGCAAGUGUGGAAACUAGAAUGAAGAUCUUCACGAGUUUAGAUGAUGACCAAAAGUCACAACUCAAAAGUUGCAAAAGAUUUAUGAUUAAUCAAUGUGGAUAAGAACUCACUAUAUAGAGAAAUCGUUAACCUAGAGAGAGAGAGAGAGAGAGAGAGAACAUAAGAUAAAAAUAAUCACCUCACAAAGUCUCUGCAGGGUAAAUGGAGGUCCUUCAUCAAAACUAUGAAGAGCUGCAGAGGAGGAAAAAAAAAUAUUAAAAGUAGUUUCAAAAGAAAAAAAUAACCUAUAAUUUACAAAUUUUAUAUAACUUAUCAACUGGCCAAACCAUCUACAGGGAGUUUGCCAAAAGCUACUUUUGCUGGGGAGAACAACCCCAAAUGGAUCCAUGGCCCCAAGGAUAUUGCAAUAAUCAGAGAGCCAGCAAGGCUACUAGUUAAAUCAUAUAUAGCACUAUGGUUUUGUUGUUUGGUCAGAUUAAUCAAUUACUGGUUGCUUCAACUUGUAAAUGUCAAUUCUUACUCCAGUUUUCUAUUUGUCUUCCCUUGCUGAAAAUUUAUGGUAUUAAGGAAUUUUACCCAAAGGCUGAAUUGCAUGGAAGCAACCACUCAUAUUUUCACCAUGAAGGCUGAAGGAUCAUACCUCAGUCCUAAAGGAAAAUGGUUCCACAACACAACAGUAAGGUCAAGCCAUAAAACCUCACUGUUUCAUGUGCUGUCUAGAGAAUUACUUCAGGUUUUUAUCCAAGGGCAAUAACGUUUUCAAGAAAAAACUAAUAAUGCUUGGAUGCAUAAAGCCCCAAGCAUGCUGCAUGGCCAUGUGAUCAUGCAGAUUCAUCGAAGCCAAGUUCAGCACUCUAAUUGAGACUUGGAUUAUCAUGACGUUAUCCCACUUCUUGACAUUCAUAAUUUCAAAUUUCAUCAUGUUGCCUAAGUCCAUGAUUAUAGACAGCAAGAAGCAAUGUAUAUUAGAAUUACCUUCAUCCAACCUUUUCACUAGUUCUGGAUAAGUUUCUCCUAAUGAGGCAUUCUGCCCCUCACUAGUCAUUUUCGCCUCAGGAUACUCUGACAGAACCUUCAUGAAUUAAAAAGAUGAAAAGUGAGUAUGGUCAUCAACAAACCAAUAAUGGAGAUAAUGAUGCACACUGUAAAGAAAUAAGAGAACUACAUGCUAGCAUACCUCCCCAUACCUGCUUCAGAUAAAAGGAUAUCAUGCUCUUCAAUUUUUCCCAAUCAUGCCUAACAUACAAAUCAUGAAAUAAAUAAGCACCAGUCCAAGCUAAAUCUUAAUGGUCAGUACCUAACCUCUAAUUUCCUCAAAUCUGUGGUUGUAAAAUAAAAAACAAGAAUAACUGAGCAACUACCAUAGUAUAACAUGCCUAAAACUAAAAGCAUAAGUUAGAUAGCCGAAAAGGCUAUCAAUAUCUUAUAAAGAAUCCAAGAAAAGACCUUUUUUUGUAGCUUCAAAAGAACCUCUUCAGAAGCAUUGGCAGUUGGAACAUCAUCCAGAAGCAAAUAUUAUUUUCAAAAACUAAAUAAACACUAAAGAAUGAACUAAAAAUUUUCUUGCAUCCACCUAUAGGGAAAAUAUGGUAGGAAAAAUAGCGAACAGCAUUUUGAUGAUCGUUGUACAAGUUGAAAACAUUGCGAAGCUAUUGAGUUUGGCAAUGACAGAGAAGAUAUUUCCCUAAGAAAGGGUAUAGUUGCUAGAACGGAGAACCUAAGCAACUUGAUCUUAAAUCCUUGAUCCCACGAGUUCUCUUAUAAUUUCAGGAGAUAAGAAAACGAAGAACAAAAUGGACAUUAUUAAGCAAGUAAAGGUUCUCAUUAUUCAAAUGAUAGUUAUAUUAGUUGAUGUGUUUGCAUAAAUACUAAGAGCAUAACAAAAAGAAAAUCAUCUAUCAGGUAUUGAAAAAAUCAUAUAGAAUCUUCUCAUAUCAUUACAGGAUUUCUAAGAAUAAUGAUAUUUGUCUAAAAUUAUACCCAGAACUUGUCUAAACUUCGAAUUAGUAGUUGAUCUAGCCAUGAGAGGGAAUAUGCUAAAGCUGAUACUUUCGACAUUCACAUUUUAGGCAAUUGACAGGCUAUGCUGAAUGGAAUCAGAGUAAUCAACUACUGUUUCAAUAUCAAACCCAAUCGAUACAGCAGAAUACAAUGACAGAGCAAAGAUAAAAAUUAGUAUAUGCAUGCAGGAGUACUGGGGAAAAAAAAAAUACAGUUUUGGAAAAACAUCGGUCCUGCUGUAUCAGGGCAAUGUCAGAAAAAACUUGAGACAUUUUUAACACAUACAUAGACACAUGCAAGCAAGUAGAUGCAAAUCAAAAUGUACCAAUCUUCAUCCGCAAAUUGUUUGUGUUGUGUCUUAACUAGAGGGGAAAAAAAAAAAAAGCCAAACCUCAUCAUGCAAAUCAAUAAGGGCUAAAUUAAGCCAAAUGCAUACCAAAAUUUUCCAGUGGAUGCAAUUACUUCAAGAAUGCCUCUUAUUUCUUCUUCGGCAAUCCCUGGCUUGGGUUCUGCACCUCUAAAUUUCCAAGCAAAACACGACUUCAGUACACUAAAAGUUGUAAAAUCCCCAUGCGUUCACAAAAACUACUUCAUUUUACAAAAAUUUAACAAAAAGAGGAGAGUGGGGAAGCAGUAAGAGCAACAACCAACAAGAAGUUUUCAACAACAUUCCUCAAAACCUUUCACGUUUAUCUUAAUUGAAGUCCUACUAAAACAGGAAGCCAUCUUUUAGGAUGUUUUUUUCCAAACUGAUAAGGUUGUAUAAAAAUUUCAUCUCAUUAUAAUUUCCCAUUUCCCUUGCAUGAUUGGUUCUAAUUUCAUUACUAAAAAUCUUUUUGAUCUACAUCUUAGUCAGUGUAAAAAGAACAGUAAGCAUUCCACAGAAAGGCUCAACCAAAAUCCCAUCCUAACAGUAAGGUCAAAACUAGAGACAACUGAACCUACCAUUAAUAACACCCGACAUUGAUGCAAGAGUAGGUAUAAAGGGGAACAGUUUGAUUUCUAGCUAAAGAAGUGAAAUAAGAUCGUAGAAAAUAACCUAAACGCCUACUACUUCUAAAACCGAACGGUAUGAAGCAAGAAGCACUUACCCGUGAUUUAAGGAAUUAGAGGCCGUAUUAUCUUGAAGGUGGUCGGCAUCGUUGGGUAGCGGGACUGGUUGGUCGGAAUUUUCAGUUGACGGCAUCGCCAUUCGAAGCUUUUCACCUGCUACGGAUUACAGUAGAGAUAUUUUAACAAACCCGAUGGCCCAUCCGGCACUGCCUUCUUACCCUAAUGACCUGAUCUUUUCGCAAAGCGCAUUUGAAGGGUAUUUUCGAAAAAUGAUAAUCUGACUAUAUUUCAAUAAGUUUUUUUAAAGCGUCAAGAGAUUAAUUAAUUGUUGGCAUAGCUGACGGGCUCCAUUAGACAUCUUUCAAAUCUAAUUGAGUGGCUAAGAAUUUAAAAUAAAAUAUAAUUCACCUUUUUUUUAUUUUUGAAACUAACCUUUUUUUGAAUACUGUGGAUGACCAGAUAACUAUAUAUUUUACAUUCAUUGGGGAAGGAGAGUGGAAGUAAAAUAAGUAUAUAAAAUAAAACUAUUCAUUUUACCUUUUUUUCUGCAUUUUUGUUUAGAUUGAUGUAAAAUAAUUUUAUUUUUAUUAUUAUUCAUGAAUAGUAACUCUUUCACUAAAUUAUUUAUUAUUUUUACUCCAUUUUGGUAGAAAAAUUGUACAAUAUAAAAUAUAUUAUUUUAUACCUCCUUUUAUAUUUUUAUCCAAACCAAAUAGGUAAUUUAAAAAUCUCAAAAUAAUUUAUCCUCUAUUUUACAUCCGGUCAUGUUUUGCCGCCAUCCAAAAUAUUAAUCUCGGACAUUAACAUUGAAAAAUCCACUCCAUAUGUGCACAGUAAUAAUAAUUAUUUUUAAUAGUUGUUAGCAAAUAAGCAGUGACUAUUACUUGAUUAGUAACAAGUACUUGCUUCGAAUCAUAAUUUUGGUCUUAUUUUCUCUUUUCAUAUGUUAUGAAUUAUUGUCAUAUUUUUCAGUAAAAAAAUAUUGUCAUAUUUAUUAGAAAUAAACAAUAUUUAAAGUUUACUAUUUUAUUUUUAUUUAAUGUAUUUCUUUAUUAAGAAAUGUAAUAGUAUUUUCAUUAAUUAAAUCUUUAUAUAAAUAAAAUUGAAAUAUCAACCCUUAAUUUUCUAAAAAAAAUAUUUUUAAUUAUAGUUUGAUUAAUUUAAUAACACUUAAUUUUAGUAGAAUACCAAACAAGACUAUAUUAGCAAAUGGUAAAGUACAAAAUUAUUUAAAGUGGAAUAUUAACACAAUGGUAUAGAACUCAUUUAUUUUUUCUUGUAUAAUUGGAAGGUUUAAUCCCAGAGGUUUUUGGCCCUCCCAGCAGAAUGCGUUUAGUAUAAUCGAAAAGUUUAAUUCCGGAGAUUUUUGGCUUUCUCAGCAAAGUGCAUUUCGUAUAGCCGGGAGGUGGUAUAAUCGAGAAAUUUAAUUCCAGUGGUUUUUGGCCUAUCAGCAAAGUGCAUUUGGUAUAGUCGGGAGGUGGUAUGACCGACAGGUUUAAUCUCAGUGGUUUUUGACUUUAUUAGCAAAGUGAAUUUGGUAUAGCUGGAAGGUGGUGUGACCGAGAGGUUUAAUUCCGGUGGUUUUUUGCUAUCCCAACAAAGUGCAUUUGGUACUAGCCGGGACGUGGUAUAAUCGAGAUGUUUAAUCUCGAUGGUUUUUGGCUCUAUCAACAAAGUGCAUUUGGUAUAGUUUUUUGGCUUUAUCAGCAAAGUGCAUUUGGUAUAGCUGGAAAUGGUAUGACCGAAAGGUUUAAUCCCUGUGGUUUUUGGCUCUCUUAGCAAAGUACAUUUGGUAUAACCGGGAAGUAGUAUAACUAAGAGGUUUAACCCAAUGGUUUUUGGCUGCCCUAGCAAAGUGCAUUUUGGUAUAAUUGGAAAGUUUAAUUCAUGUGAUUUUUGGCUCUUUCAGCAAAAUGCAUUUGAUAUGGCCAGGAGAUAGUAUAACUGGAAGGUUUAAUCCUGGUAAUUUUUUGCUCUUCCAGUAAAGUGCAUUUGGUUUAAUUUUGGUGGUUUUUCGCUUUCGUAGCAAAGUGCGAGAGGUUUAAUCCCGGUGGUCUUUAGAUUCCCAACAAAGUGCAUUUGGUAUAACCUAGAGGUUUAAUUCUGGCGAUUUUUGGCUCUUCUAAUAAAAUGCAUUUGAUAUAGUCAAUAGGUGGUAUAAACGAGAGUUUAACCCCGAUAGUUUUUUGUUCUCCUAGCAAAAUGAGGCUUAAUCCUAAUGGUUUUUUUUGCUCUUUUCACUAAAAUGCGUUGAUUACCUCAAUUAACACCUUAUUGGUUUUAGAAUUCAAUUUUUAAUUUUAAUAAAUAGUAAUUGUCUAGAAUAAUACUCUAUGUAUAACUAAUAUAUACUCUUCAUUUCAAAAUUUUUAAUAUUUUAAAUACUACUAAUUAAUAACAAAAAUACACAUAAAAAUUUGAAAUAAAUUUCAAACUAAUACAUCAUUCUUAAAUACAAUAAAUGAAAAAUGAAUUUUUACAUAAAACUGAAUCGUAAAUUGAUGAAUUAUAUGUCUAUUUUUUAAAAUUAAUUAUAUGUAUAUUUAUUUCAAAUACUAAUACUAAUGCUAAUAUUAAAACUCUGUUUACUUUUGUAAAAUAAUUUGCACGAGCAUAUUUUACAUAAUUUUUUGUUGUUUGGGCAUUCAAGAAAAUAAGUCAACAGAAAAUAUUAUUCUAGUCAAAGGAAAACUAAAUCAUUUUUUAAGAAAAUAACUUUUCAUUUUCGAGUGAGUAAAGCAUUUUUAAGAUAUUGAUAAACCUUAUAAAUUCAUAUUUUUGUAAUUUAUUAAUCAUCGUAGUCACUAUUCCAAUCACCAUUUACUACUGAUUACCACCACCACUCACCGAUGACUUUCAUAAUUUACAUUUUUUCUUGCAUUAUUCUCAUAUUUAAUAAUAAAAUUUUUAAAUUAUAAAAUUUAUAUUAUUAUUAAUAUUUUUUAUGAUUGCAUAAGAUAAAAUUUUUAAUAUUUUUAACUAAUUUUCAAUAUUACAACUAAAUAACCGAAAAUAAGUCAUUUUAAGGAAAUAAAGUAUCAUAAUACUACUAAUUCAAUUUAAAACAAAGCAGUUCUAUAGUUUAAUUCUUUUUUAUGGUAAGAAAGAAACUACUGUAUCGUGUGAGGAAAAAUUGCAAACCAAGGACGUAACGGUACUGAAAUAAACAACGAGCAUUUUCAAAUAAAUAGGAGCGGGAAAAAUUCAUUUUCUCUCUCUCUCGGUACGCAUUUCAAAAUUCUGUCUCUCUCUAAACUCUUUUUCGCUACCUCUCCUCCUCUCUGUAAAUCCGCUUCUCCAGAUUUAUUUUUCGCUUUGCAACUCGACUGAGGUAUUCUCCUCGAUAUUGCCUCUCAAUGCUCUUUUGCUCUGUUUUCACUAGAUUUUACUUUAUUUUUUUAAAGCUCAGUAGCAUUUAAUAUCAGAAAUUAACUGCAAAAUGGUAUUAACUAUAUUUAGGGUUUCACCAGGGACAGUGUUCACAUUGCUUUCGCCGCUGGUAAAUCGAGAAUUGUUUACACAUUUUUUGUUUUAACUUGAAUUUGAUCGAGAUCUUAGACCUCAUUUAUUGAAUUGCUUUCUUGGUGAAAUUAUAGUUUCGGCAACAAUUUGCUUUAAUUAUGGUGUGAAUGUAAACAAAGCUGGUUUCUAAAAAUUGUUGCAGCUAAAUCUGAUAUUGUUGAGUUUUUCCUUUUUCCUGUUUUUGUGGAUGAACAGACAGAAUUUUUGUAGAUAAUAGAAAAUGGGAGUGGAAAACUACCACGUGAUAGAGCUAGUAGGUGAGGGCUCGUUUGGGAAAGUGUAUAAAGGCAGGCGCAAGUACACAGGCCAGGUAAAUUUUGUAUUUUACUUUUUUUAAAAAGGUAUGUUCUAUUAAUUUGUAUUUUUUUUUCUUUAAUCUUGGCGUUGUUGUUGUUGUUGAUAGACUGUUGCGAUGAAAUUCAUUAUGAAGCAUGGGAAAAGUGAGAAGGAUAUUCAUAAUUUGAGACAGGAAAUUGAGGUACUCAUAUUCUAGACUGAUAAACUUUGGCCAAUGGUCGUUCUCUCUUGGGAAGUUAUUCUUUUUGCUUGACAUUUUCUUUAAUAGUUUUAUAUUAAUUUUUAUUGCUGCUUUAUGCUUAAUAUCUCGAAUGUGGUAGAUUCUAAGAAAGCUGAAGCAUGAAAAUAUUAUUGAAAUGCUUGAUUCCUUUGAAAGCCCCCAGGAAUUCUGUGUUGUCACAGAAUUUGCGCAGGUAAUUACCUCCUUUCUUUUGACUAUCUUGGAAUGGCUUACAACCACAAAAGGAAAAAAAAAGGGAAAAAAGAUAGUAUUCUGGGACUAGCUGAUGGCAUUUGCCCAAUACGCAGGGUGAGCUAUUUGAGAUACUAGAGGAUGAUAAGUGCCUCCCCGAAGAACAGGUUCAAGCAAUUGCAAAGCAGUUGGUAUUUUUCCCUCCAAUUAGAAAAAAUUAUCGCCUAUUGAUUUGGUCUAGCUGGCUUUUUUUUUUUUUUUUUUUUUUUUUGAGUUUAUUAGCUAUAAUAUUCUGGACUCCAACUUUCUGCUGUUCAAUCUUACAGGUGAGAGCACUGCAUUAUUUGCAUUCUAACCGUAUCAUCCAUCGGGACAUGAAACCACAGAACAUACAGUUUAUUAGCUAUAAUAUUCUGGACUCCAACUUUCUGCUGUUCAAUCUUACAGGUGAGAGCACUGCAUUAUUUGCAUUCUAACCGUAUCAUCCAUCGGGACAUGAAACCACAGAACAUACUCAUUGGUGCUGGGUCAAUUGUUAAGGUUGGAACUUAGACGAGUUGCUGUAUUCAAGGGGCCCAGUUUAUUUGCUCGAGUACUCUCAUAUUAUUGUGUGCUGCCCAUGUAGUGAAUGCUACUACAACCUCUUGAUUAUAUAAUAUAUGCAGACAUUUUCUGUUUAUUUAUGAAGAUUAUUUCUCAUGUUUUAAUCUCUAAAUGAAUUCAUCAAGCAUUUUACAGUUUCUAGUAAAAUAUCCUAUUGUCCCGUUCUAUAAUUAAAGGCUAGGUUUUCAUCAAGUGUUGUGAUCUUGUGUAUACCCUUUUUUAUCUGCCACAGCUUUGUGAUUUUGGAUUUGCACGUGCCAUGUCCACAAACACUGUGGUUUUACAGUCCAUAAAAGGUUUGGCUGAUAUCUUUGUGAUGAACAUUCCACUUUGUAGACGUUACUACUCGGCUGAAUUUGCUUUUAUAUUUGGUUCCAGGAACUCCAUUGUACAUGGCUCCGGAGUUGGUAAGGGAGCAACCAUACAAUCACACUGCUGAUUUAUGGUCCCUUGGAGUGAUAUUGUAUGUGCAUGUUCUCUCUCUAUCCUGUAUAUAUGGGGAACUGGCGAAGUCUAUUUAAUCUAGACUUUGAUCGAGUUAAUUGUGAAACAAAAAUUUUCAUCAUAAUUACAUUUGUUUUGCAAAGGUUCCUAGUUAAAUUUUGGUUUGAAUAAACAACUUUCAGAUACAUUUCAAAUGACCAUAUAAAUGUGCACAGUCAAUCAUUUGAGUUAGGUUUUUAUCUUUCUUGUACCUUGAUUUACAUACAUAAUCAUACCUAAUGCGUCAUGGUUUUAACAGGUAUGAAUUAUUUGUUGGUCAGCCCCCAUUUUAUACAAAUUCAGUUUAUGCACUCAUCCGGCACAUUGUUAAGGUGCAUUUGCUUGAACUCUUUUGAGUUAACUUAAGCUUUAUGACCAGGUGUGUGAAAGUAGCAGCUAAUGUUAUGUGUGAUAUCCCAGGAUCCAGUAAAAUAUCCCGAUGAUAUGAGUCCCAAUUUCAAAAGCUUUUUGAAGGGAUUGCUCAGUAAGGUUGUUCUAUACCUCCCCUUGUGGAUGAUUACUAUCAAUUUGAAUUUUGAUAUUAAAAUUGGUCCUAGAUUUUAUUUAUUUAUUUAUUUUUUUGCAACACAGGUACCGCAAAAUCGAUUGACUUGGCCUGCUCUUCUUGAACACCCAUUUAUUAAGGAAACCUCGGAUGAAAUGGAAGCCAGGGUAAUGUUAUUCCAUACAUGCUCUUAGUUUCACAUUUUCAUUCAUCUUUUUCUUCAAUUUGUAAGUUUAGAAAGUACAAUCUUGCUAGUCUCACUCAUAAAAGUAGGAAACCUUAGUUUCACUCACACUUUCAUUCUACCUUUUUCUUCGAUUUUUAAAGGUUAGAAAGUAUAAUUUUACGGAUCUCACUCGUAAAAGCAUCACGCCUAUCAAGAAUGAUUUCGGAGCACAAUCAACAAUAAAUGACUCUUUUUCAGCUAUCUAUAACAUGAGCUUGCAUAUUUCAUAUCUAUCUAUCUACAUAUAUAUAUAUAUAUAUAUAUAUAUAUACACACACACAUAUACAUACAUUUCAAAAAUGCUUUGUUGUAGAUUAUAGAAUUAUAGUAUUCGGUGAAAUAUCUUCAGGAAAUGCGUGCUGCAACUGCUGCAGCCAGGGGAUGUGAUGCAGCAUGGAAGGGUGAAGUCCAAGCAUCAACUGUUUUGGCUGUCUCCAGUCCAGAGGGUAUGGCUUUCGCUAGAUGCUUAGUAGUUCUAAAUUUCAGUGGCUUAAAAUAUCAUCAAUUACCUUCUUGCAGGUAGAAAUAAUUCUGCUGCUGCUCUUGAGAAUUGUAAUGCUCCGAAGCCUCAUAAUGAUUCUAAACUGAAUAGUCCUAGUGUAGCCACAACCAAUUCUGCACCACAUGAAGAAUUCCCUGGAUUUGCAAGUCCUAAUGAUGCUAAACAGUCGGGUUGGUGAAGUAUUUCUAGCAAUAGUAUAAAUUACAUUCAUUUUUUUCAUUUGAAUUUUUGAAAAAGAAAUUUGCCUUUUUUAUUUUUGUAAGAGAACUCUGUAUGAUCUCUUUUUCUACCCAGUCUUGCAUUGAUCUCCUACAUCAUAAGUUGAUACCAGAUGGACAAUUUUAACUAUAAAUUUCAAGCCAAUUGAAAAGUCAUAAAUAUCUGAAUUUUGCAGUUUCUUGGUUUGUUCAGUUCUUUAUCAUAGCCGAUGUAUCCCUUUGGUUGUUUGGAUGUUGAAUCUGAUGUUAGCUAAGUUUGUAGUUGCUCAUAAAACAGUAGACUAGACCUGGUUUUGACUUAUAUUAAUGCAAACCCCUCUUUCUGGUAAUUUGUAUAUAGUCAUAUAUGUAAUUACAUAGAGUUAUAUCAAGUUAUCCUAUUCAAAAAGAGGAGAAGGGCUUGUAAUCUUUUUAAUGAUGUUUUGGUGGUUUCUCCCUUGCUUGAUGACACUACAUAGAUAUUUUUAACAUCAAAAGAGUAAACCUCUCGCAUUUAGGGAAUUAUGGUUGUGUGUGCACUUUUGUGCAUGACUUGUGCAGUGUAUUUUUAUUAAUUAUCAAACCUGGUAAUUAUUCCCUUCAUUAAUUCAGAUGUUGCAUUAAACCAUUUUGAUGUGGAAAUCGAAAGUGUAAUUACAUCUUGUUUCUCUUCAGGUAGCCAAGCAUUAGACAGAUUGGAAAACAACUCCCGCACUGUUAAAGGUGCACAAAUGAUUGGUCAAGAUAAUGAAGCAUUAGCACUUGUUUUGCUACCAUUAAAAAGAUGGUCAAAAGAAUCCCAACAUUCUUGCAGGUUAAAUUGUGUUACUUUCUCAUCAUCAUUUGAUUAUAUUUAAAAGUUGUUGGCCUUUUCUAUUUUUUAGCCUAGGCAAAAAAUAAGCUCUAAUUUGUGCCUUACUUUCUAGAAAAGUUAGUAAAAGGACCAUGUGCAUGCCCUACUUCCUACAUGAGGCCUUUUAAAUUAAAGGGAAAAAAAAAAUACACAACAGCAUUUGAAACAUUACAUGCUUUUGGAAACAUGCCAUUGGGUAAUAGGCAUGAUUGCACUCAAACAUUCUAUAUUUUAUUUUUGGAAGAAUGUGAAACAAUAAUAGCUAGAGUGAUUUUUUUAUUUAUAAAAAUUCACAAGAUGGAAUGGUUUUGAUAAUUUAUUCUCAGUUGUUAUAAUGGCUUAAGUCUUUUAAUAAUGGUCUGCCUCUAUGGUUUCUAAAUGAAACUGUGGAGUAUUACUUGGACAAGUAAAAAUGUGCAAUUCUAUGGUGAUGCCAUAUUUACCACAUCUAAAAACUUGCGUCAGUACAGUUGCACACUUAGACAACUUUCUUGAGUCUCAACCAGAAAGCCAUAUUCUUUACCCUAGGUGAAACUCAUCAAGAACACUUACAUUUGCACCUGCAUGAAAUAAAGCAAUAGCAUUUGUUUACAAGUUAACCCUAUGAAAAGUCAUAUACAUGUGCUAAGUUGGAGAUUAUUUUAUAACAAGUCCAAAAAAUUAGUCAAAGCAAAGAUUGGGAUAGUAGUCUAGCAAUGAGUACCUGAAUUAGAAAGCAGGCACUGGACAAUGGAAAUUGUAGUUUUGACCUUUGUGAUACUUCAUUACAUAUAUUCUGCCACCUCUCACUAAUCUUGUACGUGUAUUCUUGGUUUUAGUGUCUUAGUUAUUUGUAUGAUGGCUUGUAUUUAAAAAGUAGCCUAUUAAUUGAGACAUUAAAUUGCUUUUCAAACACAUUCAGGGAUCAGGAUCUUCCUACUUCAAACCAGUCACUGAAAAUUCUUUCAAACUUAGCUGCAGCUGGCGCAAUCCAGUCUAGCGGGUUACUUGAUGAAAUACUAUGUGAACUUCUUGACUUCACUGCUGUUAUAAUCAGCUUGAAAUCCGUGGAACUCAAUGAUUUAAUUGCAAAGGUAUUUUACAGCUGGAGUUCAUUUUGAAGCCCAAAGUCUUUUCCCUUUUUAAUAUACUCAUGCCUAUAUUUCAAUGAUAAUUAGUGUUGGAUUAUUGCAUAUUUCUUUUGGGUUGACAAAAUUAUCAUGAUUGUAAUUAGAUUAUAAGUUAUGAUCUAUGUUCUUUUACAUUAUGUACUUCAGUAUUUUUCAUAUUUUGUAUGCCAGUUGUAAAUACUGUAAGAGACAAUUUUGAAGUUCAGGCUUCUUUUCAGUAUUGCAUUCCCUUCUUUCACUUAGAUAUUUCUUCUCCUUUCCUCACAGGUUUGGAAUUACUAUUGUUUUCUACUAAUUUUUUCCAAAUUUUGACUGCAUAAAUUUGGAAAUGAUUAUCAUUAUUGAAAAAGCUGGAUGUCUUCAAUUGCCAUGCACUGUGAAUGGUUGAUUUUUCAUGUCUAAGGAUUAGCAGUGACCGACAUAAUUCUAAUUUCUUAAUUACGCAGAGUUUUGCUAUUAUGAAACAAUCAUUAGACAAAAGAGGUGGUGGUAUUGGAGCUUCAUAUUUCACCCAUUGGGUUGCCUUGAUUGAAAUUUUUGCACAGGUAUUAUGUCCUUAUACAUAAUGUUAUUUCUUCCACCUAUAAAUGCCCUUAUUCUCAGUUUUCUGAUGAUGACAAAUGCAUAGGUUGUUGGUUGCAAUGAGGACAACUCUGGAAGAGUACUGUAUGAGGCCACUGCUUGCGUUACAGUUGUGUUAUCAACAGUAGCCAAGGGUCUCAAAUUAACUUCAUGUUCUGAAGCAGUUUCUACUCCGGUUAUGAAUGAAACAAUGAAGCGAAUUUUGGAUCAUGCUAAGACAUGUGGAUUGGUCGAACAUUUAUGCCUUUGCUUGGUAACAACAGGCUCAAGCCUUAUUUCAGGUUCUUCAAACAUGUUGCGUGCUGCUUGUGAAGCUUGUAGAGCUAUCUGGUCAUUGAUAGAUGCGGUGGAAACUCUUUUUAUGAAAGCAAAUGUUUAUUUAUUUCCAUUAAAUUCUUUGCGGAGUCAUUCUUUAAUCCAACUUGACAUUCGAGAUCAAGAAAGAGGUUCAUUGACUGGGACAGAUUCAGCCAGAAUUACUGAUGCUGUGACAAGGGCAUUCCUAAAAUCAAAAGCGGUGCAGGUGGCUAUAUAUUAUUGCCUUCAUCAACGUCUAGAGGCUGUGCUGACUGCCAGUAUUCAGGUGUUUUUCUUGUAUCCUUAGUUUUUGAAAUUGUUAUUACACUAUAAUGAUUGAAGAAGCUACUUUAUUUUAAUUCAUUUUCUAAUUAUUUUUCUUAAUAUUUGUGCUUCAGUCUCUAUAUUGAUUUGUAAGUUUACUCUUUUUUAAAAUGUUUCAGCUUUUGACAAGGUGCUGCCUCCAUAAUGCAAUUGUUCCUGGUGUUCUGUGUGGUUUGCCCAGUUCUCUUCCUGUUACUACUGUUGUUAGUGGUGGAGGGGAUGGAACCAUUGUUUCAGAGAUCUUCUCUAUUUUAUCUUUAUGUGUUUCGUCUUCAAACAAAGAUCUUCAAGUGGGUGAAACAAAUAACUUCAAGAGCAAACUAUUGAAUCCUUCCGCUCUCAUAUUGCAUUCAUGCCUUAUACUUGCAACUAUUGCUCAGUGUUUGAAGUCAACUGGACGGAAUUCUGCAUUAUUUAUGCUCACAACCUCUCCAAAGAAACAGUCAUCCCGACUUUCAGUUCUUGCCCAUCAUUUUUCACAUGAUGAUAGAACCAAGAAUUCAUUGCAACCUCAUUGUGCAUCAGCCAUGCUGGCUGUUGCAUCCAUUCUAGCUCUUGAAAGUGGAGCUUCUGUGGAGUCUUCUAUCUCUGAAAUAGCAGUUCCUUUGAUUCCUCGCACUGGCACGAUCUGUGAACACCUCAAGAUAUCAAUAGGCAAUGAAGAUGAAAUGGGGCCUAAUAAAGCAAAUGGCAUUCUCUCAUAUUGGCAUGGCCUUAAGGACGGAUGUGUUGGCUUGCUAGAAUCCAGGUUGAAAUGGGGAGGGCCAUUAGCUGUGCAACAGUUAUGUGCAAGUGGUAUCCCUCUGCUUCUUAUUGAGUUAUUAACCAAAAACCAUCUGACUGCUUCUCCUAAAGGAAUGGAUAGCACAAAAGAUCGAGUCGGGUUAUCCCCUCUUGGGGCUGUUUGGACAAUCUCAUCAAUAUGCCACUGCCUUCCAGGCGGUGCCUCAACUUUCCGCCAGAUUUUAGUCAGAAGUCAACAUGUCAAGCUCAUAUCUGAGUUGAUAUCUGAUACACAUCUCAAGCUUUUGAAGGGCUGGGGUGGGCCUGGUGGAGGCAAGGAUGGUGUCAGAGACAUAAUAAAUGCAGUAAUUGAUCUCUUGGCCUUCCCUUUUGUUGCUGUACAGAAUGCUCCUAGUUUGCCAUCUGCUACUGCUUCUGUGAACAGUGGAUUCCUUCUCAACAUGGGUUCACCUGGUGGAAGAAUAUUCAUGGAAGAUAAAGACAUGGUUAAAGCAAUUGAGGAAGACAUGGGAAAGUAUCUUAAAAUCCUUCUGGAGGUUAGCCAACUUUCUUGCUUUCUUGUGUUCUUUUCUUUUUUCUGGAUCAGGGCAAGGAAGAUUAUUUUGCUACAUAUUUCAAUAGUUUUUGGAUAAAACUACACUCCGUGUACAGCUUUGUUUGACCAGCUAAUCUUCUAAACCUUUUAGAUGGAGAUUCUCAAUUUUAUUAAUAUGCAUUAUAAUUCUGCCCUAGAACUUGUGUAUGAUAUGCAAAUCUUCGUAAUCUUUUAUUUCAUUUGUAGCUUUCAUCAUGAGAACAGGAUAAAAUGCUGGUCACUGAAACCAUAUGUAAUUGAGAAACUUAUGAGUGUUGUUAUUCUAUUGCUGCCAAACUUCUUAGGUGGGAGUGCCAGGCAUCAUCCUCCGAUGCUUGGAACAUAUGGAGCUAAAGGAUUUGGGAAGGCCUGUUGCUUUUCUUGCCAAAAUGGUAGCACACCGACCUCUUGCAGUUCAACUUGUAGGCAAAGGUCUCUUGGAUCCAAAUAGAGUGAGAAGAUUGCUUGACAAUUCAAGUCCAAGAGAGGUCAUGCUAGAUGUUCUAAUGAUCAUUUCUGAUCUAGCUCGUAUGGACAAGGUCAGAUUUUCUGAUUUUUCUCAUAUUGGCAUAAUAACUUGGGCCCUAGUCCUGGAAGAUUUUGGCCAGACUAUGAGCUAGCUAGCCUAAUUUUUGUAACUUCGUCAAUAGAAAGUUGAUGACUUUCAACUGAUUUCAACCAUUCUAAAACUUUGCCCAAUCAAUAUAAAAAAACAUAUAAAAGUUUUCCAUAGUACUGUCUGAUAAUCUUGGAUAUUGUUGGUGUUCAGGGUUUUUAUGACCACAUUAAUGGGGCCUCUAUGUUGGACUUCUUGAAGGAGUUUCUUGCGCAUGAAGAUCCCAAUAUACGUGCAAAGGCAUGCAGUGCUCUCGGCAAUAUGUGUCGGCAUAGCUCCUACUUCUAUGGUUCACUAGUAAGUACAGAACAAUAAAUUGCUAGGCAGUAUGCUCAACCUUGUGGAUCAUUUAGUUCUACGGACAUCUAAAAAUGAAUUUAUUUCGUGUACAGUUAAAAGUUAUUGGAAAUAGAAUCACUUUCUUGGGGAUUCACACAAAAUGUUCUUGUUCUCACAGUUUAUUUUGAUUUCUAGGUAAGACAUCAUAUAAUUGGUCUUCUCAUUGAUCGAUGCGCUGAUCCAGAUAAACGCACACGGAAAUUUGCAUGUUUCGCUGUAAGAUCUGUUUUUUUAAAUAACAUUGCUUUUUGUUUUUAUUUUUUUCAGCUAUAUAGCAAUGAUUGUAAAAAGUGUGGUACGAUUGGUUGAAUUUAUUUCAAGAGAAACAAAACUUUGUAAAAAGUGCAUACUAUCUAAUUUAUCUUACUCUUCAGAUUGGAAAUGCUGCGUAUCAUAAUGACAUGUUGUAUGAGGAGCUCAGAAGAUCUAUACCUCAAUUAGCAAAUUUGUUACUCUCAACUGAAGAAGACAAAACUAAAGCAAAUGCUGCUGGAGCAUUAAGUAAUCUUGUCCGCAAUUCCAACAAACUUUGUGAAGAUAUCGUCUCUAAAGGAGCCAUGCAGGUUUGUUAAUUCACUGAUGUAGUUUUCAACAAAAAAUUCCUGCAAUAUUAGCCAAUUUAAAAAUCAAGAUCACAACGUGUAAAACAUUUUUAUGCAAGGACUAAAAAAUUAAAGGUUUACGAUUGCAACCAAUUUUAUCCUCAAAAUUUCACUAAUCUCUCCAUAAAAUAUGGCAAUUGGAACUAAGGUUCAAAAAAAUGCUCUUAAUGUUGGAAUUCUUAUCUCUGUUACAACUUGAGCUAAAACGUGUUAGAUAUUAGGAACUUAAUUGAAGUUGGCUUUGUACUACAGUUUUUUUCUUUUACGUUCCUUUAACGUUUCAUGAGUUAGCUUCGUUCUGAGAAAUUGAGGUUUUUAUGAGCUUGCAUUUGAAGGGAGUACAUAAAGCCUUUCAAAAUUACAAUACUAAAAAUUGGGAAAGCUAAAAAUAAAAAUGAACUGAAGGAACUCUUACUUGCCUGUCAAUCCAAAAGAAAUGACAUUUGCAUGUUGAUGGGUAUUAUAUGGUUUGCCAUAAUGAAAUGAAACGUGGUUGAAAUUUUUAAUGUUUCAGGCUUUGUUGAAGGUGGUAUCUGAUUGUUCAGCUCUAGCCCUCAAUCCAAGCAGGAGAGAUGCGGUAAAUGAAUCACCAUUAAGGAUAGCUCUUUUUUCAUUGGCAAAGAUGUGUGCACAUGCCCCUUGCAGACAGUUUCUCCGUUCAUCAGAGUUGUUUCCGGUGAUCGGAAGGCUUCGACAGUCUCCAGAAUCUACAAUUGCCAAUCACGCCUCGUUUAUAAUUAGCAAAGUUGCCGAGGCUUGAAGAAGCAAAGCUAGAGGUAGUCAAAAGGUAUGAUCUUUUUUAGCUUAGUUUCCACUGAGCAGCAUUGAAUUAGCUAAUGAAUAUAAAUUAAAAUUUUUGCCAUAUAGUGAGAUGCUGUAAACAUGUUUUAUACAUAUUAUGUAAAUGCAUUAAUUUUCUUUUUUUAAUUUGUCUGAAAUUUAAAUGUAUUUAAAUUAAAGGUGAAAAUACUUCUUGAGCCUUUUUGUUUUUUUACAAAAAGUACAUUUGGAUCCAUCAAUUAUUCUUCAAUAGAACACUUUCGUCCUCUUUUGAGAAAUUAUAAUGACAUCACUAGCAUUUUAAACUUUAAAUUUACUAUUGACUCCUGACCUAAUAGUCAAUAAUUAAAAAAAAAAAAAAGAAUUGUAAUAAUAUCAGGAGGGCAUAAGAGGAAGGGUAUUAAUUAGAAUAUAAUCGAAUACUACUUUUUAGUAAAAAGAACUUAUAAUUUAGGACAAAUGUUUUACUCCUUUUAUUUUAAAAUAUAAAUUGUAAUAUUUACACAUAGAUUAAAAAUAAUUAAUUCUCUUAAAUUAUAAUAAAAUUAAAAAUACUUUAAUUAAAUUAUAUUUUAUUUCAAAAUUAAAAAUAAUUUAUAAAGAUAAUCAUUGUAAACACGAAUAAAGGUAAUAUUGUAAAUGAUGUUUAUUACUGUUUAAAAUAAUUUGUAUUUUAAAAUAAAAUAAUCAUAUAUUUUUAAGAUAAAAUAAUCAUUCAAUAAUAAUUUAUAUUUUGGGGACUGAUGGUCUUUAUAAAAUAAAAAUUCCUUUUAGGGCCUUGAGCGGUGGGUUUUGCUGAAGUAACACGUCGUCAACAGAUGAUCAUAGCGAAUCUUUACACUUGGUUUGCCAUUCCGAGAAUCGACGGGUUCGGAUCGGUCAACCAAUCUCCGAGCGAUCCAGAACUUGACACGCGGCCCGACUCAAAGAAUGUAGUAGUUUACAAUUUUUUGACGUAAAAUUACUUUUACCUGUUGGCUCGUUACCCAACGCAGUCCUGAUCUCGUCUCAACCAAAACUAGCCAGUAGCUUAUAGAGCAUGACCCUAUAAACUAUAAUAAUUUGUACUUGUGUCAGAAAUGGGAUUUUCAUAUUACAGUGUAACACAGUAUACAGUAAAAAUACACAUGAUGGAAUAGUUAAAUUCUCAGAAUUUUUAAAAUUUUUUAUUUAAUUAUUAUAACUAUUUACUUUUUGACCUUGAGACUAUAUUCUUAACACAAUUAUUUUAUUUUUGAAUACAGUAUUAUUCAAUUUAUGAUUUUAAAUCAUAAAAAUUAAUAUAAAUUAAAUAAUAACUUUUCUUUCAUAAUAUUUUUACUAGAAAACCCUUGCCAAGGAUGAUAAUGUCUUUCAUAAUAUUCUCUUUGUUCCAUAAUUAUUAUUUUAUCUUCUCUAUUUAUUUAUCCAAAGUAUUACUUUAUUUUUUAGAAUAAAGUAAUAUUUGAAGUUUACCAUCUAAACUUUAAUUGAUGGUCUUUUUUUAUUUUAUUUUUUUGAACGUAAAAACGAAACGUUAGAUAUGAGCAGCACAUGCAAGGAUCUCCCAAUUUAUAUAUGUCAGAUAAGGUGAGGCACAAUUCGGAAACUGAUAGAUAAGCACUUCUACUUAUCGCUCUGUGCUGAGACAGCUACCGCGCACUGCGCAAUUAGACAAGGACGCCCUGAUUGCUAGAUUUAUUAAAUAAAAACAUUAUUAUUAAGAAAAUUAUUUUGAUUUAUAUUGGGAAGCACAUGCAUACUGGAAGGAUGACGUGGCUAAAGAGGAAUCAAACUUUUUAACCGGUAUGACAUUAAUACCCUUCGCAUUGAUUUGUCCUAUUACUAAUGUUAUCACGUAAUUAAUGGCAUGCAUGAUAAUGCGAGAUGUUGAUUCACGACGUGCACUAUUACUUGGCCCAGCACGUAAUUUGACAUCUAAAUUUCAAAAAAAAAAAAAAAGAAAAAAGAUAUUGUGGUUUUCGAAUUUUAAAAAUAUUUUACGGUGUCUAAAAUUUUUCUUUCUGAUUUUUGAUCUCUUAAAUUUCAUUUUUUAAAUAAUUUAAUACCUUGCAAAUUGAUAACUAAGCAUAAAAAAAUUAAGUUGGAGGACCAUAAAUCACUUUCAAAGUUCAUGGAAAAAUUCCAAAUUUUCCACUUUUUCAUCAACUCAAACCUUGUUGUUCAAUGUAUUUAGCUUUUUUAUUAUUAUUUUAUUUAGAAAUAAGUCAACAUCUAUAAGCCAGUCAUUUUUCAAACAGAUUAUCAUUUGAAAGUCAACUACUGAUUCUCUCCUUUUUUUUAUAUUAUAUAUAUAUAUAUAUAUAUAUAUAUAUAUAUAUUCAACGGUUCGUAACAUGAGAACAACCGGAAGGGCCACAAGGUGGGUCUCUUUUUUUGGGAGAGGGCAGACAGUAUCUCUUCCCAGGGCCGCAUUGAAACGGUGGUUUUUUGGGAUCAGCUGCUACUGGCCGUGUUAUUCCUGCAUCUGAUAUUAAUUCAGCAAGCCAAAUUUAAAUUCUAAUAACAUAAUUAUUUGCAGUAUAUGUUAAAAAAAUAUAUAAAGCCAAAGACUUAAUUACUACUUGACUCCAUAGAUUUUUCCAAGCAAUUGUAUGGCUAUUAUAAUAAAUUAAUAAUUAUAGCAAGCCAGGAAAAUAGACUUACGAAAUUGACUCCAAGUCAAUGCAAGACAUAGCCAACUUCUGUAAGGGAAAAAAAUAAAAUAAUAGAACGUUGAGUUGAUUUAUUAUGGACCGCUAGUUUGGCAGGCGACGAGAUGAGACUUGACAUAGCAAGCUAAUUCUAUCAUUUGAUGCAGCCCACCAUAGUUUUCAAAAAACCUCUCGAAAUUUCAAUUUUAAGUAAUAACUUGAACAAUUUGCUAUUAUUGAAGACGCUAACACUUAUCUGUAUCGUUUCUGUACCAAAUCAAUUAAAAUAAAUUUUUAAUGUAAUAAAUAUUUUUCAUCAUUCAUUGAAAAUAUAAAAUAUAUUAUUUAAAAAAUUUUAUAAAUUAGUUUUGUUUAUUGGAUUGUCUAUGUAUCAUGUGUGAAUAAAUCUUAUUCAAUUUCUGCAAUUUUGUCCAUAAAAAAGUUGACCAAAUAUUACAUCCAUCCACCUAAAUAAAAUAUUUUCCAAAAAACUACUUUCAUGAAAAGACAGCAAGGUAAGUAAUAUGACAUAGCCCAAGUGCCCUUUUUUUAGUAGUAAAAAUUAUUAAAUAUAAAAAAAUUAUGCGAAUCAUAUUUUAUAUUUAAAAGCCAUCUAAUUCAGAUAUUAGAUAAAUGAAUCAGUUGAAUUAAAUAUAUCUUUAUGAAAUAUAAUUUUCAUGUUUUUAAUAAUCGACUUAAUAAUAUUUUUUGGCAAGUUAUUAUUUUGUACAAGUUUAAUCAUAUUUUUAUAUAAGAAGCAACACAUUAUUUUGUGUAUAAUAAAUUUUUUUUAUGUACUAAAAUAGUAUUUUGAUAUAUUCCUGGUGUAAAAAAAUAAUUUUGUGUAUUGUUGCUAAAAAAUGAAAAAAAAAAAAGGUGGAUUUUUCAUGGAUAUAUUUGUUGGGACUUGUGAAGAAGCAACUCUUUAUCACAUGAAAGUGACUUUCCAUCUUUAUCCAAUUCCACCUAAUCUGCAAAGACACAAGACACAGGAGCUAACAUCAUUGUAAGUGGAAUUCCAGAAUAAUUUUAAUAUUUAUUGAGAAGAAAAAAUAAAAAAAUAAUAUAUUUUUUAAAUAAUUUAGUAUAUAUGUGAUCUCGUACAUCAAUAUAAGCAAAACUUAUAUGAAAAUUUUAUUUUUAUGAGAUUUUAUCGAAUUUAACUUGUUUCAAAAUUAAUAAUUACAAAGUUAUAAUUUUUUUUUAAUACUGAGAAGAGGGAUUCUAUUCAUUCGAUCUUGGAUCUGUUAUCAAAUCAUACAGGAUCAUACUAUUAUGCUAUGACUUGAUGUGUAGAUCUAUUUACUCUUAUUUUUCCAUUAUUCACAUUUUUUUUUUAUCUAUGUGCUUAAUUUUAUCUUAUAUGAAUUCCAACAUGAUAAAUACGAAACUUAAUUGUGAAGUAUGCAUUUGGUUUGGAAAAUUGUUGUUCUUCUAGCAAAUGGUAAUUAUUUUGAAAUGCAAUAAAAUUAGAAUUAAUGGAAUAAUUUUGAAGUACAAGUUAAUGAUAGUGAUACCCUCUCUUUGUCAUUGCUUAAACUAAAUGGAUAAAAACUCUAAUUAUAAAAAUAAAUGGAGGAUUCAAAAAGUAUAUUCAAUAAUUCAAACAUGAAAUAUUUGUUUCUCACAUUCUAAAUACACAACCUAAAUUAAGUUAAAAUGCCUCAUCAUUUAAUCUAUAAAUAGCCAAAUGCUAUGGUUAGCAAGCUUUAAUGGAAUAAUAUACAAUAUAAUUAAAUAUAUUUCUAAUACAAAUAAUAUAUUAUAAAUGAAUGGGUAUGUGUUGGGAGGAAGCUACAUGUGGAGGUGCCAUGCAAGACUCUAAUCACCAGAGCAAUUGUCUAUUUUGGAUCAAGCCGAGCUUUGGAUCAAGCCAAAUCCAUUCUAUACUGGAUUGAGAGGAUCCGCACAAUUUUAUUCCACAGGUGAAAUGAAAAACUUCUCAGGUGGUCACUCAUUUAGGGAUUUCCCCUAAGCGAACAAGCUUAACCUUGAAGUUCUUCCAAUUCUCUAAAUCAUUUCACCAAAAGGCGUCUCUGCUAAUUAGUUUCAUCUUUUUCUAUAUAUGAACUCCAUUUUCGAUAUAUGAUUCGAUUUAUUAAUAUGUCCUACAGUCGGAAUAUUACAGGAGGAGAGGGACAAUUUCUUCCUCCUAUUUUUUUUUUUUUUUUUAAAUUCCCUUCACAUCUCUGUUAUUUGAACUUUGACCUAAAGAAAAUUUUAAAUUACUUUUAAUCAUUUUACCCCUUUUUUUUCAUAAUAUUCUUUUAAUAAAUUUUUAUAAUAGUUUGCCCCUUUUUUAUAAAUUUUAUCUUCGGAACUGGAUAUGUGUAAGAGCAUGUGAUCUUACUAUAUAUAUAUAGAUGAUUUUUAGACGACGGUAUGUGUAAACCUCUUAUUAUAACAUGUGAUUUUAAUUAAAUUUUUAAUAAUUCCCACAAGUUUCUCAAUCAAGUUACUUUAUAUAUUAUUAUAAUAAUAACAGAAUAGACAAAAAAAAAAAAACAAUAAAAUAAAGAUUUAUUUAUUUAUUUAUUUUAUAACCACACAAAAGAAUUACUUUGAAGAACAAAUAAUGCUGCCAUUUAAAUAUGCAAUCAGUUGGAAUAAUUAUUUAUUAAACUAGUAUUAUUUUAGUACAUCAUUCUUAGAUUGUAGUCUAAACUAGAAAAAAAGAUUAAUAAUUAAUUAAUUAAAGGUCAUUUUCUAAUUACCCACCAAGCAAGUUGUAGUUUUACUUUAGAAGUGUAAGUGGAACUAUCAUGAUGGUCCAUCACUAAUCACUAAUUUAGUAAUGGCAACAAAAAAUUAAUUAGGGAUGGUGUGUCCUAAACACUUUAAUUUCAUUCUAAUGUUUUGGAUUACUCUCUGUUCAAUCUUUUCAUAGUGCCAUAAAUAGUUUAAUUAGAUAUUAUUUAUUUUUUUAUUUGUAAUGUGACAAAAAAAAAAGAAGAUUAAUUUAUGAUUCUUUAUUCUUUAUUUUCCAAUCUAAGAAGACAAGAUGCUAGUGUUUGUGUUCUUUCCCACUAUAUUUGCAUAUUUAGAAAGAUUUUAAUUAUAUUUACAUUGGAAAUAAUGUAAUAUGUGGUAUUUUUAUUGCAUUUCAAUAUGUUUUUAUUAGAAAUAUUUUAUUUUUUCCGUUUUGAUUUUAAUUUUAAACUUGAAUUUCGAGUGAAAACUACUCAUUCUAAUACUUUUAAAUUUCCUGCUAACAAGAGUCUUAAAACAUAUCUUCAAACUUAGUCUGAAUAUUAAUUUUAUAUAAAUAUAUUUAUAAAUAAGUUGAUAUUUAAAACAUAAAAUGUAAAUUCACAUUUUUAUUUAAAAUGUUGAUGACAUAAAUAUUCAUAUGAACCUCAAUUAUUCAGACUAUUGAAGUAAUGUGCUGGAUAAGCAAACAAGCAUAAAGCACUAUUGACUAAAUAAGGUUAUCCAUGUGCAAUGUGUCUGCAAACAAUGCUAGCUGGCAUGGCAUUUACAAAAUGGGAAAACUAUAUAAACAGAGAAGCCAAUAUACAAAAAUAUCAAAGGGGGAAAAAGUACUCUCUCCAAUCAAGAAAAAAAAAUUACUCUUUUUGCUUCUUCAAUUAUUUUAAAUUAUUUUAAAAAAAUAGCUAAAACUAUCGUAUUCAGAAUUCGUUGGAUGGAUUUAUUAUACUUUGAACCGAAUAAAUUUAUAAAAAAAAUAAUUUGACUCUAUUCGAUAAAAAUUUAAAAUAUAAUUUUUUAUUAAUUUUGAAAUAUUUAUAAUUCGAGAAAAAGAUUAUGAAAUACUAUUUUCUUAACAUUUAAUUAAAAGCUAACUUAAACAUGACUAAAGUUAUGAAAAAUAAGCUUAAACAUCUUGCCUUCGCUGUCGGGAUGUUGAAGGUUUGAGGGGCAAAAUGGAAAUUGUGAAGAGGUACUGAACUGACUGCCGACCUAAUGGGGCUCUUUUUCCCAUGAAAGUCUCUCUCACUCUCUGCAAUUGACAGGGAAUGGUGUUUUAAGCCAAACCCUUCUCUCUGAGAUUUGCUUCUAUGAGGCCUAUCUCAUGCUAACUUGGUGACUCCACGCACCACACACGUAUGACCUUUCAACUUUGAUGAAAAAAAAAAAAAAAUCUCUCGUGGCAUCCUACAUUUUAACAUCAAUCUUAUAACAUCAUGCACCUUUUAGUAAAUAUUUCACGAUUAUUUACAUUAAAUAUAAUAAUUUUUAAGAUUUUUAAUUUUUAUAUUUAGAAUAUCAGUUUGAUAUUUAGAUAAUGCAAUUUUAGAGUAAUAAUUUUUACAUGUUUAAAUUAUUAAAUAAAUAGUGAAAUAUUUCAAAUUUAAAUUAUUUUAUUUAUAAAAAAAUAAAUAUUUAAGUAAUUUAAUUUUACAAAUUAAUUUAUGUAAUAGAUAAAUUGAAAAUUUUUCGUGAAAAAUAUAUAAUAAAUUCAUGCAUUUAAUCAAUGCCAAACAGUAAAAAUCAUCAACGUGAAAGCACUCACACAUGUCCCUUUCUUGUUGGGAUCCACAAACCAAAAAGGUAAAAAAACAGGUAAACAUAGAAAAAGAAAAGAACAUAAUGGUUAAACCAUAUCUAUCUACUCUUAUGCUUGUACAUAUGUAGAUUGCAUAAUAAAUGAUAUUUGGUGUACUAAAAAAAUUGUUGGGAUUAAAUUAUUUUCAACUAUUCAUUCAAUCACUAUUUUUUUUUCCAAGUUAAACAAUAAUGAGGAGAUUAUUUAUUUAAUUUUUAUUCUCCUAUAUAUUUUAUAAAAAUGAAAAUGAAAAAUUAUAAUUUUUUUUUUAUUUUCAUGCAUAGAAUUUUGUUAUUGGACAAGCAACAAUUAAUAUAAAUCUCAAGUUUAUUAUUUCUUGCCAAAAUUAUUUGUUUAGUGCAUAAGACAAUAUUAAUCUCAAAAGACCUUGAUUAUCAAGAAUGGGAGUGUUAAAUAUAGUUUGAUUUUGAGGAUUUGCAUAAAUCAAAUAACAAUAGCAGUUUAUAAAAAUUUAAAUCAAAUCAAAUUAUAAAGUAGUCACUUUUAUAAAAGAUAAUUAAAAAAUGGCUUAUCAUUAAUAAACUCUCUACGAGAUAUAUUUAAAUUUUUGAUUGUGAAAAAUUAGGUCAUUUAACAUAAUACGUGAAUUAUUAAAAGGAAAGUAAUUCAACUAACCCAAAUAUACACGAAAAGAUAAUACAUAUAUAAUGUUUGGUUUGGUUCAAUUCAAAUAAUUUUAACAUCAUAGUUAAAAUUAUUUGAAUUGAACCAACAUUUUGGUUUUCAUAUAUUGUAAAUCAAACCAAAUUACAAAUUUUUGAAAAGCUAUGAUUUCAGAUAAGUUUAGGCAAUUUGAGGUAAUUUAUGAAUAACCUUAAUUUAGAAAUUUUACAUUUCAACUACCACUACAGUCACAUGAUUCAUAUCUUUUAUAUUAACAGCUCGUUUGGAAUAAAUGAAUCAUUGUUAUAGAAUUCAUUUGUAAAUGAAUUUCAAAAAGAAUUUAUUUGCAAAUGAAUAUGUUAUGUUUGGUAUGCUACAACUUUAAAAUAAAAAAUUUAAUUGAAUUCCACAAAAUUAUAUUUGAAAUAGAUUUUUAAAUGAAAUUUAUUUAUCUUUAUUUCUUAUCACACCCUUGACAUAGUAAUUUAACAAAAAUAAAUAACAAACACCAAUUAUAUUUAUUGUGUACAAUAUAAUAACUUGUCAUUUUUUAUUAAAAUAUAAAUAAUAAAUUUCAUAUAAUUAAGUACACUAAUUUUCAUGCUAAUUAAUUAAUUAUAUAAAUAGUAACAUUCAUCAUAAUAAUUAUUUUAAUUGAUGUAAAAAAUUUUAUUGAUUUAAGUAAUUAAUUUGAGUAUUAAAAAAUAUUAAGAAUGUUAUUAUUAUUUUUAAUUGCAUAUGAUGAUAUUCAGUUUUUAUAAUUUCUCUGAAAUAAUAACUAACAUUAUUACUAGUUUGAAAUUUUAUAAAAAAAAGAAAAAAAAUAUAAACUAACAUCAUUAUUGGAUUUAAAAAAAUAACGUUGUUAUAAUUUGGAAUUUUUCAAAGAAAAUAAACAAGAAGGAAAAAAAAAGUAAAAAUAGUUGAGUUUAUAGUGGAUGGGUAAUUUUAUCAAUAAACAUUUCAAUCGUUAAUUUUGUGAAAUUCAUUUACAAAUCCAAUCAAUUUUAGUAGAAUUUGUUAGAUAUACCUAAUUCCAUAGAAUUCAAAUAUGUAUGUUUUUUCAUUCCAAUACAAUAUUAUGGAUUUCCAAAUGAAUUUCAUAAAAUUUUGUGGAAUUUAUUUAUUUCAAACGGGCUCUAAAAAAUAUUUUUGGCAGAUAAUUAUUUAAAAAAAUACUAUCAAUUCUGAAAGAAAAAAAAAAAAAACACUCAUGCCUGCAGUUAACAUAAUGGUUUUAAUUUAUUUAACAAUUUGUCUUUUAGGUUUAUUCUUUAACAAGAUAAGAAUAUUCAUUGAGAUUUAUAAAUAUACAAAUUACUAGUUUUAUUAUCUUAGGAAAGUCACUUGUAUUACUAUGAAAAGAGAAUACAUAUAUAUUUACAAAACUAUUAGAUAUAUAUAUAUAUAAAAUAUUGCUUUUGUGAAUGAGAACAAAAGUUGUAAAUUCACAAUAAUUAUACAAAAAAUAAAAAAUUUAAGAAUAUUAUAUUUGAGUAAAAAAAUUAUUAUUGAAUAAAUUUAAAUAAUAUACCAUGCAAGGAAUAUCAACCGAGAAAUUAUAUUCAUUGAUGUGAUUUAUUUUUUCACUCUUGUAGGGACCUGUUACAAAUUAUCUUUGAAAUUAAAAGAUAGUUAAUUUAUAUGCCUUAUAAUAAACCUGAAAAUAUAUUUUAAAAUUUUAAAUUUUACACUUAAAUCAAAAUAAAAAUAUUUAAUUAAAUAAUUAUCUAUACAAACCAUCCUUAAUAUUAUUUAAAUAAUACUAUUUUCUUUUUUUCUUUUAAAAAACAACUUUGAAUUUGACUGUUAAGAAAAAAGAACAGUGGAAGAGUUCACGGAUAAGAAAGGAGAUGUUCACAAAAAAUUAAUUCCCGUGUCCUCUAGGUUUGAUUUGAAAAUGGCAUCAACAAUUAAUGGACUAUAAAAAGUAAAGUGAGAAAAUCAGGUAGAGAGAGAGACUUUACAUAUACAUACAGAGAGAGAAAGGGAGAAAGUGAAAGCUCAAAGUUAGGGAAGAGAGAGAGGAUAUAUAUACACAUAUGAAUUAUAUAAACAUAUUUAUAUGCAAACAGUACAAACUUUGUGGCUUUGUCCAAGUCCUAGAGAGAGAAAAAGUAUGCAUAUAAAAGAUUAGAGGGACUGAGGGAGAGAGGCAAAAACAAGAAAACAAAACAAAGUAUAUAUCAAGAGUUAAGAGAGAGAGAGAGAGAGAGAGAGAGAGAGAGAGAGAGGGUUGUUGCCGAGUUAGCUGCAAGUAGCUUAAAGAAAACAAGAAAGAACGAAGAAAAAACCCUAACCCUAAAGAAAUGGUUCAUUUUGCUGCUCUGUGCUGUGAUGACCUGUAAGGCUUGUAUUUUUCAUCUUUAUCUUCACAAGUGAAACUAAUGCAAGUGAAGUUCACAUUUUUGUAGUAAUUUGUUGUGAAAUCAAGCCCUUUAUAAGCUGCUUUCUGGUGAUUGAUGUUUUGUUGCAUAGCUUGAGCUCUUUUACUUUGCUGGAAUUUUUGGUACCAGAAGCUAAGAAUUAGGGUUUAAUUGGGGGUUUUAUUUGAAGUGGGUUGCUCAGAUAGAGGUUGUGGCGUUUCUUUUUUGUCCCUUUUUUUGAGUCUCCUCCACUUGUUUGGCUUUUUGGUAAACCGGGUCUGUUUUAUUUUGGUGAAGAAAUUAAUUUUCUUAAGGUGAAAUUCGUAUAUGUACUUGGUGUUUGAUGUGCGAUCAAAAGGAACUUUUAUUAGCAGAAUUGGUCUAUAGAGAAGGCAGUUUCUGUGUUCUUUAUUGCUCAUCGAAUUGUGGAGUGUUUGGGGCUUGAAAAAGCUUUCAAAGGAAACUUGUGUUGGCUACCGAGAAUUGAGUGUCUCUGCUGUAAUUUUGGACUGUUGCACUGGAGCGUUUAGGGGUACCGGGGACAAUGUCUUCGUUGAGUAGGGAGUUGGUGUUUUUAAUAUUACAGUUCUUGGAUGAGGAGAAGUUCAAGGAAACAGUUCACAAGUAAGUUUCCUUCGCCUUUUGUUGUUUCAAUUCUCUUUGUGGUUCCAUUUGGAUGCUGAGAAAACUUGGCUCAACUGAGGAUAUGGGAAGCUGAUAUUUACAAGGAGAGUGCAGAACUCGUUGAAAUUUGCCAAAUUUUGUAUUAGGCUUGGUUGGCAUAGAGUUUGGUUGCUUCGAUUUUACUUUACUGCAAAAUUCCUUCUUUUUGAAACUAAAUUUGGAUUAUUUUUAGCUAUUCAAAGCUAGAUAAACAAUCCAGUAAACAGUACUGCAAUUUUGGUCCGAUGUACCAAGUUUUCUCAGCGCUUUCAAAUGGAGCACUAGGAAGUUGAAGUUAGAUUACUAAUACCCUGUUUUUUCUUUUCUGUGUUUUUAUCUUAUUUUUAUUUUUGUUUACUGUAUUUAAAGGUUAGAGCAAGAGUCUGGUUUUUUCUUCAAUAUGAAACAUUUUGAGGAUCAAGUCCAGGCCGGCGAAUGGGACGAGGUUGAGCGAUAUUUGUGCGGGUUCACAAAGGUUGAAGAUAAUCGCUACUCUAUGAAGAUUUUCUUUGAAAUUAGGAAGCAGAAAUAUUUGGAAGCUCUUGACAAGUGAGUUUGAAAACUUAGAUAUUUAAAUACCAUAAUGAUAGAAUUCUGGUAUUUGAACUGAAAUACUUUCCUUCUGUCUGUUUAUUUUGGGAUUCAUUUUCUAAAUAGAUGUAUAAUCAAUGGUAGUAGUUUAUGAGAAUAUAAAAGGAGAAAUGCUGAUGUGUCAUGUGGUAUAGCAUUUAAGUGUUGGUUUGUUAUGACAUAUUCGGCCCGGAAUAUUAUGUUGGAUCUUCAUUCAUGUUUUAAUUAUGUUCUUAUUCUGGUUUCUUUCAUCAGACAGGAUCGGGCUAAGGCUGUUGAGAUUCUCGUUAAGGACCUUAAGGUUUUUGCUUCCUUCAAUGAAGACCUAUUCAAGGAGAUAACUCAGUUGCUUACUCUUGACAAUUUUAGGUAGUUUCCUCCUUCCUAUAGUAUUUGCGAUGAUCAAACACAUGAAUUGGUUUCGAUUGAGAAUUCCAUAUUGUGCUCUUUGAUCAGGCAAAAUGAGCAGCUUUCAAAAUAUGGGGACACAAAAUCAGCUCGUAACAUCAUGCUUGUGGAACUUAAGAAGCUUAUUGAAGCAAACCCAUUGUUUCGAGACAAGCUUACAUUCCCCGCCUUCAAAAGCUCACGACUUCGAACUUUAAUAAACCAGAGGUUAUUAUUGCCUAUUUUUCUAUAAGCCUGUUGUGAAUAAGAUUGGUUUUGCAAAUUUAUAACUUUCAAAUUGGUUUGCCUUUGUAAUUAUUAGUUAUUGUUUCAAUUAAAAUCUGGAAGCUGAUCUUAACUAGCAUGAAACCUGUUUUUUAAGUGCUCAUUUUUUUUAUUUUUUAUUUUUGCAGUCUAAAUUGGCAGCAUCAGCUUUGCAAGAAUCCUCGCCCAAAUCCUGAUAUUAAAACACUCUUCACAGAUCAUGCUUGUACUCCUACUACUGCUAAUGGAGCUCGCCCUCCUCCUCCCACAAAUAGUCCCAUUGUUGGACCAAUUCCCAAGGCUGGUGUAUUUCCUCCCAUUGGUGCCCACGGUGUAUGUAUUCUUAAUCUGUUCUUCCCUUAGUCACACUUGAGAGCUUCUCAUACAAUAUCUGCAAUAUCUCCUGCUGUACAGCCAUUUCAGCCAGUUGUUUCCCCUUCUUCUGGUGCUAUUGCUGGAUGGAUGUCGAGCAAUAAUCCUUCUUUGCCUCACCCUGCUGUGGCAGCAGGGCCUCCUGGUCUCAUGCAGCCUUCUAGUGCAGGUGGAGCUGGUUAUACUUAUGCCAUUUGUAGUGCCAUUGGUUCUUUGGUAGUUUGACAUUCUUAGUGAACCUACAUAAUCAUUUUUGGAUUUGCACAGCUGCCUUCUUGAAACAUCCAAGAACGCCCACAGGCAUGACUGGGAUUGAUUAUCAGUCAGCUGACUCAGAGCACUUGAUGAAGCGUAUGCGCACUGGUCAAUCUGAUGAGGUCUGCACCCAGUUCGUAUCUUUUGCUUGGUGGUGACUGUUAGAAGUCUGGUUGCUAUAUUUGUUCUGUGGUCUGUUGUUGUAGGUGUCAUUUUCUGGUGUAGCACAUACUCCCAAUGUCUAUUCACAGGAUGAUCUUCCCAAAACUGUCGUACGAUCCCUUAAUCAAGGAUCUAAUGUUAUGAGCAUGGACUUCCAUCCGCAGCAGCAAACAAUCUUGCUAGGUUGAUACUUGAAGAUAUGUUGCUUAACAGCACUUCAAAAGAAGAUAUAAAAAUGUUCUCUUAAUGGUAAUUGUGUUUAUCAAGUUCUAUAAUUAUUCUUUUUGCAGUUGGGACAAAUGUUGGUGACAUUAGCCUUUGGGAAGUUGGCUCCCGGGAUAGGUUGGCACAUAAACCCUUCAAAGUGUGGGACCUCUCAGCUGCUUCAAUGCCACUGCAGGUAUCAUUUAUAUCAGUUAGGCUUGAUAUUUACACUGUCUAUUUUUUUAUGAAGUUGACACCUAGAGAUUCCCUCAUCACCACCCCUCCCCCUGGAAAAAACUAUUCUCUCUCUUCCUUAUACUGUAAUUCAAUCUUGGGCCUUUUGGUGAAAUCACUAGAGGACUUAAUUAGUUUGCGAGUGAGGAUGUUAUUGAUUGAGAUAGAGUUGGGAAUUUGAAAUGCUAGUUUAUCAUUAUUCUCAAAAUGAUAAAUUAUUAUAUUGCUAGCAGACAGCUUUAUUGAAUGAUGCUGCAAUAUCAGUGAAUCGAUGUGUCUGGGGGCCAGAUGGACUUAUGCUUGGUAUGUAUGUGAAUGUUACUUUUUCUGCAAUAUGAAUUUCAUCUUGUUUUUUAACUUUUGCAUUUGUAUCUGUAUAUGGCUUCUUGUAGGGGUUGCAUUUUCAAAACAUAUUGUGCAGAUCUAUACUUACAAUCCAACUGGAGAACUAAGACAGCAUUUGGAGGUAAGUGUGGCAUCCUUGAAUAUUAUAUAAUGCAUUGUAGAAGUAAGUUCCUUUGCAAUUAACUGCUUCCUUCAUCUUUUAGAUUGAUGCCCAUACCGGCGGUGUUAAUGACAUUGCCUUUGCUCAUCCCAACAAGCAACUAUGCAUUGUCACAUGUGGCGAUGACAAGACGAUUAAGGUAUAGGCUUUAUGCUUAGUUGGCUUACAUGAGAAGGGAAAUUGGGUCUACAUAUGAUAUUCUCCUACUUAACAGGUUUGGGAAGCUGUAGCUGGACAUAAACAAUAUACAUUUGAAGGUCAUGAAGCUCCUGUAUAUUCUGUUUGCCCUCAUUAUAAAGAAAGUAUCCAGGUACUUGUUCUUUUAUGAUGCUGGUGAUCAAGGUUUUACUAUUUGUUAGGUUCUUUGUUGUCUGAACUAUGCUUAAAAUUCUGCAUCUUUAUGAAUUUAAGAAAUACCUGGAAGCUCCUGUCAUUCUGAAUUGCCACAUACUAGAACUCAUUUUAUCUAUAUGUGCAGUUUAUCUUUUCUACAGCAAUUGAUGGGAAGAUUAAAGCUUGGCUAUAUGAUUCUUUGGGAUCUAGAGUGGACUAUGAUGCUCCUGGACUUUGGUGCACCAUGAUGGCAUAUAGUGCGGAUGGUACUAGGUAAGACUCAGCAGUUACGGAGGUGGUCUCCAUUUUUCCCUUUCCUUUUAUUAUUUUGUUGCUAACUAUUAUUGGAAUAUCCCAUGGCAAUAGCUGCACAGGGGACUUUUAUGUUGAUCAUGAUCAUGAUUUUAUUUUACAGGCUACAUUUUUUCCUACUCUGCUGCUCUAAAUUUUCUUAACACAUUUUUCCUUUGGAAUAGUCUGUGGCUUUUGCUAGUUUCUUGUAGGAUUUUAAUUUGGGUUGGGCAAAUCUUCGGUGAUGUUCUAUCAUCUGGCAGUUAAAAAUAAGUGGAGGUCAUCUAAUGUGGUUGCUAUUAGCAACAUCAUUGAUAGACAGGAUAUGGGUAUCUGUUCGUUUUGGUCAAGUGAGGGUGUCAAUCAGGGAUAAUGAGAACUAUGGUAAUUAGAAAGCUAUUAUAAGAGGAAGCUCCAAUGGGAUGAACAUGCAUUAGAAAUCUCACAGAUCAAGGUAGAGCCUCCUUGAGGUCGACUUAAUGAUGAAAGCUUGAUUAAUGUGUAACUCUGAACUCUGCUUCCACCCUGGUAGCUACUAGCACUUUUUUUUUUGAUUUCUCAUUAUGUAUGGCAAUCUUAGGUUCUUCACUUCAACUUGUACGUUAGGUGCAUGCCGAUAUAGCAUCCUGGUUUGUGGAGUACUUGUAAGCUUACAUGUUGGCGCAUUAAACAAUGCAUCAAGCCCUAUCUUUUAAUUUCAUUCCACUUAUUUUAUAAUUACAUGCAUAGGGUAAGAAAAAGUUUUUAUUGUGUAGGCUUUUUUCAUGUGGAACAAGUAAAGAAGGUGAAUCUCAUCUGGUCGAGUGGAAUGAGAGUGAAGGAACCAUCAAAAGGACGUAUUCUGGCUUCAGGAAGCGUUCUUCAGGUGUUGUUCAGUUUGACACAACAAGGAGCCGCUUCCUAGCUGCUGGUGAUGAAUUUCAGAUUAAGUUUUGGGAUAUGGAUAAUACGAACAUGUUGACAGCAGUUGAUGCGGAUGGAGGCUUGCCUGUUAGUGUUGCUCUACCUCCUCUUUUUCUAGCAUUGAAGUUUAAAUAUAAGCUUUUGCAGUUUUCAUUCAAGUAUAUUAUUUGCCGCAGGCAAGUCCUAGACUGAGAUUCAACAGGGAAGGUUCCUUAUUGGCAGUCACAACUAGUGAUAAUGGUAUCAAAGUUUUAGCUAAUAGUGAUGGAUUGCGCAUGAUAAGGAUGUUGGAGAGCAGGGCUAUUGAUAAAAACCGAAGCCCAUCUGAACCCAUCAACUCUAAGGUAAUUUAGUGCUAAGAUUUUCUAUGCAUUAAUUUUGUCUUUCUGAUCAAUGCCAUGAGCCUGGGAAGGAAAUAAUAAUUAAUAGAACUCCUUUUACAUUAACACAAAAUCUAACCUGCUUAAAGACAUUUGACUGGAAAAGGAACUUGAGAAGCCAAAGGCAUUAAUCUCGGGCCUCAAUCGAUGUCACCAUUGUUUAUCUGUCUCUGUGUUCCUAAAACCAAUAAACUGCCAGCAAUUUUGCUAUGCUUUUGAGAAUCUCUCUCUCUCUCUCUCUCUCUCUCUCUCUCUCUCUCUCUCUUUCUCUCGUAUGGGUAUUCCUGAACGAGAAUGACUUGCCUAGACUCGAUUUAUGGCUCCACCCGUGGACCAAAUUAAUGAACAGUAUAUAUUUUUGAAAACAAGAAUAUUUCUGACCAUUCAUCGGGUAAAGUGGGAACAAUUUUUAAAAAAUCUCUUUUUGCAUCGGUUUGAUCCAUGGGUGGACUCAACGAGCGGGUCUAGGCAAGUAUCAUUUCUGAACAUUGGUUAAUGGAGUAUACUAAACUCUCCAUCAACCUUUGCAGUUGCUCAUAUAUUCUUAUCUUUCAAUAAAACUCACUAGUUGUCUUCCACCUAUGUAUUGUGUGACAUGUUUUUAUAUGGAUUCCUGAAUUCCUGAAGUUAAUAUUUUUCUCAACAAUAUUUUGCUGUGACAUCUCAAUGUCCAAAGGAUCAAUUCUAGUUCUUUAUGCCUGUGACACAUUCAAUAGAUCUAGAAAAGCAAUUUCCAAUGGAAAAUUUCAAUCUUCAUCAAAAGGAAAACAGGAUUCAAGGCAAAAAAAAAAAAAAAAAAAAAAAGAACCAUAUGAGGAGAUAACUAUGGAUAUCAUAAUCAAAGUCCUUUUGUGGAUGACACUGGCUAAUCAUUACAUUGGGAGGAAAUGGUUUCAACCUAUCUUGUGAAUUGCUGGGAUCUUAAAUGGAAUUAGAGUCCUGAAGAAAAAGUGUUACAAUUUGGGUUUUGAUGUUAUUGCUAUUUGACAAAUUGGAUUUGCUGAAUGAUAGGCUUGUCUUUCUUUUUAGGAAAUGAUAGUUGGAGAGUUUUGGAGUAGAAAGUUCCUUGAUGCUAUGUGUUUUAUUUGAUGUUUUCUGUAGCUUUUCAAGUUGAGGUUUGAAUAUGUAAAGUAAGUAUGUGUCAAUUACUUUCUGUUGGCAAUCAAUGUGGCAUUCAGUUCUCAUUCGGUUUUGGCAACACUACGGGUGAAGAAGUAGAAACAGAGGUGUGAAUAUUGCAGCUAAAAACUUUGAAUUUGUGAAAAGCACAAUUAAUUGUCGAUUCCUGUUGCAGGUCUGUCGCUCUGAUGAUAAACAUGACCUUUUUGUUGUCUCUCUUAUUGGUAAAGAAGCCAAAAUGUAAAAUUUGAACACUCCCUAAUGCAACCUUAGUAAUCAUGAUUUCUAGUCAUAAUUGAUAUGGAUUUCGGUAUGCUUGUUAUGUUUUGUACCUAAGCCCUAACAGAUUUGUUGGUUUCCUGAGAUGCUGAACUGUUUGAGUCUUUGCAAUUCAGCAUUCCUUACCAUUUAAUGGAUUAGGCUCAGAAGAGAUUGGGGAGCUGGACUAAAAAUAAAAAAAAGAAGAAAAAUGAUAUUGUUUUAACGGGUUGCUGUUUGAACAAUGCGUUCUGUAUGGUGGAGGAAAGUGAAAGAGAAAUCAAUAAUUUCAUAAUGACAAGUCUCCUUAUCUCCUAAACUAGAAAGCUAUUAUAUUCUUAUAUAUGAAAAAUAGGAGAAAACUAUGAGUCUUCAGUUCACUUCGUCCGUAGUGUAUGACUCUUCUAAAAAAAUAGAUAAAAAUAUUUUUCCUAUGUGAAACAUUUUUUUCCAUGCUAAACAAUGGAAUCCACUUGAAAAAGCCAAGUGCAAAAAAAAAAAAAAAAAAAAAACUUUAUAUUGUUUCUAAUUAUGGGUUCUCUAUGACUGAAAAAAGGAUUGAGAAUUAGAUCCUGAAUCCUUAAUUGAGAGUUAGGAUCAAAUAGCUUUCAACAUGUAUUUUCUGGACUGCACUAAUAUUCUGCUAUUUGAUCAUUUUUCUAAUGUAUUAAACUUUAGUAAGGUAAGAUAGCGUCCUAUGUUAUCCCGUUGUUUUAACUAGAACCUAUCCUAUCAACCUUGCAAAGGAGUCAUGGGAGUGUUGGCCUCUUGGAAAUAGGGUAGGCUAGCUAUGAGAUCUGGUCCCCUACUCUCUGAGAUUCGAUGGACCUUUUGAUGGGUGCCAAGUAGAUGCAUAGAGAGGUGGGUUGGGGAAAGAUGUGCAUGGUGCUUAUGGAAAACCUGAGAACCACAAGGAUUGAAGAAGUAGAAUGUGGAAGUCUGAUGAUGGUGAAAAUGAAAAGUUCUAUUUUAAAAGAAAUUGAGGGGUUUGUAUAAGUUACAGAAGAGUGGGCUCUUUCCCUUUCCAGGUGGCAGCUAAGUUGGAGAGCUUAUCUCAAGAAUUAAUUUCAGAAGUUCAUUUUAAAAGAAUAGUUUUCUUAGAACUUGGGAGUAGAAACUGGAUUGGCAAUAGUGUGCUGCAUGUGGAGGGUCCAUGACUCGAGAUAUUUUUAUUCUUGGGUAAAUACAACAGGCCUUCCUGGUUGUCUAGCUUUUUAUCACUUGACUUGCACCAUUUUUUUAAAAAAUAAUUGUCUCUAGGAUAUAUGAAGAUAAUUUAGUGAAUAAUCUAUUACUUUUGAUGCAUGCCUGUGUCAUGUUUCCUUUUUCCUCGUAUUAUAAUAUCAUACCCCAUAAGUUCUUUGUAAUUUUACUCAUAUGCUUUUCUGGUGGUUUCUCAAAACUGAUCUGUUCUUUGCAACCUUCAUUGCAGCCUCUGAUCGUUAAUCCACUAGGGCCUGUGGCAAAUGUUUCUUCUGGCAUUGCUCCUGCACUGGAACGUUCAGAUAGAAUCCCCCCUGCUGUGUCCAUUGGCAGUCUUGUAUAUUGCUUUCUCCACUUGUGUGCUUUGGUUUAUUUGUUGUCUUAAUCUUAUGGUGGGCAAAAUUGCAGGGUACAAUGGACAGCAGUAGGCUUGUUGAUGUUAAACCACGGAUUUCAGAUGAAUUAGAAAAGAUUAAAAGCUGGAAAAUUCCUGAUAUCGUUGAUUCAUCUCAAUUGAAAGCUCUGCGUUUGCCCGACACUAUUGCAAAUGGCAAGGUAGGCAGUUCAACAGUACAAUUAUUGCUAAUUCCAUGUUGCAUGGGAAAGAAAGCCUUUGCACCUGUGACAGUAUUUUAUCUCUUUAAGAAUUUUUUGGUUUCUGUGGAUAAUCUUUUUGUUCUUUGGAUUUUUAUCUUUAUCCUUUUGGAAUGAUACUUCUCAUGUGAGAUAUUAUUUUGGAUGUAACUCGUAUUAUUUUGAUGAGUCGAAUCUAGUUCUUUGGAUCUCACAGCUGUUGGUUUCAAACGUUGUUUGUGCAUGUGCAUGUGUUUAAGUUUGUGUAUUAGCAAUUUAUUGAUUUUUCAUGACUAUUUACAAUGUUGAAUGUGAUGGAUUAAUGGUAAGAACCAUUCUGAAAGGUUAAAGUAAGGGAGCACCACCUAUUUGAUAUGUUUCUACCAAUUGCGUAAUUCCUAUGCAAAGCAUGUAGGUCUUCUUGCUUCAGUGUGAGGAGAUUUGUUUGGGCAUGAUUAAAAACCAGUUAUAGUUCCAACUCUUGGGAAUAUCAAACUAUAGAGGUAGUUAUUAAUUAUUUCUGUGAUUACUUUUGGUAAGUUAGUAACGCGGUCCACUUUAAGUCCCUAGCAAUAGCAGAUAUUGCCUUUUCUUCUAGGAUGUUCAGCAAGCAUGAUUCUCUCUCUCUCUUUGCUUACACAUGCAUGCAAGCACUUGUAGUUGAUGCAUAUAUUUUGUUGUAGCCUUCCAUAUAUUUUUCAACAAAUCUUUAUGUCAUGUGUGCGCAAUUAUAUGGAGAUUCAAGGUGUGAACUUGCCAAAAUUGAGGAUGAUAUAAUGAUUGUAGGUUGUGCGGCUGAUUUACACCAAUUCUGGCCUAGCUCUGUUGGCACUUGCUUCCAAUGCUGUUCACAAACUCUGGAAAUGGCAACGCAGUGAAAGGAAUCAAUCAGGAAAGGUCUAGAAAAAGUCUUUCAAUGUCGAAGCAUCUGUUCUAUAAAUUUUGGAUGUGUUUCUGAUACUAAACAUCAAACUUUUGUAGGCUACCGCAUAUGUUGCACCGCAGUUGUGGCAGCCUCCUAGUGGAACUCCCAUGACUAAUGACAUAAGUGAUAAUAAACCACCUGAAGAAUCUGCUGCAUGCAUUGCUUUAUCCAAAAAUGAUUCAUAUGUCAUGUCUGCUUCUGGUGGGAAGGUAUCUUUGUUCAACAUGAUGACCUUUAAGGUGAGUUUUUGCCAUUUUAAUUCAUUCUUCAUCUCAAUGUGUAAUAUUGUUUGUGCCGAUAAUUUUUAGCAUUCUUUGCACUUUACUUAUUGAAGUUGGUAACUUCUUAGGUCAUGACGACAUUUAUGUCCCCUCCUCCUGCUGCCACAUUUUUAGCGUUCCAUCCUCAGGAUAAUAAUAUUAUUGCCAUUGGCAUGGAGGAUUCUUCUGUGCAAAUUUAUAAUGUCAGAGUUGAUGAGGUGAAGCAUUUUUCUAAUAUUCUGUGUGCGUUUUCCAUGUAUGGUUUUAUCCCCCUGCAAAUGCUUACUUUUAUCUAAUACAACAUCAAAUAAGCUUUAUCCCAAACUAGUUGGGUUUGACUAAACGAAUCCUUUUUUUCUAUUCUGCUUAUUUUUAUUAAAAAAUAAUGCAUGACCUUUUAUACUAGUAAUAGUCUUCUUAUUUUAAAGUGCAAUCGUUUCUUGAAAUUGUUGCCAAUUUUGAUUCUUGGUACUCUACAUUUGCAUAGUUAAAAAUUUAAAAAUUAGUUUUUUAAAAAAACUUUUUUUUUUAUUCACGUGCUGGAAACAUGAUUAUUGCAACCAUUAUCUUUACACAUAUAUAACAUUGAAUUUUUCUUGUCACUUAUUAAUAAUAGUGAAUGAAAUUUGGAUCAUUUUGAAAAACAAACGUUUUGAAUAUGAUGUUGGCUGUUGAAAUUGUUGCAUCAUCUAUUGGCUAAUGACCUUAAGUUUUUGUUUGAGGUGUCUUAUGGAAGAAAACUUACCUUGGAUAUUGUUUGCACUUGGCAGGUUAAAACCAAACUUAAGGGCCACCAAAGUCGAAUAACAGGACUUGCAUUUUCCCAAAGUUUAAAUGUCCUGGUGUCUUCUGGGGCUGAUGCACAGGUUAGUGAUUGAUAGAAUCGAUGAUCAACAUUAAAUUGUUUAUAGCUAGAUUUAUUUGAUGUUAUCCUUAAGAGAAAGGCUGUAGAUAUGAUUAUCUUAUUUAAUUCUGUGACUGAUUUGAUUUUGCCCGCCCAAUUCUGACUAUAAACUAAUAAUUCUUUUUCCUGUUUUUUUCUUUGAUUUCAUUUUUAUUGUCUGUUUUCUCGCACUGAUUUGGAUUUAGCAUCACCAUUACAAUGGAACUUCCAAAAGUUGUUGAGAUUUCCUGUUCAGUAAAUGCUCAAGUUUCUAUUUUGUCCCUUGUGCCCAAAGAUGUUGCUUUCAAUUUCCUUCUUUAAAAUGUUAUCAAAUUGCUUUAAGAUCUGAGCUAUUCUUUCAAAUGCCACUAAGGUACUCUAUCCCCCACAAAGAGAGGGACUUUAUCUCUUAAAAAAUCCUGAUUGUUCGUACAAUUGUACUAACUUCUAUAGUAUUAAGCUGCAAGGUGGUGAAGAAAGCAUAUGCUUUCAGAGCUUACUUUAUUAAUAUUUUUGAUGUGAACUCUUUGAAAUCUAGGAUGAGCUUCAGGUUUAUUGUCAGUAGUUCUUACAUAUUGAUGUCUCAAGGUGUUGAGCAGUUUUUAAAUUGAUGUGAGGAUAGUACAAUGGUCUCAAAAUAUGUUGAAGUGACAGUGUUGAUAUGAGCUAAAGCAAUGCUUUGAGUCAAAGAAAACUUCUAAGACUUUGUGCUCACAUGAAAGCCUUGUGAUCUGAGUUUGUCCAAUUGUGCAUACCAGCAGCCAUUCAAUAUGCUAUCUGAAUGGUCUUCUUCUGAUGUAUCUUUCAAGCCUUUCAAAGUUUAAUGAUUAGGAGGCCAAGAAUCCUAGCUAUCGGUUACUUCUGCUGGAUGUUUAUUGGGCUUGACCUUGCUGAAUUCAUAAUUUGUCGUGAAUAAGAAAUAAAUGCUCCUAUGCAACGCUACUACCAUCAGUUCACAUCAUUUAUUGCCCAGGGAAUGCACUCAUUAGAUCUGCUUUCUACCCUCUGCAUUUGCCCUUCCAGCAUUGGAAUCAACUUUUUGUAUUCGAUAUUAUUAGUGUUUGAGUAAUAAGCAAAAAAUAUUGCUGGAUAGUUCUUAAUGCUGUCAUUGAUCCACUUCAAGUUAUUUUAAAUCUCUUGAAUUUUUAUUUGGUAUGAGAUACCAGCUAUUGAUGUUGAUUUGGUGGACCAUAUGUAUUUUUUUAUAAAUUUCUUCUUGCGAUACUGCUGCUUUUAGAAGGCAUGAGCUUUGCAAUAUGAACGUGUCUGUUCACAGUUACCCACUAUUGGAUUUAAGCAUCUGCUUUUGUUGUAGAAUUACUCGUAUUGAUAUUAAUGGGAUCAUUGAUGAAUCGGCAGUUAUGUGUGUGGAGCAUUGAUGGAUGGGAGAAAAGGAAAUCGAGGUUUAUACAGCCACCUCCAGGUCGGCAAUCUCCAUUGGCAGGUGAAACUAAAGUGCAGUUUCACAAUGAUCAAACACAUCUGUUGGUUGUCCAUGAAAGCCAAAUUGCCAUUUAUGAUAGCAAACUUGAAUGUCUGCGAUCGGUAAGUUCUGUAACCUAAAUUUGUGUUUUAUUUUAUUUUUUUAAGUUUAAGAAAAGAUUUUUUUUUUAAGGAGAGAAUAAAGAUUUACAGAGUUAAGAUUAUGCCCUGUAACCCCAUGAUUGUCAAACUUACAAAGAAAUGAGGAAAGCCACUUUGAUCUAUGGCACAAAUUAAAAUACCUAAUUUUCCUUAAAAUGUUGCAGGAUGUCCAUCCAAAGUUCUGCUGCUCUACACAUGUUACAGUGUUCCACCUUUUUUUCCUUUGUAAUAAUAUAUAUGUGCUUGGCAUUCAUGCAUUUAGCAAAUCAAUUUGAUUUUGAAGUUUCUUGCAUUGAGCUGGAUAAAUUAUUCAAUUUGCAACUGCUAUUUUUUUUUUUUCAUUAUUUUGGACUGUGGCAACUACUAUAAAUCUAAUAUGUUAAGUGUGUCUCACUUUUUCAAAACCUUCUUAGUGCUUUGACCAUGACUAUAUGAUAUAGCUAAUGAUUAAAACUGAGAGGACUAUUGCUUAAGUGAACAUUAAGAGAAGCCCUGAAAAAAAAGUAAUACUAUUCUAAACAUAUGUAUGACCUACUUUAUUUGCAUUUUGGUAUCCAUUUUAUGUUAAUUCAAAGAGGGGGAGGGAGAUAAUAUUGGAGGUUCAGAUGUAUUCAUAUAGACACUUUUAGGAAGGAACCGAACAGGAGGAUUUAGAAGGAAAGAUGGGAUAACUAUCAAUGUUAAGUUUACAGAGGAAAAUCAACUUGACUUUGACAAUCCUGCAGCUGAGCAAAGUCUAGACUUCGUAAUGUGGUAGCUGACAUGAGACCCAUUAGGUGUUUAUGUAGAAAUUGCUGCCCUUUGGUUGGAAAUUCAUUUAAGUUGCACCUCGAAUAUGUUGGCCUACAUAAUUGGCCACCAUCACUAAAUAUCAUAGGCAAUAUUGCAGUAAAAUUGAUUAAUAUGCUGUAGCUCUUCUUGAUUUUUUUUUUUUAAUUUUUUAUUUUAAUAAAGGAAUGGCUUAGAUCUUAGUUAAUGAAAUUAUUUCUAUUUGUUCAUUUACGUCGGUCAAUUGUGAUCUUGCAGUGGUACCCAAAGGACAGGCUUGCUGCUCCCAUUGCUAGUGCAAUAUAUUCAAGUGAUGGUUUGCUGGUUUAUACGGGUUUUUGUGAUGGUGCUGUUGGAGUUUUUGAUGCAGAUGGCUUGAGGAUCAGGUGCCGAAUAGCCCCUUCUGCUUAUAUUCCUUCUUUUGUGGCAGGGUAAGCUUCAACUAACUUGCAAGAUACUGGUCCAGUAUUUCAUUUCACAAUAUCUUAUAUUGGAAGCGGUAUGGUUUCCAUAUUCACUGAUGAGGGUGCGUGUUUGCAGCAAUUCUGCGUAUCCUUUGGUUGUAGCAGCUCAUCCAUCUGAGCCUAAUCAGAUCGCACUUGGCAUGAGUGAUGGUGCAGUACAUGUGGUUGAGCCGUCUGAUGUGGAGCUCAAGUGGGGUGGGCCAUCCUCCCAAGAUAAUGGGUCCCUCCCUUCUAAUUCAUCGAAUCCUUCUCUGAGUGGUCAACAAUCAGAGCUUCCCUCCAGGUGAUGGUGGCAAACUUAAUCAGCUCCUGCCACAGUCGUUAGCACUUACACAAGAGGUUUACUGAUUAUCCUUACUUUUUUGCCUUGAUUGGUUCCGUUAAGCUAUUCCCUGUUAUUCAUAUUCUUUGUAAAUCUCUCUCCAUCUCAUCCUCUCUUGUUGGGGCCAUUUCGCUCCUUUGGAUGUUUGAGAAAUUGUAUAAUUUUGUUUGUCACUAAAAUUGUGCAAGAAUAGAGGCUAAUGUUGCGAAUUUGUUUACUUUUUACGUAUAUAUAAAUACAUGUUUUCCUUGAAACGGUUGACUUUGAAACAAUCGAGAUAUGGGAGUAUGAAAGAUGAACUUUCAGACUGAAAAACUGAUCGGAUUUAGUGGAAUGUUAUUUGGUAUGUGAAGAAAUGACGGCUUCUUCUUUGUAAUUUUAAAGGAACCAAACUUGCUUUUCUUGGCUGUCUUUCACUCAAUGGAUAUGGUCUGCUUUUCAUCUGUUGUUACGGCUUUCUAUUCUCCGCUAUAGUUAGUUUUCCAUGUUUAUUUCUCCUUCCUGAUAAGUCUUCUGUCUUCUUCUUCUGGCAUUGUUUCUAGAGAAGAGAGAGAGAAAACUAAGCCUUUUGAAUCGCUUUUUCAUGUUAUUAUUCAUAAGAUUGGCUAUAUAUAUAAAAAUAACCAAAAGAUUGGCAGUGGCUGCUUAGCUUUUCUACAAUUUUCUAUUUUGACGUCUGAACAGUAAAUGUGACUAAACAUGAUUCUAAAUUUUGUCUAACAACUAGAAUUUACGUGAAGGCAGUUGGACCCACAUUUUCAUUGUUAUUUUUUUUGGUGAUUAGGCUCACCGCGUCAGAUGCCAACGCUGAAGCUACUCUCCUCUCCUUUCUCAUUGCUUACAAUCGGCCUGUCCAACUUAAAGAAAUUUAAUAUCAUGUACUCUGCUUCUCCUAGACAGCAUAUCGUCUAAUGUGGCAAGCCUAGUCAGCCAAAAAAUCUAGCUGUCUUAAGAGCAUCAUCUUCAAUGCCAUUGAUAGUUGCGUUAAUUUAUUAGCCACGUCCGAAAAAUUGAAAGUUAAGGACAAAAAUUUUCUCCUCCAACCUUAUUCUGUUUAGUCUGUGAAUUGGUGUGUCAAAAAGAAAAAGUGAUAUUGUUUAUCACAAUAUUUUCAGAGGAUCUGUUGAACAGUGUGACUCAGUUUUUUUGUUCAUUUUUUUCUAUUUAUUUAUUUUUCUUUAUACUUUUCUCUUUUAUUUGAACUGAAAUUAAUUUCUUUUUUCGUGCAUUGAAGAAUCAUUUUUAAAAUCUAACAUUUAUAAAAUACACAUUCAUCACAUCAUUAUUCAAAACUUUUAUUUAUUAAAAUACAUCAGUUAUAAUCAAUGGUUGUAUUGAAGAUGCUCUAACGUUAAUUUCGGCCGGACUACGCAAAGUUCAGCUGAUAGCAAAUAUCUUUUAUUCAUACAUCAAAUUUGCAGAUUACUACGGUAGAAAAUCAAUAUAAUUAAUUAAAUUAAAUAUGCAACAAAAUUUUCAUAAAAAGGACAAUAUAUUAUUAACAAACCAAUAUUAUAGUAUUGUAGAGUUUAAUAUUAAUGUGAAAAACAAAAUUGACAUAAAAUAAAAAAUUAAUAAUAAAAUAUCAUUUCGUUUAGUAUUAACGUGAGAAGCAUAUUAAAAUUAAAGGUUUUGAGUUUAACAUUAAUGUGAAAAACAAAAUAGAACCAUACAAGUUAAUAUUACGAAACCAAAACAUAAUAUUUCGUAAAAAACUAUAACAUCAUUGAGUUUAUUGGUUUAAAAAUAAAUGUGAAAUGCAAAUUUUAAUAUUAACAUGAACAAAAUGUAAUAUUAUUGAUAUUUGUUAUUAUCUUGGGAUAUUAAGAAUUUAUUGAUGAGUUUAGCAACUUAUUCAUAGUUUUCAAAAGUAAAAUAAAUAUUUUUCUUGUUAAUUAUUUAAUUUUCUCUUGAAAAGAAUAUUUAAAUAGAAAAAAUAAUUUUAAAUUUUAUGUUCAAGUAAUAUCUUGCAUGUGCCCGAUAUAAAUUUUUUUAAAAAAAAAAAUUAGAAUCCACAUGAAAAUUUUAAUUUAUAAGUAUUGAAUUUCAUAAAUCCAAGGUUUAGAUGUAUUGUUUUCUACUUGUUUUCAAUUUUACUACUAAAAAUGAGAUAUUUCAUCUCUAAAAUUGUCAAAGUCAUUUUUUUUUUACUUAAUUGCAAUUAUAGCAUAAUUAAUAAGUUAAUAAAGUCCUGACCUAUAGCCAGGGCGAUGAUCCUUUAGGUAUGAGUUUGAACUUCAUCCUCAUCCUCCUUUAAUUUGUAAUCUUAUCGAAGAAAAUUUUUUACUAAAAAUAAUAAAAAAAAACGUAACCAAAUAAAAAAAAUCAAUUUGUUGAUUAAGGAGUAAUAAAUUUUUUUUAAAAGUAAUGGAUAAAUAUUGCAAUCAAAUAUAGAAAAAUCUACGUGUACUUGACAACUCCAAAUUAAAGAAUAACCAAUAUUAAUUAACUGUCAAUGGAUUUACCAUAAACAACAUAUUAUGUCUCAAUAUAGCAAAUUAUCUAUUAAAUAAUGACAUUCUUCCUUUCUUAAAGUGUAAAGCAAUAGUAAAUCUAAGAUUUUAUUUAUUAUAAAAAUUAAAAAUUAGUUUAAAAAUAUUAAAAUUUAUUUUUUAAAUAGAAAAAUAAAUAAUUUGAUUAGUAAUGCUAAGGCAAGAAGUCUUUAGUAUAUGUUCAAAAAUUGUUUGACGAAAUCCAAACAAAUUUUUGUGGUGAGUUUUCAUCCAGAUAAAAUAAACAUAUAAUGAUAUGAUAGGUCAAAAUUUCUACAAUAAGAUUUUAAUUUCUAAGUCACACUGAACAAAGUCGCAGUUAGAUAAUUUAAUAUUAAUGAAACAUAAUUUAAUCAUUUAAAUUGUAUUUGAUUUAUUAUAUGAUUUAUGUUUGUCCAAAUCUGUAUGUUAAUAAUAAUAAUAUUAAUAUAUAAUAUUUUAUUUAAUAAUUUUUAAUUAUAGUAACUUUCAUGCUACACACUCUACUUCCAAUUUUGUUAUAAUAAUUAUCUUAUUUUAUUUUAUUUUUAGCCAAUUGAAUAGGAAACUAAUAAAAUUAAAUUAAAUUUAUAGAUAAAUUAUAAAUUAUAGAUAGACAGAGGAUAGGGUCAAGGGGAGUAGCAAUGUCUACUGACAAUUCCAAAUCUGAAGGUAGCCAUAACACAUUUGGUGUUUUUUAUUAUUAUUUUAACAUAGUAUGUACUUACAGCUAAGAAUAUGCAAUAAUAAAAAAAAUAAUUUCUAUCAUACGUUGAAAACACAUACAUCAUUUGUCUCAAUAUUUGUUUAUUUUUCCAGGCCAGGAAAAUUCUUGUCUGAAAUUAUCAGGGUGUUUCGAAGCAAGAAAGGGCAAACAAGAAGAAAAUCCUCCUCAUCAACCACAAUCAUCCAUCUCCAACACCAGUAAUCCUUCUGGCCAAGAGAUCCAACGGCUGGAGACUCUCAUGGAAAAUGCUUUUCAGAGUGUUUGGGAACUCAAGAAAAAGUAGAAUUCAAAGUUUAGAGUAAGCUUGAAAACGUCCUUUUUUUUUUUUUUUUUUUUUUAAACCUACGAAUUGCAACCACAGUUUGGAGCCGACUUACUUAAAAAUAAAUUAUCUACGACUUCAAAUAUUUUUUUUUUCAUUACUAAAUUACUUUUAGUAAUAAAAUUUAUUUAUUUAUUUUAUUAUAAUAUAGUUAUUUUUAAGGAUUUAAUGGUAAAUUUACCUUAGACUUUCCACCAAAUUUUUAUUACAUUUCAUUUUUCUUAAAUAAUUAAGCGUUUAAUUAAUUGCAUAAUUCCGCGAUAAUAUAUUCUAAAAUAUUAAUAAGAAAUUUUGUCUAACUCGCUUAAGAAAUAGAUUUAUAUAUAUAUUAAGGUCAAAUAUUAGAAGCUAUUUUUCUUUUCUAAUUAAUAGAAUUUAUUAAUGGAAAAUAUAUAAUUUUCUCAUUUGAUGUUAGUGAUCAUCGUAAAAUAUACAAUAUUGGUGAUCAUCGUAAUAGUUGAGUUCAAAUAUUAGUCACUUGAUGUUAUAAUUUAAUUGUAAUAUUAAGAUUAUAAUUAUGUUCAUGAUAAUUAUUUUCAUCACAACAAUAAAAUAUUAAUCUUUAAAAUUUCUAAUUGAAUUGGUAAGUUUAAAUAUUAGUUUUUUAAUAAUUCUAUUAGUUAUGAGUAAGGUCUUUCCUAAAUCGAAAGAAUUUUUAAAUGGAAAAAAAUGAUUUCAAAUCUUAUUUUUAAAUCAUAUCUUGCACAUACUCAAUAUAAAAAUUAAAAAUAAAAUUUAAAAUCUACAUAAAAUUUUAAUUUAUAAUCAUUGAAUUUCAUAAAACCCAAUUUUCAAAUGUGUAAUUUUCUACUUUUGGCCCAUGUUCUAAAAUUGAGACAUUCAGUAUUUAAAAUAGCCAAUGUCUGUAUUUUUUUUUUUUUUUUUUACUCAAGUACAAUUAUAACAUAAUAUGAUAAGUCAAUGAAGCCUUGACUUAAUAGCCAUGGCGAUGAUCCUUUAUCUCUGAAUUUAAACCUCACCCUCAAUCUCCUUUAAUUUUUAAUAUCAUUAAAAAAAUACUUAAUUUCUUACAAAAUAAUAGAAAACAUUAACCAAAUAUAGAAAAUCAAUUUUCUGCUUCAAAAGUAUUAAAUUUUUUACAAAAGUAAUAGAUAAACGUUGUAAUCAAAUAUGAAAAAAUCAAAGUGUACUCAGACAACUGUGAAUUAAAAAAUAAGUAAUUAAUUAAUUCUUAAUUGAUUUACCAUAAGCAUCAUAUAUAAUCUAUAUGUGACAAAUUACUCAUCAAAUAGUAAAUCUAAGAUUUUGUUUAUUAUUUAAUUAAAAUAUUCAAAGUUUUUAUCAUUUAAAUAGCAAGAUAAAUAAUUGAUUAUUAAUAUUAAUUUUUGAUAACUAAAGAAAAUAAAGUGGCAAAAUAAAUAAAAUUUGUGGUGAUUUUUCAUCAGGAGAAAAUAAACAUAUAUGUGUAAUAUAUACUUAAUCUAAACAUACUUUAAUUUUGUAUCACGUUUAAUAAUAAUCAUAAUAUGUGUAAUGUCAAUGUCUAUCAUUUGAAUUGUAUUUGAUUAUUGAUAAUAUAGACUUAAUUUAAUAUCGAUGAAGCAUAAUUUAAUUUUAUAUCGCGUUUAAUAAUAAUCAUGAUAUGUGUAAUAUUAAUGUUCACCAUUUAAAUUAUAUUUGAUUUAUUAUAUCUUUUGUUUGUCAAAAUGUUUAGGUUACUAUUAGUAUAAGCAUAUAUAACAAAUUUUGAAUUAAAGUAAUUUUCUUACUACACAACCUUCUUAAAUUUAUAAUAUUUUGUAAUAAUAAUUUUUUUUAUUAGCCAUUUGAAUGGAAAAACAAUGUAACCAAUCAAAUCAAACCAUUUUUAUUUUAUUAAUCAAUGAAAUUAAAAGCUUUAAAAAUAUUUUUCUCAAUCAAUAAAUUUAAUAGGUAUUGUCUAUUUCAAUAUUUCUCUUUUAAAUUGCCACUUUUAUAUAUUUUAUAGAUUAUAAAUUAUAGAUAAAUAGAGGUUAGGAUCAUGGCUUUAGCUAAAUAUAAUCUAUUCCAAGUAACUAUAGAGAAAAGAACUUUUGACAAGAGGAGUAGAAAUGUCUAUUGACAAUUCCAAAUAUGAAAGGUACCGCAACACCUAUAACGUUACUUAUUCAAGCAGUGAAUCGUGUCUGAAUGAAAUAGAUUUUACCCAAUUAGAUUGAGUUCUUGUCCUGGGAUUUCACACAGAACACCUUUGAAACUAAGCAAUAAGCACAAUAGGGUAGGUAUUGAAAGAACCACAAAAUUGACAAUUGCAACAAGCAUAGUGUAGAAUUGAUGUCUUAUAUUCAAAAUCACCAGUAGCAAAAAUUCAGAAACAGGCAAGUAACAGAAGAAAACCAAAGAAUUUGGAUGCAAACCCCUUUUACAUAUAUAGGCUAUCUAAGAAAUAACCACAAUUUUUAAGGUGGGCAAUUCAUUCUUUUUCAUAUAUUCUGGCAAAUAUUCACUAUGCAUUUUCAGUUUUCGUUCUCAGCUUCAGCUCUAGCUGUACAGUUCUCUGGUAGUUUUUGCAAUGCCGGUCUAUUUCCCACCUGCCAUUCACAAAAGAUUAAUAAAAAGAAAUGGGAAAUGCUUUAUUUUGGCAAAUUCUUGAAAAAAAAAAAAAAAAAAGGAAGGAUUGGCGUCGUCACCUUUGAGACAUUUUUACUCUCAUUGUUCUUCUUACUGGUAAUCUCUAGUGUUUCUUUCAACAUCUUGCUUAGCUCUCUUAGGCUCUUUUCACGUAAUUCAUCAGCAGCCUCCUUUUUCUUCUUCAUUUUAUCCUUUUUAGGCUCUACUUUUCUGCCACUGCUGUCAAUGUUCUCCUUGUUAAUAAUGUCUGGAUGGAUUAUUUUCUGAUUUGUUGUCAGUUUCUUAGUUGAUGAUUUCCUUGGUGUUGACUCCGUUGGACGAGGAAACUGGCCCUGAAUUGUGUUGGCUGCAAAUGGCGAAGAGACCAUGCCAACUGUGACUUUGUCACAAAUUUGCUUUUCAGUGUCAGAAACAAGAGGACAGAAAGGGCUACUCUUUGCGGAUUUUGGAGUCUCGACUGGGUCUGAUUCUUCAGCUUCAACUACAUUGCCAUUGACAACAUCAGCUUUCUUGCAUUUUUCAUUCCCACUCUGUGACAUCUCACAAUCAGCUUCGAGAGUAAGUGGAGCCUUCUGGACUUCUUCUGUACUCUUAUUUUGUUGAACUUCACUUGUGAAACUGUCAUCAGAGACUUCGUCUGAUUCACUGUCGUCAGACGUUUCAUCCAAUUCAUCAGAAGAUUCAUCCAAUUCGCUGCCAUCAGAUGACGAAGCUUCAUCUGGUUCACUGCCGUCAGAUGACUCUUCCUCAAUGUCAUUCACAUCAGAAUCUUCCUCAGUGUCUGCGUUUGAAAGCAGAUCGUCAUCACGGUCAUCUUCCAUAGAAUCCAUUUCAGAUCCUUUGUCCACAACUUCAGGUAUCUUAGGGGUCAAUGAAUUCAUGACCUCAACUGAAGUAUCUUCUGUUUCCAUGAGACAUGCAGAAUUGUUAUCAGAUGCUUCUACAAUCAAAGAAUCUUGAUUUUCAUUCAAUUCCCCUUCAGUUUCUGGCUUCACAGAAGCAUUCAGCAUUUCAUAGUGUCCUAUAACGGCAACUAGUCCUGAAAGGUCAAUCAUACGUCAGGCACUUCACACAUGUGAGGAAAACCUUUAGAUAAAAAGUGUUACAAAAAUGGGGACAAGAUGUCUAUAAAAAUACAUACCGUUCUCAUUAAUGGACUCAUGAUUCACAUCUAUUAUCUUCUCUGAGCUUUCAUCUUUCGAAGAAAACAAUUCAUCUGAACUGUCAUUAUCAUCUUCAUCGUUUGCAUUUAAAUAAUUAUCUAAAUCAGUGCAUGGCUCAGAAGCCAUUUCCAGUUUUGCACUGCAAACAACCAAUUCAUGGUCGUUUCUAUUCUCAUCUUCUUGAAAUUCAAUUUUUGUUUCACUUCCAUUCUUUAGCAAAGGAUCUUUGUCUUGGAAAAGAACAUCUGAAUCCCCUUCACAAUCAACACUCUUUCUGUCCUCAUGAAGUUCAUCCUUCAUUUCACUUUCAGUCCCAAAUGGCUGAUCAAAAUUUUGUACAAGAACUCCUGAGUCAUCUUCCAUUUCAUGAUCAUUAGUCUUGUUGUCCUCUUGAACUUCAUCCUUUUUUUUGUUUUCGUUCUCUUGUGAUUCAUCCAAAUAUUGGCAUGAAAGAACAUCUGACUCUAGCUCAUUCACUUCACGGCCAUUACUCUUGUUGUCCUCUUGAACUUGAUGCUUCAGUUCACUCUCACCAAGUAUCUCAUUUAUGUCUUGGCAUGUAAGAACUUCUGACUCUGACUCAUUCACUUCAUGGCCAUUACUCAUGUUGUCCUCUUGAACUUCAUGCUUCAGUUCACUCUGAUCAAGUGUCUCAUUUAUGUCUUGGCAUGUAAGAACUUCUGACUCUGACUCAUUCACUUCAUGGCCAUUACUCUUGUCCUCUUGAACUUCAUGCUUCAAUUCACUCUCACCAAGUGUCUCAUUUAUGUCUUGGCAUGAAAUGACUUCAGAAUCACCUCCUGUAUUGCAUUACAACCAUUGUCAGAAUCCAAAGGAACAUAACUGAAUAGAAUAAUUAUAAUACUUUUCCUGUAUAUUUCAUGUAGUUCUAAUGAAGUUGAAAAAGAUAAAGCCAAUGUUAGUUAAUUAGUGAAGGUGUUUAACUUUAGUUAUUUCAUUCCCACCAUUUUUACCGCAAUCAAACAUUAUAUACCAGAAAAUUGAUACAGAAAGUUUCCACUCUUGGACAAUAACAUAACACAAACACAUACCAGGCACAUUCUUCUCCUGUUCAAUUUCCUCAGUUUCCUCACCCAACCCCUCAAUCUUCACAGCCUCAACUCUCCUUGUCUCCUUCAAGCUCAACCCUGCCAUGGUUUUCUCCAACAAUCUCACUGACUGCCUGGUACCAUACACUCUCUGAACCGACAGUUCGCUCUUCAGGGGCUCAAUUUUCUUCUUAGUUGAAACUGCUGGGGCCUUUCUUCUGGAGCUCUUCAAUGCUGGAGUCUCAAUUACCUCACUUUUCUCAUCUUCCACACUUUCCAUUAAUUGGGAAUCAAUUUUUUGGCGAGCUGAAGCAGCUGGUGCCCUUCUCCGGCUAGCCGGCAUUGCUGGAGUCUCUGGUAAAUUCACAUUCUUGUUUUCUUGUUCAGCCCCUUCAGCAACUGUUAUUCUUGUUGCGCGCCGAGUACGAGUCAGGGGUUGUGAACUUUCAGGCUCAACUUUAAUAGGCUUUCUCCUAGUUGAGGUUCUGCCUGCAGUUCUAGGCUCUGCAUUAGUAGUUUUCUCUGGGGAUUCGUGAGGAUCAGAUCUGGUUGCAUCAUUGAUUAGUUCAUCGAGUCCUUCAACCUGUAACAAACCAUUCGAUGAACAGCUCAGAAAAUGUGUUUGUUUAGAAAAUUGAAACUCUUGAGCACUGAAAGAUUCAUGAAGCAAUCAAACAAAUCAACAAAUUUAAGAAUUAGAGGAACUUUAUAGGGAAUGAGUUGAUAUUAGAAAAAUAUUAGUGCAUAAAAAACCAAUAUCCGAAAGAAACUUAACAAUCUUUUUACUGGUUCAACUAAUAAGGUAGAAACAUAAUCAAAGAAUGCUACAAACUCAGAUUUUGGUUGUUGGUUAACAAUGCUAGAAUCCAAACUUCUGGUUUUGGUUAUUUCUUCAAUUAACAAAUCAGUAGUGAUAAUAUCCAAUCUUGUAUAAAGGUAUUCAAGAAAUGCUACUCAUUGAUUCAAUAGUAAUUAAGAUCUGAAAAACCCUAAAAUCAAAAUCAUAAAACCCAAUAAAGAAACAACAAAAAGAACAAAAUUUCCUACAUGUGUCUUCUAUUUUCUUCUGAUUUCUCAAUAAUCAAACAAAAUAUGCUCAGAAAGAUGAAAUUGAUAAAUGAAGAUUAAAAUCGAAACUACCUUCUCAAGAGCUUUGAGAGCAUCAGCCAUGGCGACAUUGGUCAUAUUAGCAGGGAUCUUGUUCUUCUUGCAGAGAGCUUGGAGCUCUUUCCUUGCGAGGCUGUGAAAAUCCAUUUCCGAUCGGAAACAAGAAAAGGAAAAAUUAAAAAAAAAAAAUACAGAAACAAAGCGUUUGUGGUAUCGAAAGACUAUUGCUUUCUUGUUGUUGCUGAUUGAGAGGGAGAAGUGGUGAUAUAUAUAUGUAUCUGGUGAACGAUAUGAGGGGGAGAGAACCCUAGAAGAUAUGACCGUUGGAGCGUGAAUUUGAAAUUUGAAAUUAAUGAGUAUUUUAUUAGUUAAUGUAUCCCGCAAAUUUUCAGAAAAUUUGUUAAAUUUUAUGCUAUUAGGGAAAUGUGUUUAUUUAAGUACUUUUGUAUUUAAUAUCAUGCUUAAAAUGAAAUAAUUAUCUUUUUCAGUAGGGUUUUUCUUUUUUGAGAUGAAUUUUUUUUUAUUAAGUAACAUUAAUUGAGUUAAUUAUAAUUUUUUAAAAUGUGUAACAAAAAAUAAUUAUUUUUUGAAAUAAAAAGUUUAAUAAUUUAGUUAAUUUUUUUUAAAAUUAGUUUUUUAGAAAGGGAAAGUUUUGUUUAUAGCAUUGUAUUACUGAUGUAAAAUUUGUACAAAGGGGUCUUAACACUUUUUUUUAAUUACAUGUCACAGUGAUUUGAUUUUUAAAAAAUGUAAAAGGAAUUUAUAAUCAAUAUGGAAAAUGGAAUUGUAAUGAGAAAAAUAAUAGAAAGCAAAAAUAAAUGUCCUUUUUCCCUAAUGUUCUAUUUCUCAUCUAUGUCAUGUCAUUGUAAAUUGACCAUGGCCCUAGAAAGAUUUUGCAUGAUAUCAGAAAAUAUUGGGCCAAACCCUAUGAAUCCAUGCUUUUAUUUCUAAAUUUCCUUAUUUUUCAAUUUUAAAUAAAAAAAAAAAGUCCAAAUCAAGGUCAUUGCUUCAUUUUUUCUCAAUUUUUAUGAAGAAAUUAUAAGGUCCCUAUUAUCAUAGUUAUUUUGAAAUUUUAUCUCUAUGUUCUAAAAAAAAAAAAUUCUGACAUUCUGCCUCUAUUUAUUUUUAUAAAAUAACUUGCAAGAAAAUAUUUUUCAUAAUUUUUCGUUAUCCAGAGCGUUCAAGAAAAUAAGUUGAAGAAAAAUAGAGCCAUUUUUAAGAAAAAUGACUUCCCAUUUUCAAAAGAAAAAUAUUUUCUGGUAUUAAUAAAUUAAUAUAUUAUAAUCUUAUAAAUUCAUAUUGUUUUUUAAUUUAUUAACCAUUGGUAGCCACUGCCACCAAUUACCGUUUACUACCCGCUAUCACCACCACCUACCGACAACUUUUAUAAUUUACCAUUUUUUACAAUUUUUCUCAUAUUUAACAAUAAUGUAUGGACUAAGUAAUCGGAAUGUUUGAAAUUUAGUUGAACUAAAUAUUUUUAAUAAUCAAUUAAAAAAUGAAGAAACUAAAAUUUCAAGAAAUCAACUCAAGGGUUUGAUUCACACUAAACAUACCUGCAGAGAAGGGUGAAGAGCCUUAAACGUGACUAGACCCCAAAUUGAAUUUGGUCCACUAAACACAUCUACAAAGAGAAGCGAAGAGCCUUAACCGCGAUUAAACCCGAGCCGAAUUUAAUUAGUCCGUGAUAACAAGGGUCUGAAUAUUGAUGGUUUACACCGAAAAAAUCAGAUAAAACUAGAUUACUUAUGUAUAAUUCAAUUUUUCAAAGUAAUCAAUUUCUUUCUUUUUAAGAUUAAAUUAGAUAAAAUAAAUUGAACAAUGAGUGAAUUAAAGGUAAAUGAUGAUGGCAUAUUUGUCCCGAGAAACAUGUGUAUUAAAUUUUUUUUUUCUUUUUUUAAUAUAGCUGCUUAUAGAUUUACUUACUUUACCAACUCUAUUUCAUAUUCAUGCUUCAUAUAGAAAUACAAGUAUCUCAUGUUUCACAUAGAAAUAAGUAUCCAUGCCAUACAAAAUUAGCCCUUCGGUAUUUGUAUCUGCUUCUUAUCAGAACAAAAAUUGCUAAUCUCAAAACGCACUUCCAAGUUAAUAAAAUUGCCUCUUCAAACCAAAAAACAAAAAGACACAAACACCUAGUUGACAUCUCUUUUCUUCCCCUUCUAAGGGAUAGAGAGGCAAAAGUUCUUAGAAACUGUAUUUUCCACCCAAUUUUACACUAAGAACUGCUCAUCAUACAUUAAAAAAUUUACGUAGAUCCACCGCAACAACGACAGUUAUGAUAACAAACUCAUCUGCUCGAAAGAUAACUUGCUUUGCCAUUAGUCUCUUUACAAAAAAAGCAUAACAAAGACGCUCAAACUUUUAUUAGUCAGAUUCAAGAAGAGGAUAAAAGAUAGAUAUUACUCCACAGCAUCUGCCAAAAGGGGAAAACAUAGAUGGUGAACAGAACCAAAUGCAUAAAUAUGAACCAAAAGAUGUAUAUCGCCUGCCAGAAAAUGAUAGAUAAUCCAAUAAAAGCACCACAGACAUCACCCAUUCCAGAUGAAAAGAAUAACGCACAGUUGAAAAUUGUUCAUUUGAAACAUGUAUCUAUCUUUUUGGAAGUUUUGCACUUUGUGCAUCAUACAACAUAUUUGUCUAGCCUACAGAGUGUACUUAUUAUUUUACAGGAGCACAAUGGCCAAAGCACGAGGCCAUAGCUCUAACCAGUCCGUCCAGUGAUUGCUCAUGCAAACAAAACUAUAGAUACAAAAGGAAAGACUAACUCGAUCCCAACUGUACUAGGUUUCUCUAUAUUUUUCAAAUAAAUAAAUAUAAAAGAAAACCUGAAAAACAUCAGCUCAUAUGGAAAUAAAAUGUACAUAUAUCUAAACUGAAUUUCAAACUACCCGCUUCUAUCUGUAAUGACUAGUGAUUACCUUCUUUUCAGCCUACCAAAAGCUCUUUUCUGCAUCCCCGUCAUAACAUCGCUAUAACCUUGCGUUGAACACGUUCACUGUAUAUGGUUUCUUCCAUGCUAAAUCUAAUGGUCAAGAAACAGGUAACAGAACCCUCACGCAGAAAAUGCCAACAAUGUAUAACGGGUGCAGAAUACUUUUGCCAAAAAGAGGAAAUUAGCAAACAAUUAUUGCAUCUGCAGUAUUAGUGAGCACAUAUAGCAAUGUACAUGUCAUCUAUGAUGGCUGUCCCUCUGCAUCUCUAUUCGACAUAACCACUUUACAUGCUGCUUUUGAAGGAGGUCUAUUGAUCUUUUCAAGUAACCUACUGAAAACUAAUUUGACAGGUAUACAGGCAACAGUAGUUGGCCCAGAUGUUUCAGGUUUGAUAAGUCCAUCCAUUUGGCCACUGCUACUAAAAUGUAUGGGCUUAGUUCCGAAAUUUUGUUGAAUACCAAUUGACGAUAGGGUUCUUGUUUUUUGAUUAGAUGCUAAGCUUGCUUUCUUUGGCAGCUUUCUUGGAAAUUUUCUAUCCAUUGGAGGAGGACGGGAAAUGUGUGUAAGGCCCUUCCGUACCAGGCUUGCCUUCUGGCCGAAACUACCAACACUUGACUUCUUAAACGGAGAUCUUCCAUCCUGAUCUAUAAAAGGAGGAUCCUCAGCAGAAUCUUCAGCACCCAACACUGAAGACAAAUGAGGGCGUGGGACCCUAAAAUCGGUCCUUCUAGCAGUUCUCCAAGCUGGUGGAAGUGAUGAUGUAUUUCCAUCAUAGUCAACUGCUUCGGUGCUAUGAUAAUCAUCUGUAGGAAUGAGGUUUUCCGAUGAUCCAUCUUCUAGGGCUUCAAUUUGGAUUGGAUGCCCUAUUAUUGCCUUCCCAUCUAACUUGCUCCUAAGAGAAACAAGAGGAACAGGUUCUUUUUGAUAGCUAGCUUGGACCUUCAAAUCCACAUCUAUCAACAUGGAUCUUGCCCUUCCGCCAGAAUGAUAACGGCCAAAAAUUAUUGGAUUGAAACGCUCCAUCCCGUCCUCCCAAUGUCCUCUAAAAGCAGGACGAUCCUCCCAAGUCAUGCCCCUCCAAUCAAUAUUGUUAUGACCACUUCUAAUUUUGCCUUUGGAUGCCAAUCUAGAUGUAUAUGAAUAACGCCCAUUAUCUGGCCCAAACACUUGGGUCCCAAAAUAUUUUGUGUCGAAAUCAGCAUCAUGAACAGCAUAUGCCCUUUGGCCCAGAAUGCUACCCUUUAUCCCAUGAUAGGUUCCAUGAAGAAGACCAUUCAAAACUUUUCUGUCAGCUCUAUCUGCAGACUUUUUGGUAAGAUGUCGGAUAUUCCUUUUCCCUUUCAAUUGCCAUUUCGACACUGCCGCAUUAGCAAGAAAAGGGUCAUCAGGAUAAAGAUGAGUCAUUUCAGCAGGAAAAGCUAAUUCAUCCUGAUCCUCACUGCUUGUGCUUCCAGGUCCUCUAGGUGCUUCAGGCAGUCUCAGAGCAUUUUGUUCAACUUCUGUAGGUAUAGCAGCACCUGAAUAGACAAGCACAGAGGCUAAUAAGACUCCCCAAAAAAAAGAGAAUAUACUGAAAAAAUGAAAAUUAUACUGUUAAAACUUUACACAGCUCAAUACACAGCAAACCCAUGUAAUUACAGAAAACAGCAUUGAAGACUAUAAACCUGAAUACAAAUGCAGGAAUGCAAUAAUUGCACGUAGGUCCACAAAAUUGACAAGGACUAUAUUUUAAUCCAAUGUAACGCUUUUAGUCUAACUUCCCUAACAAAGGAUUUUUUAAUUGAUCUCAGUCCAUGCCAAGUUGAUAAUCAACUUAUUUGGAUUACUAUCAUUUUUACAUAUGCCUCUAUAGAAAUGCAGCCAUAAUACCAGAUGUUGGGCAUAGCAACUCACUCAAGCCAUAAAACUAUUACCCGAGGAAGAAAAUUUCAGGACUCAUAUCUAAAGACAAAAUAUGGUUCAAGGUGUUUUCUCAUCCAGAAGAUUAUGUGCAAGACUCCAGGCAUAGCUUAAGAAUUCUGACAUCAAGUUUUGUGAAACACAAGAACAAUUAUCCUAAAAUAAUUGCCACCAACGCUAUGGCUACUGUGUUUGAGUCAUCUACAUUAAACUUGUCAAAGCUAAGCAAAACCCAAACAUUUCUCACCCCCCUUGAUUUAAUAAUGCAGUUGUAAUGACAUUUUCACACUGCUUGUCUUGCAAAGUUCAGUGGCAAUACCCAUGGAGGCCGGCCACAUGUAUAAAACUCGUAAGCCUAUUUUUAUCCCACCACAGGUCUACAACUGUGUACAGCAUGCAAUAUUCCUAGUCAAUAACUAAGACAUCUAUCCACUCAUCCAUACUUGCACCAUGUAAUUUGCACAACAAAAUAUAAAUUCUAGGUCAGUAGAACCAAGCAGAGUUAUUAAAGGCACAAGGCGCACUAAAGUGCCAAAGGGUCCUGAAGCCUAGGUCCAAGCACCCGCCUAAGAAAUGUAAGCCGCAAAAAUAUAUAUUUCAAAGAAAAUUCAAAAGUAAUACUUGAUUUCUCCACAGAAAAUGUAAUAUAGAAAUUCAUAAACAAAUUCAAGCACUUGAAUUGGUUUAACAAAUUAACACUUGAUAUUUAUAACAAAUCCAAAAUAUUAACUUUGUUUAACCAAAUUAACAUUUAAUAAACAAAUUCAAGAAAUUAAUAACAUAGUGAAAAAAGUUAAUAACUCUCAAAUAAUCAAUGUAAAGUCAAGAUUUUAACAACUUCAAAAGGUUGUUUAGGAUAAGAACAGGGACAAUAGAGAAAGAAACAGUGAAAAGAUAAAACAGGAGCAAAGAGUAUUAUUAUUUAAGAAAAAACGUAAAUACAGGACAGUGGGGAAAAGAAAAGAAGUAGAGAAGAAUUAGAGUGAACACAGACAGGCACAAAGGAAACCAAAAUCAAGGCAGAAGGACAGAGACCCAAGAUCUUUGGAUGCCGGAAUGGAAUUACAGUGAGCAGGUGACUCAAGUAGUGGCAGUCCAGUCAGGAUCAGGCCACUCUCCAGCGACAGAGAUGACAUUUCUGGCAAUUUUUGGGUGCAUGGAUGCUGAUCCUUGUAGAUUAGCUAAUCCUGAGACCAGUGGUGGAAGCCAUUGGUGCUGGGAAAGCUUACUCUUUGCAGGAUCUGUAAGAGGUGCCUUGCAGCUGGGAAAAGGCGCUCCUAAGUGAGAAGGCAAGCACCCGGGAGAGAUCACCUGCCUCUCUCUAGCAGAGGACCAAGGCUGGAACCUGCUAUGCCUUGCACCUCAGGUGCCCUUAGUAACUAGGCAACCAAGAUUUAAAUUUGCUGAUUUCGACGAUCUAUAAUUUAUCAUUUCAAAGCAUCACUCUGAUAAAUCUUAACCCACAUUUUGUUGAGAGGGAAAACAAAUUUUCUUUUCUAUAUUAAUUAGAUAGAAAGUUUGGUCUAAAAUAUCCACAAUUGUCAUAUUAUUUGUGAAGUAAAGAAAAUUUUUUGUAUUAUGAAAUACAUGCACUCCCAUUUGCAUCAAUAUAUUAUGCAAUUCAGAAGGGCGGUUAGCCUAGUAAGAUUUUCCAUUAUUCAUUAGCAAUUUAAAAAAAAUCUGUAAUCAAGAACCCCCAACAAAAGGAACUGAAUUUUUGAAAUAGAACAGAUGUUAUCAGCAAUGGAGCAAGCAAUUGAUCUCUCAAACACACCCAACACUGAAAAUGCAUAAGCAAACUAUUUGACACUCAAUGGAGAGAAAUGAUGAUUGACAUGAAAUAUGAAUAGUAAAUACACUACCUGGAAAAAUAGUCAUUUCAUCAUCCACAUCCGGCUCAGUCUCAGAAGAAUCAGACUCAGAGUCAUUAGAAGAGUCAGUUUCGGACGAGUCAGAUUCGGCAUUUUCCAUAAAUCCAGAAGAAGAGUUCUGUUCAUUCAAUGAACUGUGAUGAGGAUGGCUAUCAUCAUCGUCAAACUGAGAAGGAAAUGCCUUAAUCCGAUUCAAAGGAAGCUCUUUAUCUUCCAAAGAGUCGCUAGACUCAGCUGGAAAGUAAGCACAUUUACUCCUCUUCAAUUGACAAAUAGCUCCCAUCUGCUCUGCUCCUGAAACAGAAAUAGAAACAGUUCCAGACUCAGAUUGUGACAAAUGAGGGACUUCUAACUUUGCAUUACUCUACAAUAUUCAACAGGAGAGUAGCUACUCAUGACCCUUGAUCAAACAUCUCCCAGUCAACCCUAAUGUGACCUACCCUUCUGAAUAAAAAAUGUUUACCAUUUGCAUUAUUUGUUCUUUCAAUGCUAGAGGCACCAACGGGAUGAGCUUGAAAUUGAUUAUCUUCCAUAGGUGUCACAGGACCAGCUGUAUCACCAGAUGGAAGCUUUCGCUUUAAUGGGGCAGUUCUAAGCCCAAAAUCUUGCAACCCUCUCAUCCGUGGUGUUGCAUCAGAAUGAUCAUCUUCCGAGAUUGGCUGAUUUACAUCUGUUGCUUUCUUAGGAUUGGCAGCAAUCUCAUCUUUGAUACUCGUAUCUACAUGGUUCAAAAUCUGAUUCAACUUGGCAUUCCCGGGUUUUCCACUAUUAUUUACCCAGAUUUCUGAAGCAAUGUCAGGCUCCUUCUUUGCAGAACUAGAUGAUUUACUUUUUUGUUGAUCAGUAGUGCUGCCUAAUUUCCCUUGCUUUUUCAACAGUUGUUUUUCAAGCUCAAGUGCAUGAAGAAUUGCAUCUUCUCGACGUGCAUAUUUCUCUCGCUUUUUGAUCGGCAUGCCCUGGGCUGAUUCUGCCCUUUCAAUGCAAUCAUCAAACUCACCACAUCGAAAUGCCUUCACACGCUUAGAUUUUUCUAAAUUGUACCAGUCCCUGAAGAAGUACCAUAAAUUUUUGUUAUAAAAAGCGUGCUCCAAAUGAAAUCAGAAUAAAGACAUAAUGUCUGCAAAAACUUUAAAAAAUUAUAAAACUUGAAAUAAAGAGGAACACUUUGCACCCAAAAUUUUAAAUAUCAAAUUUCAUGCAUUGGCAGCAUUGACAUUAAGCUUAUCUUCUAAAAUUACUCCUCUAUUCAAAAUGGUGAAGGACAUGACCCAUGGAGCAUCUUAGCAACUAAAAUAACUCUGUCCAUCUUUGUCAUCAAUGAGGUUGUAUAAGUUGGUUCCAAGGUCUAAAUUAUAUUACACCCAAUUUCUGCUUUCAAAAUCCCAAAUAUUGUGAGACAAAUAAUUUGACGUUAGUAAAAUCAGCAAAGACGAUAAAGGCAACAACAGCAAAGGAACUAACGCCCAGCCACAUUGUUAGAGACAAAACCAAUUGUGAAAUGAUCAUCAAUGCUCAUACCACUUCCCUUUCAAGCAAGAAAAUAACUCAGCAAGAAAAAAGAUGUAACCACAAACACCAGAAAAUCAAAUAACUUCCUAUCCAAAAACUAAUACAUAAAAAGUAAAUGGUCCAGAAAAGUAAAUAUUUCUUUGAAAAAUAUAAAUUAUAAGACGUACACACUAGCGUCUUCCCUGCCGAGGAGCUUGACCGGAGUCCCUGUCCUCGGAGAAGUGAGAUUACACUCGGCCAACUCGUCAGGCCCCAGUAUCUUUCCCGGCCACCACGACCCAUUCCUCCUUCUCACCCAUACAAUCGGUCCAAUACUACAAUCUGCCGCACCGGAUCCCGAACUGCCCAUCGCCACUUACGUAUCUCUUUAAUUAUCAACUAACAAACGCACACGCCCGCAAGCGAGCGCCUCUCUUUCUUCCUCUGUAGAAUCAAAUUCAACCUCCAGAGGAAAAGAGAGCGAAACGGAGAAACCUACAACAAGAAUGAACAAACGAUCCACGAAGAGAAAAUAGGGCUUCCAUUCAGAUUUGAGGAUUUUUCAUUGUCAUUUAUUAAAUUCUAGGGUUUUUGUUUCAGUUUGAAUUCAAUUGAUCCUUCACUCUCAAACACACACUCUUCAAGAAGCUUCAAGACUAUAAACGACACCGUCGCGGUGGUAGUGGUGGUGGUGGUGGUGGUGGUGGAGGUCUGUUGGGGUGUUUAUAUGGUUAGGGUCUUUUCUUUUUGUUUGGAAAUAGAGAAGAAGAGGGUUGGUUAUGGCUUUUGCUCGGUUUUGUUUUUUUGGUUUUGAAAGAGAAGACCCGAACAGAAGGAGGAGAAAAAAAAUAAAAAAAUAAAAAAACACAUUCCGCAAACUUAUAAUUUUUGGCAAUUUCAUUCUAUUUCGAUUUUUUUAUUAUUUUUUCAUUAAUUUCCAUAUUUUUAUCAUUUUUUUUCAUUAAUUUUGAUCUUUUAUGAUAAUAGUAUCCUCAAUUACGAUAAAUAUUUUAAUUAUAAAUAAAAAAUAAUUUUAAUUUUUUAAAAUAUAAUUCCUUAUUGUUGAAUAAAUAAAAAAUUAAAUUUUAAACACUGUUUAAAUAUUAAAUUAUAUUCCACUUACUGGGUGGUAUAUUUAUAGUUUUUUUUAAGAUAUAUUUAUAAUUUUUUUUUUCUUAUAGGUUUAAGAAUAUGAUAUUAAAAUGUAAAAUUACAAUAAUUAAAAGUUAUUUAUUUUUCAUUAAAUAAAAAAUUUUAAUUUUAUUAUUCACCCGAAAAAAUAUAAAAACUAAGACUUUUUAAUAUAAAAAAUAAAAUUUAUAAAUGUAAAAAUAAAUAUUUUAUUAAUAUAUUACACCAAUGCUUUAGAAUUUUUCAUAAGUAACAAAAACUUAUUUAUUAAAUUAUUGAUUAGUAUAUUUAUUUAAAAAUUAAAAUUUUAAUCUCAAUAUUAAUUUGAUAGACCAAUGGAGUUUUUCCAAAUUUUUAUUUUAAAAUUUUUAGUACUGUCACAUGAUAAUUUGAAAAUAGAUGAAAAUAUUUUUUUUAUUUGCAAUUCUACUCUUAAUUGCAAUUGAGAGUGAUAUUGCUAGAAAAAAAAGUCAAAAUUAGAGUAAAAUUAAUAAAAAUAUUACAAUAUGAUGAAAUUGGAAAAAAUAAUAAAAUUUGAAAUAUUUUAAAAUAUUAUAAUAGCUAAGUAUCGUUCUAAUUUAAUUUCAAUUGAUCAUAAUUUAUUGUCAAGUAAUAAAUAAGUGCUUAUCUUUAAAUUAUGCCAUGGUGUAUAUUGACUUUGUAUUUAUUUGAUACUAACUUAAAUUUUAUAUGUUUAAUACUGCAUUAAAUUAUAUUAAAUAUAAUUGAUUAACAAUAACCUUAGAGAAAUAAUAAUAUGUUAUUACAUGGGAAUUUAUAUAAUUUUUAACAAUAUGAAUAAAAAAUGAAGAGAGAUGUGGUGGCUCUGGCUCACUGAUUCCGCGCGCAUAACUCGUACGAGUCAUUCUUUCUCCUAUCUGUGUGUACCGUCCAAUGCCUAACGCGUGCUCCACAUGCCUUUUUGGCCCAACCUCUCUAUAUACUGCAAUUAGGGGAAAUUAGGAUUGUGACAAGAUUUUACUAUAAAAAAAAACAAGAUUUUUUAUGUUUUAAAUUAGGGGAAAUUCACUAUUUAAUCCUUAAAUUUCAAUAGAAAUUACUGUUAUAUUUUUAUUCUUCAGUAAAAUUACUUGUUUGUCACUAUAAUCUAAUUUCAUUAAAUUAUUUAAUCAUUUCAUCUAAAAAGAACUAUUUUCAUCCUUACAUAUCAUAUAAUAUUUAGUACAAUGCUUUUAUUAGUCACCAUUUUGACAAAAAUUCUGAUAUGUAAAAGGUUAGUGCAUUGACUUUUAAGCAUGUGUAAUAUUGAAAAAAAAUAUUAUAAUCAAAUAAUCUAUUUUAGGUUAAUAAUUCAAUUAUCAUAUCUGCUUUAUAAUGAAAGAAAAUACGAUUUCAAAAUGAAAGGUUACAAAUGUAGUCUCAAUUGAUUUGGUAGUUGAAAAGCACUUGCAUUAUACAAAUCUCUCUUCCAUGCCACAAAGUCCUCAUUUUACAGAUAUCAGAUUACUAGUAUUCAUUUAAUUUAUUUCUUUCUUUCGUUUUCCUUUUAAUUUCUUUCUUUUUUUCAGUUUCCUUUUCCUCAAGACUUCUUUCUUUGUGGAAGUCUUCAAUCCGAUUGAUUUGUGUGAACUGAACUUAUAACCCCAACUGUAGAUCAAACCAAUGAAAAUAAAAAAUUUUAUUGAAAUGAAAAUAUUUUUAAUCAUUCACUGAAAAAAAAAUAAAUAGAAAUAAUUUUUAAAACAUUUACUUUUCUUAAAUUUAAUCCAUAUGUAGAGCCACAAAUCCAAUUUAGACAAGUAUAAUCCUUGAUAGGAUUGACCCACAUUUAUUUAUCUGAACCACCAUUCAUACCUUGUGGAUUAACAGGAUACUCCUUAUCCUUAACUUCUAUUCAAACUAAAUAUUAUUAGUUGAAUAUUAAUUAUGCAAUUAUCAAACUUUUGUGAGUUCAACUAUAUAUCCAAAUCAAUUAUUCUGGUUUUUGUGAACAUUCCUAAUUAUUUUACACUUUUUUUUAAUUAAAUCCCUUUUUUUUCUUUUUCUUGUCUUUUUAGUUCCUGUGACAAAAUGAUACUCUCUCUGUCCCAAAAUAUAAAUCAUUUAAAGUUUUUGCAAAAAGACCAAUGAAGUAAUUAAUUCUCUUAAAUUAUAACAAAAUCAAAAGCAAUUUGAAUAAAUUAUCUCAUAUCUCAAACCAAGAGUUAUUUGUGAAGAAAGUGAUUGUAUUUAAAAUAAAUAAGAAUAAUGUUGAAAAAAAAAUCAUUUAUUACUUCUUCAAAUGCUAAAAACGACUUAGAUAAAGUCGGGGGAGUAUCACAGUUCACAGUUCACGGAGUCAAAAUACACAUCUUGUGUGAGGAGAAAGAAGCAGCAAUAGCAGGAUUAAAAACACCUUUGCUUUUGUAAACCAAAUUCUUGGUUCUUGCAACUUAAAGGCGUCCAAUAUCUACUCCUCAACAGCAACAAAAGGAAUUCCCCUGACAAGGCAAAGUAAAAUGUGCAAUCAAUUUAAGCUCAGAUUAAAGCCCAAAAAUAAAAAUUGUCUAUUGAAGCAGAAACUAAAGUAGCUAAUAAUAAAAUACAAUACCCCCAUCUUUGGGGCCUAUUGCAGUAUCACUCUAAACCCACCUUCAUUUCCUGGACACCCUGAUUCAAUAACUUAGAUAUAUUGUUACCCUAAUUGAAAAAUCAGCUAGGGUUUUGUAAUUUUUUACUAUUAAAGUGGGUCCCACCUAAACAAGCUUGGUUUGUUAAUUUAACCCAAGCCUCAAAAUUCACCAUUUUAAUUAACCUAAACCCACCCAAAAUCAUCAAAACUCACCGUUUUGGUUUAACCCUAAUUUCCCCCAUUCUCUCUUCUCCAUCCUCCAUCGCUCUCUUCUCCCUUUGCCGUCGCUCUUAUCUCCCUUCUCCAUCACUCUGUUGCAUUUUCAAUUUCGUAACUUUCACCCAUCUCGUUUUUCUUAACCCAAACCCAUCCAAAAUCAUCAAACCCAGUUCAAGUUACUCCCACGUAAGCAAAAGAAAACAAUAGACAGAGACAGAUGCAGCUAUCACAAAAAAGCACAAGCAAAGAAUCUUGGGUGGCCAAAGCUGGUAAAGGAUCCAACAUCCAGAAAUCUCACCUUCUUCUUCUUCUCCUCCUCCUCCUUCCUACUCUCUUCUUCAACUUCUCAAAGGAAAACAAGAUGCUGCAGCAAGAGACCCAAGCACCAAAACCCCACCACAACCACUUCCUCUCUCUACAGACAGAUCCUUGUGAUCCAAUCUAGAUCAGACAAACCCAAGAACAUGCAUUUUGGGGGGGGGGGGGGGGGGAAAUAAAAAGAAAUUAAAAAACAAAGAAUAUUUUUUAAAAAAGAAAAUAUUUACAGUAGAAAGAGCAGAGAUAGGGAAUCCAGUAAAGAAAUAGAAAAGAUACAAAAAGAAGAAAAGAAUACAGGAAAGCAACAAAACCCCAUCACCCAACCGAACCCAAAAAACGAAACAGUAAAAAAGAAACCCGAAACACUAAAAUUGCUUAUGUAUUGGAAAACGGUGAAAAUCCAACAGAAGAAUCUAAAGUUAAGCUAUCGUUAUAAGUAUUUCACAUACGAGAAAGCGAAGAUUAAAAUAACAAAAAGUGGGGGCUGGAGGGGUUAAAUGGCUUGAUCAUCAAAAUGGUGAGUUUUCAUGAUUUUGAGUGGAUUUGGGUUAAUUAUAACGGUGAGUUUUGAGGCUUGGGUUAAAUUGACCCAAGCUGGUUAGGUGAGACCCACUUUAAUAGUAAAAAUUUAAUAGUAAAAAAUUACAAAACCCUAGCUGAUUUUUCAAUUAGGGUGACAAUCUAUCUAAGUUACUGAGCCAGGGUGCCCGGGGGACGAAAGUGGGUUUAAAGUGAUACUGCAAUAGGUCGCAAAGGUGAGGGUAUUUUUGUAACUUAGGCCUAAGUUAUAAUCCGUUCGGUUGCUAUGUAGACCAUAGGAUACAAAUAAGUUCAAGCAAAAGUCAGUAAAUUUACUCACCAGCCACCACGCCUUGAAAAAUAGUCAUUAUCCAGAGAAAUGGCAAGAGCAAGAGUAACAGCUCUCUCUGAUAACGUCAAAGGACGGACAACUUCCAAAUCAUGAAUCUGCAACGUAACAGGAAGACAAUAAAGUGGGUUUAUCAACAAAAGAUAACAGAAUAUAAACGAAUAAGGUAGAAAUUGAAGAGAAUUUCACUUUUUGAUUCCAUAUUUUACCGCUGUAGCAGGACCAGUCUUGGACCUGGGAUCAGAACUACCAAAUCGUAUUACAUACUGACCAGCAUCAGUAAAUAUCUGCAAGGUAUUUGGGAAACCAAACAAAAUAUUGAUGUCAUCUUUCCAUGUUGCAAUCAAUGCAAUUAUAAUGUUCACAUGCAAUCAGAAGCCUUUCAAAGGCCUGUCAUUAAUAUCAUAUUUGUUUCCCUCCUCCUCCUCCCUGAUGUGAAGAAUAAAGAUCAGUAACCCAUUAAUUAUAAUGAAACAUCAAGAAAGUGACGAUCCUAAAGUUUAUUUCUCAGAAGCAAGUAAAAUUGACAGAAAAAAUUUGAAGGCAUUUACCUGUUAAGAAUGAACAAAUAAAGCACAAGAAUCAACAUUACAGUCAAUAACACUAUAUUACAAACAAAGGAAACAACCUCAAAUCCAAAACCCCUCCAGUCGCGAUCUAUUUGAGCAAGAACUUCCCCAUUAAUGUCCUUCAAUGUAAAUGUCCAAUUCCAAAGUCCAGGGUUUUCAACCACAGCGAAUUGCUUAUUUCUGCAAAUAACACUGUUAACUAAGAUACUGAACUCUAAAGCGAGCAAAACAAUGGCCUACUGAAAUUACCCAAUGUACAAAUCAUAUAUCCUCCUCCAAAGAUGCCAUCGUCUGUGAACCACACCAAUUUCCUAGAAACGAACAAUUACUUGACUCCGUCAGGAACCGGACUGAAGUUUACAUGCUCAAAGUUCUACUGCUAUUAAAGCCUUAAGUAUGUAAAAGUUACAUACUUUACCAUUAAUCUCUGCAUAAAUUGAGCUGGUUAUCCACCAAAAUGGCCUCCGAACCUAGAUAAAUUGAAACGGAGCCUUAGAGAUGAAUCAUCAAUUUAUAACUUGCUACACAGCUAAACAAGAAAUAUGCACAAAGUCCUCACCCUGAACAGCUCAUUACCCAUAGCAUCAGUUAUGUAAGCAACAAAAGGGCGCCUUAGACGAAGUAACUGCAGAAAAUACAAAAGGCAUCAGAAUACAGCUACUUCUAAAAUCAUACAUAUGCUUGCCGCUCACGCUUAUUUCCUUUAAGUAUACAAUAUCAAGUUGCUACCAGAAUAGUUAUAUAUGACCAAACGAAUGUCCGAGUUUCAUUAUGUAAACAGAUAUGUGAAUAAAAAAUCAACGCAUAAGAUUCGAGAAAUAUCAACUAUCCCAGUUCAACUUUGUAUCGGAAAAAUAGAAUUAAUUAAGCCUUCAUAUCUGCUCAUUCUUUAUCCAGAAAUAUUCUUCACUAGGCCAGUAAGCCUUGAUAAUUUUAUUGCAGCCCCAUCAUCUCUCUCUUUGGGCUUUCUUCUGUUAUCUCCAUGCCUUCUAAUUUACUGUUUCCAGACCAUGCAACAGUUUCUCCCUAACCUAGUUCUGAAUUGAAGCAAAAUUGACCUUUUCUAGAUGUCUUUUUCUUGUACUGUCAUUCAUGAACCGUAGUAUUCUACCCAUGUCGCCCUGACGUCUCUAUAUCACCCAAUCCCAAUCCCAAUCCCAUAAGACUCGGCUAGACUUGUAAACUAUUGUACGUAUUUUUCCUUCCCUAACCCAUUGGAUUGAGCAAGUGGCUCUUAUACUUUUGGGUUUCAUAAUUUGAAUUCUACCACUUCACUUGGCCAAAUAGGAAUUCAUCAUAGUAAUUCCCCAAUACGAAAACAUGUAUGACAGAGGGAAUAAAAAGGCUUGGAUAUUAGUCAGGCGAUCCAAAAGUCUCAGAUACCAUGAUAGGUGAAAAGAAAAUUCACUUGAUAGAAAUUCUAGAAAUACAUCAUAUCAAAUUUGACAUGGUUGAAAAAGUUAACCAAGUCCAAGCGACCGAUCAAGCCUUCUUAUCUAAAUGAAGACCAGGCAGAUGCAUACAGGUACCAUGCCUGAAGAAAGAAUAUGUAUUAUGAAAGGGUUUGGAAAGACAAUAGAACAGUUUACAAAAACAGGAAAUUGACGGCAACAGCUGCCUGUCUACAUUCCACAAUCCCAUUUGAUAAUGGCAACAAACAUGAUGCAAUAAAUAAUUGAUCAGAAAAAGUGUAAAGAAAGUUAAGCAAUUUUCAUCUAUUAAUAAUUGGUCAUUGAUAAAGCAGUGAUUCUCAUUUGACUCUUGCAAGGAAAUAAUAAUGCCUGGUUCUAGAUUUAUGGGAACUACUACUGGAUUGACAUAGUUGCUAAAUGUGCCACUGAGCACAGACAGCAAGUUGUCAUGUUGCAUUCCAAAAUAAUCAAACUUGAGUUGGUAAAAGAAAAACAAGCUGCAUAUAAGGAAUUAUUAUUGUAGAUUGGUAAUUCUAAGCAAACAGAAGUAAUCAACAAUCAAGGCAUAAAGAGAUCACAAUUUCAGUACACCAAGUAAAAGAGAAAAACGAGAGAGAGAGAGAGAGAGAUGCAUGCUUUAUUCAAGAAAUAACAAUCAAAAGUGGGGGAGGAGGUAGAAUUAGGAAAGAUGCAGACCUGCCUAGCAAUGACAUUACUCUGUUCCCGAAUAAAACCUGCAGGCUGCAAAGAAAUUGGACAAUUCAAGUACACCAAGAACCAAUCAUCUUGUUAAAACACAAUUUUCAUUUAUAGUAGAAUGAGAAUUAAAAAAAUUACUCACAGACUGGGGGUAGCACACAUCUACAAUUACAUAACGGUUUUCCUGCAAUAUUUUAACAAUAAAAUUUAAUAACGAACAUAAAGAAAACUUAAGAAAACACACCCUAAGAAAACAAGAAUAUGUGUUAACAAAUCUAAGAGUGUUAUGAGAAACAAAUACCACCAUGAGAACACACAUCAAAUCCAUAGGUAAUUAGACCCAACUGCAUGCUUUCCAAGAUGACAUUAAGUUUCUCAACCUUUUGCCAUAGGAUUUAUAAGUUCUCUAAGGCAUACGCCAAGCUUGUAAUGUUAGUCUGAAUGUGACAAUCAAAGAAAUGAAGAUAAGCAUGCAGAGAAACCACAUGCAAGUACAACUUCUACGUGAACGAGCCACAACCACAAGAUCAAGCAUUGGGCUCUUAACAUUACUGCUAAUAUUUUCAAUUAUGACUCGUGAAUAGUGCUUUAGAACCGAAAUAAAAGUCCCAGAAAUACCAAAACAAAAAUAUACAGAAAGUCAUUAAAUGGUUAUGGACACAAUGAAAAGAGGGGGAAAGAUGCCUAUUAUGCAAGGGUGUCCUUUUAUUCUGUUGCAAGGUUAUUUAUAAUUUUUGGUAGGGAUGCGGUUCUAAAUAUCUAAAAUUUUAAUGAGUUUGACUGGUAAACUUUCCAAUUUCUAAAAUGGUUUUUGCAGCAAGCUCAGUUAUGAGAUCUAAACCCCAAAAAAGUACUCUUUCUUCACUCUAGGAGUGAUUGGAAAAAACGUAACAAUUUUGCUUCUCAAAGCUAUCUUUUGCCUUCUAGUUACUAAUUCCAUGCAAUAAGUUAAUACAAUUGGCUACAACAACUCCUAUUCCAAAAAUCUUACAAACCUUAAAUCUAACUUAAAAUAACCCAAGAUAAUCCACAACCUCCAACAUAUAGAAAGAACACAAAAGGAAAAUAGAUGCAAGAUAACCCAACAUGGUGCAAACUCAAGUCAGGACUUUCCAGUGAAUACUCAAUCACAUGGUACUGGCAACGGUACAAUUGGAACAUGAGAAGGAGUGACAACAAGAUAUUUCAUGCAAUAUCAGCCAAAUAAAGCUUCACUUUGCUGUUCCUCAGCAAUAACUCAAAAGUUCAAGUGCAGUAACAAAACAAACAGCAAUUAACAGAUAACAGUUUCUUAAUUUUUGUUCCAAAUGGAGUCAAAUAUCCAUAUCUCGGAUGGUUCAAGACAAAAAGUGAAAAGAGAAAAAAAAUAAAAAAAUGAGUGCAUAAAUUAGCGCCUUAACAUUUAAGCUGAAUCCUUCACUGAAACAAAUAACAACUUUUUGCUGUCAAAUUGGGGCACAUAUGAGGAAACAAUCCACAGUAGAAAAUCACCUGCUCAAAACCAAGUACCAGAUUUGCCCAUUCUAUAUCCCUAGUAAUCAACAAAUUGGACCUAGCAAGAAGAAGUGCAACCUGGGCCUGUAAGAUUCAGGAAAUGGUGAGGAAGUCGGUUAGAUGUCAGUCUCUCAUAGACUUGAUGAAGGUUGGCUUGCUCAUUCAAUGCACUCGUGUCCAAGACCAAGACCAAAAAAGGAAUUGCACUAAGACAAGCACACAACAAAAGCAUAAUGAUGAAAAACAAAUAUCUAAAACUCACUUCCUCAGGAGAAGCUGGCUCUAAAUAACCAGAUACAGAUUGACUUGGAGGAGGUUGGUUCAGAACUGUUCUUCCAUGGCCAUUAGAUCUUUCUCCUGUCAUGAUUCAACCAGAAAGCUGUCCCACAAUUAGAUAUAGAAAGGAUUAAUGCUUAUUAUGUAUUUCACAUUACUAUAAUCAAUAUACUCACCAAUCUUGUGCUUUCUUUUCUCUCUAGAUUUUUCCAUUUUCCUAUCUGCAAUCCAAAACUGCGCAAGAAAAUUUCUACUCAAUUGAGAAUCAUUCUCAACGUCAUGUGCAUAUCCACGAGAGAAAAUCAUUCUCCACCAUUCCUCCCCAGCCCCAACGCACACCCAUCCUUUCUGAGGCUGCUGCAAGCAAUGAAGAUUCCGAGACCUUUCAACUCUAGGUAUACCAUGUUGAUGAUUAUUAAACAAUGGCACUGCAAAUUUCUUUGUCUGGGCAAGCAAACGACAACGCUUUGUCCAGUUCAUCUCAAAACAAAUGUGUUACUGCCUGCACAGAUUGAAUUGUAUCUUAAAUUUUCUCUUCAAUCUACCAUUGGAUUUCUAUUUCCUAUACGAUACAAGCCCGAUAAUACAUUUCCUUUUCACUUUUUACUCCGACUUUCCAACAACCAAACAGAAACUAUUGAAAAAAUCUUCCUAUAACUGUGGAAUUGUCUACACAAAUUAGACUGAAUAGCGUUCAAUUUUCUCAUCGAUGUUUCAUCGGGUUUCUAUUCCCACUCAAUGUAAGCAGUAAUACUACAUUUCCUUUCAUUUUUCCUCAGAUUUCCCAGCAAUCAAACAGAAAGUCUGAAAAAAAUUCCUAAAACCGAUCACAAUUACAAUUUCUAUACAGAAUCAAAAUAUAAUCAGAACCAAAAAGUGCUUUUAUAAGUGCAAACUUUCUUUUUUUUUUUUGCAGUCAAAGAAGGAAAGUGUGCUUACUGCUGCCUUCUUUGAGCUCUGCGCUUCUCCGUCUACGGUUUUUCAAAUUGAAACGUCUAUUUCUAGCUUCUUCCUCCUCCUAUGUCGACUUCUCGGCGAAUCUUUGAUGGGUAGGAAUCCAGUGUGGACUAAACCAGUAAACGUAUUUAGGGAAAAAUUAAAAUCUUGCCCAUGUAUUUUGCUAAAAUAACUAUUUUAUCUCCCUAUUUUAAAUAAUAAAUUAUUUUCUACCAUUAUACACCACUCUUAUUUUAUAAAAAAAUCCAAUUUAUACAGUUGAAUGCCUUUUAGAAACACAUAAAUAGUCUUAAACCCACACACCACACCUAAAUAACAUCUUCAUCAAGAAGUCCACCAUUGAUAUUCCAAAUUCAUCAUCGCAACAUUCAUUUCCGUUAAUGGCAACUUAUUAGAUUUUCAUGGAAACCAUUUUCAAGGAGAAAAAGGUUUAAGGGUAGAAAGAAAUUAAGGAUUUUUCUUUCUUUUUAUAGUGAAAUAUGGAUUUUUUUUUUUUUUUUUGCAGAAGGACAAUAGUGUAUAACAGGGACAAAAUAAAAUAAAAAUUUAUUUUCAAAAUAAUUAUUUUGAUAAAUUAUAGAGAUAAGAUUAUAAUUUUACGUGACUUUACAUUCAAAGCUCAUUGUUUUAGUUGAACUUAAUCCAAACGGACCCACGUUGAUUUGGAUAGGCCUGGCCCGGCCCAUGAUGAGGCCCUAAACUCUAGAAUCAUUUUGCUUUGUAGCUUGGCGUUAGACUUCAAUCAUAUGGGGUCAAAAUGUUAGGCAGCGUAGUGCAGUUGACAGUUGUACAAUCCCUUCGCUUCUCCUCAUUUGCUGGAUUCAGAAGCAGAAAUUAAUCCUAGUAAGCGAUGCUAAUCCCCUCAGUAUUUCAAAUUCAAGUUAUUUUUCCAUUUCUCUUCUAUUUCUGUUCAAUGUUCAAUCUCUGAAUGAUGCAUGUCAGUUCCCUAGUGCAGAAUUUUAAUUUCUUCCCUUCUAUUUCUACAAUUUGCAAAUUUUGCUGUUUUGUUCAUCUAUUUUGUUUUCAGUUUCAGUUUCUUAUUUCCAGUUGGUGGUUCCCUGUUCUUGAAUAUUGGUGAUCCAAUGUGUUUUCUGUGUGAUUAAUUGGGAUGGAGUUGUUGUGCGAAUUUAUGUUUUUUUAUAAAUUUGUGUAAAUUGACAUGUAAAGAAGUAAAUGGCAUUUUGAGUCAAAUCUGGACACUCAAUGUACAAGAGAAUUCAAAACUUAGUUGGUAAAACAACUUUGACGUGGUCGGAUUUGUUUAAUGACUUAUCGAUCGGAAUUCUUCUCAAUUUUUGUUUUAUGCAUGAACUCUUAAACAGCUUUCACUAGCGAUUAGUUGAUAAGGAGAUUUUGAUGAAUAAUCUUCUUCAAUUGAAAAGUGCAUGGUUUGUCUUGCAGCAAUUUGUUGCAGCAGCAUUCAUCCAAUCUCUGUAGAGAAAGGAUUAUCUUUUGAAGCUGCAUAUUUUUCUGACUCUGCUUCGUGGAUUUGUCUAAGCUGUGGAUCAAUUAUGGCUUUUGAUCUCAAAGGUAAGUUAUUUAUUUAUCUAAUUUUUAUUUUUGGGUUUGAAACAAAUUUCAUUUCAACUAGUUUCCUUUCCUUAUGCAAUACUCUUGAUUGCUGUAGCCACCCUUAACUUUCUAGUUCUUGAUUUUCAUUGCUUUCCAUUUCUUGGUUGUCAUUUUUAUUUGUAUUUGCUAUUUACAGGUAAAGCUAUUGUGAUUAUGGGAGUCAGUGGUGCUGGGAAAUCGUAAGUUUAGUCCCCUUGUUAGAUAUCAAAUAGCUUUUGAACCUGAUCUGUUUUAACUAAGGAGAAGAAAUUGCAAAAACUCAGUAUUCAUUUACCCUUUUCCCCUUUUUGCAUAGAGAUUGUUAUAUUGUGAUGGUACUUUUCUUUUCAAAUUAAUUAUGCGUGCUUGUUUGAAUCGAGCAAUGAUUCUAAUUACUGAAAUAGUCUUUCUUUCUGCUGCUUCAAAUAAUUCUUAAAAAUUAAGUGACAUAGGACAAGCGAUUAACUGUGAUUUUUUGUUGCUUUUACAUUCACUGCAUAUAUGUUUUAACCUUCUCGGUAAUGAAUGAUUUUAUACAUUGACCGUGUUCUUCAACAGUACAAUAGGCGAACUGCUGUCCAAGAUUUUGAACUGUAGUUUUCUUGAUGCUGAUGAUUUCCAUUCACAGUCAAACAAAGGUAUUGAUAUAUCUAUUAACUGUAACUUUAGUUCUUUCUCUAUUGAUAUAUUUAUUUCUUUUGAUCCCAGCGAAAUCUUUUCUUGCAUGAAAAGCUUUAUGCUUUUGGAAUUAUCAUAUUGUCAAAUGCAGAAAAGAUGCGUCAAGGCAUUCCUUUAUUGGAGGAGGAUCGGAUUCCAUGGCUUGGAAGUCUCCGUGAUGCUUUAAGGGAGAGGAUGACUAGUGGAAAAAAUGUUGUACUUGGUUGUUCUUCUCUGCAGAAGCGAUAUCGGGAAAUUCUUAGAUCUGCUGACCCCAAUUAUAAACUUGGAAGCUAUGUCAGUGCAGUUAAGUUUGUGUUGCUGGAUGCCAAGGUUGAGGUGCUUGUGGAUCGAUUAAAUAGAAGAGCUGCAGAAGGGAAACAUUUCAUGCCAGCUACCCUUUUGCAAUCACAGCUAGACUUACUGCAGACAGAUGAUUGUGAAGGAAUAUUUAAAGUGGAUGCUGCUCUAAGUCCUCAAGCAAUUGUAAAUGCCAUUAAAAGCUUUGAUUUUAUGAACAAGGUCUCUUAGACCAUAUUAUCUUACAAAGCAUCCUUUUUAAUCUUCUCAAGAUGAAUUACGGAAUAUCCAUUUUUACACAGAAAAAGAUGAUUCAGCUAAGUUUGUGUAAUCAAAGAAUUAUUGGAACCCACUGGGUCACAGUGGAUCAUUUUUAAUGCAAUGAAAAAUACAAAUAUUGUUAUUAUCGUCAUCUAAUUUUACUGAAUGACAAGCUGGUUUCUUUUACAACACCUUAGGUAUCUAACAUACAUCCCUUCUGCUCAUUAAAAUUGUAAAAUUAACUAAAAAUUCAUAGCAAUGAAAAGAAAGACUUGUCUGUGCUCUCUAUAAGCAACAUUUGAAUUUGACCUAUAUAGAGAGAAUUUAUGGAAAAACACCUUGUAAAUUAUUAAUUUGGCGUUCAUCUUGAAACAGUUAUUUUUCUUUUAGCUUCAUAUUUUCUCUUUUUUGUUAUUUUUUUUAAUUGUCUAAAAUUCAAGGUGCUUUGUUCUUCAUUUACUUACUGAACUGAUCUUUUUAUUUUUUAAACAAGAGGAAAACUAUUAAACAAGAAGAAAGAAGAGAAAGAAAAGACAAGAAAUUUACGUGGUUCAUCACAUGAGAUCAUGUGACUACAUCCACGGAGAAAGGAUCUGAAAGCUUUUACUAGUAUAUACUUUGAUAGUACAUCCGUUCUUCUCAAAAACCAAAUUGGGUUUUCAUGGGUUGUUCUUUGCUACUUUACACAUUCGCACAAUCAAAUUGGAAAAUGCACAUAUUUACACAUUUUUCCCCUGUCCAGAUGUGCACAGUCAAUUGACACCAAACUGCUAUUAAUUUUAGCCUGUCACCUGCAAGAAAAAUGCAACAACCUUUUUUAAGAUAUUUGAGGCAGCAAUUUUACACAAUGUAUGAAAAGAUUGACAUAUCUCAGAAUUGUUUUUUUCUUACAUUGGCAAUAUAUUUUGGUCUGAAAGCAAUUGAACAUGCUGCACUUAGUUCUUGUUCAAGUUCUGUCAACGAAUCCGGCUUCUAUUUUCAAGGGCCUUUCAGCGGAUGCGAGUCAAGUGGGAAAAUGGUUCAGGAUUUGAUUUUGGGGCAGCUUUAGCCACUUCUGGAACACCAAAAACAUUCCAGAAUCUAAGUGUUUCAUCACCUGCUGCUGUUGCAACUGUGCAACCAUCUGGACUCUGAAGAAAAAUCAUAAAAAACCAGUAAGUAUUUGAACAAUCAAGAAAUGGAAUUUUUUUUGUUGGGUUCAUUCAAUUCACAUAGUUACCUGAGUCAUGAAAAGCACUCUAGAUGUAUGGCCAGUGAGUUCUCCCAUUUUAACCAUUGAUGGGUAUUUCCAAAGAGUGAGCUGAUUCUGAGUAAACCCAUGAGAGCUAAGCAGUUCCCUCUCAUUUUUGUUCCACAGCAGAGAACAAACUUGAGAGCCAGUGUCUACUGAGUUCAAGCAAGCACCUGUGUGUGUAUUCCAAAACUUUAUGCACCGAUCGCCACCACCUCCUCCGGUGGCUAGCAAAUUUCCCUGGAAUGGACACCAAGCAAGGGCUUUUACUGCAGAAGUAUGAUCCUCAAGCCUGUGAAGCCAUUGUGUUGCUGAAUUUGAUGAUGCUACUGAUCUAUCCCAUAUGUGAACAAGAUUAUCAUUGCCUCCACUUGCUAAUUGCUGGCCUGAAGCAGACCAUUUAAGCCCACAAACCUCUUGUUGGUGCCCUCUGUAUGUCUCCACAAUGUGUGAUCUAAUUCUCACAUCAUUGUUGAAUAUUUGGCCAUCCAUUCCUCCAGUAGUAAGGAUAUGGUUGUUCCACGCCAGUGAUCCUACUCGGGAUCGGUGGCCACCUCUCAAUGUUCUUAGCUGUAAUGUUAUCAAAGAAAACAAAAUCCAAAGUUAGACCUUAUUUUUGUUAUUGUUAAAUCUUAAAUGAAAAAAACAGGUUGUAACAUCAUCUGAAAACUACAAAAAAGUUAUAUGUGCUCCUUUUUUCCAGCAAAAAUAACGUUGUGCUAUCAAUGGUAGAUAAUAACCUGUCUAUUAGAAGCAGAGUCCCAUAGCUGAACCUCAGAAUUGUUCAAGCCAAUGGCGAUGUGGCGUCCAUCAGGAGCCCAACUGACACUAGUAACAGGGCCAAUUUCAUCAUCGAUUGUAACAAGUUCUGAUGUAGAGCCAUCAGUUGCAUCCCACAAAUAUACUGUACUCCCAAGAGCUAUAGCUAGAACAUUGCUGCUUCCCCAAUCCAAUAAGUUGAGGUAAAAAUCAUCAACAAGGUCAGGAGCAUCCAAUGUCCUCUCAGAGGUCUAUACACAAUGAACAAAUCAAACAAUUAUUACCAAUUCAAUUACUGUUCUUAUGAAAGCAACAAGCAAGCAAAUGAAUACUGGAUAAUGUACCUGAGGAAUGUGUCUGCGCGGCUUAGUGGGUUUGGCCUGGAGGUGAGAUAAGGAAGUGUGCUCUUGUGGGAUCAAUUCAACAGGUGCAGGAGGCUUGUUCUUAAAAGCGAGAAUCCGAGUCCGGUUCAUGUUCAAUGUUUCAGCCAAUUGCUUCCUGUAGGCCUCUCUUGAGGGUGAGUUUGCUGCAGGGUUCUCUUUACCUUUCUUACCUUCUGUUAGCAUGUAAUGGGCAUAAUCCAGAUCCAUUGCUGAGCGGUUUGGAAUAAAUCUAUCCAACUGUUAAAUUCAUAAAUAGCAAACACAUAUGUUGAUUAAUAACCAAUGCCCGUUAAGCAAUAAUUUUGGACUACGAAAUUUUUAGUACAAGAAGUUCAAUUAUGAAACAUCAAAAUUGAUAAAUAGAUACCCACUUUAGCACUUUGACUAAUUCAAGAACCCCAAAUUACUAUCUAUAAAUGAAUAAAAGACUAAAAUCAUCUUACAUUUUCUUUAGAAGUCCUUCUUUGAAGAAGCUGUUCUUGAAGUGGGAAUCUUGAUUGUCCUUUCAUGUUUGAAGAAGAGUUUACUGAUCCUGCAUCCAUAUGUUAAUACCAAACAAAAAAAAUACAAAUGCAAACAAUAAUAGAAUAUAUGGAUAAAAGAAGAGAAAAAGUUCCUGCAAAACAGGAGGAUUAGUAACAAAAACAGAAAAUGAGUAUAAAAUGAAAAUAAGAGGGAGAGAGAGAGAGAGAGCGCGGAGGGAUUAGCGAGCUAGUUUUGUUGUAGAUUGUUCCGAGAGAAUGUGACUUUGAGUUAUCAAUUGAAUUGGUGGGUUUAUAUAGUGAUUGGAAUUGGAAAUUAGGGCUUUGGUUUGCUUGUUUUCUUCAAAGCUGUUUCGCCGUCAAGAUUUUUAAAUAUGUAAAUAAUAAUAAAGUAAAAGGAAAUAAGGAAUACUGGAGUUUUGAAGCAGCAACGGUUAUCUAUGUUUGAAAAAUAGCCGUUGUAUUUUACAUUGACUAAAAAGUCCCUCAUUUCCCUUCCCUCGGCUACUUCUUUUCCUCUUUGUUUCCAUGGGCCAAUUUCUGUUAUCACAAUUUGAAUUCCAUCGGAUAAUGGGCCUAGUUUACGCAAAUCUCGUGCUUUUUCUUUUUCUUUUUCUUUUUAUAUAUCAAGGAAAAUGAUAGGUCAAGUCAAUUGUCUAAGCAUCGGAAAUGAUUCAAACCUGAGUCAAUUGUCAGGCUAUGCUUUAGUGUCAAUUGUCAGGCUAUGCUUUAGUGUGCAUCUCUUGUCCUAUUAAUCCGCAUCAACGGCUGUAAAUCGUUUAAACUGUUAAAGUCCGACUAAAACUGUGAUUUUAAAAAAUUGGUGCUUAAUUUGCUUCAAAAAAAGAUAAAAAUUUGAAUCAUUAAUUCCGUUUAUUGUUUUGAAGUCAUACACAUGCACUAACCCAUAGCUUCAAAACCAAAGCUGACAAAACAUUUUGCUGUUGGAUUUUAGAUAUAUAGAAAUUAAAUAUGUACAGUACGUAGGUUAGUGUUGGUAUAUUCGAAAACAAUAUUAAUGGAAAACUCAAAUUAACUCGAUAUGGUAAUGUGCGUACGUUGAAUCAAAUUCAUUAAGAUAACUUUCAUGCAUUACACUAAAGUUGUAUAUAGUCUCAUUAAAAUUAAAAGUAACUAAACCAAUGAACUCAUAGGCUGUCCAAACUACCAAACGGCAAACUUGCAGUUGAAUUAAGAGUGUCGUUUUCUGCCAUUAUGAUCAACAUAACCAACAACUCGGCAUUUGCAACGCACAAAAUCCCAAUUAUAAUGGGCCUAGCACACAUAUAUGAUAUAUGUAUAUUUAUAUUUUGAAGUGAUUGCAGAAUAAUCCUCCAAGGAUGUAUAUACAAAUACAAUUUGUAAAUAUGUCUGCUCAUGCGAAGGAUUAAAUGGAGGAAUACACUAAAGCCAGCAAAGAAACUAGAAACACUACGGGCUACCCUGUAAAACCCCCUUCACAGUAGACUUCUGCUUCCAUUAACAAGCUUUGGAACCAAAAUAUGCAUAUUUCUCCAUCAAAUUUAACAUAGCAACUCAAUUGGUUCGUGAAAUUUACCGAUCAAGUGAACUGUCGUCUCAUAUAAGUAUCUUCGUGUACAAAAAUAGGAUCUUGAGUGCCACCUUGUGAUGUGUUUUGAGGUUGUCCCAUGGCUAUGCCAGUUGAACUAGAAACAGGAGGGUUGCCCCAUGUACUGUUAAUGCUCUUUGAUGAGUUUAAGGUUAGGUAGUAGAGAAUUCCCAGAGUGAUACUUGCAAAAGACAAGACAGCACCACCUGCGAAGACUCCUGGUUUUACAACAUAGCAGUAGUAGUUGCCAAAGUACAUGCUCUCUUCACCGUGUUGAUCAUUCAGUGCAGCACCGGUUAAUAACAGAAGAAAAGCUAUCACAAAUGUGAACCUGCAUGUAAUGUACUAUAUAUCAUUAUCACUACAAGUAGCAAUACAUUUACGCAUGCAAAUGCAUACAAACAUGAAAAUUCAUUAUUAGAUUCAAUUGCUAAAUAUUACUAUCAGAAAUAGGAUGUAUUACAGGUUCAAACAUUAAUAUAUCGUUUCAAAGAAAAGCAUGUGAUUUUCCUCCAUCUAAAUAAACCAAGUUUUACCUAAAUAAGAUUCUUUGCAAACAAAAAUGAGGAUGAGAAUUAAUGUUACAAUAUGUGAAGAUGUAGAAUGAAAGGACUGUGAUAAACAAAAACAAUAAUCCUACAACCUAUAUAUUUUUCUGUGAAAGGAAAAAGGAAAAAAAAAAAUGCAAGGUAGAAUUCUCAAAGAACAUAGUCCCCAGGUAAGUGGUACGCCAAAUCGCCAACUGCAAUAAUUGUCAAAGAAAUUACAUCACAAGUUAUUCCAGCAGACUCUUGAAGCCAGCUCAUAAUACUUCUUAACAUAAAUAAAGUGCAGUUAGAGAAUUUAUCUAAAAAAUUGUUUAUCUAUUUAUGGUAAUUUUAUCUUUCUAAAUUAACUUAAACAGUAUGAUUAGGUCUGGCACAUAGACUUCGAACAAUUUAAGAAAGUAAGAAUAAGAUGAACAUAUACAUAAAAAGGCCUCCAGUAGUGUGUGUGUUGGGGGGGGGGGGGGCAAUGUGGCAGUGAGAUAUGUGUUAAUAGCAAUUAGAUGAUGCACAAGACUGUCCAGCUAGCCAGAAAGUCUGUUAUAGUAGAAGAGUUAAUUGAAUUUAGUACAGAUAACAUGAGCUGUCAGGAACUCUUUAAGGCAUUGAUAGGGCAAGGAGCGAUUGUUAAACCAAAAACCUGCAACGUAUAAACCUGAAAUGAACUUCAUCAGCAAAUGAUCAAUGAGACGUACCAGGAAACAACAAAGCAAACUAAUGCUAUUGUCCAAUUUGAGUUUGAAGGUUGAGGGCUUCUUUUGCAACAAAUACACCCAGUUGCAACAUUAAUAAUCACUUGAGCUAUCAUCAGUGCUACAGCCGAUGUUAAACCAAGAGCCAUGGCAGGACUCCGAGGAUAUGUACAUUGAGUAGCAGAUGUGAACUGAACCUCAGAACCCUACAGGAGUAUAAAAGAUAAGAAGAUAACAAAUGCUAUUAGACAUGAAGUAUGCUGUUUUACAACCUCUAAGUUUCUGCAUCAUUUGACAGAAAAUGUUACUGUGGAUCAGAUAUAUAGACUAGAGAUCAGUAGCCAUAUAAAAAGAUCAAGUGAUAGCAAACUGAACCCUUCACUUUUUUAUGUAAACAUAGAGAUUAUCACUCGCUACAAAAUCUGUUGACUGCAGGAAGGCCUCAACUUAUAAAUACCACACUAUGUUCAUCAUAUGAGACAAAAUAUAUAUCUAGAUAACUUGAAGAAAUGAAUUGCACACAUGCACACUCAUACAUGCUUCUUCUUUAUUUGCACUAAUCUGGUGUACAAUAGCAAUCAUCAGGAUUGAUGAUUGCCAAUUCAAUUUGCAUGAUUCUAUCCACAUACUGGUGUAAAACCUAUAAAUACAGUAUCAAAAACAAGGAAUUCUUGAUAAUACUAAAAAUAGCUUAACAAUAAGGACACUGAUUGUGCUGAUGCUUUCUGAUGUGAAGCUGCUUGAUAACUAUGAUUUGAGCAUGCUACCUACAGAUUCCAAAAAGAAUGAAAUGUAACUUUUUUUAUUUCACCCCUAAUCUAACACAGUAAGAAUGCAAGAUCAAAAUUUUUUUGCAUUAGGGUCUACUGCAUUAGAGAGGCCUCUUUCCAAAAUAAAGAUCACACAUACAGGAACAAGUGGUGCAGUAACCGAACAAACAAAGCCAUUGGUCAUCAAUUAGACAAGUAUUAGAGGAUAUAAAAGUAUCUUCGAAUCAUGUGUAGCGAAUUAGACACUUAGAAUCAUCUCAUGAGCAAAUAGUUUAAAAAAUUACAGAACUACUUUUGCACCAGCUCUGCUUGAUUCUCAUUAUUAAGAGCGAUAUGUCGCUUUCCUUUUUUCACCCUUCUUACUUUCUUUGCUUGUAUUUGAUUCCUUAUCAUGAAAAUAGGCACUUAGAGUAACUUAUCAAAAAGGCCACAAAGGAGCAGACCAAUAACUAAGUCUAUCCUCAAAGAAACACAGGAGUGUUCCGUAUUCAUUUCAUUAGCUGCUUUAGAAGACAGUUGCAAACACUUGUUCUCUACACUAAGCAAAUCUCAUAAUCUUUAAAAACAGGAAAAACUAGCUUGCUAUUAUUUAAAUUUUGUUCACUCGAAAUAUUUUGGGAAUAUAUAGCAUCUAAUCAACCUAAAGCAGAACCAUAGAAGUCUUAGUUUUGUAGAGUUAUUUGCAGCAGGAACAGAACGAGGCAAAAAACUGAAUUCCCUAAUAACCGGUAAGCUCUUUACCAUAAAAAAUUGUGCCAGCCCCCAACAAAAUGACCCAAAAGUCUACACAUAUAAGAAUGCAAGUUAUGAUUUGCCAAAAAAUAUAAUUCAAGAGAAGGGGCAUCAAAGCAAAGAUGAAUUGUAUAAACCUAACCUUAAAACAAUUGCCAAACCUUUUACAGAACAGCCAAAACCAUACUGAUUCAUCCAUCUCUAAGGACAAAAAUUAGCAAAUUCACGAAAUAUCAUCCAAUAAAAACUUUAGUCCAGAUUUCCAUUUUAUUUGCAUAAUGCCCUAAGCCCCUAAUACACUUAUUCUACUAUCGGUUGCUCUUAAGAAAUAUGCAUAGAACAGAAACCAAAAUAUUAUAGAAAUAUUAAAAGUUAUUUAGCUUAGGGUUGCAAAACAACCCAAAACUAAAGAAAACACAUUUUUCCUGUGUCCAGUCACUGAGAAAGUGCAGAAACAUAUCCAAGAGGUGCGAUUUCUAAUUUUUAUCAUCAAGCUUUAUACAGUGUUUUAAUUGAUUCUCUAACGAGUAUAGAACACGAUAAACAAAUAAGUAAAAUCAAAUUAUUUUUUUUCUCUGUGAGUUCUCUUUAGCGCAGUUAGUCUUUAACAACCAAAACCAGAGGGUUAACCGGUUAAGUGCAUGUAGUAGCAAGACAAAGAUAAACCAAGCACCAAAAAGCAAUAUCAAAGAAACCCAUUUGAGGGUUGGAGAGAAAACGAAGAUUCAAUAGCAAAAACUUAAAAUAUAUAUUUAUAUCAAAAGAAAAAGUACCUUAAUCCUGGUACCCUCUGCAGCAAAACCUGUAGCAGCUGAUAGUAACCCCAAGAAACCCACAGCACUGCACAAGAAUAAGGCCCUUCUUUCCAUCUCUCCCUCACCACUAGAAACAGUCUUCCCCACAAUCUUUUCUCUUUCCCUCUGGAAUUGGGCUCUCUUCCUCUUUCUAAAGAUGUGCUUCUUUGUUUGAGGAAGAAACGUAAAGUUGAUGAUGUACUGUGGCUUCUGUCAGUGUAAAAUCAUGGUGUCCAAAAAUGAUGAGGGCAAAAUUGGAAUACAACAUUAAAAAGCAAUUGUGAAUACUGAUGAAUGACACGAGUGGGUCUUUUCUUUUCACAAAACUGCCUAUACCUCUUUUUGUGUUCUUCUAUUUUCAUCUUGUUUUUAUCCAUUGGGUGAUUUAAUUUAUUAAAAUCAUAUAAUAAAUUCUUUUUUAAUAAAUUAUAAUAUUCAAAAAAAAAAAAUAGUGCUUUUCUAGGUUUCUAUUUCGAUUGUAACUUUUUAAUUUAUCACUUCAAAAUUAUUAAUGUUUGAAAUGUUAGAUUCACAAUUAAGUAAUAAAAUUAAGUAAUGUAAAAAAAAAUAAAGUCGAGUGAUUAUUAAAUCACAUUCUCAAAUUAAAAAAGUAAGCGGUAUACGUAAUAACUGGAGAAUUAAAUAGUAAUUUUCCUUUUGUGCUUUUAUUUAUUAUUGACUAAUACAUACAUUUAAUGAAUAUCAAUAAUUAAAUAAACAAAAACUAAUGUUUAGUUUUACAACUCAUAACAUAAAUAAUUUGACAAUCAUUUAUAUCAUAUUUCUGAAGUAUAUCUCUUAGCAUCAUAUAUGUGAUGCCUUGAAUGAUUAUGAUUAAAUCUUUAUCAAUGGGAAUGAUGCGAUAUCUACACACUAUUGUUGCAAGUGAUUUGAUGAAUGAUUACUAUCAUCCGAUAAUUAUUGAUGUUAGGCAUUGACGUCCGAGGAGUUAAAGAUGUUUGGAUUAUUAAAAGUACACUGUGUGCUUUAUUUGAGAUGCUCAUGAUGUGUUAUGUUAUUUUAAAUAAUCAUCUAUGAUGAUUUUUAUUCAUCGAGUGACAUCUUAUAUAAAAUUCUAAUAUUUUUUUUUAAUUUUAGCACUAAAAGGCAUUAGUAGUUAGAAUUUCAUUUAUUCUGAAUGACAGAAAUGGAAAAAAAAGAUCGGGAUCAGUUAUAUAUAUAUAUAAGCUAGCACUCGAAAUAAGGAGAAUAGCGAAUUGGAGCGAUCGUUUAAAAAAAUUAAGUAGUAUAAAAAAAAUAAAAUUUUCGUAUUGUCAUUCUUUGACAACGUGAACCGCUCUAGUAAUUAUGAUUUAGGCAAUAGGUAAACAAGAGACUGAACUCGAAUCCUAUGAUGCGAAAUAAUUUCACGGCCUUUGGCUGUGUUUUUUAAUUUUCCAUUAUCAAGGACAGCUUUGCAAUAAGUCUCUUAAAAAUCAUAGGCUUUUUUCUUCUUUUUGUUUUUGGGUAAAUAAAUAUUUAGUCCCUUUAAUUUAAUUAUAAUUAUAACUUUUAAAUGAAAACGAGUAUGUUCGGUAAAAUUAAUCAUUUUGGUAGUUAUUUUUUAGUAUAUUUGGCUGACUUUUCAUAAACCAUUAAAAUUUAAACGUUCCAUGAAUUAACUUUUUAUAAAACAAUACUUUAAUAUUUAUUACCUCUCUUCCAUAAUAUUUGUCACAUUUGAGAAAUUAGUUUGUUUCAAAAUACUUGUCACAUUUGUAGUUUGAAAAAGUGAUAAUCUUUUUUUUUCCAUGUUCAUCUUUGACCAGUAAUUAUUACUUUAAUUUAGUGAUUUUCUUAAAAAAUUAAUAUUAAAUUAAAAAUGAUACAAUCAAUUUACUCAAUAAUUAUUAUAAUUUAGACAAAUUUAACGAUUUUCGUAAUAGACGUGAAAUUUAAAUAUGACAAAUGUCAAGUAUUAUGAAACAAAUAUCGUAAAAAUUAGUUUAAAUGCUAUGUUGGCCAACACGGCCUAAAUAAUUUAAUAUCAAUACAUUUACCAAAUAAGAGGGAUAAAAAUAUAAUUAUGAUUAAACUUAAGUGACCUAGUAGUUAUUUACUUUUUUUUCGGGUUGCAAUGGGUGUCUGAUGGAAACGACAUUGAAAAUGUUUCCCCCGAUUUCGAACGAGAAGGAGAAGUUUUCCUGUCGUUUACCAAUAUUAGAGGGAACCUAAUCAUUUAAACAUAGUUUUUGAGCUGCAUUAACAACAAAUAUCCAGAUUUACACUUCCAUUGACAUUAUGCAAUAUGUAGAUAUAUAUACGCCAGAGCAAAUAUGAACUCUGAAACAUAAAAUGUGUAAAACCAAAUAAAUUGGACUCUAAAAAUUGGAGAGGAAAAAGGAUAUAAAGGCUCUCAUUGAAGACCAUAAACAAGCAGAGCACCAACAGCACCAAUACCAGCCACCAGGCCAACAAUAACCCCAAUUGGAGGCAAACCACCGCCUAUUGCUUUUCCAGUAUUCACAUCAUAUUUUGCAAAUCUCUUUUUUGGUGCUAUACAUUGUGGGCACGCAUAUGUAUCCGGCUGCGCAGUAAAAUUUAUAAAAAUUAAUAAUUGAUCAUUCACCAAGACAAAAGAAAAACGCACUAAAAAUGAUAAAUAAAUGAGAGAAUUUGAUUAAUCUUACCAGCUCAUCAAAGGGUUUUUGUGCAGUGUAUAUGAAUCCACAGUCAAGACAUAUGUGAGUAGCUCUAGCCUGCAUAAUAUGCAUAAUUCACAUUGCAAGCAUGAGUAAAUAUUAGUUAUCUCAUCCAAAUCCAAAAGAUACUAAUAAAAGAUUGCCUUUUGAGCCUCUGUUAAUUUCCUUCCAAAGCGGGGCGGAGCAGGACGCUUUGGUAGUCUUUUAACAUCUACUUCUGCUCCUCUGCAUUGUAAAGAAAUUGGCAGAAGAUUAUUAUUUCUGUAUAUUUUAGAACAGGUAGAAAGAAUUUUGUUGCCUGUUGGUUUCACUUCUAUCUCUUAAUAAAAUGCUAAGACGUAGUAUACUGCUUUGGAUGUUCCCAAGAUCAUGUCUCUCUGUGUGUGUGUACUUUCAUUAACUUAAAACUAAGGCAAUUUUUUUGAGUAGAAUGAGUCCAAAAAGAAAGACAUAUAUAUGUAUAUGUAUAUGUAUGAACCAACAUAAAAUUGACAUGAGAAAAUAGUAGAAAUUGAGAAAGAGAACCUGCUAACAACAAAGUAGACAGAGUCUGGUUUUGCUUGAAUUGCAGUUUUAGUAAAACCCAACUUAUCAGCAGGCCAAAGUUCAUCACCAAAGAAGCUACUAGUGUAUAGCACUUGAUCCCCUGAUUUUAGCCCUGCCUUAGCCGCAUUUCCACCUCCUUCUACUGCCUAAACAUCUCAAAGCCACCACAAAAAAUUUCAAUAAACAGCCUCAAUUUCAUUGUAAAAAAUUUAAAGAACAUACCGAAAAAUUUAGGACUCACAGUUAUGACCACACCACCACCAGACUUUUGACCCAAAGUAAGGCCUAGUGGCUUGUCAACCUCAACUUCGAUAGUCUUUGAAGCACCAGCUGUUCUUGCAGUAACUUGAAGCCCUUUUCUUGAAUCAGUGAAAGUAGUUUUCUUUUCAGCUAUAAAUAUUUCUGAAGAAACCCUUUUGGCAUCUUGAAGUGAUAAGCCUUGAAAGGCAGUUUUCUGUAGACAAAUAAAGAAUAAAACACAAUUCUUUAAUCUAACAAUAACAAAUAAUAAUAACAGUAUAUAGAGCUUCAAUUAAAGAAAACAAAGGAAGAAGAAGAAGAACCUGUUGGCACUGAGAGUAUAUUGCUGGUUUUGCUGGGUUUAGAGAGGUUUUGAUGGAGUGGUUUCUGGUGAAAGUGGCAGAGCUUCCUGCAACCACAGCUGACGACAUUGUUGGUUAUACAAACAAAGAAGAGAAGAGUGUUGUUAAGAAUGGCUUUCAGUAUUGGAAUUUGCUCCUGUUGAAGUUUGUGGAUAGAAUUGCAUGGCUAGAUAAUCUUCUCGUGGCAUUGGUAGGGAGAGCCACACGCCUUAUUUUAACUUUACAGACCAUAAAUAAAUAAAAUAAGCGAUGUUCUUAUUUUAUUAAAUAAGUAAUUUAUAUGGAUCAAAAUAUGUUAGCCCAUAUGAAGGCCCAAUUUAGUUCAUGACUACCAACAAUCUUUAUGCCAAUUAUCAUACCAAAAAAUUGGCAGCCCAACCCAUUAUUAUGGUAAGUAUCACCAAAAUUAUUUUUUUAGCUUAUAAGUCAGUAUCUGAAGACGUGAGGCGGUGCGUCUAAUCAAAAUCCUCAGUCCGACUCUUCGAUCUUAUCCUCGUGUGUGUACUGUGAAUAAUUCUUUUUUUUUUUAGAUAAAUUGUUUUUCAAUAAUACUAUUUAUAAAUAUGAUAUUGUUCUUAUCAUUUUUUUUAGACCACUGGUAUACGGUUCAUAGUAUUAGAAAUCGUCUAAUUUGGUUCGAAAUUUAGUCACGAUUAAGAUUUUUCGCCUUUUUUCUAUAAAUAUUUAGUGAAAAUCGACCACUGGUAUACGGUUCAUAGUAUUAGAAACCGUCUAAUUUGAUUCGAAAUUUAGUCACAGUUAAGAUUUUUCGCCUUUUUCCUAUAAAUAUUUAGUGAAAAUCGUACUCAAAAAUUCUUUCCAUAUAUCUAACUUGCGUCGUGAACUUAAUCAGAAUAAAUUAUGUAAUAUUAUUUAUCAAUUUAAUAUACUCACUUGCUAAUGUCAUUUUACAGUUUAAAUAAUUAAAAAGGAAAAACUAAAAUACUUGUUUUUUUUUUUAAUUUGUUAGUCAACCCAUGAUGUAUACUGUAUUGCUUGUUAAAUAUUUUUAUUUUUUGGAGAAACUUGUUAAAUAAUGUUAGGCAUGCUAAAUUGUUACAUUAAAUAUUACUACAUUAUUUUCUAUAAAAAAAAGCGUCUGACACAUUAAUUUAUUGAUAUCAUAAAAUUAUUAAUAAAAAUACUCGUGUAUGUAUCUUCUUAUAUAAAUUUGUAAAAUAUAAAAUUAAAUUUUUUUAUUGAAAAGUCUUAUCGUCUAAAAUUAAAAUUCGAAAUUUUUCACUCCUACCAUUAGUGAAAAGAUUAGUAAAUCACACCUAAUUACUAAAUUAGAUUUUAACAAUACUAUUUAACACUUAAAAAUUUUAAAUAUUUAAUAAUAUAUAAACACAUAUUAUUUAAAUAUCUAAAUUUAGUUAAAAUUAACCUAGUUUGAUAAAUCAAAUAUUAACUGAAAUUUUAUGCUAAUACAGUAAAAUAAUGAAAUUUUAAAUAAUUUUGUGUUUUAAAAAUUUCAACACUGAUUUUAUUUAACAUUUAACAUUCAACUAUUAAAUUUGUAGUUUUGAAUAUUCAAUCUUAUAAAAUAUCAAUUAAAAUUUAAACAAAAAAAAUUAUAUUUUUGGUUACGACUCACCGUGCCAAAAAAAAAAAAAAAAAAAAAAUCUUUUUUCCUUUCUCUCUACCUUUAUUAUUACAGUUAAGUUCAUUGCACGGAGUCAUCUCAUCGACGGCCGGUGAUCGUAAUCUCCCAAUUGCCACAAUCGAAGUAUCGAUAUGUAUCCACUUGUAUGUGAAGUUUAAUGCCUCUCUACCCAAGAGGCCCAUUCUAUAAUGUAAAUAAUAUAUAUUUUAUUAUUAUUAUUUUUUGUAAGUAGAAAAUUAGGUGACGAGUGCAUUCAAUAUUUUAUACUUUUCAUGUGCGUCCACCAUAAUUAUAUAUAUAACUUAAAAUUUUAUUUUAUUCUAUAAAAUAAAUUAUUUAUGAAAUUUCAUUAUUUUUUCUUUGUAGUCCACGAAUUCUUUUAUAUUUUGUACGAAGGAUGAAUAAUUUAAAUACAUAAUAAUUGAUUUAUAUAAUAAUUAAUAUAAAAAUUAAUAAUUAUAGAUUGAUAUUUGAUGAUAAACAGUCUGGAAAAUAAUUUAUAUGUUUAUUAUUAUAAUAAGAAAUUCCGCUAAAAACAGAGUUGCUUCUGUUGAACUCAUCAAAUCGUUUGAACGUCUGGUUCAAUUUUUUUUAAAAAAAUAUUACUUAUUGGUCAUGACUGUUUGAUUGCAAUCAAAAAAUGUUUUUUUAUAAUUAAUUUUGCUAAAUAUUUCUAACGGCAAAAUAUUAAAAAAAAAAAGAUGAAACGUUUCUUUUUAGUGGACCCAUCGCUAUCCUAUUUUGUGCAAAUUCGAACAAGUGUCCUAUUUACACUAACUAUCAUCCACGUGUAUGCAAAUUGGAUUGGAAAGGGGUUCCACUCAAAUUUACGAAUCAAAGCAAAUAGUACUACUUGUUUUUGUUGGGCCGUCUAUUAAAAAUUUAAAAUUGUUUUCCUUUCAAAAUAAUUAACAACAGCAAUAUAGUAAAAUAAUAAUAAAUAAAGUAAAACAAUGAAUAAAUUCAUACCGAAUUAGGUGCCAGAAUAUACCCCACUAUUAAGUGAAGUUAUUUCUAGACCGUUGCUAAUUUCUGACCUUAAUUAAUGAUCAACUCAAAAUUAUUAUUUUUAUAAUUUCAUUUUUCUUGCAUUAAGACUAAUAAUAUUUUUUUUAUCAGCAGAAAAUUUUUUUAUUAUUAUAAUCCGUAAAAAAUUUAAUAUAACCAAAUAUCUAAUUCUAGGCCAUCAGGCGGCCUCAAUACACUUAUCUUAACUCGAAAAUGCUAAGAAAAAUUUGAUAUAGUAUACAUAAGAUAAAUAAUAAAUUAAUAAAUUGACUUUACUCUAAAAUUUAUGAAUUAUGAUAUUAAGUUUUUAUGGGAAUAUUUUAAUGAAAUAUAUUAAUUUAUGCAUUUUUAGCGUCCACACUCAAUAAACAUGUAAAAUUUCUAACAAAAAUCUAAAAUUAAAUUAUUUUCUUUUAAAUUUACACGCGUGAUUUUAUGUUUGGAAAAUAAUUUUUUUAAAAAAAUAAUUUUUUUAAAUUCAAAAAUUUUAACCUCACAGGUAAAAUUCACAUGUCUCCCCUUUUUCAAACUCAAACUAGAAUUCAAUUAUUCAUUUUAUCAGUUACUCGCCUUUAAACAAGUACACACAACCUCAAAUUUUUUAAUUCAACACAAAAACUCUAAUUAAUGAGGUAAUUACUAGAAUUUUCUUUAAUUAACCAAUAAAAAGAAAUUCUAGAGGGUCUUGAACGUCAUUUUGCAUUAGUCAUGCCUUUUGUAUGACCGAUUACUCACGGCAACUAACACUGUCGGUCACCACAUCAUCCAAUUCCAACGGAAACGAAAUAUUCCGUUUCGAUACAUACGAAAUCAACCAGCUAACCAACUUAGCACAAUAAAAAAUUCCGUCAGUUAAAAGCGAAGUCAAAUGUAACUUACCGUUUGGUACAGAGACAGGGUACGGGAAGGGAAAGAGGAAGGGGUAGGUGGGGGGCUGGGGACCAAGCCAAGAAGCGCAGUUGAGCGGGUAAAGGACAAAAAAGACAUUUUACAACAUUUCUUUUUUCUCUCUAAUCUCUUCAUAUCUGUCGCAGUCUAUAUAUACAGACUUGAUUUCAUAAAGAGAAAAAAGUCACCUACUACCCGUGUAGUGGAUUUUUCCGUCUCUUUCUCUGUCCUUGCUUUUGCUUUUUCACUUAAUUAGGUUCUUCUUUGAAGAAAGGUUUUAUUGUAUGGCCGCCAAUUCGAAGAGUACUCAAGGGAUCGCCAGCUUGGGAAAGCGAGUUAUCUCUCAGAUCUGGACCGCCAACUCGGCUCGCGCUGCUUCUGUUUCCACUGCCAGGUUUUAUGAGUUAAAAAAAAAAAAAGCUUUCUGUUCUUAAUUUGGUGUUUAAUUUUUGCUUAAUCAUGAUCUGAUGAGUUGAGAUUUCUAUUAUUGGCAUUGUUAAUCAAUUACUUUCUUAAUUAGUUGUUGGUGCUGGUUUGUAAUUUUGCUUAAUCCAAAAAUGAGUGCAGACUGCAAGAUGAUUUGCUGUCUGACGCUAUAAUGUUCAGAAUUUUUUUUUUUUUAAAUUGAGGUAAAUCAUUUAAUAAUAGGCUUUUCUUGUAUGAUGAAAAGAUCUUUUUAUUUUUUUUGCAGUAUAUAGGAUUUUUUUUUUGUUUUAAUUUUUCCUAAAUUUGAAUUUAUUUUAUCAUUUUCAUUGAAUAUUCUUUUUUUUUUUCAUUUUAUUAAAGCGGCGUUGUUAUUAUCAUUCAUUUUGAAGAAUAUUUUACCAUUUUUCGUACAAAAGGCACAUUGCCGUACUCGGUGGUGCCGUGUCGUUCGCGUGUGUGGAUGAGGACAAUCUGAAAAUUUCCGCACCGGAGAAUUCUCCACCGAGGGGCAUUUUUGUAAUUUGGCGUCAUUGAUUAUAUUAUUCAUGUCUUGAGAUACUUAUAAUUGGAUAUAAAAAAUAAUAGAUUGAUAGUGUUUUUCUUUCUUUUUGAAAAAAAAAAAUUUCCUUAUAGUGAUUUUAUCUCGCUAACUAUUUUUUUAUUUUGAUUCAAGGUUAGAGGUAAAUCAUUUCAUGAAAUAAAUUUAUAAUUUAAGAUUUAGUUAAAUUUACAUAUAAUAAUAAUUCAUUAUAAAUUUUUGAAUUUGUUUUUUUUUUUUUUUUUUUGAUACAUGGGAGAUAAAUUUUUGAAGUUAUGUUUUAUAUAAAAGAAAGAAUUUAUUGUAUAAAAUAAUGAUUGUAUUCCGUUAUUACCAUUUUAUUCAUUAACUAUAUGAGUUAAUAACUUUUAUUUCUAUUUAUAGCAACUGAAGGUCUGAAAUAUAGGAAUAGUCAGGCGAUGUAUGAUUACAGGAGAUAGUUCAUAGUUCUACUUGUGUCAAUUCAAAAGUGGAACUCUUUGUGUGGUAACCGGUAAGUAAUUGACUGAUAGUUUAACACAUGUACACUAGACAAUGGGUUGGGCUUUUUUUUUAUUUUUUUGGGUCAAAAUUCAAAAAGACAGAGGGUCAUAAGGCCUUCAAAAAUUUCCUCUGGUGCAUUGAGUUUGAACUGUUGUUGGUUUGGUGCAAAUUCAAAAGACGUAUCAUAUGCCUAUGCGGGAAUACAACAUUUUUCUUUGAUUUGGGUAUUCCUUUUGGCAACUUUGUGAUUUUAUGUCAAUUCUUGGUUUUGUCAUUUCCACUUUGAUUCCUUUAUUUUUCAUACAGUGAUGUAGUCUUGAUCUUGAGUUGUGGACUUUUGACAUUUGAUUCUUUUUAUAUUGCAAUUCUCAACUUAUUUUUCAUCUUGAGUACUAUAUUAAUUCUUUUAACAUUACAUAGGAAACUUCCCGGCAAGAGCAUGGCUUUUGCUCAAUAUUUUGUUUUUAUGAUUGUUAUUAUUAUUUUGGGAGGCUUGACUGUUGAAUAUGAUAUGACAAAAAAAGUUUUGAACACACAGAGUCGGUGGCCAAAUAGUUAAAUAAAAGGGAGUAUUUAUUUAUAAGUUCAAGUUGAAAAAUAUAUAAAUUACAUCAUUAUGACCAUCUGUUGUGUUUAUGUCUGUUUGAUGGAUAGAGUUGAAGUAAAAAUUACAUCAUUAGUGAAUGUCUCGUUCAAUGGUCCUACUCAAAAGAAAGGACCUUGCCUAGAAUAAAAUACCAGUCUGGAAGGUGGGAGAAAUAAAACACGGGGUCGGUUGCUGAUUGUUAUCUGGGUCGAGUCAUAUGUGGGUCACAUGAUCUCCAUCUGUCCGAUUAACUCUUGGGAGUCUAUUUGGAUCUGUGGAUAAAUUGAGAGGUCACAACUACAUAACCAAACUGGUGGGUGCUAUCUGUGUUCAAUUAUAAAAUUCCCGUUUUGUCGCUUGUAUCACCAUCAUGAUGAUCCUUGUUGCCUAUUCCAACAAAAUUAAGAAGGAAAAGGCUAAAAAGUGUAUCCUUUCAAUUGUAGGAAGUUUCUAUUCACAUUUUGUUAUAUUAGGAAGAGGUGGUAUGGUUAAGGGUUCUUGAUUAGCUGGAGUUUUUUUUUUUUUUUUUCCUUAAUAAUUAUUGUUAAAUUGAUGAAAAUUUUUAUAAAUAAAAGUAAUUCAUACUUACCUUUCAUUUUGCAUAUUCAUAAAGGAUAUUCGAAACUAAUCAAGUCACACCUAAACAUGCGUAUAGAGAUAAAAGUUCCAUAUAUCAUGCUAAAUUUGAUUGCAGGAGGACAGCACACACGUCAACAUACGACAGGAACUUUGAUGAUCAGGUUGCUGCGAGUGUGGUCCCGGACGAUGUGAUCCAGCCCCUAUCUGAUAAGUACUGGGCACCUCACCCACAAACUGGUGUUUUUGGGCCUGCCACCGAGCAAAACUCGGCGGCAGGCAAAGAUCGCAUCUCCAACACUGGUGAGAGCUCGGUGUUGGAAGAAACGGCUUGGUUCCGCCCCACCAGUCUGGAGGACCCCGAGAAGCCUAACCAAGCUUGAGAAAAGCACAAGUGUGUGCUCCCUAGUUUAUGGUAUUGCUAAUAAAUAAAUGGUCUAUUGUUGUAAUAAUAUAAUAUAAGCUGCUGGAUUCGAACUAGUUUUAUAUGCGCAGUUGCAAACUUAUACGAUGAGUUGCAACUUGAGUGAUGUACGGAUGCUUUAUUUUAUAAACUACUUGUUUGUGAUAUUGGCUUUUUCUAUAAAUUUUUUGUUUUAUGUUCUUGCCACGUUUAGAGCUUGGAUUUUUUUUUUUUUUUUUUUUUUUUUUGUAUUUUAUCACCUGGCACUUGUAAAGUGCAGUAGCUUUGGUCUAAUUCUUUGUGAAUAUAUGUUUAUGUAUAGUAUCUAAAUAAGCAUGGUCCAAUAGGAGUCAACCAUUUUGGAAUUAUGCUACUAAUCUUUGUUGUUAAUAUACUCUAAAGUGAACUUAUAACUCAAAUUGGCUAUUAUUAUAUGUGUAGCCAAUGAUUUCCUUCAAGUAAACAAAUAAAAUUUGAUUUAUUUUGGGCCGCUUGUUACAUUAUCUGAAAUCUAUAUCUAAAUAAAAUAAUUUUGAACAUACGGGUCCUUUUUUUUUUUUUUUUUUUUUUUUUUUUAAGAUAAUAUGAGUAGGGAUAGUGUCACGUGGGGCCAGAGAAAAAAAAAAUAAAAAAGAAAGAAGAAAACAAACGGCAGCCAUUAAGACACAGCCAAUGCAUUAUACAUAACCUUUAUCUAAUUAUCUUGAAUGUGGGUAUUCCAUCAGUGACCAAAAGAAAAGAGCAGCCAUAUCUCUCUAGUUAAAGUUUGAUUGCUCUCUAACAAGAUAAUUAAUCUUCUUAAGCAUGACACAAUUAUAAUUUAUGGACAUCCAAUGAUGCACAACAUAAUUGUUCCUUCCCCACCACCCCCCCCCCCCCAAAAAAAAAAAAAAAAAAAAAAGGAAGAAAAGAUAUAAACAUGACAAACAAAUAAUAAUAAUAGUAAUAAAGUUAAAAAGGGGAAUUAUGAAUGAAGUAGCGUGGCCUGCAAUUGCAAUUAGAGAAACAAAUGGGGACAAUUGCAAUUGAUGGGUAUUAUUGGAAUUUGACAGGUAGGUGCAUCUCUACUACUCCCAAAUCCAUUUAGGAAUUAGACACAAUCAUACAAAAGGGAAAGGGUAGAGAGAACACGAGUGCCAACAACAUCCUUUCUUCUUGUUAUUACAUGACCACGUGACCUUCUCCUUACAUUCAACAUUCUACAAGAAUAAUGUAAUGUAAGUUGCAAUCAUACAAUGUUUUAUUUGUUUUACUUGCUUUUUUUUUUUUUUUAUCAAUAAAAUAAAUAAUUUAAUGAAAAAUCCAGAAAAAAUUUAUCAAACUCCAGCACUAAUCCCAAGUCAAUAGACUCUUUCAAAACAUUCAACCUUAUUAGAAAAUGAUAAGUGAAAAAACUCGGUCCAUAUUACAUCUAAACGUAGAAAAACAAAUUACUUGCUUAUUAACCCAUCCAUCACAACAAAUUCAAAUAUGAGUAUGUACUAUUUCCAAUUAGAUUUUAUUAGAAAAGUUUCAGAUUUUUCAAAAUAAUUGAGCUUUUUUUUUAAUGAUUUUACAAGAUUUAACAAAGUUUUAUUAAUUUUCUACAGUUGAAAUCAAUUCAAUUAAAAAAUAUUCUGCAACUCCAAUAAUAGUCCUAGUUCUGGAAAGUCUUGAGUUGUAGAACCGGCAUUUGUCCCUCUUUAAGCAUCCAUUGGUUUUAGGACAUCUAAUGCUUCUCUUCUUUUUCCCCUUUUAUUUUUCUUUCUUUUUUGGUACCUUGUAUUGUAUUUAUUUUACUUCUCCAUUAUCUUCUUGGCCAGGUUAAAAACGUAAAUUCUACUCCAGCAAAAGAAAAAGAAUAACUUUGUUAAUUAACAAAAUAUAUGUAUAUAUGUGCGCGCGCUCUACAAGUUUUCCAAAAUACAGAAGUAUUGAAAUGAAAUCAAGAUUGACAUCCUCUUGAAAAUCCCUCAAUGAUGAAAGUUCAAUACCUCUUCUUUAUCUCAUAAUGGAGAUGGAAAUGAGGUGCAGCUAACUAAAAUUAUAUUGAAGUGAACAAGAGAUUUGAUCAAAGUGGUAAAGAAAAGCUUAAAUCCUCUCCCAAAUUCACUAGAAUGGCAUAAACCAAGUGCUGAUACAUUUGGAUUUUGGAUUUUUAAGCCAAGGAUUCUGCACAUCCAUAGAUAUGACAAUUUAGAAAGUUUCCUCAUCUUCUGACAGGCUGAGACAUGCAGACCAUUUGUAAAAGCUUGUGCAUAGAGACCUGUUCUGCAUUGUGAUACAAUUUCUUCACAGUGCAUUGCAAGCAUAUUAGCACUUCUCACUACUUAAUGAUUUGGUUGAAGUUGGAAGUUCAUACCUCCGUGCUAAUGUAGAAGAUUUGACAAUGAAAUGUACAUAAUGUUCGUCCAAUGGUACAAGUCUUUUGCUUUCUGGUUGGCAGAAACAUGCGCCAACUCUAAGUAUUUGAAGUUUGCAGCCCUGGAAUAUGCUGAAACUUAAAAUUGUAUUCAUAUCACCAGGUCAAGGAUCUUGGCAGGCCAACAGUGAGCUUACUUCAAUUCUCACAUACCUGCAGCCAAUGACUAGAGACAGAUGCUACUGGAGUCUCUUUACUGGCUCAUCUUGUAUCCCUCUGCGUGGACAAAUUUAUUGCGCGGAUGAGCUACUUCCCAUUGCAUGGUUCUACAAGAAACAUCCUGAUAACCAGCAUAAAUAUAUUUGAUGCUCCGUUUCCAACUUUUCUUUUUCCACUGAAACUGGUUUUACAGGUGAUAGGAAGCUUAUUUGACUUGUCAGGGAACUGGACAAACUUACUGCUCACAUAAGCUGCUUCGCGUUGCAUGGUUCUUUAACAAACAUUCUGAUAUUGAGCAGUAUAUUUGAUGCUCCGUUUCCAACAACAUUUUUUCCACUCAAACUGGUUUGACAGGUGAUGGGAUGCUUCUUUCACAGCGUUCAGGUAAUUUCAACAUCUUGCCUCAAGUUGGACUUAGAAUGGAAAGAGAAAUUUUGGAUCAGAAAAUUUUAUAAUUUGGGACAGACGAAUGUAGCAGAAGUUGCUGAGGCAGGGGAUGCUUUAGCCAUAAUGCUUUAUUUCUUGGUCGGAUGUAACAUUUGACAACCUCAUGGUUGCGUCAGAGACUGUGUCUCUACAACUGCAUAGAACACAAAAAAAUUUCAAAUUAGUAACAAUAGAGAGAUUUGUUCAGGCAACUUAUUUCAAACCAGGUGAAGGCCCUGUAUCUGAAAAUGAACAUACCAAAAGCAAGAUAUAUAUGAUAGUAAUAAAAUUAACAGGGUUUGUAACCACAUAGGUUAAACACUCUUGAGAAAAUAUAUGAUGCUAUAUUUAAGAGCUAAUAAAGUAUCUACAAAAUGAACAUAACGAAGAAAACGGUAAUAAUUUUCUGUAACAGUAUAUGUUGCAAUAUAAGAAGCCCUACACUUUCUUUCAUAUGGUGAUAAACAGAGAGCGCGUCUACAUGUCUCCCAGAAAUACCAAAAGCAUUGAUCAAUACGUUCAGCAUUAUAAGAUUUGGCUCAAUUCCUUCCGUUUCCAAGUCAUUAUAUCAGGCUUCAUACCCUAUUGUUGCAUAUUUGAAAACACUCCUAAUGCUUUAUCCAAUUCACCAUACUUCCAAAGGUAUCAAUAAUGCUGUUCUAGAUAUGCUUGUCAAGUGGCAUUCCCAUCUCCCUAAUCUCCUCAACGAUUCCCACUGCUUUCUUCCACAUCCCAUUAUGUCUAUAAAGCCCAAUAACCUUACUGUAGACAAAUGAAUUAAGCUGAGAAUCUUUCUGCUUCAUUUCAUUGAUUAUUGACCAAGUAUCUUCUGACCUCCCAGCAAUUACAUUGUAAUAUCUCAUAUGUUUCUUGAUUUCUAAGAAUACCCAUUUCAUCCAUUAUCAUUAAAACCCUUUCCGCUAGCCCCAAGAGGCCCUAAUCAUUAUAUUGAACACCCUAAUCAUUAUAUUGAACAAUCUUAGUCUUGGUUUCAACCCAAAACAUAUUGUCUCUUGAAAUAAAGCAUCAGCUGUCCUUCCAACACGUAAUAGAGCUUCAAUCAAAGAAGUGUACAACAAGGAAUUGGGUCGAGAACCUAGCGACUCCAUUCGAGCAAGAAGAGUCAUGGCCUCGUGAACUUCCCAAAGUUUGCAACAAUCACAAAUAUAGUGAUUGUAUGAUUCAAUAGAGAGUUCUUCUGCAUCUGUACACUCAUCUGGUGGCAUAGCAAUAGAUUCUUCAUUGCUAAGGCUCUAGUCUCCUUCACUUGAAUGUUUCGCAUGAAAUUACAUAGACUUCAUGUCCCAGUUAUACAGUCCAUGACGAAUAAACUAGAAAUCAACAAAUGGAUAGAGAAGUCCAAGUCAAAAUCAAAUAAGCUCUCUAUUAAGUGGGAACCAUAACAGGCGGUAAAACGAGGGUUUUUUUUUCCCCAAAACGUGUCACGAGAAAAACUAAUUUCCAAAAUGGUGUUGCGUGAAAAAUAUCUAUUAGAAUAGUGUUUUGUUUACAUUUCAAAUUGCAAUAAAAUCAAUAAAUUUUAAUUUAUUUUAAUACUGUUCAGCAGCUUUACAUACUAAUAUUCUCUCUCUUCUUUAUCUUUGAGUUGAAUAUUACGCAAUAAAUGAAACAAUAUUACAAUUGAAUAUAUUAUUUGGCGAGAUUCACACACAGACUCAAAGUUUCAAUUGUGACGUAUAUGAUGUAACAAUUUAUGGGUGAAAUACCCACCCAAAGAAAAUUGCUAUUGUGUUAUUGUUAGUGUAACAAUAUGAAAGAGAUGUUUACAGGAAAAGAAAUAUUCUUGUGUUAGGUGUAAGAGGUAUAAGAGGGGUAAGAAGUGUAGAUGUCUUUUUAACGUGAAAAUCUUAAUUUUACUUUGCAUACCUUAUGUACCUUUCCAAAGUUUAGAAUAUAUUUCGUUUGACACUGUGACAUUGUUUCAUUUAUAGUAUAACAUUCAAUCCAACAAGAGAGGAGAGAGAAUAUUAAUAUGUAAAACUGCUAAACAUCCUUAAAAUAAAUUAAAAUUUAUUGAAAAUGCUGGACAUCGUUAAAAUAAAUUAAAAUUUAUUGAUUUUGUUGCAGUUAUAGUGUAACAAUGCAUUUAUUAUACUAUAAUUGCAAGAAAAAAAACUUUAAAAUAUCAACAAACAUCAUUCUAAUAAAUAUUUUCCACACUGUUUAGAGAAUUAGUUUUUAGCAAAACACUCUUAUGGGAAUGCAAGAGUAAAAUUUUAAAAACUGGAUAUAGCUAGCUAAGCGUAGCUAAGAACAUGAAACGUGCGAAACCAACAGUAAACACGCUUAAGAAUCAACAAAGUAAAGAAACUAAAUUUCACUGGUUCGCAAUACCUGUAAUGGAUUUGGAGGGCAACUUAGCAAUUAGGGGAAUAAAUAGCCAUCCUCAAUUGUUUACAAACUCAAACAGAAGUAAAUUCAAAGCUCAAAUUUUCACUUCUCCAAUAACCAUUUCAUGGAAAAACAAAAUGAAGCGCAAAAGUUGAAAAAAAAAAAAUAGAACAGAUAAUUUUAGUUCACGUAGAAGUCUCAAGAAAUAAUGAAACUUACCAAUUCAAUUUUUUUUUUUCCAUUCUACUAUAGAGCUUCCGCGUUCAACUAACAAUGGCAUUUUCCUUCUUCAGGAAGGCUAGAUUUUCCAGAGAGGGAGAGGGAGAGGGAGGAGAGAGCGAGAGUGAAUAGAUAAGAGUUAUACGAUACUCCAUGAGUUUUAUUUAUGGCGAGGAAAAAGUCAUUUUUCCUUUUUUUUUUUCCUUUGCUCGGCGAGCAGGUUCCACUCAGAGCAACCUAUUGGUGAAAAAUUAUUUUUCUUUUAAGUUUAAAGAACCUAUAGGGGAGACGCUUUAACUGAUUUUUAUUUUACUCUAAUAAAAUUAAAAAGGAGUACAUUUUUGCUCAUCUCUAUUUCUAAACGGAUAACGAACAACCCGCCAAAACCAAAAAUAUCUUUUUUUUCUAUCUUCUGCAAAACCCACAAGACAAGAACCUUCAACUUCUAAAAUUAUCAAAAUCAAUCACAAGAACCAGGAACAGGAUAUGGUAUGGCUUGCACUGGAAUGCUAGCCUUUGUAUCAUCGCCUUGUAAGGUAUGCAAAACCACCUCUCUUAAUUGCUCUACACAUAACUCCCCUUCUACUGCUACUAUUACUGCAGCUACUGCUCCAAUCAAUGAACACCAAGUAAAUGAUACUGAACACAGUAGCAACACACCACAGAGAUUUAGCUAUAGCAGAGCUUCACCAUCAAUUCGAUGGCCUCACCUUAAACUUUCCGAAAUUUACCCUUCUGCCAAUACUCGGUUCAAUGUUGCUUCUCCUCCACCUACCCAUUUCAUUGACGAGUCGCCCGAUUCGGAUCCUGAAAAUGGGGCGCAAAAGUUGAGUUCUUUAGAGGUGAAUGAUGAGACCCAGGAGAAAUUGGGGAGGUUUAGUAGAACUAGGGUUAAGAAAAUGAACAAAGUGGCUCUUAUAAGGGCUAAGGACUGGAGGGAAAGAGUGAAAUUUUUAACUGAUAGGAUAUUAGCAUUGAAAUCAGAUCAGUUUGUUGCUGAUGUUUUGGAUGAUAGGAAAGUGCAAAUGACACCUACUGAUUUUUGCUUCGUGGUGAAGUGGGUGGGUCAGGAGAAUUGGCACCGUGCUUUGGAGGUGUAUGAGUGGUUGAAUUUGCGCCAUUGGUAUUCCCCUAAUGCACGGAUGCUUGCCACAAUUUUGGGCGUUUUGGGAAAGGCUAAUCAGGAGGCCUUAGCGGUGGAAAUAUUUACUAGAGCAGAGUCAUCAGUUGGUAAUACUGUGCAAGUUUAUAAUUCUAUGAUGGGUGUGUAUGCACGGGCUGGUAGGUUCAAUAAGGUUCAAGAACUGCUUGAUUUAAUGCGUGAGAGAGGAUGUGAGCCAGACCUUGUUAGUUUCAAUACUUUGAUAAAUGCUCGCUUAAAGGCAGGUGCCAGGAUGCCAAAUAUGGCCAUUGAGCUUUUAAAUGAGGUAAGGAGGUCGGGCCUCAGGCCGGAUACAAUCACUUAUAAUACUCUUAUUAGUGCUUGUUCUCGCACAUCAAAUUUGGAGGAGGCAAUGAAGGUUUUUGCUGAUAUGGAAGCACAUCGCUGUCAACCUGAUCUGUGGACUUACAAUGCCAUGAUUUCUGUUUAUGGAAGGUGUGGAUUGUCUGGCAAAGCAGAGCAGCUUUUCAAGGAAUUGGAGUCUAAAGGGUUUUUCCCAGAUGCAGUGACAUUUAAUUCUUUGUUGUAUGCUUUUGCAAGAGAAGGGAAUGUGGAUAAAGUAAAAGAAGUUAGUGAGGAAAUGGUGCAAAUGGGGUUUAGCAGAGAUGAGAUGACCUAUAAUACCAUCAUUCACAUGUAUGGAAAACAAGGUCAGCAUGGCCAAGCAUUACAGCUUUAUAGGGACAUGAAGUUGUCAGGUCGGACUCCUGAUGCGGUUACAUAUACUGUUUUAAUUGAUUCGCUUGGGAAAGCAAAUAGAAUGGUGGAGGCUGCUGGCGUGAUGUCAGAGAUGUUGGACAGAGGAGUUAAACCUACCUUGAGAACAUAUAGUGCUUUGAUAUGUGGGUAUUCCAAGGCUGGGAAAAGAGUGGAGGCUGAAGAGACUUUUGAUUGCAUGCUAAGGUCUGGAAUAAAACCUGAUCAACUAGCAUACUCAGUUAUGUUGGAUAUACUUCUGAGAUUUAACGAGGCAAAGAAGGCAGUGGUGUUGUACAGGGACAUGGUUCGUGAUGGCAUCACUCCAGAUCCAACAGUUUAUGGAGUGAUGCUUCAAAAUCUUGGAAGAGCAAACAAAGUGGAGGAUAUUGGAAGAGUAAUUAGAGACAUGGAUGAAAUAUGCGGCAUGGAUCCACAAACUAUUGCUUCUAUUCUCAUCAAGGGUGAAUGCUAUGAUGCUGCUGCAAAAAUGCUGAGGCUGGCUAUCAGUGGCAGCUAUGAAAUUGAUCCUGAGAAUCUGUUUUCUAUUUUGGGAUCAUAUAGUUCAUCUGGUAGACACUCUGAAGCACUUGAAUUGCUUGAAUUCUUAAAAGAACAUACUUCGGGAUCCGACCAAAUAGUGGCUGAAGCUUCAGUCAUUACCCUUUGCAAGGCUAAGCUGGUAGAUGCUGCUUUGAAGGAAUAUAGCAAUGCAGGCGAAUUUGGUUGGUUUACUGGGAGUUCUGCCAUGUAUAAAUCCUUGAUUGAGGGCUGUGAAGAAAGUGAACUCACUGCUGAAGCUUCUCAGGUUUUUUCUGACAUGAGGUUUAAUGGUGUAAAACCUUCCAAAUCUCUCUACCAAAGUAUGGUGCUCAUGUACUGUAAAAUGGGGUUCCCUGAAACGGCUCACUAUCUGAUUGAUUUGGCAGAAUCCGAAGGCAUACCAUUUGAUAAUACCCCCAUCUAUGUUGCUGUCAUUGAGACAUAUGGGAAGCUGAACAUGUGGCAGAGAGCAGAAAGCUUGGUGGGUAAUCUUAGACAAAGGUGUGCGACUGUGGAUCGGAAGGUGUGGAAUGCUUUAAUACAAGCUUAUGCAGAAAGUGGUUGUUAUGAACGAGCCAGGGCUGUUUUUAAUACAAUGAUGAGAGAUGGUCCUUCCCCAACUGUAGAUUCUGUUAAUGGCCUUUUGCAAGCUUUGAUUAAUGAUGGAAGAUUGGAAGAGCUUUAUGUGGUAAUCCAGGAAUUGCAAGAUAUGGGUUUUAGAAUCAGCAAAAGUUCUAUCCUUUUGAUGCUUGAUGCAUUUGCAAGGGCCGGCAACAUAUUUGAAGCAAAGAAAAUAUACAAUGGAAUGAAGGCUGCAGGUUAUUUUCCUACAAUGCAUCUUUACAGGAUAAUGAUUGGGCUGUUAUGCAAGGGAAAAUGUGUACGAGAUGUUGAAGCCAUGGUGUCUGAGAUGGAAGAAGCAGGAUUCAGGCCUGACCUUUCAAUAUGGAAUUCUAUGCUAAGGUUGUACUCAGGAAUUGAUGAUUUUAGGAAGACAACUCAAAUUUACCAGCGGAUUAAAGAAGAUGGCUUUGAACCUGACGAGGACACCUACAACACAUUGAUUAUAAUGUACUGCAAGGACCAUAGACCAGAGGAAGGUUUGUCACUGAUGCAUGAAAUGAGAAGGGUAGGGUUGAAACCCAAAUUAGAUACCUACAAAAGUUUGAUUGCAGCGUUUGGUAAGCAGCAGUUGGUGGCACAAGCAGAGGAACUUUUUGAAGAGCUGCUGUCAAAAGGAUCUAAAUUGGAUCGCUCUUUUUAUCAUCUUAUGAUGAAAAUAUUUAGAAAUUCAGGAAACCACUGCAAAGCUGAAAAGCUGUUGGGCAUGAUGAAAAAUUCAGGAGUAGAACCCACUAUUGCUACAAUGCAUUUACUUAUGGUAUCCUAUGGCAGCUCAGGACAGCCUCAGGAAGCUGAAAAAGUGCUUACUAAUUUGAAAGGUGCAGGUUUAAAUCUUAGCACAUUACCAUAUAGUUCAGUUAUUGAUGCUUACUUUAGAAAUAGAGAUUACAAUGUUGGAAUUCAGAAACUCGAGGAAAUGAAGAAAGAAGGUCUGGAGCCAGAUCAUAGAAUAUGGACAUGCUUUAUUAGAGCUGCUAGUUUGUCCCAGCACACACAUGAAGCCAUUAACCUUUUAAAUGCUCUGCAAGAUUCUGGGUUUGACCUUCCAAUCAGGUAGCCAUUUAGCCAUUAACUAUCAGAGAGGCUACAAUAUUCUAUAUAAAUCUAUCAUUAAGCUUCUAAUUGGUUACUCUUUUGUAGACUUCUAACAGAAAGAUCUGAGUCACUAGUUUCAGAGGUGGAUCAUUGUCUCGAGAUGCUUGAAACUGUGGAAGAUAAUGCAGCCUUCAACUUUGUUAAUGCCUUGGAGGAUUUAUUGUGGGCAUUUGAACUUCGAGCCACUGCUUCAUGGGUUUUCCAUUUGGCUGUGAAGAGAAGCAUCUAUCGCCAUGAUGUGUUCAGGUGGGUGCUAAUCGAUUAAAAAGUAAAAAGCUUUUUUCAUUUCUCAUGCCAAGAAAAUUGUGAAGCUUUGGAUAAGUGUCUGAAAGAGAAUAUUGAUGUACAGCCAAAUUAUACAAAAGUUUCUGACAUUAAGUUCUCACAUACAUAUAUAUUAUUUUCACUUCGUGUUAGCUCAUACUUUGAGGUCUUUGUCAUUCAGGGUGGCUGACCAAGACUGGGGAGCUGAUUUUAGGAAGUUGUCUGGUGGUGCAGCUCUUGUUGGUCUUACUCUAUGGCUGGACCACAUGCAGGCAAGUUCUCUUAUGCCCUUAUAAAUUUUGUUUUAUUGAUAUAUUUGAUUUUUUUUUUUUUUUUUUUUUUUUUUUUUUUUUUUUUUUUUUNNNNNNNNNNNNNNNNNNNNNNNNNNNNNNNNNNNNNNNNNNNNNNNNNNNNNNNNNNNNNNNNNNNNNNNNNNNNNNNNNNNNNNNNNNNNNNNNNNNNNNNNNNNNNNNNNNNNNNNNNNNNNNNNNNNNNNNNNNNNNNNNNNNNNNNNNNNNNNNNNNNNNNNNNNNNNNNNNNNNNNNNNNNNNNNNNNNNNNNNNNNNNNNNNNNNNNNNNNNNNNNNNNNNNNNNNNNNNNNNNNNNNNNNNNNNNNNNNNNNNNNNNNNNNNNNNNNNNNNNNNNNNNNNNNNNNNNNNNNNNNNNNNNNNNNNNNNNNNNNNNNNNNNNNNNNNNNNNNNNNNNNNNNNNNNNNNNNNNNNNNNNNNNNNNNNNNNNNNNNNNNNNNNNNNNNNNNNNNNNNNNNNNNNNNNNNNNNNNNNNNNNNNNNNNNNNNNNNNNNNNNNNNNNNNNNNNNNNNNNNNNNNNNNNNNNNNNNNNNNNNNNNNNNNNNNNNNNNNNNNNNNNNNNNNNNNNNNNNNNNNNNNNNNNNNNNNNNNNNNNNNNNNNNNNNNNNNNNNNNNNNNNNNNNNNNNNNNNNNNNNNNNNNNNNNNNNNNNNNNNNNNNNNNNNNNNNNNNNNNNNNNNNNNNNNNNNNNNNNNNNNNNNNNNNNNNNNNNNNNNNNNNNNNNNNNNNNNNNNNNNNNNNNNNNNNNNNNNNNNNNNNNNNNNNNNNNNNNNNNNNNNNNNNNNNNNNNNNNNNNNNNNNNNNNNNNNNNNNNNNNNNNNNNNNNNNNNNNNNNNNNNNNNNNNNNNNNNNNNNNNNNNNNNNNNNNNNNNNNNNNNNNNNNNNNNNNNNNNNNNNNNNNNNNNNNNNNNNNNNNNNNNNNNNNNNNNNNNNNNNNNNNNNNNNNNNNNNNNNNNNNNNNNNNNNNNNNNNNNNNNNNNNNNNNNNNNNNNNNNNNNNNNNNNNNNNNNNNNNNNNNNNNNNNNNNNNNNNNNNNNNNNNNNNNNNNNNNNNNNNNNNNNNNNNNNNNNNNNNNNNNNNNNNNNNNNNNNNNNNNNNNNNNNNNNNNNNNNNNNNNNNNNNNNNNNNNNNNNNNNNNNNNNNNNNNNNNNNNNNNNNNNNNNNNNNNNNNNNNNNNNNNNNNNNNNNNNNNNNNNNNNNNNNNNNNNNNNNNNNNNNNNNNNNNNNNNNNNNNNNNNNNNNNNNNNNNNNNNNNNNNNNNNNNNNNNNNNNNNNNNNNNNNNNNNNNNNNNNNNNNNNNNNNNNNNNNNNNNNNNNNNNNNNNNNNNNNNNNNNNNNNNNNNNNNNNNNNNNNNNNNNNNNNNNNNNNNNNNNNNNUUUUUUUUUUUUUUUUUUUUUUUUUUUUUUUUUUUUUUUUUUUUUUUUUUUUACAUAUUUCUUGUGGCUGUUAUUCUAUUCAUUCAUUUUACUUUUUUCUGUGACAGUAGAACAGUGGAAGCACUAUGCUAAUUUAUGAUAUUACUUGUCAUCACCUUCUUUGUUAUUGUUGGGGGUUGUUGAAUGAGAUACAGAACAAUCGCUGAUACCUAACUCCUGAGAUUUUGUCUAUUCUUAAGCUAUAGGCCAUUAUCCUUUUCUCGUUGGUAAAUCAUAGUUUUUUUAUCUUUCAUAAGUCUUGAAAUAAAUUGCCCCACAAAAGCGGUGACAGUUUAAGGUCAGACUUGCUGUAUAUACUUAAUAUUAUCUUUUUGUACUACUAGCUGUGGAUGUCAGAUGAUUUCAAACACAUAUUGAAAACAAACAUGUGCAUUGACCUCUAUGAAAGUUGGAGUAUGUAUUAGUUGUAUAUAUGAUGUAGGGUCAAAGGGACUUUGGAAAUCUGAGGUUAUCUAAAUGCACUCUUCAUAUGUAGUUUAAAGGAACCUUCUGAUGAGUUCAGUGGAAGCUGAAAGGGUAUCCAUAAGAUUCUCAUACAAUAAAGGAAGGGUGAGAUAUAAGGAAUCCUGGAUUUUCGAGACAAUGGGAACUAAGCGCUGAGCAUGUGUUUUAGUCAGACAAGGGAAAUAUCCUUGCAGAAUGUAGAAGAAAAUAGAGUAUCUUGGUGCUAUUCUCAACACUUUAAAGUUGCUCAUUGAGCAACCUUUUCUCUUUAGAAGAGAUCUUACUCUUUGAGAGCACUUCACCCUUGCAGAAUCUAGUUGCAAGAGAUGUGUGAGCUUUAAUUUUUCUGUCAGGCGCCUGCACUCAUAUUGUGCUUGCAGCCUUGAAGUCCUUUGGAAAGAUCUCCUAAGCUAAGUUUCAACUGAAUAUGUUACUAUUCUAUUAAUGCAUAUGCAUGUCUAUUCAUAUGCAAGCAUGCAUAAGCAUGUGUGUUUGUUGGGGGGUGUGCAAUGCAAUUUCGGUAUGUUUCUCAUAUAUAUGUCUCAACUGUGAAUGCUUAAUGUCACUCUUCUUGACAACAAUGACAACAACAGCUUUUGGCUCAAAUCAUUUUUGUGCACAUAUAUAUGAUGCAGGAUGCUUCCUUACAAGGUUAUCCAGUGUCUCCUAAGUCAGUUGUGCUGAUAACUGGGACAGCUGAAUACAACAUGGUUUCACUUAACAACACAUUGAAGGCAUGCCUUUGGGAGAUGGGGUCCCCGUUUCUUCCCUGUAAAACACGGAGCGGGCUUCUUGUAGCCAAGGCACACUCCCUCAGAAUGUGGUUGAAGGACUCCCCAUUCUGCUUGGACCUUGAGUUGAAAGAUGCUUCAUCUCUCCCUGAAUCGAACUCAAUGCAGCUUAUUGAGGGAUGUUUCAUAAGGCGGGGCCUUGCUCCAGCAUUUAAGGAGAUAACUGAGAAACUUGGAUUUGUGAGGCCAAAGAAAUUUGCAAAGUUGGCUUUACUAUCAGAUGACAUAAGAGAAAAGGUGAUUAAAGCUGAUAUAGAGGGUCGGAAAGAAAAGUCAAAAAAGAUUAAGAGUAAGGUGGGGCUUAGAGGAAAAACAAGGUUUAGCAGCUAAGAAAAAGAAAAUCCAUUCAGCAAGUCAUGUUGUCAAAGCCUGAGGAGAGUAAAUUAGACUGUCAAAUUCUGGAGUAGAAUUGCCAAAUAGAAACAUGGAUUAAUUGUGUUCAAUUUAUCCAGCAAUGCUCCUUUCAAAUCUCCUGUGCCUUGAAGCGUAUAGCAGCAAGCAAUUAUUGAAUCUGCCAGCAAUAAGCAAGAAAGUUUACCCUUUUCUGCCUAUGUCCAUGCAGCUAAUCGCAGAUUAAAGUAUGUAUCUCUUUGCUUUUCUCUAGAAGUGUGACACUGAAGUAUCUCGUUGCUUUUCUCUAGAAGUGUGACACUGAAUUAUGUUGAGCAUUUGUAGUUAUAUUAUACUUUUUCCCCGAGGGUAUUUUGGAAGAAAAAAAAUCACUUAUAUUAUCUUUUUUUUUUUUUUAGCUUACUAACACAGAAACUCAACAGUGACAUUGUUUAGUUCAACAGAUUCAAAGUAGAGACUUUUAUUUCAUUACAACAUGAAUACUAAACAAAAAUUCACCCUUUAUUUAGUUAUAUGAAGUGUAACUUUUCCAUGUAUGUAUUGUGUUGGUAUAAAAACCAUUCCCUUGAUAAAAUGGAAGAUAGAUGUCACAUGGACAGAGGUCCACUAGGUUUUUUCUUUUUGGUUUUUAAUCGUCUUCACCUUACUGUUCCUGUUUUUUAAUCGUUAUUGCAGAUUGGUUUCUUAAACUCGAAGGAACUGAGAGUAUCCGAGAUGUCCAAGUUGAGAAAUAUGUUGGACAGUCUACUGGCAGCUGAUUCAUUCCUCGUGCAAACUGAAAUCAUCAGAAAUCUGGAAUUGCCCAGGUUUAUUUAACAGUUUUUCCAUUGGAUGGCUUCCAAGGUUGCAGAACUUGAACAAGUUGAUUGUAGAAGGAUUGAAAAAGUGGAGGCACAUUCCCAAUUAUUUCAAGUUCUUCAGCUGUAUGAAAUGCAAAAUUACAUUUUCUUCCAGUUUAGUUGUAGUACUAAUCAGUUUAUAUACAAAUGUAAACAAGUAAAACUACUGAUUUUUCUUAGAAACACAAACUAUUGUUUAUUUGGAUUUGAUCCCAUUCAUAAAUCAUGAUAAAGAAAAAAGAAAAUAAAAUAAGUUGCUUGGAUAAGAUUCAAAAGAACUCUUUGAAAACCUUUAAUAUCAUGUUUAAUGUAUAUAUAUAUCAUUUUUUAUAUAAUGUGUCGUCCUAGGCAUGGGCAGCUCCCCCGGUGUGACGGGCGUUGCAAUAUGGUUAAUCGCGAUUACUAGAAUUUUAUAUUGUAUCUAUGAGAUCCAAUAUAGAAGCCUUGCGUGUUUUCUUUCAACAAAUCAGAAAAAAAAUAAAAGUUUUAUAGAAUUUAACGUCUAACUAAACCAAAUUCUUUCAUCAUUUAAAAAUAAUUUUAUAUUUUAAAUUAAUAUAUACUAAACAAAAGUAAAUUUCAAAUGUAUGAAAAAUAGUUGCCCGGGCAAAUUUCCAAACAAACCACUUAGGCCCUGCUUAAAACACAUGUAGAGGCCCAAGAUAAAGUAGAAACCAUUCCGUUAGAGUAGCCUAGUAAGAUCCAGGUCCGAAUAAGCCAAUGCAACCCGACCCGAAAGGAACCAAUAAUCUAGGGUUUUGUUUUCUGGUUCACCCAAAUUGAUAAAAAUUUCUGUAGUUGAGAAAAUUUAAAUCCAACGCUCCUCGUUAUCACAUAAUAACAGUCAAAUCAUCAAUUUUUUAAAACAGCGAUUUUAGAUCAGUUUGGAUUAAUUUAGACGAUUUGAUAAACAUCACAAGGUGAGAUAAAAAUGAAUAGCAAAAAAAUCAACGAAUAACUAUCUCUAUCUACAAACCUGAUAUAAAUAACAUUUUGUUCUUUUCAACAAUAACAGCAAACCUGUAAAAUUAUAAUUAUAUUAUUAUAUUAUAAUCAUAAAUAUUAAAUUUUUAGUUGAUUCAUAUUUGAAUUGAUAUAUCCAAAUAUAUUUAUAUGCAUGUAUAUUUUAAAAUAUGUGUAUAUUUAAAUUGAAAUGAAAUUGGUUAAAGUUUAGAUUCUAAUGUUUAACGUUUGAGGUUUGAGAUUUUUCAAUUGAUUUACAAAUAAAAAUUUUAAUUGCAUAAAUUAGGGUUAUAAAAUUUAAUCGUAUUAUAACUAAAAAAUUGACUAUUAAAAAUAAUCUGUCAAGAUAUAAAAUUAGCAAAAUAAGUACAAAAUAUACAUAAAUAUUUAUUAUUUUAUGUCUUUAUAUUAUUUAAUCAAUUUAGGGGACAAAGACUUUGGCUUUUAAUUUCAAUCUAAACAAUAAAAUUUUUUCAAAAUAAAAUAAUUAUGGUUAUUUUAUUAGAAGAAUUAUUUUUUUUAUUAAAAAUAGAAUAAUUUGUCAUUUGAUCCAAUACAAAACUAAAAUUAAAAUAGGGAUUUUUUUUAAUAUUUUUUUUCUUUGAUAUAAAGUGAGAGAAGGCUUUAAGUCUUCGAUACCUCAGCUGUGGGACCACCUCCGCAGACUACGCCAAUGGCGGCAGCCACAGCUCCUUACUCGGCUGCUCACGCGUCCAAUCCCUCGCUCGCGCGAAGAGCAGCGCAUACUGGAUUUUCUACAGUGUAGUAUCAUGCGUAAGUUCAUAUAGAUUUAUCACUUAUAAUCCUUCUUCUAUAUGGAAAUCCAAGUAACAUCAGGUUUGGAUUCCAAGUAGAGUAAGGAAAGAUGAGUGUGUCUAUAAAAUAACAUUCUAUAUUCAAUUGAACCACAUGUUUUCUGCCGCCGCCAUGAAUCCCAUCAUCCCUGUUUGGCGAUACAAUUUCUUUGACGAACUGAAAUGUAUCGACUCCCUUCUUCAUUUCCAUAGAGUUGUUUCUGUGGACACUGAAUUUCCAGGCUUUCUCAUCGAUACUCCAAGACAUGCCAAUGAGUUUCUAACCUACUCUAAUUUGAAGAAUAAUGUGGACGCAACAACACUUAUUCAAUUGGGCCUCACCUUAUCUGACGAGAACGGCAAUAUCGCCGGUUGCUGGGAAUUCAACUUCUCUUUUGAUGCUCAAACAGAGGUAUGUACGGAUGAUGCUUUGGAAUUUCUGAAAGACCAUGGUAUUGAUUUCGACAAGUUGAAGAACGAGGGAAUCGAUAUUCGUUUCUUUUCUGAUGCUUUUGGUCAUCUUUUAGCCAAACAUAGAAAUUUGAAAUGGAUUACUUUCCAUGGAUUGUAUGAUAUGGCUCACAUGCUUACAAUGGUUACCAAAAACUCACUGCCUCAUUCUUCUCUUGAGUUUACUGAGUUGAUUGCAAAUGUGUUUGGUGGCUAUGUUUUUGAUAUCAAGUAUAUUGCGACAUUCUGCGAUGGUUUAUGCAAAGGCGAGUUGGGAUUAGAGAAGUUAGCAAAGAUACUUAGAGUUAAACGAGUUGGUGGCGCUCAUCAAGCAGGAUCUGAUAGUUUAUUAAGUGCAACAGUAUUUUCUAAGUUGAAGACAGUUUAUGGAAUUGAUGAAUCGAGACAUGUGGGGUUAUUGUAUGGCAUUGGCAACCAAAUUCGCAAAUCAGUACGUCCAAGAGUGGUGUAUCCUUCAUUUACGCGCUACUGUCGGCCGAAGAUUUAUCCCAUGUUGGUUCCUCCACCGUUUUUUCAUGCUUUUGUUUUGCACCCUAUUUGUCGAAUGUGAUGUUUUCAUAAACACACAAUAUGUUAUCAAGUUAGUCAAUAGGUAAACUUUGUGCUUAAUGCAUAUUGGGUAAAGUGUAAACUUAGUAAAAUUCAGCUGUUAAGCUUUUCAUGAGAAAAGAAAGAGAGAAGUUUCCAAUAAAAAUUCAUUCCAUUUCUUAUUUUUCCUUCCACAUGAUAUGGAUGAAUAACCAUUACAGUAUAUAGUUUUAUCUGCUUGAUAUGUGCGUUUUUCUUUCUUCCUUAUCAUUGUCUCUGCAGCUAAUUAAUGGAUUUCUUGUAAGUGUUUUGAUAUGAAACUGAGAGAAGGCUUUUAGUCUUCAAUAUCUCAGUUUGUGACCACCUCUGCAAACUAAGCCAAUGGCGGCAGCCACUGCUUCUUACUCACCUGCUAACGCGUCCAAUCUUCUUACACACCACUGUUUUAUGAACUUUAUUCUUAAAAGAAGAUUUUUUGUGUUAAAACAUUCCUUGUAUGUGGUGGUGGAUUUAAUGUUAGCUGUUUCAUGUGCAUCAUUUCAAUUAUCAGUUUUUUGCAGUUUUAUUUUUACUUUAUUGGAUAUAAAUAUUUGAUAAAGUAAUUCUAAUCUAGAUUCUAAUUAGGCAUGGAACUGUUUUUUUUCCUUCUAGAGAAUGUUUAGUUUUACCUUAAUGAGCUCUUGGAAUACUGUUAUCCAUUAGCUGGUUUUCUGUUAAAAAUGGUCAGGUUUAGGGAAAAGAGGGAAAAUUUUCCUUUUGUUCAUUUGACACUAAUUAGUUGCUUGAUCUGAGAUUUUGUUUAUCAUUUGGAUUAUUUGAAAAUUUUCCUUUUGUUCACUUUUCCUUACAAUUCAACUUAAUUUGGCCUUCUUUGAUGUGGUCUGUUGUGCAGGCAGGGUGGAAACUUUGGCCAUUUGCACAUCUUGUUACAUAUGCUGUGAUACCAGUAGAACAAAGGCUUCUUUGGGUGGACUGUGUAGAACUCAUUUGGGUUACAAUACUCUGAGUAAAGGGCCAUUGUAAGAUGUAAGAUGGAAAGCAUAAACAACACAGUUUAAUUAAAUUUCUUUUGGGUUUAUCAAAUUUCUCUCAUUAGUUUACUUUUAUACUCUGCACUUAGGUGGAGAAGAAAUGUUAUUAGUCUGCAGAUCAACAAGUUGAAGCAGUGAAGAAAUGUUAUUAGUCUGAAGAAAUAUUUUUUUAAAAAAAUAUUUUUUAUUUGGAUUUGAUCCCAGAAAAAGGAAACAAAUAAGUUGCUUGGAUAAUAUUCAAAAGAACUCUUUCAAAAUCUUUAAUAUCAUGUUUAAUAUAUAUUAAUUUCAUUUUUAAUAUAAUGUGUCAUUUCCUGGGCAUGGUCAGCUCCCAUGUUGUGACCGGCGUUCUGUACAAAGCUCAGGAACGAAUUCACAGCCGUACGGUUAAUCGGAGAUUACCAGUAAUUUAUGUUUUUCGGCCAUAUAAUAUAGGAUGAAUAUUGAGAGAUAUGAAAAAUUAUUUUCAAACUGUAUAUAUGACUUUUAUCGAAUGCAACUCUAAACAAAAUUAAUGUAACUAAUCAGAAAAAAAAAUUAAAAUUUAUAGAAUUAACGUGGAACUAAACCAAAUUCUUGUAUCAUUUAAAAGUAAUUUUAUACUUUAACAAAUGAAAAUUUCAAAUGUUAAAAAAUAGGGGCAUGGCAAAUUUCCAAUCAAACUACUUAGGCCCUGCUUACAGGCCACAUAGAGGCCCAAGAUAAAGUAGAAACCAUUGGGUUAGAGUAGCCUAGUAAGAUCCAGGUCCGAUUAAGCCAGUCCGACCCGACCCAAAAGAACCAAUAAUCUAGGGUUUUGUUUUGCGGUUCUUUUAAAUCUCUGUACAAAGCUACAAAGCGAACUCUAUCGCAAGCCGCUUCCAGCUGAACGAGGGAGAGAAGUUCCUUGACUGUAAGUUUUCCUCACUUUCUUCUCCUUCUCUUUGCUUAUUAACCGAAAAAAAAUGUCGAAUCCAAAGAAAAGAAAACGAAAACGAAAGAAAAAAUUGUUUUAGUCGUCUUGUAGGUAUUAGGAGUUAUGCAGUCGAUUUCUAGGGUUUAACCUUUGUUUGUUUGUUUGUUGGAAAUAGUGAUGCUCUAAGAUCAGAGGUUCUGUUCAUUAGUUUUUUUCUUACAUAUUUCAAUUGACUGAAAUUGAUGACUCAUGGCUUUGCAACCAUCAACAGAAUAUGCAUAGAUAAAUAAUAAUCUUCGGAUUAUAACUCAGGUUUAAUGUUUGUCAUUUCUGGAAAUAAAUUUAUUUAGCUUGUCAUUUUUUAUGUAGGUUCUUUUUCCAGGUGAGUGAUGAAGCAUAACAAUGUUGUGCCUAAUGGGCACUUUAAAAAGCACUGGCAGAACUAUGUCAAGACAUGGUUUAACCAACCUGCUCGCAAGACUAGGAGACGAGUUGGUGGGUAGCUUUCUUUUUUUGUGUUUCUUUGUGAUAUUUAGAGUUAGGAUCUACUUUUAGUUUACAUUUCAUAUGUACAUUUGUAUGACAAUCAGACCAAUUGAAACUGAGAUUAAUGUUUGGUUGGCAUGAUCUUGGCUGACUCUUUAUGUGUGAUUUGUGAAACGGUUAUCAGCUCGCCAACAGAAAGCUGUGAAGAUCUUUCCUCGACCAACCGCUGGGCCUCUUCGUCCGAUUGUCCAUGGACAGACUUUGAAGUAUAAUAUGAAAGUGAGGGCUGGUAGAGGAUUCACCCUUGAAGAACUUAAGGUACGAUGGUUCUCUUUGUCAAAUAUCUUAAUUAUAAACAUUGUGUCAUGGCUUUAGUAAUUGGUUGACCUGCAUGAAACAUUAAAUUUAAGAUGUCAGCUUUAGGCAGAAUUGUAUAAUCGACUUUUCUAAUAUUUUUAUGGUUUGAAUUACAAGUAGCUAAAAAGUGGAUAUUUUUGAAUGCAUGUUUUUAUUUGCAUUUUUCUGGUAUUAGUUUAAGCACGAAUCUCAAUUUACUCCGUUAAACUGUUGUAAUUGAUACAAGUCUAUUUAUCUGUUCACUUGAUUUUUGUUGCUAGUACUUAUCGCCAUAUUACAUCCUUUUCACCUAUCAGGCUGCUGGUAUUCCAAAGAAACUAGCCCCUACAAUUGGAAUAGCUGUUGACCAUCGGAGAAAGAACCGUUCAUUGGAGGGCCUACAAACCAAUAUUCAGAGGCUGAAGACCUACAAGGCCAAAUUGGUUGUCUUCCCGAGACGUGCUCGCAAGUUCAAGGUAACUUUAAUCAGCUGAUGUUCAGUUGUUAGGUACACAUAUCUGCAUGCUCGAAAUCUCAAAAAUAAUAAUGUUGUCUUAGGCUGGGGAUUCUGCUCCUGAGGAGUUGGCAACAGCAACCCAAGUACAAGGACAAUACAUGCCUAUUGUGCGUGAGAAACCAUCCGUGGAUCUUGUUAAGGUCACGGAGGAGAUGAAAUCUUUCAAGGCAUAUGACAAGCUGCGUGUGGAGCGGAUGAAUGAGAGACACAUUGGUGCUAGAUUGAAGAAGGCAGCAGAGGCUGAGAAAGAAGACAAGAAGUAGGAGUUUUGACCUAUUCAAUCAGAAUCUGAAAGUGUUGAUGUUGGACUGCUUAUUUUGCAAGUUCUGCUUGAUUUUAUUCCCUGGAAUUGUCUCAAUCCAUUUUGAAUGUUGUUUGAGUAUUUGAUGUUACAUAUAAUGGUUAGACUUUUCUCCAAUUUUGUUUUGGGAUCGCUUGUUGAAUCAAGUAGAUUUUUGGCACUGCUUAGCUUCCUGAUGGCAACAGUUAAACUAAUACAAUCGUUAUUUAUUAUCUAGAUAUAAAUUGUCAAUAUUUCUAUUUUUAGGAGCCGUUGAUUUUCAGAUAUAAAUUAUGUAUAUCAUGUUAAUUUUACCUAACCAAUGAAAGGAAUUAAAAAAGGAAGGUUUGCAAGAGUAUAGUUCUCAUUAUUUUCUUUGAACCCUAUUUUGAUUUAUAUAAUUUUUGUUUUGACACAAUUUUCACACAUUGAAAUUAGGUUUACUACAAGGAUAAUUUUAAGAGCGCACUGCCUCGUAUCGGUUUGGUACGUUUAGAACUCACCACCUUGCCAGUCGGACUAAGUCUUCUUUUUGUAAAAGAGUUGAAACAAUAUGAUAGUAGAAAACUAUUUUUCCUUAUUUGAAAAAAGGAAAAACCAAGUGAUUCUCAAGGAAAAUUCAAUUUUUGUUUCUUAUUUUAAUUUGCUAAAAAACUAACGAAGUGAUUUUGUGAGAAUGAUUAAAAAAUUUUGACUCGGGUUUCGCUUUUGAUGUUCAGUUUGAAAACUCUUGGAGUCUUAUCUAAUUUAUAUAUAUAUAUAUAUAAUUAUACAUACAAUAUUUGUUUUAGACUUGUUCAAGCUGGUGUUUAACAAACUGAUUUUUGUAGUUUUGUAAGCAAAUUCCAGGUAGCGUUUAACAAACUGAUUUUUGGAUGAUAUGCAAUUUUUUUUUUCCUGUGUGUUUCUAUUCGCAUCGAAGAAGUUUACUGGACGUUUGCUUGAACAAAAGUUUAAUAUAUGUAUAUAUAAAUUGAUUAAUUUUAUUAAAAAUAAUAAUAUAAAUUAAAAUUGAUUGAAAUUAGUAAAAUUUGUUAAAAUUUAAAAAUAUUAUAAUAAAUAAAUUUUAGUACAGUAGUUGAAUAUCUUUAAUAUUAUAAUUUGCUCCAGGCAAGGCAGAUGCGUCAACCGUGGAACCUAGGCCAAGUAGGAUAUACUACAUAAAGAAAGACCCAAUGUAGACUUAAUUUUGCAAGUUAUGCCUAUAAAUUAUACUUAUCCCUGCAAGCACUAGCAUCAUCGUCAUCAUCGGAAAAAAUAAAUCGAUCGAUUUAAAAAUGGAUUCGUUGCCAUUGACGACCGAACAGAGGCUUGUACACAGCCACAUUUUAUCUAAAGCCCACGGAAGCGGAACCUUCACCUGCAGUGGUUGCAAUUUUACAGGAAGCGGCACAAGAUACAAGUGUAGCAGAGGAUGCGCAGCAGUUUCUCUCCAUCCAAAGUGUGCUCUAGGUCCCACUCCGAUCGAAUCCUACAAACACCCGAGAGGCUCAAAUCAUCAGCUUAAGCUUUUCAUGCACCGUCCAAACUCGUUACAGUUCCGUAUCGGCGGGGUCCCGUCACCGUCCUGCACUGUCUGCUCCCAAACGAUUCACGGACUCUACUACAAGUGCGUUGCACAUUCAUUUUCAUGUCAAUUUUUAGCGCAUCCACUUUGCGUUCCGCGGUGGCCUGAAUACGCCGGCCACCCAGAACAUCCAUCAUGCAGGUUAAAGCUGAAGAAGAUGCAGCUUAGUACACGGUGUUUUGCUUGAGGCGGCUUAUGUACUAGUUGGAGAUAUAGGUGUGACUCAUGCGGAGUGGAUGUACACCGCCACUGUACUUUAAGGCCAGCACCUCGUUUGGAUCCAUAUCCACCCCCUCAGUCUCAACAGCCAAGGCCAAUCAGACGCCGAGCUUGAUUAAAAUGUAAGACCUCCACAACUCUAAUCAGCAGAAUUUCAUUAAUGUCCUAUAUAUCCAAGUAAUAUCAUUGUUUGGGUGUUUAUGCAUGCAGGUGAAGAGUCUAAAUUGCAUUAUUUGAAGAGUUAUAUAUAUAUAUAUAUAUAUAUGUAUAUAUCUUAAUUUGUUGUAUGUUUUCAUUAUCAAUAAAAUUUUGUUCAUGUUAAUUCCUUUAAACUAGAAUAAGAACAAGAAGAAGAAGAAGAAUUGUAUUUGUAUGUUUGUUCCUUUCCAAUUUCAUCUGUCAGCCUUCAUGUUUCUUUGUAUGCUUUCUACAAAUUUGAAAGAAUAUGGUUGAUAAUAUAUAUAUAUAUAUAUAUAUAUAUAUAUAUAUAUAUAUAUAUAUAUUUCUGUCAGUUUAAAUACUAUAAAUUUUCAAGUUCGUUGGACUUGAAUUUAUAUUUCUCAAAUUAAAGAAUUAUUUUAUGUUUUGAAGAUAUAGUUUAAAAUUUUGUAAGAGUUAAAUAUUUCAUUAUUUCAUUCCAAUUAUUAUCAUAAUAUUUAAAUUCCGCCCCAAUGGUUCAAUUAUUUGAACUUGCGUCUCAAUCAACCUCAAGUUAAAUUUAAAUAGUGAGAAAACUAUUAUUUUAUUUCUUUAAUUUGUCAAAAUAUACUGGCCUUUUUUUCCCAUUUUUGAAAUUAAAUUAAAAUUUUCAUAAUGUCUUAUGCUGCCCUUCUGUCAAUUUUUUAUAUUAUUUUUUCUGUGGGUAUAAAGUAUCAUUUUAUGAUACCUAAUCUUAAAUUUAUCACUUGAAAUUAUUAUCAACUUAUGUUUUUUGUAUAGGUCAAUAAUACCGACUUAUGUUUUACUAUCAAGCUUCACUAAUUUGAUUUUUACACCCUCCACCUGGCAGUGCUUAAGAACAAAGAUAAAAAUAAAAGUAGGAGGGUGAAAACUGAAGGAUGAAAAUUUGAAAGGAAAAGAGAGAGAAAAAGGGGCAAUUUGGGGACUAAAGUGAACUUUUGAUGAUAAUGCGGUAAUGGAAUGCUAACCGAGACCUGAAAAAGGAAAGUAAAUCAUUUUGUUCAAUAAUUGAUACGAGUUGCCCAGGACGAAGAAGAAGAUGCGGCCAGUUACUGCCUCACUGCUUCAACUUCAAUGGAGUACUUGUAGUUAUACCCAGCUGCUUUCUAGCUCUAAAAACCUCAAGAAUACAAAUUUCACUGCCUCAUUCUGCUCUAAUUUUAGUACUAUUGUAGUUCGUAAUAAUGGCGGAAUUGGAAACCAGCUUCAUUUACGAUUACCCAAAUCGACUCUUUUUCUCAAUUGCUCUCUCAAUCAAGGAGCUACAGGAGAAAAUUUACCUGAAGACCAGCAAUCACAUUCACAGGUGCAUUUUUCUUUUCUUUUUUUUUUUUUUUUCUCUUAAUUUCUCUGUUUAUAUAUUAUAAUCUUAAACUCUGUUUAUUUAUUGUAUGCUUAUUUGAAUAUAUGCUAUUUGGAUAGAGUGAGCAAAGCCAAGGAUUUUGGAGCAAACGGAAGGUAAAAAUAAACUUUUGCUCUAUAUUAAUUCAGAAAAAUUUGCUGAUUGGUUUGUUGAAAAAUGGGGGAUUUAACUGGAAUUUAGAUUCUGAAUGCAUAAGGUUUAAUGAACUUUCUUGAAGUUUUCUUUUUUUUUUUUUUUAAAAUUGUUGGAGAAAAAAAAUUAACAAAAAGGACCAUUUAGAGAUAUAAGCUCGUGUUUUGCAUUUAUUUCAGGCUAAUUCUACGGAAAUGAGUUCAAAACUUGCAAAGCUUGGACUUGCAGCUGUACUUGGUUAUGGAUUGUUUGAUGCCAUUACUUAUACUACUUUCUUCGUUCUUGCAUUCCUUGGCUAUGAAAAGAGUACAGGGAAGAACCCUGCUGCCAAUCUUCAAGCACUUUUAGGGGUAAGAUUUGUUUUAAUCUUCAGUUUUCUGCUUAAUUUCAUUAUUUUGAUAAGAAAACGGUUAUUACUUUAUUAUUUUCAUUGUUUAAUUUUUCUUUUCUCAAGGUUUGAUUCAUAAUGCUGAAUAAGAAAAAAUCUAUGGUUCUGUUCUGUAUCUAUUUUCUUGGGACCUUCAUUCCUUAGGGUUUGUUAAGCGGCAUUACUUUGCAUUUCUUAGAUUCUUUAUAUUUGGCAAUGGGUUUGGCUUUACUCGUUACAAUUCUGAAAAUGUGGACUCAGUUUUGAUUUGCCUGGUCACUAUCAAAUCAUGGAUAGUAACUUCAGAAGGGGGGAGAUAAAGAAGAGAGGUGUUCAUGUAUACCAAAUAUCAAAUAAUUAUUAUGUUUAUAAGAAAAUAGCCUAUUCAAAUGCACAGGAUUAACAUUUUGCUGCGUAGGGCAUGGUAGCUUAGGUUCAUUUCUGUACUUAAGUUAAGAAAUGUAAGGAUGACAUGGUAAGAUUGGCCCGCUGAUUUCUCAUUUGCUGUUGUACUUUUUGUGUCUUCUUCAUGCUUUCUAAGCCAUCUGUUGUAGUAUGUUUUCACAGAAAAGACUUAGAUAUGCGCGGUAUAUGCACGAACCUUACACACCAAACCAAUUAAAAAAGAAUAAAACAGUAACAAUUAUGUAGGUAGGUUUUAUCUCGUUUUCACGGUUCUUUUGUUUGAGAUUUUGCUAACAAUAUCUUGUUGGAAAUUUCAGAUUGUCAUCUUAAUGUGGACUGGGAACAACGUCACAAGGCCGUUCCGAGUAGCUGGAGCUGCUGCUUUAGCACCAAUUAUUGACAGAGGACUAAAGAAGAUCCAAAACUAUUUCAAGUUCCCAAACCUUGUUUAUGCGUUUGCACUCAUUGUUUCUAUAGUAGCUGCAUUAUGUUUAACAAUUGCUGGCUUGCUAAUCCUUUCUAGAUGGGGAAGAUGAAACACAAGAAAAGGAGAAAAUAGAUUGAGCUGUUACCUCUGGUUUUGGAAUUUUUGCCUAAAACUAGCACAAUAAAGCAGGAUAAUGUUUCUUUCAAUUUGCCACUUUUAAGCUGCCUCCAACCUAAAUGUCCUAGUGUGUUUAUCUUUAAUUGGACAAGUUAGGAACCACUCCUUUAACCGUACAAUUUCAUUAUUCCUCCACACUUUUGCAAAAGAGAACUGCAGCUGCCACUCCAAUAUUUUCAUAUCACCAUUAUGAAUCAACAAUCAACUAUCAUAUUAUUCACAAAUGAGUGACAAAAUUUUGGGCAGUCCUUGUACUAUCCAUAAUAUUUAACGUUAAGAAUUAUCAACCCAUUCAAGCUAUGUAAGUUUGAGCUUCAACAUAAAUAUAUAAUCAAUAAUAUCCUUUCUAAAAGGAUAAUGUACAAGCUUGUACAUUUAUAUCUUAAUCGGAAGAGUCUAUUUCUAUAGUAGGAAUCCUGCCAAACUGAGACAAGUAGAAGAAAUUCGACAUCUUUUUUCUAUUUGAAAUUGGCGAUCGCUUCUUCCUGCCCAAGAAUCCUUUCCCAUUAAGUGAAUCAAAUAAAGCUCCCAUGUCCAUUUCCUUCUUCAUAUUAUUUUCUUCCUCAAAGCUGUAAUAUCAUCCAAGGAAAGAUGUUAGGAUUAAUAUUCCCCCGCUGAAGAAAUGGGGGCAUGGGUGGAAGACAUCUGGAAAAUGAUAGCAUGAAAAAAAUGCCGCAUAUAUAAGCAAUAAGCGUCAUGCAAUGCAUUACUAUUAAUUUAUUUGUAACUGCUGUUCAAAUCCCUAAGUUAAAGCCAAAAUGAAGGACCAAGAAGACAGACUAAUGAAUCACAGCCCUUUAUCCAAUCUCGGUUUUUAAAGACGAAAUAUGCAAGAAAACAAUAUAUGUAUGUGACCUAGAAGAAGUUGGUCAAUAAAAUGCUUGAUAGACUCUCGAGACACUGGCAAUUAACAAAAGAGAGGGAAAGAUACCAUACCGCUCACGAAUAAUUUUGAAAGCUUCUUUUGUUGCAUAAGGUAGCCCCGUCUUCGGAUCACGAUACCUACAACAUCCAUAAUUUACCACAAUGGUUACACAUUAAGCAUUCUUGUAGCAUUGCAGGUAUAACUAUCAACCACCAAAGUGCAUGACCAAAGUUUGCAAUGCAUGUCACUGCCUACAAGAUGAUAAAAGUUAUAUCAGGUUAUAUAUAUAUAUAUUUGCUUCCAUACCCUCAUUGAUGCUCCAUUCGACCUAAGGCCAUUACAAGCUACUUAUGAAUGGUGAUGUCAUCACAAGUAUUCAACUAUCAAGAUAAGGUUAAUUUUCUAGAAUGUUCAAUAAUAGACCAGAAGAAAAUCUAAUAAUUAACAUUAUCAACUCCAGAAAUAAGUUUAUUUAUGUAUUGGAUUGAUUGGCAUUCACAAGAACCAAACUCGAGAGAUGCACUAACUAAAGACCAUGUUCUUGCAAAUGCACAUGCCAGCUUAAGCUGAUACUUAAAACAAAAAAUAACUAACCAAUGAACCUUACUUGGCAGGCAAUCCUGUUACAGCACAUACAGCCUUCUCUGGAUCUGUAAAGAAAUAAUAAGAAAAAUUAAUAUCAUGGAACAAGAGCAUAAAAUUCCCUGCAUCAAAAGGGCAUAUGCAAUACAAACUCCAAAACCAACUAUAAAUUAUUCUUCUUUUAGCAUACUUCAGCAUGUUUGAAACUAGAGGCUUAAGCUUCUGAACAGAAGACACAAAGCAGAGGCAUGAAUCUAAAUUCCACGGAAUCUUCAUCAUUGCCGUAAAUGAAGAGGAGCCUAGAAAGGGUAUAGCAUUGAAAGAAUGCUAUCAAACUCCUCUUUGGCACUUUGAUCACAGUAAACAGCUCAGUUCAACUGCCAAGCUCAAACCUUAUGAUCUUAGUAAAAUAUCGCUAAAAUCCAAUUCAAAAUAUAGCAGAACUACUUACAUUUAUUUUGACAUAAAAUCAAAAUUUAGCUUACAUGGAACAGAUGCUGUUGAAAUUCCCGACUGAAAUGAUACACCUCUGAAUUCUAGAUAUGAACAACCUGCAAGAAAAUUAAGGAUUAACAUAAGAUAGUUCCAAUAACAAUCAACACUGAGACAUCAAUAGUUGCGAAUUUAUUUUAAUUGGCUGAACGAAUGACUUGUAUCAUUAACAAACACUGGCUUACCAUCUUUAGAAAAAUAUCGUAUCUGUGGGCCGCUGUAUACAGCUUUGUGCACAAUUGCUCUUUUCUUAACUUCUUCUUCUCGUGCCAAAACACGCUCUAAGUUUCUCAAAUUCAUGAUUUCUGCAGAAUUAUCACACACAAUAUUUACCCUGACAUCAAGUAUUAUAUGAGCAAUUGCAUCAUGACAAAAAAAAAAAAAAAAAAAAAAAAAAAAAAAAAAAAAAAAAAAAAGGAAAAAAAAGAGCAAUUGCAUCAUGACAAAAAAAAAAAAAAAAAAAAAAAAAAAAAAAAAAAAAAAAAAAAGAAAAAAGAAAAAAAGGAAGAACAAAAUAUUUCAAUCAACAUAUCAGGGCCGAAACCUGUUUGAGCUGCUUCAAGAAGCAUUUCCUCCUGUGUCAUCUUCUUCUCUUCACCUUCUUUUUUCCUUUUGAUUGGCUGUUAAAAGUAUCAAAUGAAAUUUUGCUCAAGUUACACAAAUCAAUACAGGCUCUACUACAGUGACAAGAAGAUGCUACCUUCUUUCUAUGGCUUUCUACUAGAGACAGUUUCUUUAUGAUCCCUGACAGUUCUAAAAUUGAACAACUGAUAUGCAGUUGAAAAUGUUUAGAAUCUUUAACAUUAGCAAAUCUGAUUACGUAUGAUUACUCCUUUCUAUUCAUAUAUUUGAUAUAUUUGAAUGAUCUGAAUAAAAAAAUUUUCCAACACCACAAUUAUCUGCCUACAUCCUUCUCUUCUUCCUUUUUUCCCUGACCUGGAAUGUAAUUCAGAUAAAAAGAGUAAUUGAUUCAACUAUGAGUUAACAGAAGAUGCAAUUGAACUUCAAUAUGCCCUACUGUUUAAUGUUUAUUAAAUGUAUUAUGCUCCAACAAUUCUUCAGCUCCAAGACAAAGUAGUGUGUUGUUCAAGCUUGUUCGAACACGAUCCAUUUAAUUGAUCCAGUGCCAAAAUAGGCUGGAUACAAACUCAAACCCUCCACCAUUCGACAUAUAGCGAAUCAGUUGCAGUGCAGCCAACUAGAGAUAAAGAGCUCACAAAAUUUCAACAAGAUGGGCAAUGCAUUAGUGCAUGUUUGACAACUCUUUUUUUUUUCCAAGAAAAAAGCUCCUUCAUGCUGUAAAUAGAUGUUUGAGACUGUUUUCUAGCCAUUGAAAUUUUAUGACCAAAACAUGAGGAAUCCUUUAAAUUAUUUUUUUUUUUUUAAAUUCCCUUUAGCCAACAUAUUCAAGAUAAUGUUUUUUUUCUCAAUGACAGCUAAAACAGCAAUAUAAACAGACUUUACACAGGCGGUCCGCUUUCUAACCAAGAACUUACCUUCAUUGUUGCUUGCAGAGCUGCGCGAAUUGCAUCUCUCUCAGCUUGCCUAACAAUGACAGAUGUCCUUGUAGAUUUCCUCACUAUUCUCUCGCCCUCGACAUCAUCAGGGGUAUCCUGUUGCUCUGGGGCAGUAGACUCUUGUGCUGUUUUUUCAUCGUUGGAAGGCUCAUCCAAUUUUGAAAGGACUUUCUUUUUCUUUUUCUUCUUUGUUGAAGGCUUUCCGGGAAAUAUAAGUCGCUUCUUUUUCUCAGUCCUAAAAAUAAAGCCCAAUAAUUAGAAAAACAAAAUAAUGAAAAGAAAAGAAUAGUAGUAGACAUAAUCUGCUUCAGCUAACAGAUACUAAACCUUUCCUCAGCAACAUUUUCUGCUUCUUCAUCUGGCUCAGGCUCCUAGCACCAACAGAAGGUCGUAUUCAUGCUUACUAAAGUUGGAAAUAGUAAUCAAUUUAUUAAAAUGAAGAUUAUAAUCUAAGAUUGAGAGAUGGAAACAAAAUACAGAUACAAAUGGCAAGAAUACUCACAUCUUCAUCAAAGUCGCUAUCAAACUCAUCAGCAACCUCUGCCUCUUCUUCAUAAUUAACAUCAUUCUCUUCCUAUAAGAUAAAAACAAACACAAAGAAAGAAGGCAAUAAGCAUAAUCUUAUUUGCUAAUCUGAUUUAUUACUCUGAACGCAAUUGCAAGUAUUUAAUCAAGACCAUAUCAUUCUCUCAAGCAAAGGGACUUCAAAGAAAAAGCAAUGAAAGCACAAGCUUUAAGCAAGAAGCAACAAAAUUUUGUAUAUGGAACAUAUUGAAUUUUUAAAUUUUCACCAUAAAACCACACACAGUUCAUUAAAUAAAGAACCUCUUUAAGAGCAUCCUGGUUCCAGAACAAAUCGUCCUCUUCAAUUUCCUCAUCGAGCAACUUGUUCAUCCUGGAAGAAGAAGAAGAACAAACGCGUACCAAAAUUUUAUAUAUAUAUAUAUAUAUAUAUAUAUCCCAUUUAUUUGACUAAAUUAUCAUUUAUCUCACCUAAUAUUCUAAUAUCAACAAUUCUCAUCUAGGUGUUUCUCAUAUAGGUGUUUUGUAUGAAUAUCAUUGCCCAUCACGCCCCAUUUAAUAAGACGUGUACUGGCUACCCUCUCUCUUCUCAAACUAAAUUGUCAAGAAACCACAAAAUGGUUGUAACCAAAAUCGAAACCCUAAUUUGCCACUUAAAGAAAAAGAAGAUUUAGCAAAUAGUUUACGAAACUUACUCGCUACUCUUCUUAUUGGCGGUACAAUUGUUUGAGACCGACAGAAUCAGCAAGAAACCCUAAUUUUGAGGAGGAGAAAAGCAGAUUAGAAACUUUUGUAAAAGCGUUUGAGCAGAGGACGUGGAGGGAAAAGAAAACCAAAAAAAGACGAAGGCUGUACUUACAGUUACAGACCUAUUCCGUCGCUAAUUUCAAUUUCGUCACCUUUCUCGUUUGCUGAGGCAGUUUAGUAUCGUUGUUAUAUUUGAUUUUUAUUUUUUAUUUUUACAAUAUAUAUAUAUAUAUAUAUAUAUAUUUAUAUAUAUAUAUUUUUCAUCAUAUGUUUUGUAUGCAAAGUAUAUUCCAAUAGCAGUGCUACAAUUGGAGGGCUUUUUACAUAGUUGUUACGAAUAAUGCAUUGCUCAAUUUAUCUCUUGAAAUUAAAAGUAAUUUACAAUUUCUUCAAAAAAUAAUUAUUAUUAAAUUACCAAUCUAGCCUUACAUCAAAUAAUCAAAAAGUCAAUUUUUAUUAAAAAUAAAAUAAAAUAAUAGUUAUUGAGGUUUUUAAUUGACUAAAACUAUCUAAUUUAAAAACAAAAAAUGUUUAAUAUUUUUAAAUAAUAAGUUUGAUUAUUUAAAAUGCAACUAAAAGUGGACUUCUUGAUCCCAAUUUCGAGCUUUAACAACUUGAAAUCACUAGUCUUGUGAACUAAAAGCUGGCUAUCAGUGAAUCAGACACCUCUAAACAGAGAUUGGAAUCUAAAUAGUUAAAGAGGAUAUUCUAAAUUCAGAGUACAGAAAACUAUUGUCCAGUUAACACCUUAUAGCAGCAAGCAACCAACAAACAAGAAAAAAGUUGGCACACAAGUAAAGAAAUAAAGUAAUACAGCUUUCAUUGUGCUACAAGUAGCAAAGUAUCCUCUGUUUUCAUAAACUGCUAAGUAACAGUAGAAGCUCCUGUAAAUUAUAGGACUCCACUUGCUGGAAAAUAUUUUCCAGAUUGGAGAAUAUUUUCUUAGUCAAAUAAAAAUUUAAUUGUUUUAAUAAAAGAGAAAAAGGAGUAUUACCAACAAAGCGGUGAUUAAGGUGUUUCUCAUGAAGCGCAAUUAGCUGGAGCUGGGAGAGCAAAAUAAACUUUUACACUCUACGACGGGAUAAAUAGAGCUUAACAUGGGAAAUUUUUUUUCCUACACAAAGACCAAUAAGUAUUCACUUACUGCUAAUGUACACAUUGAUUCAAGAGGGGUAAGGAGAUUCCCAAGAAGGUAGUCAGUGUUAUUAUCUCAGUCAAGUUACUAUCCCCAAAAGAAGAUUAAAGAUUAGUAGUAAGAAAAGAUUAAUUAAACUUAAUCUCCUGAUUUAUGUCUUUGAGUAUUUGUUAAGCUUCUAAGUUACUACUUUCCAAGAUUAAUGGUGGGAUUAUAAUAUAAUAGUCUAGAAGAAGCCUUUUAAAUUAAGAAUUUGCAAGUUGCUAAUCCCUUUUCACAUGGUUUAAUUCCACUUGUAGAAUGUGUACAGAUUUGCAUAAUUAGUAACUAUAGGUCUAUAGCUAUAAAUUGUCCAUAGACAAAGCAUUCCGCUUAAGGAAUAAUCCCAUUUUGCCUUUUUCUUCUCUUCUCAUUAGUGAUUAGUUAAUCUUUCUGGAUUAUGUCUUGCUAAAAUUAUUCUUUUAUAUGAGUUUGAACUUAAUUUCCUUAUUUAGUAACUCUGUCAGCUUAUUGAUCUUUCCUAUACUUCUUUUUUGGCCAUUACUUUCUGUCUGUUCGUCAUAGGAAUUCUACCAUUUGCAUAUUCUACAGUUUUAGAUGUUCUUUUUUGGCAAUUAUUAAAACUUGAAUCGUGCAUGCAUAUUUAUGGAGGAAGUGCCAGGAGUACUGACCCAAGGAAGAGUCUUUUUCAAAACCAAGCAAAAAUUACAAACUUGCAAAGUGAGUAAUAUUAAAAAUAUGUAUAUAUGUAAUGAUUUCAAAUUUUAUUUCUUUAGAUUAGCAGCUUAAAUUAGUUAUUUACUAAUUAUCUGACCAGUAAAAUUUUAUUAGAAAGGGAAGUUUUCUGAGCAGAGAUGUUGGACAAGAGCAACUGAAAAAAUGCCAGCAUCAAAUAAAGAAUACCAUAAUGCAUCUCCUUGUUAUGAGUCACUGGAUAUUCCUCUGCAUGCUAUGCAGUUCCUUUGUCGCUCAUGGAGCCCCACUGCCUCGACCUUACUACGGACAUUCUCAUCAUCAAAUGUGAGAAAUGUAGACGUGCAUGCGUGCACACACAUAUUUAUAUAUGCUUCGAUAAUUUAGAUCUCUUUUAAUUAAUCCAUAGUUUUGUUUAUUCUGAUAUACAUACAAUGUGACACCAAAAGUAAUGGGGGAAAAUUCUGAUGCUUAUAAAAUUUUUUUCAAAACAUGCUUAUAAUUCUUUAUCCUUUGGCAGAACCAGAUAUUGGAUUUUCAAGUUAACCAUAGUUUAGAGAGGCAUGAAGAGAAGGUAGACCAAGAAAUUGAUGUUUUAAUGGAGGAGGAAGGAAUAGCGCAAGUAGAUGAUGCAAAAAGAGCUGCAACUCAAAGCAACAGAUAUAAGUUAUGGGUACUGAUCACCCACUUGCUCACUAACAGAUUUCUUUUAAGUUACAUUUAGUACUUUGAAAUUGAGAUUGGAAUAGGAUUUUGUACUUUUCAUAUGAUCAAGCAUAGUGAAGAGCUAUUUUACUUUUCUUUACCCUCUUUUUUUUUUUUUUUUUUUUACAGUAACUAACUUUUUCUUUGUUCUGGUGGAGUUGUCUCUACAGACAAGAAUUUUGGUUCAAAGAUCAGUUCCAUCAAUUCUGCAAAGCUGUAAAUUGCUUUACAUUGACAGGGUAAUUUUACGAAAACAUCUUUUAUGUACUUUAUAUCUAUCCUAUUUUUUUGUCUUACUAUAUUUUGUUCUUUUGCUAAACGAAAUUAAAGCGCAUUAAGGAGUGGUUAAGAGAAAAAUCAUUGACUGAUAUAUUGAAACGGAAGGAGAGAAAGAAGAAAGAGGAAGUUCGGCUUCUCACAGCGAAAAUACGGGCUGCACUUUCUGUGACACAAUUGGCUGCAGCAAUUGCAGGAUAUUCAGCCACCGGUUGUGCAGAAGUAUCCAAAGUUACGAGUACUAAUGAAGAAAUGAAAAUGGGUAAUGUGGUUGCCUAUGCCACAGCAUUGCUAGCAAGUGCCUGUGCUGAAGCUGCAGAAUCAAUAGGUGCAAAUAAAGCACAUGUUUCCUCUGCUGUUAAUUCUGGUCUAGCCACUCAAAGCCCUGCUGAUAUAAUCACUCUUACUGCCGCUGCUGCAACAAGUAAUGCUUAUCAUAUAUCUUUUCUAGUUGUUGAGAGAAAAUCAAAAUAAACUAUGUUGAAAAUGUCAAUUACAAGUCUUAGAAUUUGUUUUUAAAAUGAUUUUGACAGUUAAACAACACUAUGAUUCUUCUAUUGCAUGUGAUUUUCAGGUUUAAGAGGAGCUGAAACCCUCAACUCAAGGGCAACGACUAAAGAGGCAGUUAAAUUAGCUGCCAAAUUAUCAGUAAUCACUCCUUCUGGUAUAGCAGCUUCUAAAAUUUUUUCACUUGAUUUGUUUCUAUGCAUCGUUACAUAUGUAACUCACUAUCUUGUGCUUGCUUGCAGGACACAAAGUACUAAGGUUGGUUUCCAUUCACUUGAAGCAUAGACAACUAAUGUUAAGCCUUGAAAAGAAAUAUUUAGGAGUCUUGACAACCUCAAAGGAGUGUAAGACUAUAUAAUUUGCGUCCUGCAAUUGUAACUUGCAUGAACAUUUUCUUUCUUGAUGCUGACGGUUGCUUCUGUUUGUCCAACUUUUCUAGAUGCGAUACUUCAAGUGAUAAGAGAACAGCAAGGUCAAGGGCAUUUUCUGCUUGGCAUAAAAUGUAGCAAUGGAGAUGUCAAGCUGUUGUUUGAAGACAAAGAGCAGUCGCUUCUGUGGAAGUCUAUCAUUUCUAAAAACUUACAGAUCUUGGAACCAUCUUGGAACAUCAGCUAAAAGGAUGUUUAAAGGACAGAAAAAUAAAUAAAAUAUAACUUAAAAGCACCAAGGACAACAGAGUACAAAGAUAAAUCUUCAGAGUACUUCAUCAAAACAGAACAUACUAAUCACGGUAAAUUAUUCUCACCAUAUCAUUGCAACAUAAAACCACAAUGGAAGCUCAUUAAAGGAAAAAUUAUUCUGUUGUGAUUUUUAUGAACAAAAGUUUGUACAUUUCUAGAGCUUAUGAUAAUCUAGUUUCUCAACUGGGUGAAAGAAAUAUAGUAUACACACCGAAGUAAUUUUACUACUCCUAGAUGCGGAUUCAGAAGAUAGGACAGAUGAUAUGGAACUAACUACCAACAAAAAAGCUUAAGGCCUCAACAUCUCAUGCAUGGAACAGCCUCUUUUUUUUUUUUUUUUGGGUCCAGAUCUUUAUGCCAAUCUGCAUGCCACGCAGAGUCCACAUGAAGUGUAACAUCAGUUUGACUUGUUUAGCAUCUCUUAUUAUUUCUCCUCAAAUUCAACAUCAAUAAUAUCAGAAUUGGACUUUGAUGAUGAGGUGCCUCUACCUUUACCGCCCCUUGAAAAGAAGUCACCUUCCGGCUGCCACACAAUGUUACCACAGCCAGCACAACGAAUUACUUGGCUUUUGUAACCAACAAACUGCCUCUUACAUGCCGGGCAAUUCCCCUGCCAAAAUUCAAUACAAAAGCCAAUGAACCACUCUUGUUAUUUGCUUCACUAACAAUAGUUUGUCAAUAAUACAAAAUUCGAUGGAAGUUUAUACAUUAACAUAGCAGCUCAAGUGGACAUAGAUCACAGGAUAAGUUAUUACUAUAUUUAGAUUGCACAAAUAUUAGCAAAUGAAGAGUCCACCAAAAUAUGCCAUCUGAUCAAGCAGCAGGAAUUAACUGACUAUUUCCAGAAGAUAUUGCUAUCUUGAUGAUGGUGUCUAUGACUUUUUGAGGAAUUACAGAACUCAUGAUGGUCUAGAACAUUCAAUGUGCAACAUGAAGAAUAUGAAGAAAAAGAAAAAGGAAAAAAAAAAAAGGAAAAGAAUACUGUAAAUUAUUUAAUGAUCCAGGGUAUUAAUCAAACCAUGUCCAUUUUUAAAAAAUUAAAAUAUAUUAAAAUUCACUCUCCCCUAUAGUAAUGAAAUAUGUCCAGGAAAUUACUUACAAAUAUAUAUAUUAUCAAAUUUAUGACAUUAAACAUCAUCUUUUAUACGAAUGAAAGCAUUAAGCCAGACGAAUUCUUAAUCAUUAUUGUUUUGUCUCCAUGACUCCUUAGUUGUGGCCUAAAUAAGUACCUACCCUGACUUUGGAGCAGUGAGAAAGCACUUGACAAACAGCAGAGCCGCUCAUGAUGAAAACAUAUAGAAUAAGGAAAAUCAAGCAUUUUAACUAAUCAUGUAAAAGAAAUACAUGCAAAAUACAAAUAAACAGUUAUACCUUAAUUACGAGAUUAUUUGCCACAGCACCAAUGAGGAGAGGUGCAGCAAAUGGCAGAACCCAUGUAGCAAAUAUCAAGAACCGAAACAGCCACCCAGAUAACGCAAACCAUAGGAAGAAAAUAGUCUACAAAAAAUAAAGAAUAAAUUAAACAGUCUUAAACCGCAAUAAUAGUAUAAAAAACAGUAAUGAAAACCAGAAGGAAAAAAUAGUUAGCAAAUAAAUAAUCAUUGAACUGCAUAAAAAUUAAAUAAAAAACAGACUACCAGAAAACCACCACAAAUUGAUUAAGAAAACUCUGAUCUGGCUACUAUAGAUUUUCAUUUACUGACCUCAUUUGUAUUUUCAUUUGGAUUGUGAUAUACAAAAGAUACUAAGAUUUAUAUUCCCAAGAAAACUAGCUAAAGAAUGGAACACCUACAGGCUAUAGUUUUACAUUAUGAGACGCUAUAAGCCACCCAUUGAAGGAAUCUAAUGUUCCUUAAGCUUAGAGUGUCAGCCAUCAGUCAGAUUCAAUCAUUUAACUUUCUGCAUCCCAGUUACCUCUUUUCUAGCCAAAUUCAAAUACCACAGUUCAUGUAGGAUUUGCACAUGAUGAAUGCAUUAAUCACAUAUGUGAUAUCAGCCUGAUUCACUGGCUUUUCUUCCAAGAAUAUCACAGGGCUGUACUUCAUGUGUGAAGCAUGAUGCAUCUGUGAACAGGGAAAAAAAAAAAAAAAACUGCAUGUGGUUGUGAUUUGAUUUUGACUUAUGAGUUCAAUAUGUAAGGCCUUGAUUUUCUUGUCACUAAUCAUGCUUCUUAUCCAAUAUCUUUCAAGCUGUCUGUUCUCAGUGUUAUAAUUUCUUUAUCAUAUUGACAACACGUUUUUUGGGCCAGCUAACAAAUGAGUCAUGAGUUGGAGGACCAAAACAGGAGAAAAUAGGAGAAAAUUUAUUAUCUUGGUAACAGUAUAUACCACACCACAGGAAGGGGAGAAAAAAAUUGUUGGUUCGAGAUUCCAAACAAGUAGAACACUCUUAACUCUAUGCAAAAUUUCUUGACACUAAAGUUGCAAAAUUGUUGGCCACAUUAAGAGUUAUCAAGCUGCAUCAUAGACAAUAUUUUUUUCCAACUUUCUUAAAUUUCUGGGCUCCUAGUUUAACUUAAAGGUGCAAGACAGAAACCACUUAUAGGAUAUCAUUUCUUUUGAAGUUUGGACAUCAAACCUUCAAAGUUUUCCGGUCAUCUCUUCUGAAAAUCUUAAAACACCUGUAAUCUCAUAUGCUGUCAACACUAGUCAUGGAGGGUUUACACUUUAAAAAGAUGACAUAUCCUAUCUCUUGUUCAUUUAAUUCCCAUUUUGAAAUCAUACGACUAGUUAGAUUCACUUAACAGAUUACACAAGUGUGAAAAAAGUUCCGAAUGCUGCUUGCUAAACAUUUCAGAAAUGGGAAUAAAGAUCGUGCUUAGAAUGAUUGGAUGAUACUAGUAUCCCUCAAUAGCAAAAGUUAUUUGCAAAAGUAUUUCGAGUAUAGAAAGAUAUACUUACAGCAAAACUCCUUCCUAAUGGAGUAUCCAGGAAAUCACUAAGCUGCCUCCUGUACUGCAAGAAUAACACAAUGAAGGUCAGACAACCAAUUACCAGUUACAGUUUACAGAAUUCAGUAGCAACUCCAGUUUGGCUAUUGGUGGUGAAGAUGUACUGAAUUUCAAACAAAACCAGCUAAAAGAAAAAAAAAAAUUGAAUUUUACUGAUUUUCAUAGAUUCGAUUGAUUGGUAGAAGUAAAUUAGUUGUAUGGAUGAGUUUUCACGUGGAAUGAGUCCUUUCUCACCAAACAAAAAAAAACUUAUAACUUUAGUAGAACUUGACAAUUUGGAUAAUUAAGCAUAUUACUAUCAAAAAUUUAAAACGAAUCGCAUUCAAAAGAAGGAACAAACCCUAGGCCAAUUUCUAGCAAAAUCCAUAGAAAACGUGCGCCACCGAAUACCCAGUUCCAGCUCUCUAUCAAUCUCACGGGCACGGUCAGCCGCAGAUUGGGCGACAGCAGUAAUACGCCGCGAGACGGAGUAUCUCCGGUCAAUACGUUCGGCGGCCUUCUUCGCCUCAAAUACAAACUGUUCAAAACCGUCGUUAGCGCUACGCCAAGCAUCCCUAGCGAACCUGUCGAAGUCGCCGCGCUGGAAGGCACGGACAGUGGCUGCAUGUCGAUAAGGGACUGAACGCCUGUGCAGGCGAGUAAGGAGAGGUGGCUUCCGCCAUGGUAUAGUUGUGGCCAUAACCACAGCGAUAGAGGUCGACAGAACUGAGAUAUUAGAAGGCUAAAAGCUCUCUCCGUUUUAUUAGAAGACGUGUUUUUCUAAUCACUUUCGUGUCUGUAGAAUGUUUAUUGCUCUUGUAAUGUGAUUUUUCCCAUAUUUAUAUUUUCAUCUAUUUUUAUCAUAUCAUAGGAAUAUAAUAAAUAACUAUCAAGGCACCGUUUUCUUGGCCACACCUUCAAUUUUUAUUUUAAUUUAUUAAAUAAUUAUUUUAUUUUAAUUUAUUGAACAAUUUAAUUUAUAAAAUUAUAAAUUAAUUUAUAAAAUUAAAAUAAUUACAUAUUUAUAAUAAAUAAUUAAAAAUAAAAAUUACAAUUUUAAAAAUUAUGCUAACAACACAUUAUAUAUAAAAAUUAUCAAGUCUAAAUUUCUUUUUUUUUUUUUUACUACAAAGGAGAGUGAAAAAACCCAGAUUAAUGAAACCCACGGGACCAAAUAGCCCCAACCCAUCAGGCUCUAGCAGAAAUCUAGUUGGAUUUAGAGGCCUUGCAAAUUAUUAUUGUUAGUAUUGAAAAUAAUCUAAUGUUAUCAAAAUUUUCAAGUUCAACUAUAUAAUAGAUCAUCUGUAAAGUUGAAAAUAAUAUAAAUUUAUAAUUAUAAAAUUUAUGGAUGAUUUAUAUAUUCCAACCAUAUAUAAUAAAUAUAAUGCUGAUAGCAUCGAACUGUGGUAUAUUUAUAUUAGUAUUUAUAAAAUUUGUUAAAAGUUAAUCAAACGGAGUAGAUUAUAAUUCGUUAUUUCUCUUAUAUUUAGUGAAAUGAUAUUAUAAAAGUUAAUAUUUUUUCUUAUCAAAGCUUUGUGUUAAUGUUAUGUCUUAAGAAAAUCUAUAAACAAAACAGCUAAAAUUAUUAAUUUUUUUAAAAGAUUAAAAAUCAAUAAAUUAAAAAAGAUGACAGUAAAAGCUUAAAAUCCAACGGAGGUCGAUUGAGUUAAUUAUUCCUAACAGCCGAUAUCUAGUAACCAUUAAAUAUUUAUUAGUGACUAAAAUUCAUGUGUGUAUAUAUAUAUAUAUAGUUUAAUUCAUUACAUAAAUAUAAAUAUUAUUAUAAUAAUAUUUAUUAUUGAUAAAUAAGUAAAAUGAUUACAUAAAAUAUUACUUUUAAAGAAUUAUUAUAAAUUAUUUUUCUAAAAAUAAAUUUGACCUAAUGAUUAAAUAUAAAUCAAUUAUUAGUUAUAUAAUAUAAAAUAACUAAAUAAAAUAUCACCUUAAUUAAUAUUUAUAGACACAUUUUUGGAUUCCAUAAAUGACUUUUAUCAUCAAUGAAUAAUAUUAACAUUUCAUCAUAAAAAAAAAAAUAAAAAAAAACCACUUGGAAUUUCGAUACAAGAAGUUGAGGUUAUGGAAAUAGGAGAGCUAGCAUGUUCUAUAAUUCAUUUCAAUUCUUUAAAAUAAAUAAUAGAAAAAAAAAACAAUUGGACUUCAUUAACUUUAGAAAAAUAAUUAUUGAUAAAUUUUCAAACUAAUAUUUUUUAUGAUUAUUUUAAAUAAUAUUUUUUAAAAUUUUAGUUAAUAUUAUUUUAUUUAUAUAAUAAAUUAUAAUAAAAAAAUAAUAUACUCACUUCAAAAAAUAAAAAUAUACAUACAAUCAUAAUAUAUAAAAAAUAAUUAUAUCUUUAAUUGAACUCAUAUGAGUAAGUUGACGAAAUAUUAGAACUUACAAAUUUUAUAAUAAUGAUUAUGUUGGUGGAUUUGCUAAUUGCAAUGUUAGUGGAAUUGCUAGGUAUUAGAGUGGCUUCUAAGUUACAAGACAAGACAAAAUCAAUUUACAAUGUCAAUCAAUUCUCCCUUUCUUUUCUUUUGGACAAUUUAUAUCAUUUGACAAAUUAAAAUUAAUUCAUUACUCUGAAUUCGGAAUUCCCAACAAUGCGUCAUCUUGGAAGCCGGCCGGCAGAGCAAAUGAUCAUUUGUAGCAUUUGACAAAAGGGUUUUUGGCUUUUGGGUCUUUACUUUGUUUAUUACUGAGAAAUUUCACAUUAUGCAGUUACAGAGCUAGCCUUCCUGCAGCCAUGGUUAAAGCUUUCAGGUUGCUUUUCUUUCUUGCUUUCUUUUGUGCAGGAAUUCAUUUCACUUUUUCCUUAACAGACCCUCGUGAUGGUAAGUGCUGUCUUCUUCAAUGUUAUUAGUUUCUGAUAGUUUCAGAAAUAAAAAUUGACAUAUUUAUUUACUCAUUUGCGUGUUAAAACAGCUGCAACUCUCCAGUCCGUCAAAAAUACCUUGCAAAAUACUCCGCCGAGCUGGGGCAAUGGAGAUCCUUGUGGAACACCAUGGGAAGGAGUUACAUGCAAGAAUUCAAGGGUCACUCGUUGUGAGCUUUCUAUUAAUUACUCAAGUCUUGAUUAUUCUUUUUCUUUUUCUUGUUUCAUCUCUUGUAAUUUUUCUUUUUCUUGUUUCAUCUCUUGUAAUUUUUCUUUUUCUUUUUUUUGCCUUCCUACUUAUUAGAGGGUUAUCAAGUAUAAGCAUCAAAGGAAACCCAAGUGGUGACAUUGGAGAACUUACUGAAUUGAUAUCCUUGUAAGUUCCUUUUCUCUCCCCCAUUCUUUUUCCCCCUUUUAAGUACAUAACAGGAAAAUGUUUGAUGCAAUCCACGUAGAAACUGAAAUGCUGUUAAAUUUAAGCUAUGUUUUGCUUUAAUAUUCACGUUCUGAGGCUAUUUUAUUGUAGGGACUUGUCAUUCAACACAUUUACAGGAUCUCUAACUCCGCGGUUAGGAGAUCUAAACAAUUUGACUACACUGUAAGAUUCAAUAACUUUCAAAUAUAGCUACAAAAUUUUCUGCACAGCUUAUUUUUUCCUUGAUUAAAACUUUUGUUUCUGUAUUUUCUUUCAUCUCUCAGAAUUCUCGCUGGUUGUGGCUUCACUGGUAGUAUUUCAGAUGAAUUAGGAAAUCUUGCUGAGCUAUCCUUCUUGUAAGAGUUUGUCAUAGUAAUGAGAAUCAUGAUCAUGUGAAUAUUUCAUUUUCUGGGUAUUAUCUUUCUUCAUAGGGCCCUCAACAACAGCAAUUUGACUGGUAAAAUUCCUUCCUCUUUGGGAAAACUCUCCAAUCUCUACUGGCUAGACCUGGCAGAUAAUCAUUUGACAGGACCUAUCCCAGUUUCAACACCAACCACUCCAGGCUUGGAUCUCCUCAAAGAGCUAAGCACUUGUGAGUAUAACUCUUUAACCCCUUUAUAUGUGCUAUCAAGUAAACGAAUAUUGCAUAACAUAACUUCUGUGAGUUGCAGCCAAUUCAACAACAACCAGCUUUGAGGUUCAAUUCCUUCACAGCUUUUGAGCUCUGAUAUGGUACUAAUAAUGUGUAAGUUGAUAACCAGCAACAGGACUUUCCUUUCUUUCAUUUUUUUUUUUGUUUGUUCCUUUUUAACAUUCUAAUUGAUGACAGAUUAUUUGAUGGAAACCUACUCGACGGAACUAUUCCAUCCACAUUAGGACUGGUUCAGACCCUUGAGGUUCUGUGAGUGAAAUCAGCCUCAGACUUAUCUUUCUUGACUAAACAUUUUCUUCCAAUUUUCAUCUCCAUGAAAUGCUGAUCAUUCUGAUUCACUACAGCCGGCUUGAUAGAAAUGCUUUAACAGGAAGUGUACCUACAAAUUUAAACAAUCUUUACAAGCGUCAGUGAAUUGUAAGCGCUAAAAAACACACCACAUACAUAUUUUGACUAGGUAUCCAUUUUAGUCUAGUUGGUUUAAACAUUGUAAUUUAUAAUUAACUCUGUAUGUUUUCUUCAGGAAUUUAGCAAUAAUAAGCUGAAAGGCCCUUUACCAGACUUAACUGGAAUGAAUGCCCUUAAUUAUGAGUAUGUCAAAUCUGUUUACUUUUCUUCAACUUGUUCUGUUGUCAUUUUAAUGAGUCCUGAAGCCUGAGCAAUGCAAUAUAAUUACAGGAACCUUAGCAACAAAGCUUUUUUCCCAUCAGAAGCUCCUGCAUGGUUCUCAACCUUGCCAUCACUGACCACACUGUAAGUCCUUAUUAGUAUGUCACAAGUGAAACAUCUGAAAAUUUUAUAGAAUAUAGAUAUUGUAUCGUCUCAUUUCCAUGUUCCACCAUUAAUAUGGCCUGCAGGGUUAUAGAAAAUGGAUCACUUCAAGGGCCUUUGCCACAAAAAAUCUUCAGUUUCCAGAACAUAGAGCAAGUGUGAGUUUUCUUGGGAUCUAAAUAUACCAAUUGAGAAUUCAGAAAAUAGUUCAAAUGUAGUUUAAACUAAAGCAUUCAUUUUCUUGGAAAACUUUUGCCAUUGCAGGAUAUUGAAAAACAAUGCAUUCAGUAGCCGACUAGACAUGGGUGAAAGCCUUGGUCCACUGCUUCAACUUGUUGAUCUGCAGAAUAAUAAUAUUUCUUCUGUAACACUAACUGCAGACUAUAAAAAUAAACUAAUGUGAGAAAUUAGAUAAACCCAAAAGAAAUUUAAUUAAACUGUGUUGUUUAUGCUUUCCAUCUUACAUCUUACUAUGCCCCUUUGGUCAGACUUGUAGGAAAUCCAGUGUGCUCUGCACUCUCAAAUGUUAGUUACUGUGAACAAUUCAACUUCAGCAGCAUCCCUAGCGAACCUGUCGAAGUCGCCUGAUAUUGAAGACUAAAAGCCUUCUCUCGGCUUCAGCAUCAAAACGACAUGCAAGGAAUCCAUUAAAUAGCUGCAAAAGACAUGGUUUGAUACUGAUAAAGAAGAAAAAAAAAACACACAUAUAUCAAGCAGAUAAAACUAUACUGGAAUGGUUGUUCAUCCAUAUCAUGCGGAAGGAAAAAUAAGAAAUGGAAUGAAUUUUUAUUGGAAACUUCUCUCUUUGUUUUCUCAAAAAAGCUUAACAGCUGAAUUUUACUAAGUUUACACUUAUACCCAAUAUGCAUUAAGCACUAAGUUUACCUAUUGACUAAAUUGAUAACAUAUUUCGUUUAUAAAAACAUCACAUUCGAGCGAAUAGGGUGCAAAACAAAAGGAUGAAAAAACGGUGGAGGAACCAACAUGGGAUGAUAAAUCUUGGGCUGACAGUGGCGAGUAAAUGAAGGAUACAGCACUCUUGGACGUACUGAUCUGCGAAUUCGGUUGCCAAUGCUAUACAAGAACCCCACAUGUUUCGAUUCAUCAAUUCCAUAAACUGCCUUCAACUUAAAAUAUACUUCUGCACUUAAUAAACUAUCAGAUCCUGCUUGAUGAGCGCCGCCAACUCGUUUAACUCGAAGGAUCUUUGCUAACUUCUCUAACCCCAACUGGCCUUUGCGUAAACCAUCGCAGAAUGUCGCUAUAUACUUGAUAUCAAAAACAUAGCAACCAAACACAUUUGCAAUUAACUCAGUAAACUCAAGAGAAGAAUGAGGCAGUGAGUUUUUGGUAACCAUUGUAAGCAUGUAAGCCAUAUCAUACAAUCCAUGGAAAGUAAUCCAUAUCAAAUUUCUAUGUUUGGCUAAAAUAUGACCAAAAGCAUCCGAAAAGAAACGAACAUCAAUUCCCUCAUUCUUCAACUUGUCGAAAUCAAUACCAUGGUCUUUUAGAAAUUCUAAAGAAUCAUCAGUAUGCACCUCUGUUUGAACAUCAAAAGAGAAAUUGAAUUCCCAGCAACCGGCGAUAUUGCCGUUUUCGUCAGAUAAGGUGAGGCCCAACUGAAUAAGUGUUGUUGCGUCCACAUUAUGCUUCAAAUUAGAAUAGGUAUGAAACUCACAGGCACGUCUUGGAGUACGAAUAAGAAAGCCUGGAAACUCAGUAUCGACAGAAACAACUCUAUGGAAAUAAAGAAGGGUGUCUAUACAUUUCAGUUCGUCAACGAAAUUGUGAUGCCAAACAGGGAUGAUGGGAUUCAUGGCAGCGGCAGAAAAUAUGUUGCUCAAUUCUGAAUAUACGAUGGUAUUUAUAGACACACUCAUCUUUCCUUACUCUACAUGGAAAUCCAAACCUGACGUUAUUUGGAUUUCCAUAUAGAAGGAGGAUUACAAAUUACAAAUCUGUAUGAACUUAUGUUAUGAUGCCAUAUUGUAGGAAAUCUAGUGUGUGCUGCUCUUCGCGUGAGCAAGGGAUUGGACGCGUGAGCAGCCGAGUAAGGAGCGGUGGCUGCCGCCAUUGGCGUAGCUUGCGGAGGUGGUCUCACAACUGAGAUAUUGAAGACUUAAAAAAAGCCUUCUUCAGCUUCAUUUCGAGACUUUAUAUCAAAGAACGAAAAAAAAAAAAAAAAUUCCUAUUUUAAUUUUACUUUUGCAUUGGAUCAAAGAAAAUAUUAUUUUCUUUUUUUAAUAAAAAAAAGAUAGCCAUAAUUAUUAAAUUUUAUUUUGAAAAACUUUUGUUCUUUAGAUGGAAAUUGAAAGUAAACUAGCUUUGAUUAAAUAAUGGUAUUUAUACAUAAAAUAAUUGAUAUUUAAAUAUAUUUUUUAGUUAUUUUUUAAUUUUACAUUUUUUGAGAUUAUUUUAGUAGUCAAACUUUUUUAAUUAUGAUUGGAGUAUUUUAAUAAAUCUAGUUUAUGUAAUUAAAAUUUAUUUAUAAACCAAUUCAAAAAUCUCAAACAUUGGAAUUUGAAUUUGAACAAAUUUCAUUUCAAUUUAAAUAUACACAGAUUUUAAAAUAUAUAUGCAUAUAAAUAUAUUUAGAUAUCAAUUUAAAUAUGAUCAACUAAAAAUUUAAUAAUAAUCAUUAUAAUAUAAUAAUAUAACUAUAAUUUUACUGAUUUACUAUUAUUAUGGAAAAGAAUAGAAUGUCAUUUAUAUCAGGGUUGUGGAUGGAGAUGGCCUUCUUCAAAGUUCCUUUAAGAGGACUUUGCUAGUAUCGUGAACACUCUUCGCAGCAAGUUUUAGAACAAAUUCGAGUUUGAUAUACAUUUGGAACAAAAGUAUCUGGUGUUGCUUUGCCUGGAAGAGCCACCAUCUUGUUAUGAGCUCCAUCUCUAGUGGCUCAAAUCAGUUCAGAUACACAAGAUACGUAUAGACUAAAAAAAAAAAAACGUAUUAAUUAAUAACACAUGUAAUCGAAUUAAUAACGUAUUAAUUAGGUGAUAAGCAACUUCAAUCUUCGUAAGAUGAAAAUAUGAGAUGAGUCCGAAAAAUACAUUUAGUAGAUGGACAUUUAAUUAAUUUUUUUGGAAUAUAGUAUAUAAAACUGAAUUUGACGAAGGGUUCAUCAAAUUGGUCUUAAAUCACUCACACCUCAAAGUUAAAACAUUUCAAUGUAUUUGAGGGGAGCAACAAUCCAAUCCCACAAAUGAAAAGAUAAAGAGAAAUGUAGGAGGAGCCACCAACAACAGGUAAUUGCUUACAUAAGUAUCAUCCAGGUUGAUGUUAGUCCAUCAUUGUCAAUAUGCAGAUCUAGAUGUGCACUUGUUGUGGUAAAAAAUCAUUUCUAAGUGAUUUUUGCUUAUGCGUCCUUCCACACAUUGUUCUGCUUGUUGGUGAAGCCACGUUCUCUACCAACCUUUCACACUACUUAAUUUGCCUCUCCUUGUCAUUGCAAUAUUCUUUAUUAUUGUUUUGUGAAAUGUUUUAUUCGACCAUGAUUUUGUGAUGCAGACUCUUAGCUGACGGCAUCCAUAUCUAGAUUUUGUAUUUACGUCUAGGGAUGACAAUGGGUUUGUAUUUACGUCUAGGGAUGACAAUGGGUAAGUUGAGGUCGGGUAAUGUAAUGAAUAUACCCAAACCAAUCUCUAUAUCCUACUUAUACUAUAUCAGGUAUGAAAUGUUAUUAUCCAGUUCAAAUUAUAAAAUUCGAAUUUGACUGUAUUCGAGUUAGGUACAUACCCAUCGGGUUAGAUUGAUUUUGUCAUCUCUAUUUAUGUUUCAAAAGACACAAAGACGUGUUCCUUAUCAUGUCACGGGUCUUAAUUUCUAAGAAAAAUUUUGAAUCUAAUACAUUGUAUUUCACUCACAAAAAUUUUGAUGUUUUUUCUCAUCCAAACUUGGUUUUAUGAUUAUGUUCAAAUUAGAGCAAGUGCAAUCGUUACUUUUAGAUAUUAAACUAUCUUAGUUUCAUUUAUUCGUAUGGAUUUAAAUAGUUAUAAAUGAGUUUGAAUAAUUAAAAGUAGUAAAAAUAAAAUAUGAGUUUAGCUCUCUUGAUUGCCAUUACACUAAACGGAUUUGGUCACUGUGCUCAUACAUAUCCUACUCGUGUCUAUUCAUUUAAGUAUCUUAAACAUUUUUGGAUUUAGAUAAUUUACCCUAUCCGCUUAAAAGCUACUUUAAACGAACUUGAUAAAUAUGGACAGUAAAAUAAUUUGCAGUCAAUGCAGUAGUUUAUCAAGUUACAUGGUGUGUAUUUUUUGUUGAUAAAAAGGUACUACUUUUGACAAAUAUGAAUAGUAAAAUAGUUUGUAAUCUUCUAUGUGAAUUUACCUUAGUGUUAUUAUUGUCAUUCUACAGUACCGUCAAAAGUAAAAAAUAGCAAAACUGAAAAGUUUACAAUAUUUUUAUAUUUAAAUAACUUGAGUUUAUUUUAGAAAAUAUUUUUUUUUAUAAACAUAAUUUUAACAUAUUUAAUAAAUUUUGUUUAAUUAGUAAACAUGUAAUUUUAGAUAUUUUUAUUUAUCAUUUUGUUUUCAGGAUAAAGUAAAAAAAGAAAAAGAAACAUGCCCUAAAAAAGUAAAGUGUGUCAGACAUUGGGGUAUUAUGGUUGAUUAAAUGUCAAAGACAGCGAAAGACGCGGCAAAAACCAGCUAAGAAAUUAGUAGAAAUUGUAAUGACUUUGCAAGAGGAAUCAUAUUGCUUCCUUGUCGGACGGUAGGGCGAGGAUUAGACCGAUUUGGUUAAUUUAGCUAACCUUUUUAACUGAACAUUUUUCACUAAUAUUUUUUUUAUUUAACUGAAUUUAAUUGAACUUAAUCGAAUUAUUUUAAGCGAACUAAUUUUGAUUAUUAACCACAUCAAAAUUAAAGAAAAUAAAAGUCUAAUUAAUCGAGCUUUUGUGAUUAACCAAAAUAAGAAUUCAACCAAAAUUACUAGUUAUUACACUUAUUUUCAUAAUAAACAGUUAUUAAAAAUAUUUUCAACAACAAGAAAACAUAAAAUAUAUUAAGCUUCAACAACAAUUAUAUGUCAAGAAUCAUUUAUAUUUUGUCAUGGCCAGGUUUCCAUAGCAUGUUGAACUUAAUUUAUUAAUUAUUAUUAUUUUUAUAUCAACGUACGUAUUUCAAACGAACAUUAUAUGAUACAAAUUAGCUAAUCUGAAUUUGUAAAUCAAGUCGUUUUGGUCAGCUUUUCAUUUAAGUAAAGAGUGAAAGAAUGCAGGUCUAGAUCUCAUUAAUUUAAGAAUUUCGGUCAAUUUGAUGAAUAAACGAGAGAGCUUUUGCUUAUUAUAUAAUCACGAUAUUAUUCCGGUCCGUUAGGCUUCCAGUAAAUAAUAAUGAAAUGUAAAUUUUUUUUUUCAAAAAAAAGAGAGAAAUAUUUCUAUUAGUAGAUGAAUUUUUUCAAUAUUUUGUGAAUUAAUAUUUCUCUUUUAGUAGCAUCCAAUCAAAAAGGAAAAAUUUCUUAACUUUAUAAAAAUCCUUUAUGUUAUAAUAUCCUUUUAGCGGAUGCACAUUUAUAAAUUAUAAUUCAGUCAUUUGUCAAAAAGUUAUAAUUUAGUCGUGGCCAUGGGCGGAGCAAUAUAACAAUUAUUUUGAAGAAGUUAAACCAAAAUUUUUAAACUUUAGAGUGUCAAAUAUAAUUUUUUCAUAUUUUUAAAGUAAAAUGUUAAAAAUAAUUUUAUACUACAAACCCUUUUUCCUUGUUUGUGAAAAUAAAAAUUAUAUUAAAAAUAUCAUUGCAUUUCAAUUUUAAAGUUAAAAAUAAUGAUUAUUUUUUUUAAAAAAUAAUUAUUUCACAUCAAUUUCAAAAUUUUAUGAGUUUGAAAAAGACUAAAUAUAUAAUUAAAACAAAUAUUAGGUACAUAUAAUAUGAGAAUUUUUAUUUUCUUAAUCUCUUUAUUAACUUAAUCCUAUUUGAUUAUUAUUAUGUGAUGAAUGAGAAAUCUCAUAUUUAAAUCCUUUCGUCAACAACAGUUUUUAUUCAUUUAAUGUGUUAUUUCUAAUUUGGUAUAUUGAAAAUGUUAUGUAAAAAGAAAGAUUGUUGUAAAUAAAAUAAAGUAAAAAAUAAAACCAUGGGUCCUCCAAAUUCUUUAAACUACUAUUUUUAUUAAGAUAAGCAAUACUGACUUUGUCAUUUUAUAUUGCUAAAAAUGAUAUAUUUUAAUUGAAAAUAAUAGUUAAUAUGACAUGCUAAAAUGUAUGCAUUUAAAAUAUGCAUUAGAUUAAGUAAAUUGCAAGUUUCUCUUCUAAUUCAGAGAGUAAUCUUGACAAUAGAUUUUUAUAUUAUUUUUAAUUCUAGAAUUAUUGACAGCUGUUGAUGCUGAUGAACGAUCAUGGUGGUGAUGAAGUGGGCCCUUUCUCAUUUUUUAAAAAUAAAAAAUAAAAUAGAUUUUUCAAAUUUUAAGUGUAUAAAACAUAAAUAGGUUUUGGAUUUUAAACUCGAAAUUGCCAUAAAUAAAAAAUAAUAUUAAAAUGUAAAAAACAUUUUACAUUGUACACCUUUUAUAUUAUAAAAAAAUAAUUUAUACUACACAAAUUUUUUCUUUUUUUUUGAACAAUAAAAAUUAUAUUAAAAAUAUCAUUUCAUCUCUUUAUUAUAAAGUUAAAAAUAAUGAUUAUUUUAAAAAAAAUUUAUGAGUUUGAAUGAAACUAAUAUUUAAUUAAAUAAAAAAAAUUAAGUACAUAUUAUAUGAGAAUUUUAUUUUCUUAAUUUUUUUUUCAACUUAAUCAUAUUUGACUAUCAUUAUGUGAUGAACAAGAAGUCUUGGAUUUGAAUUCUACAUUAAAAACGUUAUUUAAGGGAGAAAAGUAUUUUAUUCUUAUUUAUUUGAAUGGAUGAAAAAUAAAAAAAAAAAAACCUUAAUUCCAACAAGAUAGAGAAUACUAAAGUUGCUAUGUUACAUAAUGGAGAGAACAAUGAUUUUAAUAGUACGGUUUUAUAAUAAUAAAAAAGGGUAUUACUUAAAAUAUACUCAACAAAAAAAAAAAAAAUCACUUCAUUGGGCCGUUCUAAAAGAUGCUUUAUAGUUUAUUAACCAAACCAAAAUGAUUUUCAGAAGGAUUAUCAUUGUUAUUGUUGCAGGCGGAGGAAACGGUAAAACGUGCAAUUUUUAUAAUAAUGAUUAUGAAAGAGACUUGAACAAGAGAGAACAAGAGAGAACAUUAGAUGAUAAAAAUAAUGAUUAUGGUGGUGGGUUUGCUAAUUGCAAUGUUGUUAGUGGGAAGAGUUAGCUAUUAGAGUGGCUUCUAAGACAAGACAAAAUCAAUUAAAACAAGCAAAAAAAGGUCAGGAGAAGCCUUCUUCUCUUGUUUUUUGGGUCAAAAAUUUAUUCAUUCAUUACUAUGGACAUUGCUAAUUCUUUCACCCGAUAAACAAUGCAUCAUCAUCUUCCAGGCCGGCCGGCAUAGCAACUUAAUGCUCAUUUGACUAAAGGGUCUUUGGCUUUUGUGUCUUUAGUUUGGUCGUUAUUGAGAAAUUUCACAUUUUGCAGUUAGAUAGCUAGCCUGCUUGCUGCCAUGGCUGCAGCCUUCAGGUUGCUUUUCUUUUUUGCUUUCUUUUCUGCAGGAAUUAUAUUCACUUUUUCCGUAACUGACCCUCGUGAUGGUAAGUACUAUCUCCAGUUUCUUCUUUUUGCUUUUUAUUUAUGUUUGCUGUUAUAGCAAAUAGAAUGAAAGUAGCAUUUUUGGUGUUCUGUUAUGUAGGAUUUAGGAUUGCAUUGUUCUAGGAAGGUUCAGUUGAUCAUUUUAUUAUGAUCUUUAACUCUUGAUGAAAAUUGAAACUGAAAAUCAAAAUCAAGUAAAUAGUUGUUUUAGGUAUAUAUGUAAUGCUAAUUUUCUGAUAGUUCGAGAAAUAACAAUGCACAACUAUUUGUUCAUUUAUUCUUGUGGUGAUGCAGCUGCAGCUCUCCAGUCCCUGAAAGAUACCUGGCAAAAUACUCCGCCGAGCUGGGGCAAUGGAGAUCCUUGUGGAACACCAUGGGAAGGAGUUGCAUGCCAGGACUCAAGGGUCACUGCCUUGUGAGUUUUCCCUAAUUUAAAUCUUGAUUAUUCCUCUUUCUUUUUUUUUUUUUUUUCUUUAUCUGUUAUAUAGUUUUUUUUUUCUGCCUUUCUACUUUAGAGGGUUAUCAACAAUGGGCAUCAUAGGAAAGCUGAGUGGUGACAUUGGAGAACUUGCUGAAUUGAGAUCCCUGUAAGUUUCUCUCUCUCCUUUCUUUCCCCUUUAAGGUACAUAAAAGGCAAAAAUUUUUGCAACAACCGAAACUGUAAGUGAAGUAAUGUUAAAAUUAAGCUAUGUUUUAUUUUAAUGUUCAAAUUGUGAGGUUAUUUUAUUGUAGGGACUUGUCAUUCAACCCAGAACUUACAGGAUCUCUAACUCCGCGGUUAGGAGAUCUAAAAAAUUUGAAUAUACUGUAAGAUCCAAUCAGUUCCAAAUCUCCAUUGGUAGAAAAUUUCCACUUAGCUUUUUUUUUUUUUUUUUCCCACAUUAAAACUUCCGUUUCUGUAUUUUCUUUCAUUUUUCAGAAUUCUUGCUGGUUGUAGCUUCACCGGUAGUAUUCCAGAUGAUUUUGGCAAUCUUGCUCAGCUUUCCUUCUUGUAAGUAAAGUAAUAAAAAUCAUUAUUGUGUGAAUAUUUAAUUGUUUGUUCACCUUCUGAAUAUUAUUCUUCUUCAUAGGGCUCUCAACUCAAACAACUUGACUGGUCGCAUCCCUUCAUCUCUGGGAAGACUCUCCAAUGUCUACUGGCUAGACCUGGCAGAUAAUCAGCUGACUGGACCUAUCCCAAUUUCAACACCCACCACUCCAGGCUUGGACCUCCUUAAAAAAGCUAAGCACUUGUGAGUAUAAUUUUUUUAACCCCCCGCUUGUGAAAGAUUAGUUAGAAUGAAUCAAGGUCUUGAAUCGGAUUCACGCUUGCAGUGUAGGUAUAGUAUAGGCUUGUCAGUGUGUAAUGGUCAUUGUAAGUGCUAUUGCCAAUUUCUUUAGAAAAAUGAUUAUUUAGUCUAUUAAAUGUGAGUGAUUCACAGUCGUGAUUUGGACAAUAUGCUAUGCAAUGGCUGAUAUUCAUUGAAUGAAUCAAAACUCUCUAACUCUUUUUAUGUGCUGUUAAGCAAUUGAAUGUUGCAUAACAAGGUUUGUGAACUUGCAGCCAUUUCAAUAAGAACCAGCUUUCAGGUCCAAUUCCUUCCAAGCUUUUCAGCUCUGAUAUGGUACUAAUACAUGUGUAAGUUGAUAACCAGCAGCAGGUUUUUGUUUUCCCCUUUUUUGUUUGUUUGUUCUUUUGACAUUCUAAUUGAUGACAGAUUGUUUGAUGGAAAUCUACUUGACGGAACUAUUCCAUCCACAUUAGGACUGGUUCAGACCCUUGAGGUUCUGUGAGUGAAAUCAGCCUCCAAUUCAUCUUUCUUGUCCAAACAUUUUCUUCUAAUUUUCAUCUCCAUGAAAUGCUGACCAUUCUGAUUCACUACAGCCGGCUUGAUAGAAAUGCUUUAACAGGAAGUGUACCAGCAAAUUUAAACAAUCUUACAAGCGUCAGUGAAUUGUAAGGGCUAAAAAACAGCACAUACAUAUUUUGACGAGGCAUCCAUUUUAGUCUAGCUGGUUAAACAUACUAAUUUAUGAUUAACUCUACUAUGUUUUCUUCAGGAAUUUAGCACACAAUAAUCUGACUGGCCCUUUACCAGACUUAACUGGAAUGGAUGCCCUUAAUUAUGUGUACGUCAAAUCCGUGGAUUUUCCUUUUAGUUUAUUUUUCUUCAACUGUUUCUGUUGUCAUUCUAACGAGUCCUGAGCAAUGCAAUAUCAUUACAGGGACCUUAGCAAUAACUCUUUUGUCGCAUCAGAAGCUCCUGCAUGGUUCUCAACCUUACCAUCUUUGACCACACUGUAAGUCCUCAGUAUGUCAGAAAUAAAACAUCUAAAAUUUAGAAAACAUAGAUAUUUUGUUUUCUAAUUUUGAAAUUCCAUCUUUAAUAUGGUCUGCAGGGUUAUAGAACAUGGAUCACUUCAAGGGCCUUUACCACCAAGAAUCUUCAGUUUACAGCAGAUACAGCAAGUGUGAGUUCUGUUUGAAAUUUAAAAUACCAAUUAAAAACACAGUGCCAUUUAGAAUAAUACAUUUCAUUUUCUUUUAAAACCUUUGCAGGUUAUUGAAAAACAAUGCAUUCAAUGGCCAACUGGACAUGGGUAAAAGCCUCGGUCCACAGCUUCAACUGGUUGAUCUGCAGAAUAAUAAUAUUUCUUCUGUAACAUUAACUGCAGCCUACACAAAUGAACUAAUGUGAGAAAUUUGAUAAACCAUAAAAAAAAAUUUACUUAGGCUGCAUUGUUUAUGCUUUCUAUCUUACUAUUAUCCUUUACUCAGACUUGUAGGAAAUCCAGUGUGUGUUGCUCUCUCAAAUACUAAUUACUGUCAACUCCAGCAGCAGAAUUCAAAGCCAUAUUCUACUCCCUUGGCAGCUAAUUGUAGAAAUACAAAAUGUCCAGAUGGACAGAAGCUUAGCCCUCAGAGUUGUGAAUGUGCCUAUCCAUAUGAAGGAACAUUGUACUUUAGAGCACCCUCCUUCAAGGACUUAUCCAAUGUGAAUUUGUUUCAUUCUCUAGAAAUGAGUCUUUGGGUCAAAUUGGACUUGACUCCUGGUUCAGUUUUUCUUCAAGAUCCAUUUUUCAAUGUCGAUGACUAUCUUCAAGUGCAGCUUGCUCUAUUUCCCCCAGCUGGAAAAUAUUUUAAUAGAACAGAAGUUAUAAAGAUUGGUUUUUACAUGAGUAAUCAAACUUAUAAGCCUCCUAAAGAGUUUGGACCCUAUCUUUUUAUUGCUUCUCCUUAUACUUUCACAGGUAACUUAUAUAUAUCAUUUCUUUAGUUAUUAAUGUAAUUUAUGUGCUUCUAACUGGAAUGAUAAAUUAAUAAGAAGAAUAAAACAUCUUGCAGAGGAGCAUAAAGGAAAUUCUGUAAGCUCCAGUGCAAUUGCUGGGAUAGGAAUUGGUUGUGCACUUCUAGUUCUGAGCCUUGUCGGGGUAGGACUAUAUGCUUUUAGGCAAAAGAAACGCGCAGAAAAGGCACUCGGAUUAAGUAGACCAUUUGGUAAGUAGUACAUGAGAACUUUAUUCUUGAUUUCAAUAAUAGUUGGCAUCAGUAAAUUUGACAAAGGCAUUGGCUGACAUACUAUUGUUUCCAGCAUCUUGGGCUCCAAGUGGCAAAGAUAGCGGAGGUGCACCACAGUUAAAGGGAGCAAGAUGGUUCUCUUAUGAUGAACUUAAGAAGUGCACUAAUAACUUCUCCGAAAAUAAUGAGAUAGGUUCUGGAGGAUAUGGAAAGGUAAUUUUCAAGAUAUUAAUCAUGGUUAAUGAAAAUUUUCUCCAAGUUACUACUGCUGCUUUACUUUUUAAGACUUCCCCAGGUUUAUAGAGGAAUGCUAUCUGAAGGACAAGUAGUGGCAAUUAAAAGAGCUCAGCAUGGAUCCAUGCAAGGCGGGCUCGAGUUCAAGACUGAAAUUGAGUUGCUAUCAAGAGUACAUCACAAAAAUCUUGUUGGUCUUGUAGGUUUUUGUUUUGAACAAGGAGAGCAGAUGUUGGUUUAUGAAUUUAUGGCAAAUGGAACACUUAGGGAAAGCCUAUCAGGUACUUAUGUUUGUAUAUCCACUUCCAUUGAACUAUAUGCCGGCAGAUUAAGAAAAAUUGAUGAUACCAUUUUUAUAUUUAGAGGAACUUAUUUUCAUAAAAUGCACUGCAGGGAGGUCUGGUAUUCAUCUUGAUUGGAAAAGGAGGUUGCGCGUUGCUCUUGGCUCAGCUAGAGGACUAACCUAUCUACAUGAGCUUGCAGAUCCUCCUAUAAUCCACAGAGAUGUCAAGUCUAGCAACAUUCUGCUGGAUGAAAAUUUAACUGCAAAAGUUGCAGAUUUUGGCCUGUCUAAACUGGUAUCAGACAGUACAAAAGGGCAUGUUUCAACUCAAGUUAAAGGCACCCUGGUGAGUAAUUGCAUAUAUAGGUCUGUCUAACAUUGUUGUUUGAGCUGUUAUUGAAAAUGAGUCAAUAUUUGAAAAUAUUAAUAAGAAGUCGCAAAAGUUUGUAUUUAAAGUAAAUGCCACAAAUUCCAGUCUUAAGAAACUACAAAACAACAACUUCCAUUUACUUAUUUCAACAGCAUCUGGAAAACAACAUUUUUUUCUGAAAAAUAACUCCAAUCUCAAUUCCAAGCAAACUAAUAGUGCAUUCGGAUUAAUAUUUAGUUUUGUAACUUUUGUGUGCGAAAAUGGUGUUCAUUUGCAGGGUUAUCUGGAUCCUGAAUAUUACAUGACACAACAAUUAACUGAAAAGAGUGAUGUCUACAGCUUUGGUGUAGUAAUGCUUGAGCUAGUAACUGCUAAGCAACCGAUUGAGAGAGGAAAGUACAUUGUUCGCGAAGUGCGAACAGCAAUGGACAAAGAUGAUGAAGAGUAUUAUGGACUGAGAGAAAUAAUGGAUUCAGCCAUUAAGAACUCAGGACAUCUUGUUGGGUUUGGGAGGUUUUUGGAGUUAGCUAUGCAAUGUGUAGAAGAAUCAGCUGCAGAACGUCCAACAAUGAGUGAAGUAGUUAAGGCAAUAGAGACUAUAUUACAAAAUGAUGGAAUGAACACAAAUUCAACUUCUGCUUCCUCUUCUGCAACUGAUUUUGGAGCUUCAAGAGGUGUCCCUAGACAUCCUUAUCAUAAUGAUGUGCCUAAAAAGGAUGUUAAUAAUGAUAUUCAUGCAUUUGAUUACAGUGGAGGUUACUCACUUCCUGCAAAGAUAGAGCCUAAGUAGCACUAUGUGCUUUUCCAUUGACAUUUUCCAUUUUUUUUUAAAGAUUUGCUCAUAUAUAAUAUAAAAUAUAUAUAUGCUGAGACAAAAUUAUUAUUAGGACUUUUUCUAUAGAAUUUCAAUUUAGGGUUUUUUGUGUUCUUAUGUUCAAUUUAGGUGCAAUGUUCUAUAUCAUAGCUUUUAAUUAGGAUUUUUUUUUUUUUUUCAUUUUUUGGUUGUAGUUAUAGUAAUGAGUGAAAAUUGUUUUGUAAUUACAAUACUGUGUAUGAGAGAGGAACUCCAAUGUUGGAGAGCUCGAUGCGUUUUAUAAACACUGUAUUCAGACUUUAUUUGUAUCUUGCCAAUUUUCUUUCUGUCCCUCUUAUGAUUUUCACUAAGGUCACUCUUUUUUUCUUUAAAUGAUUAGGCUCCAACUGAGAUUGAGCUUGCAAUACUUAUAUAUAUAUACAGGAAAGCUUGUAAUACUAAUUAAAAGUAUUAUAAAAAAACUAAUUAAUGGAUAGGUUUUGUUAUGGGUUAGGUAAUUAAUCGGUUAUAUUAAUUUUUUUUUUUAAAUUGAAAUCUAUUGUAUAAAAUAUAUAUUCUAACUAAGUUAUAUAUUAAAUACAAUAAGAAUAUAAUAAUUCAAUAUGAUAAAUAAGAGAUUUAAAUAUGGUAUAUUAAAUAUAAUAAGAAUAUAGUAAUUCAAUUCGAUAAAAUAAAAAAUUAUAUUAUAUAUUAAAUAUGGUAACAUAUAAAAUUCAGUUUGAUUUAUCGUUACUAUUUGGUUUGAACAAGUAAUUUUAAAACAUUAUUUUUUAAAGAAAUAAAUUAAGUUUAUAAAAAUAAUUAUGUUUAUUAGAUAAAAAUAAAAUAAAAAUUAUUUCAAAUAUAUUAAUAUAAGGAGUUUAAGAAUAAUUAAUAAAUAUCGAUCUGCUGCAUUAAUUAAUAUAUUAAUAUAAAUAACUUGAGUGUAAUUAAUUAAAAAUAGUUAAAAUAAUAUAUUCUAAAAGUCUAGACCGUAUUAUAGUCAUUUUAAUUUCAUAUUAAAAUUUCUUAAUUCCACACACAGUAUUUUGGUAAAAGAAGAAAGAAUAAGUCGUGGGUUAGGUUUUAAAUCAAGAAUAAUUUUUUAAUUUAAUGUGUUUUUGAAUUUAUAUGAAUAAAGUCCAUAGUGGGUUUCAUAUUAAUAUAUUUUUUAAUUAAGUUUUAAUUAUAAUUUAGGAUAUUAUUGUAAUAUAAAAUUAAAGUUCACGAUGAAAUUGAUAUACGGAUUAAAAUAAAGUGAAAUUAGAGUGCAAUACAAGUGUGCAUAAAGCCAUAGAAAAUUGGCCAAACAAUCAAAAAAAUUCUUAAUUUUGUGGAUUGUUUUAAUUGUACUACAAACGUAACUUUCUUCUUUUAAUAUCCUGAAUUUGAAAACUAAUUAUAAUUACGUCAUAAUUUGAAAUUGAACUCAUUUUAUUCAAUUUUCAUGAGACUCACAUUCUCUUGUAUAGUUAAUUUAAUUCAAGCAAUUAAUUAAACUAAAGCACACCAUAUUAUUUUUAAUUUUAAAAAAUAAAUCUCUAAAUCAUACGCGUCUUAAUUCUGCCUCUCUCUCUCUCUCUCCCAUGGUUGGUUAGUAUAACCCAAGUAAUUAAUUAAACUAAAACGUACCGUUUUGAUUUUAAUUUAAAAAAAAAAAAAAAAAAAACAAAUCUCCGAAUCAUACCCGUCUUCACUCUCUCUCCCUCUCUCUCUCUCUCUCAAUUUGGAGGGCCAUCAAUAGACUUCCAAUUAUCAAUCAGUCUCAGUCCAAUCCGUUUUAGCAGGUCCCAUUUGUGAUUUCAGUGACGGGAAAACGGAAACAAGUUGCGUGGGGGCAGAUAGAUUCUACGUGCAUGGAGAUCACUUGCCAAUCUUGCAAGCAAAGGUUUAAGCCUUAAAUAAUAAUAUUAAUAAUAAUCAGAAUAUGCUUAAUUAUUAAUUAUCUUUAUAUAAUUAAGAUUGAGAUUUGAAAACCAUUGAAGACAAAGCUUAUCGAUGAGGGAGAAUGAGAUUAUUCUAGCUGGGGCCAAGUUGUUGAGUUUUUGAAUAUUUGGGUAUUGAGAUUAGUCUAGUGAUGGCCCUCCACAUUGACGGCAGAGAGAGGCAGAAGAGGGACAACCAGAAUGAAGACCACAGUGGCAUAUGAUUUGGAGAUUUGUUUUAUUUUUUAAUUAAAAACAAAACGGCAUGUUUUAAUUUAACUAAUUGUUUCAGUUAAGCUAACCAUGAGAUAAAAUGUGAGUCCUACUAAAAUUAAAUAAAAUGGAUUCAAUUUUAAAUUAUGGUAUAAUUAUAAUUAAUUUUUAAAUUCAUAAAGAAGAAAAUUGCAUUUGGUUUAUAAUUAAAACAAUCUGCAAAAUUCAGAGUUUUUUUUUAUGGUUUGGCAAAAUUGAUAAACUUGAAUAUAAAAUUGCGUUUUUCAAUUUUAUGGAAAGCAUUUUCAGAAAAAACAAACAACUCCGUUAUGUUUUUAGUUUGGUUUUUAUAAUGUAAAAUUUAAAAACUACAAAACUUACCAAAUUAAGAGAAAGAAAAGAUCAGACUGAACCAAAUCAACUCACUUCACAUCUUAAAAAAUUUUAAUUUUUUUUUUAUUUUAAUUGGCUCCUUUUUUCUUUAUGACCAAAUUGACUGCUUGUCAUUGACUCAAUUUUUAUUAUCAAAACACUAUCAACCAGAAAAAAAAAAAAAAUUAUACAGUAGGAUUUGAGAAAAUAUAAUCAUAAAUGUGAAAAAAGAAUAAUUCCAAAUACAAAAUUGAUCAUUGAAGAUGUUGGUUUAAAAUUCAAACGGCCAACUCGCAUGAAAGGCAUGGUUUUAUAUGCGACAAAAGCAAUUAAAGCCAAAGCACAUUAGAAUUCCCCGUAUAAAUCUUUUAUCCUUAUUCCUUAAUACAAGGAAAAACAAAAUAUUUAGAGCACAUCUUUCUUAUAUCUUUUUCUUUGUGCAUUUGUUUUUUUUAAUCUUUUACAGGAAAAGAAAGAAAACCUGAAACAGUGCCUCGCUUGCCUACCAAGGAGUACAUCAAAAAUAUUAUAUAUAUAUGUAUAUAAAAGAAUUUCAAGAGUAAAAUAAAUUUUAUUCCUAAAUUCUAAUUUUUAUGGAUACUAGUUAUAUAUGACAAAUAAUCUAUUCAAAUUAAAAAUAUUUUAUUAUAUUUUUAAUUGAUUUAAUUAGUUUUUAAUUAUUAUAAUAAAUAAAUAAAUAACAAACUAAAAGAAAAAUAAUAAUUAACACAAAUAAGAUUUUAACUGUUUUUUCGCUGAAAAUAUAAAUCAAUAAUAAAGAACUGUUAUCAUUUUAACCGAUAAUCAACUAUUAAUUAUAUACAAAUUAUGUGAAAUAAAUAUAUAUCAUUUUUUCUUUUUAUACCAAAAGAAAUAAUAAUUAAAAAAAGCAAGAUAAUAAAGACAAUAAUUUAAAAAAAAAGCAAGAUUUGUAUAGUAAUAAUAUUAGCGUCAUGUGCAAAUCUCCAACUGUAACAUUCUUGAAUAUAGAGUUAGAGUUUGUGUGGGCAAUGAAAAGCAAAUCAAGAAGAUGCCUAAGCAGAAACGGAAUUACUAUCUGCGAAUGUAGUAGAAGAAGAAGAACACCAACAACUCACUCACCGCCGCUCACUUCUCUUCACUGCUCUUUUUAGCGACAAACGCUUUUCCUUUUUAUAUAUUAUAUUUCUUUUCGCAUCUCCAAAUAUACACACCAUUUUCCGCUUUUUCCGCUUCAUACUACUACUUGUCCCUAACGAACUCCUCCGCCAUUCAUUAUACAAGACGGCGAGAAAUCGCCGGAGGAGCAAGAAUAAAUAUAAAAUAAGGUGGAGGACAGAGGUAGAGACAGAGGCAGAGGCGGAGGAGGGUAAUGAAAGGCGGAGGCGGGGGAUAUUCGGGGAAAAGACGAUGGAGGUGUUUGGCGAUUGGAGUGCUUUUCCUUGUCGUUCUUUCUAUGCUCGUUCCCCUCGUCUUCUUACUUGGCCUUUACAAUGGUUUUCACUCUACUGGUACUUUUCCUUUCUCUCUGUUUUCUAGAUUUAGAUCCGUUUAUUAAUUGCUAUUCGAAUCUUUUCAGAUCCAUACCUGCCUUUAAUGGAAUUCAAUCUGCACUUGAAUGCACUUUAGAUCUCUUUGUUAUAUUUCCAAAACAUCAAAUUGUAUUACCGUUUGUUGAUGUUUUUCUUUUUUUGACUUGCCACUUUCUUAGGGUACGUUUCUGAUCGAGCGAGUUCGAGUUCUGGUUCGGGUUCGGGUUCGGUGAGUGUUUAAACUAAUUAGUGAUUUGUAACUGAUAAAAUGGUAGUUACGAACCUUCUGUGACUUUUCUUUUUUUCUGCUUGAAUCAAAGAAUCAGAAUGAUGCAAGAGUUGAUCAGGGGACUCGUCCUGUAGCCAAUGUUGAGGUAUUUCAUUUCCAGAUCAAUGUCAUAUUAAUAGUAAAUUCCGCUAUUGACUAUCACGCUUCUUUGAAAAUUCUUCUUCAAGUUUCAGUUUAUUUAUUUAUUUGCUUCCAACUCAAAUAGGGAAUUUCAUUUGCUUGUCCUUUUAUUUACUUGUAGAGGAAUACAAGGGACAAAUCCAAUAUACAGGAAAUUAUAGAUCGUUUUGGGCCAACCCUUCCACAUCUAGAGGUUUGCAAGUGAAUUCGCUGUUAAUCAAUGCUUUAUUUAUUGUACUAUUACGGUUGAACAUUUGUGUCUAACUUUGUGCUUAAUAUUAUAAUUGCUGGGCUAAGUUUGUCUUGUCUAGUCAAAUAGGUGAAUGAUCAUGUACUUAAGUUUGCAGAUGAGUAGAUAAAAUGUGUCAAUCUAGAUGAUAUGACAUCUGAUUUUAGUGGAGCAAAACAGUUCAGACAGAUAGUUGUUCAGAAAGGUCACAGAUUGAUGAGAAAUCUUCUGCAAAAAGGGGAAAAACUAAACUAAAUUCACAAAAAGAGCUGUUGAAUCCUGCUUUUCAUCUGCUACACAAAUUUCAAAACAACUGUUGGCAGAAUCAAGGAAGCCAAAUGCUAAGUUCUUAUCCCAUAGUACUUAUGACAUUGAAUGAUUAUUCUUAAUUAUUCUUACAUUAUGCUUCAACCACAAACACAUCUUGCCCCUUUGAAAGCUUAAGACCUUUUGCUUUCUUCCUCUUAUUAAGAUACUUGACUUGGGGUGAAAAAGGGAAAAAAAAAGGACCCUCCGAGGGGAUGUCCACCUGUUUCCACACAUCCUGUAACAUUAGGCAACUCAAAAAACAAACUCUAUUAGUUACCAUCAUGAAAACACAAAACAAGCAUUGAGAGAUAGAGCCUUAUGCAGGUGUUGGGUUAGUGGUUCUGGUUGGCAAUCGGGGUGGCAUCAAAUAUGAGGACUUGGAAACAUAACUAUGAUGUGCUUUUUUUUUCCUUUUAUUAUUUUUUUUCAUUUCUUUUGGUUCUCAGUUAAGGGCUGAGGUUCAAUUAUCAUUCAGGACAUUUGAAGCUGUAGAAAAUAGAGAGAGAUUUUAGGGAGUAAAGAAGGGUAAAGUGUCUGUUCUAGUUGACUUAGUUAUAAGUUUUAUUUUGAGAAGGCAUGAACCUUUAUCAUUAAUGCAAUACAAGAAUAAAAUAAAAAAGUUGAAUGAAAUUCUUAGGAAAUGCAAAAAAGAAUUAAUAGAAUAAGACACGUUUAAUUCAAAAUAAAUACAGAGUAUUCAUAAGGGAAUGAAACCAUAAUUAACAUAUAUUGAUUAAAGUAAUUUGAAAAAAGGCAUCUAUUUAUUCUUUUUUUUUUUUAAUCAUUUAAUCUAAUGAAAAUGUGAUGCAUAUCAAAGACAUAGGCGUCUUUGAAUUUUGAAAUAUGUCUUAUGAUAUAUUUUGUUCACAUUAAAAAGAUUUGAUGGAGAAGUACUUCUGGCUUCUGCUACACUUCUAAUGUGGGUGAAAAAAACCCAAAGAUAUCCACAUGGGAAGAUUGACUCUUUUUAUAUGAUUGCUGUGCCAAACUAUCCCUGCCAAACAUGCUAUCCUAUACCUAACAGUUGGAUUGCAUUCCUUUCUAUCACUCUUCUCUUUGUUUCUUUUUCCAAAUCUUGAACUUCUUUGGCCAUAUUAGUGAUGCUUCUAUUUUCCACCCCGUUUCAUAUAUUAUCAAAAGAUUUAGGGUUUUAAAUCUAUACUCUUCUUUAGUUUUUAUAUUUAAUUUCAGUAAAUUAUCCUUGAUAAUUGCCUUCUAAAUUAGUGGAGUAAAUGAUAUUGCCAGUGAUUCAUUUUGGGUACUGAAUGGUUUCCAUUCAAAUUUGAACUUUUAAAAUAUGCUAUUGGCUUUCUGGGUCCCAAAGCAUACAGCACUUUCCCCCUCUCGCAUUAGCUUUGUUAGUGUUCAUUAUUUGGUUCUUUUGAUGAAUGUUCAUUUUUUUUUUCUUUUUUCUUUUUCCCACAUUUUAAGGGAUCUCUUUCAAAUUUUCGAGUCAUUUUUUCAGUUUCUUUUUCUUUGUCAAUCAAUUCGCAGUCCUGUUCCUUUAAUGCCUCUUUAUGAAUAAUUUUAAUGUCUUUUCUUUUCUAGAAUGUACUAAAGGUAUUUAAUAUAAGAUUGUGCUUACUCCACAAUGUUUUAUUUUGUUUCUCAGAAUGCUUUUAGAAAUCAUACAAAUGAAGCAACAAAUGUAAGUAGCAAUACAGACUUAAAGCGUGAUGGCCAACAACAACAAAGAGGUCUUUCAAGUUCAUUCUCUUGAAGUGUUGCUUAGUUAAUUGUUUGUACUAUAAGACUUCAUAGUUUUUUUUUUCAAAAACAAUCAACAGGUACCCCAGUGCCAUCUCAUUCUUUGCCACGACCACUAAUUGUUGAAGUAUGCACAUUUCAAUGUUUUACUGCAAAGUUAGUUUCUCACGUAACAUGCGUUUAAAGUUUUUAAUUUUUCUUCUGCUUUUUUUUUCUUUUGUUUUCUUCUUUUUUCUUUUUCUUUAAAUAUAUAUAGCAGCGUGAUAAAACUGUUAUACCCAAAAUAACUAAGCCCAAGAAAAGUGUAGUUGAGGAAAGCGAAAAAUUAUGUGAACUUAGAUUCGGGAGUUAUUGCCUAUGGCGUGGAGAACAUAGAGAGGAUAUGAAGGAUGCUAUGGUGAAAAAAUUAAAGGACCGGCUUUUUGUAGCUAGAUCAUAUUAUCCAAGUAUUGCCAAGCUUCCAGCACAAAACAAGCUAUCUCAAGAAUUGAGACAUAAUAUUCAAGAUUUUGAGCGAGUUCUCAGUGAAAGCACAACAGAUGCUGAUCUUCCUCCACAGUAAGUGAUUGCAAGUUUUUGUGCAAUGUCCCUUAUCCUGUGACCAUGGAAUUUGUUAAUGAGGUUUUUGUAUUAUGUAUCAAGGAAGGAACCUAAAAUUUUCAUUUUAUACUUAAUAUUCCUUAUUGUUAUCAUCAUAUCGUGCAUUUGCUUGUUUUGCAGAGUUAAUAUAUUUUGUACUGUUAUUAUAUAAAAAAUUUGUUUUAUGCUAUAGGACUUGGUAUAACUUGCAUUCACUGUGUUUUUGCUAGUGAUAACUAUCUUCAAAAUUUUGGAAACUCAUAAUGAGUUCUGUUAUUUUUGUCAACUGAUAUAUAUUUUAUUCAGAUGUUUCAAAAAAGAGGGGCAAAUCUCUUGUAGGAUGGGGCUUGAUUCUGUACUGUAACUGGCUUGAUGUUUAUCUGCUAUAAAGUUCCAGUGCUAGGGGUUAAUUUUUGGAUUCUGCAUCCAUAUGGAUAGAGUCCAAGUCUUUAAGAGGGGGACCACAUUGUUGAAAAAUUGCCAAGGCCUUUUCUUGAUCAGCCUUUUGUUUACCCUUCUUAGAUAGGACUAGCACUGGGGUUUGUAUUUCCCUGUUUGUGCUUUUUGUCUGGAAAAUUCUAAUACAGCUGCUGGAAGUGGAAAAUACUCGGAGUUUGUACCUAUUGCCAGAACUAGUUAACAUUCUUUCUCUGAUGGGUUCAACCAUUUAAUUUUUCAGCUAUGGGCCUUAUUCUUGGUAUAGUGAAUAUAGUCAUUUUCCUAAAAUUCAUUUCAUUUCUUCUGCUGUCAUUGCUAAUGAUAAAGUGUUCAUUCUAGGCAGUAUCUUGGAAUUUAAAGGUUUUAUUCUAGUUUGUCUUGUGUAUGUGUUUUACUUUUUCUUUUUGGUUUUAUCAGUUACCACAUUUCAUAGAGUAGUGAGAUCAUUGUUUGUUCAGCUUUAUCUAUAUGGUCGUCAAGGUAUUAGAGUUGUUAUGUUGGUCAUUUCUCUUUUGUUAGAAUUAUUGAAGUUGUAGUUGUUGAUCUAUCUGAGUUAGCAUAUGUAAUGUGCUUGAACUGUAAGUUCUCAUAGUUUCUGCCCAAGCAUGAUACUUAUUGUCUCGUUGACCAGAAUUGAGAAGAAUUUUCAGAAAAUGGAGCUUGCAAUAGCCAAAGCUAAAACAUGCACUGUAGAAUGCCAUAACGUUGACAAGAAAUUGAGACAAAUACUUGAUUUGACCGAGGAUGAAGCUAACUUUCACAUGAAGCAGAGCGCUUUCCUCUAUCAGCUUGCAGUUCAGACCAUGCCAAAGAGUCUUCACUGUCUGUCCAUGAAACUUACUGUGGAAUAUUUCAAUUCUUCUUUACGUGAUAUAGUACUCUCUUCCUCAGAGAAAUUUUCAGACCCUAAAUUGCAUCACUAUGUUAUAUUCUCCAAAAAUGUACUUGCAUCUUCAGUUGUCAUAAAUUCAACCGUUGCACAAACAAGAGUACGUUCAUGUAUUCUUCUUUGCACUUUUCUCUGUUAAAUGCCUAUAAGUUCUGAUACUAGUACUAAUGGGUUAUUCUCCUCACUGCAGGAUAGUGGGAAUCUGGUUUUUCAUGUGCUGACAGAUGAACAAAAUUAUUUUGGAAUGCGGUUGUGGUUCUUUAGAAAUACUUUCAGGGAAGCUGUCAUUCAAGUGUUAAACAUCGAACAACUUGACCUAGGCUAUCAAGAUAAGGCAUCUUUGUUAAGCAUGUCCCUGCCUGUCGAGUUCCGAGUUUCUUUUCACAGUGCUGAUAAUCCAUCUGGAACUGAUUUUAAAACAGAAUACUUAUCUGUUUUCUCCCAUGCUCACUAUCUUCUCCCAUAUAUAUUCCAAAACUUGAAGAAAGUCGUGGUUCUAGAUGAUGAUGUUGCUGUCCAGCGUGACUUGUCUGAUUUAUGGAAUAUCAACAUGGCAGGGAAAAUCAAUGGUGCUUUGCAAUUAUGUUCGGUGCGGUUGGGUCAGCUUACAUCUUAUUUGGGUGAAAAUAACUUUGACAAAAAUUCUUGUGUUUGGAUGUCCGGAUUAAAUAUAAUUGAUCUUGCUAGGUGGAGAGAACUGGAUCUUACAGAAACUUUCCAGAAAUUUAGGCAACAGGUGACUACUCAAGUUACUUGUUUUAUCCACCAUUAUGCUUUGCUAAUUUGUUUCUUUUAUCUCGUUUGACAAAAUUGUUGCUGCGCAGAUGUCUAAUUAAUUUUCUCUUUGAAUAAAUGAAGUUUGGUUUCUAUUUUUUCAUUUUGCAUUCAAGUUUGACAAGUGACGAAAAAUUAUUUAGCAAUUUGGACUUCUCAUUUGUUUUCUUGACCUCUUUCUGGAAAGCAGGUUGGCAAGCUGACAGAAUCAGUUGAAGCUACUGCGUUGAGUGCAAGCUUGCUUACCUUUCAGGAUCAAAUUUAUGCUCUUGACAAUACAUGGGCUUUGUCAGGACUUGGUCAUGAUUAUGGGCUUCAAGUGCAAGUCAUUAUGAAUGCUACAGUUUUGCACUAUAAUGGAAAAAUGAAACCUUGGUUGGAGCUAGGAAUUCCGAAAUAUAAACACUAUUGGAAAACUUUUCUAAACCGAGAUGAUCAAUUCCUGGGCGAGUGCAAUGUAAAUCAAUAACGAGUAGGUGGUCGGGUUGCUGUGUUUUCUGGAAAAAUAUACCCAUGAGAAGCAUGAAUAUGUAGAUGUUAUUUUUUCAGUGCUGAGAAUUUUUCUUUGAGCUGGGUUACCAAAGGGAAGUCGGUGGCAAAGUAUACCCUUCUCAUAUUUUGGCAAAUAAAAAGACUGGAAUAUCGUUUAUUGUCUUGCAAAGUGGAAGGGAACUAAUGCUUUGAGAUGGCAUAUGCUUCUGUGAACUGAUUUGGCGUAUUGGUUCGAGGAGUGAGAGGAAACAACUCCAUUCUCUGCUUCUUGAUUGGUAAGUCGAGUGGCACUCAAAUCCUUGACAAUAACAACAAUUGUGUUACGACGAAAAUGUGCAACUGUAUGUUGAUUCGAAAAAGUUUCGAUUGCCAUUCAUGGUGUAAAUGAUGAAUGAGAAAUUAGUCUUUUGAUUGUCAUAGUAAGUUAAUUCUUUUCUCAGGUCCUCUAUUAUUUGAUUUAGAACAAAGUUUUUUUUUUUUUUUUUCAUGAGAAAAUUAGUGUCUGAUAUUUACAUUUUGUAUCAAUCUAAUGAUAAGCCUAAUCAUUUAUAAGUUGAAUUGGCUUGUUAAUUAUCCUGGGUUGCAUCUUGUAUUUUCCUUCUAUUUUUUCCAAACAAAAUGUGAUUUGGGCAAAUCAGGUUCAUGUGCUUCUUUUUCCUUCUAUCUACGAUUUUGAAUAAAAGCAUUGGUAAUUGAACAGUGUUUGGUAAGAUGACAUAGCAACUUUCGAACUGUCAAAAGAAAUAAUUCAUUCGCAUGUACGAUUCCUGUUACUGAAGACCGGCAAAUAUACAAGCAUAGCCAUGGUUUCAUCAUUUCCAACUAGACCAAAACGUGCUGGAAUUCAUUAUAGUUUUGGUACACCUUAAAAACUAAACAGAUUUUGAACAAGACUGUCACAUUUGGAACUACCCAGUUUUGGUUCAAGGUAGGGUGUCCAAACCAUCGGUUUGAGUUUUAAAAUCAAAUUGAAUCAAAAUAAGUCAAACAAAUCAAAAAUUUUGAAAUGAAAAUUAAACUGAACCAAAUAGAGUACAAAAAUCAGACUAGUUCAGUCCGUUUUAAACUGCUUUUUAAUGGCUUUGAGCGUAUUUUUUAAACUUCAUGAAAACUAAAUUUAAAAAAAAAAAAAGUAUAAAAAUCGAAUUUAUUCAAUUUGUCCGUUUAAGCGAAGAAUACUCAGCCUGAUUAUAGAUAAUUUAUAGGAAAAAAAAAAUUAGUAUAUUCUUAAAUUACAAUCAAAUAAAAAUAUGGGGACCUAUAUUUUCAAAAGCAAUUAUAAAGUUUUUAAAUAAUACUUUUAUUAGCUUUUGGUCCCAUCCAUCCAAAACAGGAUGGAGCGACCAAAAUGUUAAUAUAAAUAAUGAGUUAGAGAUAUUAUAAUUAAUUUGACUAUAAUUAAAAGAUUAGUUUUUUAAUCAAUUGACGGUCAAUAAAAACUAUUUUAAAUGGAAGUAUUAUAUUAAAUUAUGAAUUUUUUUAAAAAAUAAAGUUUUCAUCUAUUAAUUUGAUUAAAAUUUAGAACGAAUUUUAAUUUUUUUUUUAAUUUAUAGUCCAACGUACAAAAACGGAAAGAGAUUUCACUCUUUCACGUUUGAGUCCCAUCCAGUUUAUACGAAGUUGGAAAAAAAAAUUUACAGAAAAAAAAAAAAAAAAAAAGGUGGAAAAGCUGCACCAAACAGCGUAUUUCAUAUUUGUUCGCUAUUCCUCAGGGUCACGUGAUAAAAAAACUUUAACACCACGUUUGGUUGGAGAAUAAGGGAAUUCGUAGGAAAAGAAAAUAAAACAAUGCACCUCCAAACUCACCCUAGUAAUAAAGUUAUAUCUUAAACAAGACAAGAGAAGACAAACAAUUGUAUUGAAGUUGAAAUUUCUCCUCCACUCCUUUGUUAACCAUAAAAGUAAAAAACAAAAAAAUAUUUUCCAUCAUGCUGAGAUAUUUUCCUAUCUUAUCUUCCCAAUUUCAACCCACCUAGACUAGACACAGAAUAAGAGAUUUACCUGAAUUAGAAAUCUUUAAAGAGCUCAAAUUAUCAGUGUUUAAGCUUUUUUUUAACUGAGAAAAAGUUGAUUUAACAAGUGAUUGAAGUUAAAAUUCUCUACAAUUUUAUGUUGAGUAAUUAAUUACUAUGUAGUCUCAAGGGUUUACUCAAAUACUCAAUUCUCAAAAUUAUAUUGACGUUCUUGUCCUAUGAUUAGUUUUUUUCGUUAAGUGAUUGUAAAAUGUCAAAAACACACUCUAAAGAUAAUUAUUAUAUAGUCCUUACCGUUUUAUAUAAAUAAAGUGAUCGCAGACAUUCACUGUUUUGUGCAGAUCUUUGUAUACUUUCAAAUAUGAAAUUAAUUUCGUUUCGGAUUUGUUGCUACUAACUUUCAUCACUAAGUAGUGCAAAAAAACUAUUAUUGCUCCAAAUAAUCUUAUUUGUAAUGACAUAUAUGAUGAUGUAAAAAUAAACUAUGCCAUUCUAUUAAAAAAAAAAAAUCAAAUUCAUAUAUAUGUGCAAUGUGUUAAAAGAAUUAAAAAAAAAAAAAAGAAAAUUGAAUGAGAAAAUAGAAAGAGAAGAAUCACGUGAUUAACUUAACUACAUGGACACUAUACUUUGGUACCAAAACUGUGAUGAUUUCCUUUUUCUCAUCUCUCACUCUCCAAUACCCUUUUCUUUUCUGAAUUCUGAUCCUCUCUCUCUCUCAAUCUGAAUCUUCUUUUAUGGUGGUUCUUUAGCUUCUUCACCUCACAGAAUAUUUACUUUAACGUAAAUAAUAUAAAAUAAUUUAUAUAAAUUUGGAAGUGCACACACACAUAUCGAACAAAAUUAGAUAAAAAUAUUUUUCUCAUAUAUUACAUGUGCUAAAUCAAAAUCCCUCAGAAUUUCACAUUAGAGAUCCGAAAUGAGUGAUAAUAUUGUAACCAUAUGGUAAAACAUAACCAAACACAUUAAAGAACAAACUAUUCAAUCAAAUUGGUAUAAGAGGAGGCUACGACCAAACAAUUUUUAACUCACACUAACAAUUUCCCAGCAAAGAUUAUGCAGUGGCAAAUCGGUGGUGAUGGAGAUGAUGAUGAUGGUAUUGAUGAAUGGUACCAGUAUUAGUAGUAGCAUGAAAAGGCCGCCAAGCAGAAGCCGUAAGCAAGCAAAGAUCUUUCCACCCAAGUUUAAGAGUACCAUUAUCCUCUACCAAUGUAUAACCAUCACAAGGGAACAUACCGAGAAGUAGAGUUGCCUGAGUAGCAGCAUUUCCGGAAAGAGAAAUGCCUUUAAAUCCAGAUUGCCGUAGUUUCUCCCUCCAGUUAUGGAAUUUCAGGUCUCCAGUUCUUGACGGCCCUCCUCUUGCUAAAACAUUACGUAUUUCUCUAGAAAGUAGCUGUUGCUCUACUACGUGUCUUUCUUCACUCUCUUCUCCAUAACUGGCUCCGAGUGAGUCGAACAGAGCCGAGUAAUAAUGUAUUGCCUCUACAAACCUACCCAGAAAUGAUCCUGCAUGACUCAAGUCCUGUUCUACUACUGUCACCACUUUUGGUGCCAACCUGAAAUCAAAUUCAAAGCCAUUGGCAUUAAUAAGCUAUAUCUGCCAAUUCGAUACCUUUAAUUUAGUUUCCAGGAAAAUUCCAAAACACAUUUAUUAUAAAUGGUUUCUAGUUAGAAGUAUUCCAUGGGAUCAAGAAAAUCUUGUCUUAUAUGCAGAAUUAAGCAACAACUGAUAGCUACGAAUUUGCAGUGACUACUACUAUAACUAAAUAGCUAGCAACAUCAUGACUUUAAUGAAAGUGAAAUUCAAACUUAAUAGAUAAAAUAAAAGAACAGCAUAAAAAAAUUGUAAAGCAAAAGAAAAACAAAGAAAAGGAGAUUUUUUUUUUUUUUUUUUUAUUUUUUUUUUUUUUUUUUUAUUUUUUUUUUUUUUUUUUUAUUUUUUUUUUUUUUUUUUUAUUUUUUUUUUUUUUUUUUUAUUUUUUUUUUUUUUUUUUUAUUUUUUUUUUUUUUUUUUGGUUCUGGGAUCUUGUGUUCACGUAUAUAUUAUAAUAAAAAAAAUGGAUAUUUACCUCUGCAAUAGCCAGAGAGUAUUGGUAUCGGAACCCGUGACGUCGUAGAGGGAAUGCUGCAACCAGUGAACGGCGACUGCUUCUCUCUUGCUAACAUUCAACCUUUCUGGGUCUAAAUUACCAACUUUAUCGGCGACCGGGAAAAAUUCAAAAGGAAGUCCCAAUUUCUGUGCAAAAUCAGACAAACGCUUUCCAGUAGCUUCGAGAGCUUCCAUGGAGGUGCCCAGCCCUGUAAGACGAACAUACGGAGGUCCACCAGGUCUUGAAGCUAGAAUAUGAAAUAAACCCGGCCAUUGUAACCCUUGCAUGAUAUCCAGAUCUAUUAUAUGCACUCUAUCUUCUCUUUCAAAAGCUUCUUGUAUUGCUUGGUUAGCCGUAAAAUGAGAAAACUUAACGAAAGGGCUAAUUCCAUUGAAGACUUGAAAAGCUGAUGCCAUUUUUUGUGUAUGGCUAAUAGGCAUUGAUGGUAGCGUUGCGUAUAUUCCUAAACAAGAAUUCACUAACCUUGCAGACAUUGCUUCGGAGAAAUAGGCUGCUACUCUCUGCGCCGACGUGCCGUAUGGCGUCGAGAGUUCUGAGAUCUCUAAUAGCAUCUUAUUCGCCUCUUCGAAAUUAUCUACAGAAACUGCCUCUGCGCAUUGAAGAAGUAAAGUUAGAAGGUGUAAGCCUUCUUCGUCACGCUUUUGUUGCCGUAACUCUUCUUUCUUCUCUCUUACGCUAGUUCCUGCAGCCGCUGGUAAUGAAGUCGGCGUUGUAACUAUUCCAGUGGUUGCUGCGGCUUCUGUUUCGGCAGAUGAGGAUUUUUCCUGUUCUUGUUGUUGUGGAUGCGUUUGAUUCAAUGCGAGAAGAGGUGGUGUAACUGAAGUAGAAGACGGACUGGCUUCUUGUUGUUGUUGUUGUUGAUCGUGAACAAGAUGGACUUGAUUGUUCGUUUGGCAAACCAGCGGAGGUGACGAUACCCAACUAGAGUACUGAUUUAGUACGGGCGGCGCAGUCACUGAUGCGGCGGCAGUAGAAUCCGGUAAUGAUGAGUAAAUGUUAACAUUUUCAAGAUUUAGAGUCAAACCCGAAGAGCUUUGUCCUUGAUUAUUGUAAUCUCUAGCCGGAACCGCAUCCUUUCUCCUCCUAUCCACCGCUGCCGGAUAAUUAGGGAUUGGCUCCACCAGUGACCGGAGUCUAUACUCUAAAAGAGAAGCAAGACUAGGAUUGCAAGGGAAAAUAAUCUCUCUCACAUUCUGAAUAAGCUGAGGAAUAGAAACAUUAGUAGAGCUAUGGAUAAGAUCUUUAAUAAUACCAUCUAUCCAGGCCGUAGCGGAGGCGUCUUCCAUGGUAGUAGGAGUAGGAGUAGGAGUAGGAGGAAGAGGAGUAGAGCUGCAAGUAGUAGAAGUAGUAGUGACGACGACAGGAACGACAGCGUUUCGAUUCCUUUCUCUUUCAGAAGGAAACAAAGGAAGACCAGAGAAGCCACAAACGGCUGGGGUCUGAAGCUGACUUUGUGGUGGAUGUGGCUGUGGUGAGGAAGAAAGGGUGUCAUUACAAGUAAAGUUGGUCGUUCCUGUAGAGGAUAGAAACCCACACAAAGACACAGAAACAGACCCGCCUGACGUCAUAGAUGUCAAGUUUGUGGAAGAAGGUAACAUAGUCAUACUCAUCAUAGUGGAGUAGUUGUUGAGUGAUGGGUAUGAGUUCGGGUUCGGGUUUUGGUUAGGGUUAACGGUAUUAGUCAAAGAAGAAUAACCAAUAAUAUUACUAUUAUCAUCCAAAAGAGAAUUGUUAUUAUUGGUAUUACUACUAAUCCUUCUAUAACACCUCUGGUUUUGAUUCGCUGCUUGCACCUCCAUCAUUUCACAAGCCAUUCUCUUCCUCACCAUCUUUCCUUUUCCUUCAAUUCCUGUUAUAACCUGAGUUUUGCUACUGCUUGCAGUGGUACUAUGGCUAUGGCUAUGACUGUUACUCUUGCUAUCGUUGCUGUUACUCCCAUUCAAUUCAGUAUCCCCACCAUUUUCAGCAAAGGCAGCCAUGAAAAUGGAUAUAAUAAUAAGCAAUAAUGACAAUAAAGAGAGAUCCAGAAAGUGCACCAGCUGUUUGAUGUUUGAUCCUCAUAGUUUGUUGCCAAUGAUAUAAAGGAAAAGGAAAAAGAAGAAAGAGAAGAAGAGAGCAUAUCCAAAGCAGAUAACGGUGUUUAAGAUUGAGACAGAGAGCGGCGUUGGGAUUCUUCUUUCUUUCUCAGCCCUACACGACCUUCUAUGAAAACCUUUUUACUUUCCUUUCCUUUCGAUCAAUAUUUUAAUAUAAAUAAACAAAAGUACAAAAAAAAAAAAAAAAAAAAAAAGGGGGGGAGGGGUUAUUGAGGUGGUGGAGGUGGUGGUGGAGGUGGUGGAAGAGAGGGUUUUGCUGGUGGCGGUUAGCUAAGCGUCUUAUAUGAAAGAGAGCAUGUGUUUGUUGAUAAUCAAAUGGGAAAUGGUAUUAAUAAGAGAGAGAGAGAGUGGGAUGUUGGAGAUGAUAGAUGGGUUUGUAGUUCGUCGUUGCUUGUUUGACGUCUUCAAAGCAACGGCCAUUUCAAUGAUCCUCGUCUCCUGUGUUAUGUUUGUAUACACCUAGCAUUUCUAUCUAUAAUCUAGCAGUCUAUGCCUAAUAUUUUCUUUUGCCUCUUGUUUGUUUUAUUAGUAUUUAAUAUACUUGUGUCUUUUUUAAUUAAUAUUUUUGCCUUUUUCCCCUUCUCUUCUUGGAUAAUUUGAUUUUUCUUUUCAAGUUCUUGAAAUAGUUAAUUAGGAUUCUUGCCUUUUCCAUUUCCUAAACUCUUUGAAUAUGCAAUUAAGCUAUAGCUAUGAAGUGAUUAAGUGGGUUUGACAUAUAUUUUCAUGUUGAAAGUUUCUCUUUUUUAAAAAAAAAAAAAUAUAUAUAUAUAUAUAUAUAUAUAAAUUGGAAAAUGUUAAUCCAAACAAAUUAUGUAAUUAUUUAGGGAUUUUCCAAGCUUUAGACACAACAAGGAGAAGAAGUUAAGACACUAAUAAAGACAAUAUCAAGCAGCCAUAUCCUCCAACAAGGUAAUGUUGAAUUAAAUCCCAUCAUUCUUAAAUCCAUGACUUGAACAUACCCCAUAGUUGGUUCUUGUCUGAAUUUUCUUUCUAGUUUUCAAAUAAUUAGGUUGUUUCAAUAACUUCCUUAAUGCUUCUUUUCUUUUUCCAAAAAUUGUAGCAAUUUAAUGUUGAAUGUCGAGUCAUUAAAUCACCAAAGGAUUAAUAAUAUGGACUUACGAACUUAAUAAGUUAUAAUGUUAAAUAAUUAUCGACUAAGAAAUAAGUUUAUAGAUUUUAUUUAUAUAUUACUCUAGCAAACUGCAUUUAUUCGAUGUAAGAUUGGAAAAUGCAGUAAUUUAAGUAGUACAAAUAUCUGAAUUUCUGAUUUGAAAAAUAAAAAUGAAUCAUUUCAUUAGUCAAUUAGUGUAUCCAUAAAUAAUUGCGAAGAAGUUGCAUAGAUUUGAUAGCUCAUUUCUUGUAAAAGAAAAUAAAAAUGAAUUGGACAAUGUUAGUCCAAACAAAUAAUGUACUAGUAUAAUUUAGGUACUUAUGUCUAAGUUUUGAUCACACCAACAAGAAGAAGUUAACACACUAGCAAAGGACAACAUCAACAACCCAUGUCCUCCAACAAGAUUGCGUUAAGUGUGUACAAUUCAAUCUCAUUGUUCUUAAAUUCACGUUAUAUAUAUAUUUCCUUGUACGAACGUACCUUGUAUUGUACAUUAAAUACAAUUUUUGAUUAAUGGCAACUCAACUCAAAUUAUACAACUAGUAAAUAAUCUCUGGCCUAGUGACAAGAGUGGUGCCCUGGAACGUUUCAGGUUCAAUAUCUAACAUUUAAUUUAAAAUUUGUAUUCCUUCUCCCCCCGAAUUAUAAUUCAGAGUAGGCACGGACGAUUUACAGAACCGACGGUUCAAAAUUUAAAAAUGUUGAACUUAAACCGGCCCUUGAAUGGACGGUUUCGGUCCGGUUUCAGUUUCGGCAGGUUCCGGUGCGGUUUCAAUCACGAUUUUUGGUGAUUUAUGUUUUUUUUUUUAAAAAAAAUCGAUUCUAACGUUACAUUUUUUUUUUUGAAAAUAUUAAUAUUAGUUUAAAAAAUAUUGAUAAAUUUUAUUUUAAAUAAAUUUUAGAAUGUUCAUACUCAUAUAAGAGUAAUUAAUUAAUUUUACAAAAUAAUCAAAUAAAUUAUCACUUUAUUUUGUUUAAAUGUUAUUAAUUAAAUAAAUUAUAAGAAAAUUUUGAAAAAUGCUUCAAAAGAAUGUAAUUUUAAACUUAGUAAACAAUUUAAAAGGGUAAAAAAAAAGUUAAAACAAUAUAAGUUUAGCCUAAAUAUUUCUCUCUUUUUUUACCGUUUUACUUUUUAAAUUUUUAAUUUUUAAAGUAAAGUAUAUUUAAAAAAAUUAAAUAAAGUAUAUCAUGUAUUAAAAUAAUAUUGAGAUUUUUAAAUAUGUAUAAAAUCUGCUAAGUGAUUAUCAUUUUGAAAAUAAAAAAAAAAAUUCAAUUUGAAUCGAACCGAAAUCAUCAAUUCAAAACCGAUUUAAAUUCAGAUUUUAACAUUCACAUAAAAUUAUACUCCACGUACUUUUCGAGGGUCAACAUAAUGUUUCAUUUCUCUUUUACCCUUUCUUCCCCGUCCGUGAAACAAAUCUUAUUGAUUUUUUCUAGCUAUAUGAAGCAAAUAAAUUUUGCAUGAAAAAGGUAAGAAUGGUUAAACGAUUGCCUGUGACGUUUCAGCAAACAUGUACAAGUUUGAUUUUUCCCAUGUCACUGUGUAAAAUUAUUAUCCUAAAAGGCAUUUAAAAACUUAUAAAACGAUUCAUAUAACAAGAGAAACUUGGACUGCGCUAUUAGAGAAUAAGUCAAAUUGUUUGUAACUAUUUGACAUUUGGCCAAAAAAAUUGGUUUGAUAGGUUUAAAAAAAUGAAUUUGAGUUUAAAAAAAUAAAAAAAUUUUUUUCUGAAAAAAUCAGAAUCGAGUUAAACUCAAACUUAAAUUAAAAGACUUUUAUCAUACCAAGUUCAAAUUUAACAAUAUGAGUUAUUUAAAAUCCUAACUUAAUAUUAUAAUUAAUCAAUUAGUUAGUAGGCUUUCCGAUCUCGUAUUUCUUUGUAUUUUUGGAAUUUAUUUUAAUGUGAGAAUUCUAUACUUUUCAUGUUACUUUAGUUGUGCCUAGGUAAGACAAGAUCAUGUAAUAAUGCAAAGGGAGUGUAAUGUAAAAUUAAUGAAAUGGAAAAAUAAAAUAAAAAAUGUAAAUAUUUUAUUAUGAAAUUGGAAGGAACGAGGCGUAAAUUAAGUAGAUUGAAAUGCAAUCGAGUCAGAAAGUCAUUUUCAGAAUCAAUGGGAAGUCGUACGUUUUUUCAGCCAAAAAAAAAUUUGCAUCUGCAAACAUCUCAUGCCAAUUUCGAGACUGUGUUUGCUUUUUCUUCGUUAAUAGUAAAGUAGCUGGAAAUAUAAACUAAUAAACAUAGUAUAAACGCCGUUAUGCUUUAUAGUCUGUAUUAAUACUAAAAUUAAUCAACUAAUUAUCGCCGUUAAUAAUUGCUCAGGCACCUGUCAACUUUGCAACUGUGAACUUCUUUAUGACCUGCCCAACUGCUACUCCUGUGCGUGGCAGGUUCCUAUUUAAUUUAUGUUAAGGGUAUUUAAUAUUUAUUUCAAAAUAUGUAAAUUAUCUAAUAUCCAAGAAGCUAUUUUUGUAAAUUCACUGAAAAUGUCACUAAAUAGUAGAUAGAGUUUGAAGUAUUAAAAAUCAACUUGCCAUUAUAUUAGUAGAAAAAAUCACAUAUUUCUAUAUUAUAUUAUUUCAUUUUUUAAGUAAAUGGGUUGGUUUGAUUUUAUGAUUUGAUUAAAUAAAAAUUAAAUCAAAACACUUAAAAAUAUAAACCAUGAAAAUUGACGAUUUGGUGGGUUUUAAUUCAAUAAUAAUUUGAAAUUUUAAACUCUCAAUCUUUUAGGUGAAAUUUACUUAGGAAUUCAGUCAGUUUUAUUUGAUCUAAUUAAACUCGAUUAAUCGUGAUAUAUUUAUUUUCAUAACUAAAAAAAAAAAAACCAUUUAGCAUAAAAUGAUGUGAAUUAUAUUUAAAUUUUGACUUAAUAGGAUGUUUUCAAAAGUGAAUUAAAGUAUUUAGCACGUUGAAGUAAGUUUGGUGCAGUAGAUUAGCAUAGAGUAAUUAGGAGAUUAAAUAAAUAGUUAGAUUCGAAAGAAAAAUAAAAACAGAAGAAGGAGUUGAGGUUGGAAAGGAGAAGACAGAAGAGAAGAGGGCGUUGAUAUUGUUGGGGUCGAGGAGGAGGUUCUUUUCAAUUUCAUACCUCACUUCCCAAAAACCGAACCCAUAGCUUUUGACAUGUUGCUUUCACUCUACCCACCUUUUUAACCUUCUUUUCCCAUUUCUUUUUUCGUAAUUAAACCCAUUCUUGUACUUCCUUUCCACUUUUCUCCCUUUUUUUUAAAAUAUAUAUAUAUAUUUUUGGCCUUGUUUGACUCUACACCCACUCCUCCGCCUUUGCUCUGUUCUUUGUAAUUUUUUUUAUUAUUAUUAUUAACCCUCUGUGCUGCUCAAAAUGAGAUGAGAUGGACAAGGGACUGUCCAUAAGGAAAGAAAGAAAAGAGAGAGAAAAGACACAUUUUACAAGGAUGGCGAAAGCUCAUUGUUACUAUAUUCUAUACAGUAAGACACAGAGAGAUCAUGUUUUUAGUUAGUUUUAUGAAUUAUUUCUGUACAUGCAUUCUAUAUUGAAUUUGUCUUUUAUAUGAUUUUUUCCUCUUCUUUUUUCAGAAUUUUUUACAAAUCUAUAUAUAUAUAUAUAUAGUGGCAUGCCGACGUGGGAAUCGGGUUGAUGGGAUUUUUUUUUUUUUUUUUUUUUUUUUUUUGGGCGAUGUAAAAAGUGAAUUGUCUUUUAGAGAGAGCUUUACAUUUUACUUCAUAGGUCACAAAAGAAAGUCUUCCCUAUAAACCAAAACACGUGAGAAGGCACAUAGACCGAGGCAUGGUUAAUGCAAGUAUUAUCAAAGAUGGAGUCUCUCAUCCGUCGCUUUCGGUUUUCCAUUUUGUAGAGAGAGAAAGAGAUCUCUGGUGUCUCUUCUUGCCAUGGCGGUCCCCACCCCCUCUCAUUUUGUGUGUCCCACUAUUCCUGCCUCUCUAUUCCUUUUCAAUCCUUCCCAUCUAAUAAAUAAAUCAAAAGCCUAUUUUCUUUUAUUUUUUUAUUAGAAAAUAUUCACAGUGAAAAAAAAAAAACUUUUCUUUAUUUAAUUCAUAUUUUAUCAUUAAUCAUGUGGUUUUGAGCUAACCUAUACAAUUACCAAAAAGUUUUCUGUUAUGAUUGUGCUCAUUUUAUAUUUUACCGGUGUUUUAAUAGUAAAUAGAGAUUCAAAUUUUAUUUUGAGAUGAAUUAUUAUAAAUUUGUGAGAUUUAUCAUAAUUUAUAUCUAAUUUUUAUUAUUUUAAAAUUAAUAUUUUCGUGCAUUAAAUUAAUUUAAUAAAAAUAAUAAGAUUCUGUCAAUCAGAUGUAAUCGGAUUGAAGAAAAUGUCUCCAAUUCGAAUCCUCUCACCACAAGAGUUUUCACUAAUUUAAUGAGUCAAAAGAUGGACUACCUAUUUUAUAGUCUACUGUCUUUUUUUCGACCUAUUGAAUCUCGUAAUGCAGUAAAAAAAAAAAGAUUCUAUUAAAUUAAGUCUUCUGCAAUACAAUAACUAAAAAAAAAAUAUUAGACACCAAAGUGUUAGGUCAUUUAAGGAGUAAAAAUAUCAAUUUUGAAAUAACGACUAAUAAUUUCUCAAGUGCGAUAAAUAUUUAGUGUAAAAAUAAGUUAUCCAUAUGUAUAAAAAUUAUCAAAUAUUAAUAUAAAGCACGUAUGAUUUUCUUAUACUUUUAUAAAAUAUGGAAUUCAUAUUUGUUCAAAAAAUACUUCGCAUACAGUUUCCAAUUAAUAAAAUUCUAGUUUAAUUUAAAAAAAAAAUACUUUGCAAAAUAGAAUGACUAAUAUGUAAUAGGAUUUUUUUGAAAUAUAAUUCCUUAAUAAUAAUAUUAAGAAUUACAAAACAUUUAUAUAAACCGGACAUAGAAUUCUUCCAUCAGUAGUGUUUGCUGAUCUUUUAGCGAAAUAAAAUAAUUCAUAUUUUUUUAAAACAAUGAAACUAAGAUUAAAAAAUAUAAUAUUAGAUCUUUUCUACUUGGAGUUGAUCUUCACAAAAGAUAUAAAUCUUUAUAGCAGCAUAUGACGAAGAUGGAUGAGUUUUUUUCAAGAAUUUACAACAUAUGAUGAAGACAGAUAAGUUUACGCCAAUAUGCAUUGAUAGCAUCAAUAUAGGAACGAGCCAUACUACCAAACUCAAUUGUCGAAGAUUCACACCUGCAAAAUAAGAUUUAAAGUCUUUGUCACGCCCGACUUUAACCACCAGAGGAAUUGUCUUAUUCGGAUCAAGUCAAUUCUAUCUCAUAUUGGAUUGGUAAGACUUGCACGGUUUUGUCCCGCAGGUGAAAUGAAAAACUUCCCACAAGGUCACCCAUCCUAGGAUUUCUCUUAAGCGAGCACGUUUAAUCUUGAAGUGAAACCAUUCCAUUUAAAGCCGUCUCUGAUGAUUAGUUUUUUCUAUUUUCGAUUUAUGAUUUGACUCAUUCUUGUGUCCUGCAUUUCACUACCCACAGCUGGCCUGCUAUCUUAAAAGCUAGCUAGGAGCUUUACUCUACCCGCCCUCAUAGGAUUGCUUUGCUGAGUCGAGAUGUCACAGUUUUCACAAAAAAGUCAAAUAUCAUAUAUUUAUUUAGUAAUUAACCCUCACGGAGAAGGGACCACCCUCGUAUGGAGACAAUAUAACAAUAACAAUACCAAAAAAGAACAAAUAAAAACAAAUCUAAGUUUAUUAGAUUGAAUAAAAAACUAAAAGCAAAAGGAGAUGAAGCAAAAGAAAGAGUAGAAGGUAGAAGCUACCGCUGAUAAACUGCAGUAACCCCAAAAGAAAACUACGAUUAGGAGGCAAGAUAGAAGAAAAGAGAGAAAUAAGCUACUAGUUCGUUAAUCGAUUUGGACAAUAAAAUAAUAACUCUUCUAUAUCUUCUAUAAUUGAAUUGUUUUUCCAAGAAUUUAUAAUAUAUGACGAAUACAGAUGAGUUUAUGCUACUAUGAGUCGAUAGUAUCAAUGAAGGAAUAGACCGCAUUACUAGACACCAUUGAUCGAAAAUCCACACCUACAAAACAAGAUUUAAAGUCUUCAACCAAAUAAAAUUAAAUAUUAUACUUUUAUUUAGUAAUUAAUCCUCACAUAGAAGAGUCACCCUCAUAAAGAAUUGACAAAAAAACUUCAAAUAUAGAGAUAAAAUAACAAUAAUAAUAAAAAAAAAAACAGAUGAAAACAUACCUGAGUUUAUUAAAUUGAAUAAAUGGUUAAAAGCAAAAGAAAAUGAAGCUAAAGAAAGAAUACAAGGUAGAAGCUACCGCUAAUAAACAACGGCAACUCCAAAAUAAAACUACAAUAAGGAAGCAUGAGAGAAAGGAGCUAUAGUUGUAUUGCUGCUUAACAAAAAAAAGGCUUUUAAUGUUGCUAUAAUUAGAUUUUUAUGGGGUUUUCAACAUGAAAAAGAAGACUUUAUUUUUUAAAGAAAAUCUAGUAUAGUUUUGGAUUAUGAGAAGUUCGUAAGACUUUCUUAUUCUUAUUUAGUAAGCACAUAAAAAUUAAUAAAAGUAUAGCUUACUCUUCACAUAACUUAUUAGCAAUUGAGUAAAUUUCAUAAAUAUAUAUAUAUAUAUAUAUAUAUAGGAAGGAGAAAAUCAUUCAUUGCGUGUAACUCGUGAAAAACAGAGAAAGGGACCAGCGCAGGAACCGUCCUCCCAACGGUAUGUAAUAAAAUCUUGAUUUCUGAGGGCCUAAAGCUCACUAAAUUUCAAAUCUUCAAAUUAACAAUUCGCUGACACAUCAUAAGUGUGAAAGGGAAACAUGCCUGCCUACUCUUCAAGCCUCGCUUUGUCUAACAAGCCAGCUCUUUUACUAUUUUACAAUUUCAGACAUUUUUACAAUUUUUUUUUCAGCUUUAAUUUUGACAUUCACGUAAACCAAAUAUUAUAAAUAAUUAAAUAUAAAAAGGUGUUCAUGAAUCGCCAUAAAUAUCCAAAUCGAAUCGAUUCGAAAUAAUAAAUUUAAGUUUUUUAUUUUAAUAUUUUAUACUUAUUGUUAAAAUAUCAAGGAUGAUCGGUUGUAGUCAUUAGACUAAUGAAUAUAUGUAUCUUCCUUCUUAUUGAGUGUUUUAAAUUCCAGAAAAUGAAAAUUCUGGAUAAACCAAGUCAUUUAAAAAACACAAUGAUUUGAUUCUUUCUCUUUUUUUGCACAAUAAGAGCCAUUAGAUUGGUUUCCUUAUUGACGUGGCCUUGCCCUGCUGGCCUUAUUUGUUCUUUAUAAAAAUCAAUACAACCAAAUUAAUGAACUUUCUUGUGAUUUGAUUUCGAAAUUUGAACUCUUCAAAGGCAUUUCGCUUAAACAAUUCAUAUAGCACAUACUUAACAAUUAGAUAUAGAUGUAUGAAAAAGAUUUUAAUUAGCUAAAAAGGUGUUGAUGUUGUGAAACUUUUUGUGGUAUGUGUUUAAGUUUAUAGCUUUUGUGUUCUUCCAUUUGGAUGUUCAUAUAGUUGUUUUUAUUCUUAUUUCAAAAAGAAACACUAUGAUUUAGGUCUAACCUACAAAAAAAUCUCGACCUUUGCGGCUUGUUACAAUAUUACCCUAAACUAACCUUCGUUCCCCGGGUACCCCAACUCAGUAAAUUUGGAAUCCUCAUUUUGGCCAACCGACUGGGAAGCUUUUACUCGAGGGGACGCCCUGGCCCACGAGUUUCUUUGGGUUUUCCAUAGCUAUUAGCAUAACCUUCUUCAAGAAGCCUAUAAAGAACCGAGAAUCCUCUCCAAUUCUCUGCCACCUGAUGGAUGAGACCGAGGUAUGAGUUCAAGUAUUAUAAGUGUUUCUUCAUAAGAACGUCCACGAAUCUGAUCAAUUAUUCUUCGUGCUUUGUGGGCGGACAUAUGUUGUCUAUUUCAAAAAAAAAAAAAAUUUUGCAUAAACAUAAAAUAGAUAUUUUUUAUUUAUUUUUUAAAUCGAGUUCAUAUAAUAUGAUUGCAAUGAACGGAAUGUGCUUUAGAAGAAGGCCAUCUGUUAUUGAGCCAUAUUAUUAGAAUUAACGAGAACAUCUUUGAAUACUCAAAGUUUCAUAUCUGAGGCCAGUUUUCAAGAAACUACUCGCGUUUUAGCAAAAGCCGCUCUAGAUAUAUUGUCAACCUGAAUGCAAACUUAGCCAGAGUUUUAUAAUAUAUUGUCAAAACGCAGUGUUUUGAUAAAUUAAGUUUAGGUAUAUUGGGAAGCCAAUUGGCUUGGGUUAGUUGCUUGGAUAAAUUAAAUUUUUCGUGACAUAUUAAUAAAAUAAAUUGAAUUCACUGAUAAAAAAAAAAAUUAGACAUUCGAAUCAGUUAUUGAUUAAUUAGAUUCAUUUUUUCACUUUUUUUGGAUGAGUUGAUAGAUAGUUCCUAUUUAUAUUUUAUUUGAAUUUCAUUUACCUUGUAAAAAUGAUUACCAAUUUAUAUUUUUCAAAUUAAUAUUUUGAUUAUUUUUAUUUAUAGUUAUUUGAAAAUAAUAAAAUAUUAUUAAAUGUUAUUUUAAAAUUAUUCAAUUAAUAUUGUUCAUUUAAAUAAGAUUAAAAAUAAAAAUAAAAUCUUCACUUUAAAAAGUGUGUGUAUAUAUAUAUAUAAUUAUAUUAUCGGUGAUGAUUUUACAUUUUAAUAGUAACUGCUUUCCAAAUUCUAUCAUACACAAAUAUUCAUCAGUUAAUCGAUAUUAGUUAUCAAUACCAGCAAUUAGUAACCAUUAUUAUAUCUAUCAACGAGUAUGAAUAGCUAAAUCAAAUGAAUCAUCGAUCAAUAAUGUAAAAAUUGAAUAACAAAGUGAUUUAUCACUUAAGUGAACAUUGGAUUAUUUUUUAGCAAUGAUUUUUACAACAAUAAUGAGAAGCAAAAAAAGAAGGAUUUGUUGAUUAAAAAUUUUUAUAUCUUCAAAUAUAGAAGGAAAAAAAAAAAAAAAAAAAGGAAAUCAAGCGUAUCAAAAAAGGGUCCACAAAAGAUGAACAUUCAAGUGUAGAAUGACAGGCCACUUUUUUUAGAAUUGGAGAAGAGACUAUUUGAAAGAGAGUUGGAUUCUUUUCUAAUAAUAUAAAUAGAAACAUAGUGCAAAAUGCAAUCAAACACUCACAUACUUUUAACCAUAAGUAUCCAAUAAUGAGCAAAUUAUUGAAAACCUUCUCUUCCAAGUUUUUGGUUGUUUCUAUCCUGUUCAGAGAACAAGAAUGAGAGCCUCCGGUGGACAUUUGUGUCUGUAGAGGGGGCAACCCAACAACAUUGCCUAGACAUGACAUGCCCAUCUCCAUAACACUCUCUGAUUUGAAAUGUUAUGGGUCAUCUCAUAUCUCACUAUUAAUUAUUAGCUCAUCACAUGAAAAUGAUUUUGCAUAUAUACAACCACCAAAAUCGGAUAUCCUUGACUAGAGUUUCUUGUCAGAAAAAAAAAAAACAAUUAAAUAACUAAUUCUUUCAUACACAGGCCAGCUCUAGAGUGUGCUUACAAAAUUAGUUGUUUUGAUAGUUUAUUUUAACGGUGUUUAACUUUUAGUUGUUUGAAUAGUUUUUCAUAAAAUGCCAAAAGUUAAAUAUUAUAUGGGUUUAACUUUUUAUAGAAAACUAUUUUAACCUCUAAAAGUUAGUUCAAACGCUAUAUUAUUGAACGCUAUCGAUGAUAGCGUUUAGCAUUUUGACCAACUAUUUAAAAAGCUAUUGCCCUUAUAUUGAACAAAAUUUUCAAAAAAUAAUAAUCUUGAAUACACUAGAUUUACAUUGAAAAAUACAUCCUUAAAAUUAUUUGAGAUGAAAAUUGUUUACAAUGCAUGUAAAAAUGAUUCAAGACAUCUCUAAUGCUACAAAAAUAAUCAAGCCUUAGACAGUGUUCGGCAAUUACUUUUGUAAGUAUCUUUUAGCGUUUUAACAAAUAUUAUUUUUUAUAGUAUUCGAUAACAUAGCGUUUGAAUUAAUUAAUUUUUAAAAGUUAAAGUAGUGUUUUAUAAAAUGUUAACUCAUAUAACGUCUAACUUUUAGUAUUUUAUAAAAAAUUACUCAAACAGCUAACAAUUACCCAAACAACUAAUUCUGCCGAACAAGCUCUUAGUCCAAAAAAGACAUACAUAUACCUCUAACGCCAAAUACCCAAAAAGAAAAAAAUAUAUAUGAAAAGGAAAAAUAGCAUUUUAUAUACGUUAAAAUAAAAUAUAUUGAUGCAGAAACGAUAAACAAAUAUUGAUAGGAAGGAGACACAAACUAGUCAGUACCAAACAUUCGAAGUUUGGAAUCAAACAAAGGCAUAACUAUCAAAAUUAAAACAGAAAAGUGGAAACGGCUUAUAGCUAUAGGUCAAAAUUCUCUCCAAGUUUCUAAGUUUUUGCUGCUGCCAAUUCUAUUUAUUUAUAUAUAUAUGUGUGUGUGUGUGUCUUUCUAUAGCUAUCUAUGAUUUAAUAAUAAUUAUAUAUAUCAUGCAUGCAUCCAUCCGUCCGUUCGUGUCAAAAUUUAGAAACAAUGCAUAGAUUAGAUCUAUCUUGGAGGAAUGGAAAAUCAUUCAAGGAUGAGAAAAUUUUAAUUACUGUAUGUUCUAUUCUUUUUAAUUAGUUUCUUUGAUAUGUGUAAUUAAGUUGAUUUCAAUAAUUAAUUAAUUAUGUAUUAUCCUUAUUAAUAUUUUCCUUUUCUUAAUUUUCAGUAACUUAUUAUACUUCUUCUAAAAAAAAUUUUAUUUAAUAUGAGAUAUUCAAUUCCACUACGUAAUCACAAAUAUAACGUAUAGUUUCUCUUUAUUAUAUAUAGGACUGUAAACGAGCCAAAUUAUUAUGAGUUGAUUGAGAUUCGAGUCAAGAAAAGCUAGUUCAAGUUUAUUGUUCGAGUUCAUUCUACAGGGUUAAAGAGCUGAAUUCGAAUCUAUUUAUCGUGUUUGUUUAAUAAACAAACUAAAAUGCAACUUGAAUUUAAAUUUAUAAAUGGAUAAAAUGCAUAUUUACAUGGGGGCUAGCUGAUGUCGUGGCAAGGCCACACCCACAGUACUUCUUCUACAUGAGUCUAUCUAAUUACUAAGGGAUUCCAUUCCACCACACAAAAAUUCCAACCGGAAAAUUACACUAAAAACUUGCCAAACAAAAUCCUAAACCCUAUUCAGUUUUUAAAUUACACGGUCCCAUUGUCAAUUUGCCAUGCAUAAAAAAAAUAAUAUAUAUAUAUAUAUAUAUAAUUAAUUAUUUUAUUCAAUCUGUAUCUUGCUAUUGUCUAUGUUGGCUAAGAAUAACUGUAAUAAUUUUGUUUUUUACUACUAAAAAUAUCUUUUCUCUCCCUCGAACGGUUAAAUAAAAGAUUAAUAUCUUUCGAGUCGAAGAACGAUUAUAUUGAAAACUCUUCUCAAGAUAUUAAUUCCAUGACUCAAUUGUAAUCACCAUGGUCGAGUUUAAUACACGCUUCAACCAUUGGAUCAAACAAUUUUGGAUAAUUAACUGUAAUAUUUGAUGUAUAAGAUAUAAUAAAUAUUAAUUAUAAUGAAAAAUUAUUGAAUCAUUUUCUUCAUAAAAUGCGUUGGCAGAUAAUCGAGGUAUGUAUGUGUCACCUUGUGUACUGCAGGUUGCCCUAGAUUUUAACUACAGUUGAAGAUUUUAAUAGUGCUGAGGAGACAAUGGAGAAUGAUGUCUCCUUAUGGUACAAGAAACAAUGGGAUGGCUGGACAGCCAAUUAAUUACCUAUGUUAAUUUUGUUUGUAUCUAAUUAAAUUAAUAAGUUUUGUUUAUUAGAUUUACUUAGUACAAUUAGAAAAUUUAAUAUGAUAUAAAUUGAGAAUAUAAUUGAUUUUCAUUAAAAAAAAAAAAAAGACCAAAGAGCAAUAACCAUCGAAAGUCAAAAUUAUAGACGAAUGAAAAUUGAAAUUGAAGUAAAAAAUUCGGUUUGAUUUGAUUGUCGAUUUCUCUUUUGAGGUUUGCUCACUCUAUUACUUAUCAUGAAAAUCUUUUUAUGACUAUUUAAUGGACUUUACUUGAAAAUUUUUAUCAUUUAGAAAAUGAUUUUUUACCUUUACUCAAAAAAAAAAAAAAGAAUUUUACCCUUUUAAUUCAUUCAUAACAAACAAGAGGUACAAAAAAAAAAAAAAAAAAAAAAAGGAAAAACGAUUUUUUAUUAAAAAAAAAAGGGGAAAGGGGGGGGGGGAAAUGUAUUUUAGUAAAGUGGGCUAGACUUGAUUAAGGGCCUAAAGGCCCGUCUAACCCAACUAUGAUUGUGCCCUAGCUCGGUCCCUGGCCAUUGAACACCAUCUUCUACAAGAAAUCAACAAACAAACAACAAUGGUUCUGCAUUUGAUGCGGAAAUGAUAAUCAAAAGGUCGAGUAGAAAGGUAAUUAACUAAUUAUUUAUUACAUAGAAAUUUCAUGUGUCUGAGAUUAGGUUUUUGUUGUUUAUUUUUAAUGAAUUUUAAAAGGAGUGGGUGAGUUACAUAUUAGUAUAAACAAAAAGCAAUGAUGAACUGAAAUAGAAACUGAUUACUAUUCUAAUGCAGGAAGAAGAAUAUGGGGCUAAUGGCGAUUAUGAGGAGAAUAGGACGAAGCAUGGUAAUGACACGGCAAAUGAAAGAAAUUAUAGGAAGAGAUUUUAGUACCCAAAUUUUGAAGUCUCCUCAAUCCCUGGUUUCUCUUGAUCUACCUGAGAUUUGGACGCCCGUCGCUGAUGAUUUUCACGAUCCUCCGCUUAUGAAGUGCGGUAAGUGCUAAACCUUUUUCUAGUUUCUUUCACUUUUUUUUGCUCUAACUAUUGCAUGCCAUUUGUUUGUUUAAAUGCCCUUUUUUGUUAGAAAAUUUGUAAUGAGAGAUUUUGUUUAAACAAGGAGCUUAAUUAGAUUUUUUUAAUCCAAUUGGUGUCAAAUUUGGUUGAAUUCCCUAUCUUUGUGUUGAAACCUGGAUAUUGAAUUUUGGGUGUUACUCUGCAAUGAAAUUUGUUUUUUAGGUGUUGGAGAUUAAAACUACUUUGACAACCACCAUUGUAGAUGGUGGGCGUUAAGCUAUUUUAAAGCUCUUAUGACCAGAACAUGUGAAAUUCACCUUAAAAUGAAGUUUGAUAACCUCUAAUUAACAUUUUUCAUAUAGUGGUUUGUCAGUAACUCAAUCUGCAACGCCAUUGUAUGUCAUACUUGGUUUCUUGUAUUUUUCCAGUUCUGUUGUUUAGUAAAAUCAAUAAUCUUCAAAGUUAAUAAAUGCCAAAAUUGGGGAUUUAUCUUGUUUUCUUGAUUAUUUCCCAUUUGAAGUUUCUUAGUUAUUGACAUUCUAUGCACGUGUGGCACGCCGCAUGGUAUGGUUGGUUAACUUAUUUUGAUCUUCACCACAGCCAAUGAACAGGAUGUUACUGUAAUAGAUGGGAAGUUGAUAGCAGAGGAAAUUAGGUCUACAAUAGCUACUGAAGUAAGGAGGAUGAAGGAAUCCAUUGGAAAAGUCCCUGGCUUGGCUGUUAUUCUUGUGGGCCAGAGAAGGGACUCCCAAACUUAUGUUCGCAACAAGAUAAAAGCCUGUGAAGAAGCUCGAAUCAAGUCACUUUUAGCUGAACUGCCUGUGGAUUGCCCAGAGGAUGCAGUUAUUAAUGCUGUUGCAAGUUUUAAUGAGGAUCCAUCUAUUCACGGUAUUCUUGUGCAGCUUCCCCUACCGAGAGUAAUUUCCAUAACCAAAAUAUAAAUCUUAGUCUUUACAAUUUGCUGAUCGUAAAGUAAAAUAUAUUAAUGCCUUCAUGUGUCGAGCCUUUCCAAUUCCAGUAUUUCUGAUUUCCAUAACUGGAAUUAAAUUCAAAACACUUUUGAAGUACUAUUAUUGACUUGUUUACAAAUUUAUAGUUCUAUUCCUUAUUUCCUUGCAAAUGCAAGAAGAUUUGCCCCUUGAUGUGUUCCAUGUGCAAAGACUAUUUGAGAAGUUGAUGUUGUAUGGAUGACUUUAAAAAAAAUGUCUGGGACAGCAUCUGAAUGAGGAGAAGAUUUUGAAUGUGCUGAGUUUGGAAAAAGAUGUAGAUGGCUUCCAUCCAUUACAUAUGGGGAAUCUUGCCAUGAGAGGAAGAGAACCAUUGUUUAUCCCAUGCACUCCAAAGGGUUGCAUUGAGUUAUUGAUCAGGAUCGGUGUAGAAAUCAUGGGGAAGAAAGCUGUGGUUAUUGGGAGAAGCAACAUUGUUGGUUUGCCGACAUCCUUGUUAUUGCAGGUGGCAUUGAACUAGUUUUUAAAUUAUUCUUUUAUUUAACAAUUCCAUUAUUUGAUUAACAUCAGGUUGUUUAAACGCUCUGCAGCGGCACCACGCAACAGUUAGCGUAGUACAUGAAUUCACAAAUAAUCCAGAGGAGAUAACAAGUGAAGCUGAUAUUGUGGUUGCUGCUGCUGGAGUGCCCAAUCUGGUCCGCGGCAACUGGUUAAAACCUGGUGCAGUUGUUAUUGAUGUGGGAACUUGCCCAGUUGAGGUAAAUUCUUUAAUUCAAAUUGCCAUUCCGUGGAAUACAGGAACUAUGCUAGGCCUGAACAAGUAACCUAUAUCAACUGAUUUUGUCAAUUUUGUGGAAUUGUGCUAGUAAAUAUUUGGUAACUUUUACUGAUAUAAAUAUAAUUCCAGAUUUUAAAUUAAAUAUGGAUGGCAGGAUCCCGGCAAUGAGUUUGGCUAUCGUCUCAUGGGAGAUGUUUGCUAUGAAGAAGCAGUGAAGGUGGCAUCUGCCAUCACCCCUGUGCCAGGAGGCGUUGGACCCAUGACAAUUGCCAUGUUGCUGUCUAACACACUCGAUUCUGCAAAGCGGGCAUAUGACUUUGUUUAAACAGUAAAGCCUGUUACAUUAUAUAAUGAUGUAUAUAACAAGUACAAGUUGAUAUAACAAGGUGUUAUAUGCAAUUUUUGUUGCAAUUGAUUUUCUACUUAGAAGCUUCAAUUGAUGCAUAAAUAAAAAAUGUAUUUCAUCCUAAAGUUAUAAUUGUUAUUCUUCAUAAAUCGAAGCAGUUUGGAGAGAAGGGGGCAGGGAGGGGGAAAUUACUUAAAUAGACAAAUUGCAUGCAUCAUGUGAUAUGGUUACAAAUGGUGCUCUGGCAUCCAUUACAAUUGUAUGAAGAAUGGAUUAUAAUUGUCAGUUAACAUACAAACAAGUUACAAUUACUAUACUUUUGGCCAACCAUCAGUGCCAAUCAACUUAAAAGUCUAACUUACAAGUCUGCCUCACAAGAUGAAAAUUACAAAAAAAAAAAUGUAAUGGUACAAAUGAAUAUUGGGAAAUGAUUAAGCAUAAUUUGAAAACCAAGGAGGCUUAUGUUCAUCCUUCCACUUGAUUUGUGGAUUGCAUUGGUUCCACAACUGGUGGUAUGCAGUCCACCUUGUAGCGGAUGACCUAUUCCAAUAGAAGACAUGAAAUGAAAAGAUGCAUGAAAAUGCAACAUAACAAGUACAAGUUGAUAUAACACCAACCCGAUGCUAAUCAUCUGAAAGGUUUGUACUUCUACCUUUUUGAAAAAUGAUGAAUAUGAAUUAUCCCAUAUGAGCUUGUAAUUUCCAGCCAUAACUGUGCAGAAGUUUCCCUGUAAGAACCGUCAAAAGUGACUAGGCAUAUUGUUUUCUAUUCUGAGACGUGGUAAUAACACAAAAGCUCUAUGGCAGUAACUCACUUGGUCGGACUCAUAGCGCUGGUAAGGUAAUAUCAGCUGAGGAAUAACGGAUCAUAGCAAGAUGUACAUACGAGUAAAAACGAAUUAAUCAGUAAUGAAACAACAAUAUCAACUGGGAAAACCAGAAAACUAUACAAUCUUUUGCAGCAUAGAGAAUAAAACUUUUGUGCAAUUGAAAAUAAUUUAGAACAUCAUAUAGGGUAUAUUCUUUCAAGUUUAACUUACAGUUUUUUUACCAGAAGGAUCCACAUACUCCACACUAAAUCCAAUAUCCUGACAAGCAAUGGUGUAAUGAUUAAUGAUACAGAGACCAAAGAAAAAAAAAUAAUGCAUUAAAUUAUGUAUCAGUAUGAAGCAACAAUGACAUCAUUGUUAGAGCUGGCUUCACCUUAAUUGAGCCUUUUGAUACUUGACACAUCUUUCUACAGUUUGAUGCCAGGCCUAGUUUUAUGUUGUUCUUAGCAAUUAUACCGGGCACGAAAAUAAUGUGCACCCAAAACAAGGUGCUGAACACUAGCAAGCUUCAAACUAAUCCCGAGUUAACUUUAUUGACAUCAGAAGAAUGAAAUUCCUCUCCAUAAAAAUGAGGUAACCAAUUGUUUUCACUGGUCAUACAAGAAUGCAACAACAUUGUCAAAUUUAACAAUUUAAACUUAGUUGCCUGUCAUCCAUCUAACCAUAACCCUCCCUUUCUGGGUCUCGUUUUAUUUUGCAUAUUUUUUAUGAGGAUGAAUUCAACGCAAUAAUAUUUCACACUGAAAACAUCUCUUUUAACCCAAAAAAAAAAAAAAAAAAAGGCCUGAAUGAUUAAAAAAAGAAUCAAGACACUCAUUAAUAAUAUGUCAAAAAAAAAAAAAAUCCAAUGCCUACAGAAUGAUCAAAUAAUGCCUGUUUGAUCAAAUACAGAAAAUAAAUUUCCAGAAAUCAGCAUCCAACAAAUCACUUGACAAUAACUAUUAAAAAAUUGCAACAGUAGAAAUCUAGUUGUCAGGACACCCCAACCUUCACCCUCCUCUCCCCCCCCCCAACCUGCCUUAGGGAAAAAAGGUUUCCAGAACUCAGCUGCUAAAAGAAGUUUCAGAAGAGAGAGAAAUUAAAUAAUGUUCAAGAACUCAGCUCCAGAAAAUAGCUUGAGAAUAAUACCAUAUUUAUCUUGCCUUGUAUUAGAGAGAAAUCCCAAGCUAUGUAUGAGUUUAUCGAGUCCACUGCCAAUGAAACCUAUAAAGGAAGUCCAAUUAAGAAUGUCAAAUAUUUGAAAAACGCGCACAACAUAUCCAUACAUCAUUAGUAGCUGCAGAUAUCGAACUUCAACAAUGGGAAAAUCAGCGGCAAAAAUUUAUACAUGUCUAUGUAAAACAUAUAACUGAGCUGAUCCCGGUCCAAUCUGGAAGAAUUUUAUACAGAUUUGAAUAUUCCCAUUGGACUCUCUUACAUAUUCAUGCAUGCUCAGAUUCUAAAAGGACCAAAAUCCAACAGGUAAUAUUGAAGAUAUAUACUUCCAACAAAUAACAAUAAGGCUGCAGAAACUGUCAAUAUGACCAUAGAAUAUCUACCAAGCAGAUUAUUUUUCUGCACCAAUUUCAGAAUUAAAGGAGAAUAAUACUUCAGAUUGCCAAGGAGUCCAACAAAACUCUAAACAGAUUUCUUCCUCCAUAUAUUCAACUUGUUUAUGCUUUUAACCCACUUAAAUAUCAUGAAAGAUUUGUGAGAUUGUCUUGUGUUAUCAGUUUACAAAAUGCUAAGCGCUUCCAAUGUGUUCACCAACAACAAAGUUCAUUGGAUAAGAUACUUCCUGUUGAAUUGAAACGCAAAUACAAAAUACAAAAUCAGAUGGCUAAGGAGGAGGACCUAAUCUAAUGGAGCAUGACAUCCCAUGUCACUUUUAGUGGACUAAACAUGUAUUAAAAAAUUUCAAGAAGCACUUUUUCACGAACUCAUAUUUAACAAGUGAACAAAUGCAGGUAGUUGCAACAACUGCCACAUCCUGUGUGCAUAUAGAAGGUAUGAAACAUCUUCAAUUAUUAAAACAUAAAUCUAUGCAAAUAAACUUUUACACAAACCUCAUGAGUUUUUCCGGCUGGAACACUUAUUUCUUUGAAUUCAUCAUUUGUUCUGCAGAGAUAAAAUAAAAAAUUCAAACUUGAAAUACUGGCACUGAUUUUGCUAUAAAAUUCUGAAAACUUACCUUGCAUCUAGUGUGCCAGCAACUUCUGCUGAAAUAAAGAAUGGAGAAUUUGCAAAUACCUCACUGGCAAAAAGAAAUACAAAUCAAUAGAGGAAAUGAGAGAUAAUUUCUCCUUGAACAGCAAUCAUCACGAUUCUUGUAUACACAGCAACAGAAAAUGCAACAUGAAUGCCAUGCACUGGUCAAUUUCAAAUUGAUAAUGUUUUAUUUACUCCAAAUGAAGCAAUGUGUCACUUAUAUUAUGCAUCCAAGGAAAAUGAACCAUCUUCAAAUAAUUACUAUGGCUUUUCUUUAUAAUGUGCAAGGUCCACAUUAGAUGUGUCAACAAGGCAGAAUUUGAUUGUUUAAUUAGUCAAAUCAAGAUUCAUAUAGGAACUUCAGUGCCUUGUUUAUUACUUCUACAAGCCAGUCACUGAGAGUUAGGUUAGAAGAAACUCUGUUGCUUUACACAAUGAUGCUUUUUUUUUUUUAAUUAGUGAAUUCUCCUCCUCAUGCAAUAUUAAAUUUAAUACAAUGAGAAAUAGAAUAUUAUAUAGCUUCCCACGUGAUCUUCUUAUUUCUACGACCUUUGACUAUGAAGAAUGCACACUUAUACUUCUUCCAAGAAUUUGCUGUCUUCCUCUUGUGUUCUUCAUAUGCUGUUAUCUUUGCUUUUUCAAGCAACUCGAUGCAAUAUUAGUUUUUAACAAACAGAAAUCAGUUCACUCUCUCUCUCUCUCUCUCUCUCUCUCUCUCUCUCUCUCAGUUUAUUUCCAAAUCUAAUCAAUCUUUAGUUCAUCACUUCACCUAGGACUCGUUCUCAAACAUUUAUUUUUCCCUCCAUCAAGCAGCAAUUCCAAUUCUGUUACUGUUCACAAUAGCUAGCAGCCAAACAUCCGUAAACAACGUAAAUAUUCAAAAUGUCAAGUUUCUAAAUACAUUUCUAGCCUUGUUCUCCAUCAAUUAAUCAAACUUGAUCCUAAAUCCGAUAAUCAUCUCUUGUCGCACAAAACCUGCACCCUACUCUUGGUUCGCAGCUACUAACAUGGCCCUAAUAGAUUUAAACCCCAGUUUUAUCCACAAACCAUUAAGGAGUUCUUAGCAUUGCUCGCAAGGCCUAGAUUCCCAAUUCAGGAAGGCCUAACCCACUAAGAAACAGAGAUAGAUUUGUACAGGCAUGUCCGGUUACUUAUUCUUCCAAUUUUUAUCCAAAGAUUGAUAAACAUGAUAUGUUAUGCAAGGGGAUAAACUCCCCUUCAAACUCCAAUAACCUUAUAAAAGUGUCAUUUGAUGUUUAGGAAAAAAAUUUGUCCUGAGAAGACAUGCUUCUGUAGGUUGAUGAAAUUUAUCAACAGAAUGUCAGAAUAGUAAACUAACAAUGUUAAUCAUAAUCCAGGUUGUACAAGCAAACAACAAUUAUGACCACAACAAUAAUAGUUUUAAAAGAAGUCCUAUGAUAUCAAAAAGAAAUAAAUAAAUUACUGGAACUGUGAAUGCAGGAAGCAGAAGCAAUACCUGAGGAAGGUGAUAAAUCUUACAAACUCAUGAGUAUAGACAUCAACAGCUUGUUUUAAGACAGCAACUUGAUCCCUGUUUCUGCUUAGUUAAAUAUAGCAGGUGUGAAGGCAGAAAAGCAACCAUAAGAGUACAAUAUUAGGGGUUUGAGACAGUAUACUUGGUUCAUCCAUACAUAAUUUAAGACCAAAAGUUGGUAAACUCAAGAAAGUCUGGCAAGAUAUCUCACAAUUUACUAGCCUCAAACCUCCCCCAUGAUAGUGAAAGAAACAGUCGAAUUGAAAGGACCAUCGCUGUGAGGCUGUAUAAAGUCGGUCCGUAACGUUUUCUUUGCUCUUCCAUGGGCCUAUGAUAGAAGAUUAAACCUUUUUUUUAACAUUAUUGAUUAGACAACUGCUGCAAGAUCAUUUCUAUCUUGAAAUUUAGAUUAAAGUAACCAUGACUAUGUAUUAUAUUUUGAAAGCAAAGAACUCCAGAAAACAUGAAGGCAUACCCAUCAUCAUCAUUUAUUGUCCGAAUAAAAUCUAGUAAAACCUGCAAUGGAGUGUGUGAGAUAAAAAAAAUAUCAGUUACUAUGUAAUACUGAUACUUGACAUUUAAAUUAUUUUCAAAGGCCAAACAGGUAUUCUGAAUGUAUCUUUAGAUUUAUGCAGACAGAAUAACUGAUUCACCAUUAAAUAUUAACCCUCAGCUUCAAAACUGAAAGACUACACUAAUAAUUCUACAACCAAAACAUGAUACAUGCAGACAAAUAAUGAAUAAUACAGGAGGAGACAACAAGUACACAUGAAUUCUGCUUGCGAGAUGGGGGCCACUCGAGUAAAAAACAUUAACCUUCGCCAAAACAAGAUGAUAAUGGAGAUUGAAAAUGAAAAACAACAAAAAAAAAAAUGCAUACAAAACUGUGAACCAUUGAACUCUGAUGCUUAAUUGCAUGAGACGUAGUUAGAUCAUUAAGGAUGAAAUGACAAUCAACUUAUCCAGGCAUGGAAACAAAGGUCAAAUCCACAGGUAAAAGGACAGAUCAUACCUGUGGAACUCCUACUAAGUACUUCACAAGAGUUUUGUAUACACCUGUUGCAGAACCAAGCUGUGCUAACUGUCUCCUCCUGAGGGGAUAAUCACAAGUACACUAUCAAAUCACCAUAGUAUCUGCUACAAAUGCCACCAUGAAAAUCAAGGUGCCUUACCUAUCCAUUUGUUGUUUCCACAACAAAGCAUAGCGAUCACGUAUACUUCUACCAGAGUUAACCAAAGCAUCAACCUCUGCUUGUUUAUUUCUCUCCGAUCGCUCCCUUUGUUGUCUGAUAAGUGUUCCACGAAAAUCUUGAGGCAUGUAGGUCAUGACUGAAACCAUGUUCACAGAUAGCUUAGUCAACUGAAAAUACAAACCCCAGCAAUAGUCUAUAUUAUUCAUCUCCUCAAAUAAUGCUGAAGAAAUAUGACAGGUAGAGAAGCACAUCCAAUUGAUAUGCUAUGCCUACCACUAAAAACAUACAAAUUAAUAAAGGGUCUAAAAUCUCCAUCAACAAUCUUAUGUAGAGAUAAACAUGCACAGAUUCAAGAACUGUAGGUCCAAAUUGCUAACUAAAAACCAGGCCAGGUAAACCUAGCAUAUCCCAAACCCAAUUUAUGGAACUCUACAUAUAGCUCUUGAAUAUUAGAUAAACAGCAAAAUACCACUUACUAUCCUUAUAUGCCAAGCCUGGUGUGGCAGUGCUUACAGUCAAUCAUAAAAGAAAAAAUUAUCCAAUAAAACCCCAAAUAUAAACAAACAAUGUUCUGAUACUAAUUGGAAGUGACUGGUUCAUUAUACUCCAGUUUAAGGUCGACGCAUCCAGUUGAGGCCUGUUUCUCUCUCCAAAUAUCAUUAUGACAUCAUUAUUCGCUUUAUAACCUAUCAUGACCGUCGUAUGACUUGCUGCUGCAUGUGGAGUUCUUUCAUUAUCUUUAUAGAAAUAACUUCAUUACUUGAGACCAAACACAUCAAACAAAAUCAUACUUAAAGCCCUAGUUUGAAGUGCAAUUCUUCUUUCCACCAUUCUUCACCAGCAUUUACUCAGUCACAAACAGCUUUUUUCUCCACCAAGCCCCUAUUUGUCAAUCGUAUUCCACUCUGAUACACUCCCAAAAUCAACUUCGAUGCCCUUGGAUCUCCCCCAGAUCCUAGGCCAAUUUGACAAUUUCCUUUUCCCCCCAUCUUUCCUCUAGGCAUUACAAUAAGUUAAAUUCACGAAAGCAUACACUACCUGAAUCACCUGUAAUCAAUGCAUUUGCAGACUUGGGAAGUAAGAAAAUGAGCCCCAACCAAAACCAACCGAGAAAGGAAAAAGGUAAAAAGAGAAUACAUGUACACUUAGUACUGAAAAACAUGACCAAUAGACAAUACUACAUGAAAUGAAGCACAAAUGGGUUAUGCAUAUGAGAUUGAUAAAACAGAAAAAUGCACUAACGAGUUUCAAAAUUUAAUUGCAUAAAUACAAAAGAAUCUAGAAAAUCAACAAACUAACGCAGAUAAAACGAUGUCAAUUCUGUUCAGAGCGAUACACGUAAAGAACAAACCUGUAUUAAAUACACGUUCAGAAUUUUUAACCUGGAAAGACUCCAGUGUCUUCAAAGUGCUAUGAAACAAGUCUCUAAUGUUGCUAAAAACAGUAGCAAGCUCACUAUCUUCAGGUGUAGAUGGUUGUCGAAUCUGUCAUGACAAGACAAAUGCAUACCAAAAUGCUCAAGUAAUCAUAAAAUGCAUUUAAUGAAGUAAACAACUCAAUGCUUCAAGAGCAAAAUACUAAGUGAAAGCUUACUUGCUGCGGCCAGCGAGAACGAUCAAGCAAAAACAAAAUUUCUUCCAUGUGUUCUCGAUUCUUCCACAUAUUCUCAUCGAUUUUAUGUAUAGGAUCACGGUCUGCUUCUUCCACCAAUAAUCUCUCCUCUACCAUUGCAGUAAUCCCAAUAGUAAUGAGCAAAAAAAUAAUAAAACAAUAAAGAAGAAAUGCAGAAAGGGAAAAAAAAAAAAAAAAAAAAAAAAAAAAAACCUUGUGAGGGAGGGGAGUGGUUAAUUAAAUCAGAGGCCAUAGAGCGAAUCUCAGAUGAAAGACGAGAAACGUCGUCGGAGAGAGGCGGAAAAGGAUAUCUAUCAUAGUAAGAAGCGAGGAAUUGCCUGGUUAUAGGCACAAGACCGUCCAUUGAUGCCAUAUUUUCAGUGUUUAAUGUGUACGAUUCGACGAUUUGAGAUUUCUCGACGGAUCAAAAGUUCAAAUUUCUCAAAUCAAAUUCUUAAUGGCUUGUAGAAGACGAAUUUCAAUUCCAGUGGAAUUCAAGUCCACGCUAUGUUACGGCUGCGCAAAUUUAUGAUCAACAUUUUACGGUACCGUCAUGCGUACGCGCACAGCAUAUUCCUUUUCUUUCGUUUCUACUUUCUAUUAUCCUUUUUUUUUCUUUUUUCUUCUUUCUUUUUUCGUUCUCUCUUUAAUUAUUUUUCUUUUUUUUUUUCUUUUCAAUUCUCAUUAACUAAUAUAACAAAAAAAAAAAAAAAAAAAAAAAAAAAAAAAACUAACCGAAAUCUGAUCUAAAAAGUGUAUCAAUGGAGAAUUGGCUUAGCAUCUGCGAUUUAUGUACCGUCUUCGUCCAUGAAAUUGCCACAUACUGUUUUGUUGUUUCCUUAAAUGAAAUGUCAUAUUGGAGUUGUUUUCUUUUAUAAAUAAAUGUAAAAUAUUAAAAUAAUAAUUUAUGUAUAAAUGAUAUAAAUUAACUCAAAAAUAAAACUCUAAUAAUUAUCAUCAAACUCAUUAAAUAAAUAAAUAUAAGUAAACAUAAACUCAUAAGUAUAACUAUAUAUAUAUAUAUAUAUAUAUAUAUAUAUAUAUAUAUAACUUUGCACAUAAAAUAUAAAAAGCCUGUUAAAUAAAUUUAUUUAUUUACUUUUUGCUAAUAAAUUUAUGCACUUCAAAAGAACGAUCCGAUAAUACUGAUCGAUAAAUAUUCAAAAUUUGUUUAAGUAACAAAUCAUAUGUUUUUUUAUAAUUGUUGCUAAAAAUAUUAUUUAAUUAGUUUAUUUAAUUAGUGUUUGAUGUGAGUGUUUAAUAUUUUUAAAAAAUUAUUUUUAAUAAUAUUUAUCUAGAAAAAUUUAAAAGUCUCUAUCAAUUAUAAAUGUUAAAUCAAAGUGUUACUUACAAGUAAAACAUCUAUAUGUUGUACAAAAAACAAAUUGAAGACGAAUAGAAAUAUUGAUUUUGUCACACCAACAUAAACCAGUUAGGCUUUACAUUUUCAUGUCAAACUUUUAGGUUGGCCAAAAUAUUCAAGAAUACUUCAUUGACUAGUCUUAAUCCACAUUAAAAAAAAAAAAAAAAAGCCUAAAAUGUUUAAUAACUUACUGGUCAUGACAUGCAUAUUGACUAUGCUCGUUAUACAUUUAUUUUUUGUAUUUUUUUAGUUUUUUAUAUACAUAAUAUUAAAACAUGAUUUUUUAUGUAGAUUAAAAUAAAUAUAAGUGGUUAAUUUGUAUUACAUUUUACUAUACAAGCUACUUGUAGUGAUAUUUCUUAUAUACUUAGUUCUAUUUUUAUAUAAUGAAUUGGUUUCAAAACUGAAUCGAUAAUGUAAUCGAAUUGAUAAUGUAAUCAUUUUGGCUACAGUAUUACUUAUCCAGUCUAUUAAAGAAAAAUUAUAUGCACAUAUAUAUAAAUUCUUAAAACCCAAAAAAGUGAUCCAAAACAGAAAUGUAUAGUUCUAGUUUUUUUUUCCAAUUUCCUAAACAUUAUUUUCUUUCAAGUCAAAGAUAUAAGAUAUAAGAGAAAAAAUAUCAAGAAAAUUAAAAAUGCUUAAUCAUCAAAUAACCAUUUAUUUAUUGCAAAUGAGAUAUAAAUUUCUUACCAAAUUAAAAUGUAAUAGUCACAAAUUAUUUAGUAACGAAAAAAAAUUAUUAUUGAAAAUAAAAUUCUCUUCUGAACUCACAUAAUAAAAAUAUAUAUAUAUAUAUAUAUAUAUAUGGAUAUAUAAAUAUAUCAAUAAAAUAUAAUUGUCCGUCAAUCUCACGCACACAUAUGUUCAUUUUAUUUAAAAUAAAAUUUGAAAAGUAAAACUUUAAGAGUCUUGAAAGGUUGAAUAAUAUGUAUUUUAUUGUUUAAAAAAAUACCCAAUCAAAUCAUACAAACAUAAAGAAAAACAUAUUAAUAAAAAUAAUAUAUUUUUUCUUUUUUUAUCUCUCUUCUAAAUAAAUUUUUAAAAAAUAUAUCCAAUCAAAUCAUACAAAUAUAAAGAAAAAAAAUAUCAAAUAAAAGAUUUUUUUUAUUUUUAUACAAAAUAAAAUAUUUUAAAUUUUAUAUAACCAAAUAUUCAAAAAAUAAUAUAUAAAAAAAUUCAAAUGUCUCCUUAUCAUAUAUAUAUUUAUUAAAAAUAAAUUUAAAUGGGAUAAAACUUAAAAUUAUGAAAUGCUUAAUUAUCUAUAUGUAUUUAUUUACAAAAUAAUUUCUAUAAAUAUAUCAAAUAAACUAAUAAAAUAUAAUUUUCUAAGAUAUUUAUUUAAAAAAUAAUUUCUAUAAAUGUAUCCAAUCAAAUAAUAAAAUGUAAUUUUCUAAUUGUAACUAAUAUUAUUUUAGCAUAUUAUAAAUUUCAUCAAGGGUAAUAUCAAAAAUUUCGUUAUUUUCUUAUUCCCACAUUUAUAUACUGUAUAGAGUUUAUAAAAAUGUUUCACUAAUUUAUAUACAAAUAAAUUAUAAUCUAAAUAAUUAAAACGUCUAGUAACUCCUCACAAAAAAAAAAAAAAAUCCAGUAACAUUAAAUAAAUAAAUAAAUGGAGCUCUAAACAACACAUAAAUCCUAAAAACAGUGAAAACACACACAACACCAAAAGGGCCAUGUAACACACAACGACUCCACACAACCAAUUUAUGACUCUAUCAAGUAGAUCUAUAAAAUAUAAACUCCAGAAAGAAAUAAAUUAUUAUUUUUUUUUAUUAUUUAUUUGAACUGAGGGGAGGGCUCACCUACACUCGUGUUUGAGUUAAUUACAUAUAUAUUUUUUUAUUAAAAUGAAUGUUUUUUUUUAAUUUAAGAGAAAAAAAAUGAUAGAAUAGCAAUAAUUUAAAAAAUCUCUUUAUGAAUUAGUUUUGUGCAUGAAUCAAUCAUUGAUUAACUGUAGGCAAGUACUAUCCUUAGAUUGAUUGGGUAUGGUUUAUUUAUUUAUUUUUUUUUUUGUAAAUAUAUAGAUAUGUAUAGAUAAUUAAACUUUAUAAAAUUUCUAAAUUUUAUUUUUAAAAUUUAUUUUGAAAAUAAAUAUAUAGGAUGAUGACGUAUUUUAAUUUGAAAAUUUUUAAAUUUAUUUUGUAGAUAUUUAAUUUUAUUAUUUAAUUAUAAUUUAAAAUGUAUUAUUUGGAAAGAUAAGGAAAAAUAUAUUCUUUUUAUUUUAAUCAUAUAUAUAUUUAUAUUUUUAUGAUUUGAUCGGAUAUAUUUUUUAAAAAGAAAAAUAUUAAAUCAUUGAGAUAGAUUUAGUUAGAAAAUCAUAAUAUUUAAAUAAAUCCACAACAUAUAAUGAUAGGUUUAUUUGAUAAGCAUUAUUAUUUAAAAAAUAAAUUUAAAAUUAUAAAUUAAUAAUAUUAGUAAUAGAUCAUUUAAUUUAUUCUGCACUAUCUUCCCUUUUUUCACAUGGAAACAAAUUGAUAUUCUAAUUUGAUGCUAUAUUACUUAAUAUUUUAUAAAUAAAUGUAGACAAUAAACGAAUAAUAAUAACAUGAUUAAAGAAAAUUUUACUUAAUAAAACUAUCAAAGGAUAAAAAUUCUUUAAGAUUUGAGAUAGACAAACAAACUAUAUUAGAAUUAAGAAUAUAAAUAUAAAUAAUUAAAUAUUUAUACUUUAUUUAUACUUAAGUUCCAAAAAUGAAAAUCUCAAUCUAUAAAGUAUUCAUAAUAAAGUAAAAAUAAAUUUUGUAUUUACUGUCAAAUAUUUUAGGGGGUAUUGGAUUAAGAUUGUGUUAUAUUUUAAAAGAAUAGUUUGAGAUCGAUGGAAUUGAAGGAUUUUUUAAGAUUUCCAUAAAUUUCACUAAAAUUCUAUAUAGAGUUUUAUAAAAUUGAUAAGAUUUUUUUAUAGAUUUUGAUUGACUUUAAUAGAAUUACAAUUAUUUUUUUGUAUCUAAUCAAAAUUAAUUUCAAGACCUAAAUGAAUAAAUUAAAAGAUUUUUUAGCCAAAUUGAAAAACCGAAAAACAAUGAAUAACCAAAAAACGCAUCAUCUUCUCUAAAAUUAUUUUAUUCUUCUAAAAAUCUUAUCACCGUGAAUAGUAAAAGCCUAUAAUUGCCAGCAUCACCGCUAGCCAUUCCACGACUCUAGAAUGGUCGCGCAUGAGCAAACGGUCGGUUUGGUUCAAACUGAACCAAAUCGAGAUAAAAACAUAUGAUUGGUAUUUUUUUAUUAACAAAUUGAAUCGAACCGAAUUUACCUUAUGAACUGAAUCAAACUGAACUAGUCAAUUCGAUCAAUUUGCCAUUUCAAUUUGGUUUUAAGUCCAACCGAUAGAAUUCUAUGAAAUUGACUCAAACGUACUAAUAAAUUUGUUUCAAAUCGAACAAACCAACAACCGAACCUUUAUUGAUUUAGCUGACCGAACCAAAUCGAAAUGAAUUGAUUCGAUUUUUUAUUCAGUUCGGUUGAUAAGUUUGCACCCCCUCAGUGACCGUCUCGCCAGAAAAUCGCAUGUUUAAAUAUAAUUUUUUUAAUUUAAAACGAGAAUAAAAAAAUAUACCUAACAUUCUAAAAUCCAAUGAAAUUUUUGGGUUUUAGGAUAGAUUUAUGAAUGAUUUUUCUAUUUAUACCUAUAACUCUAAAAUCCAACGAAAUCAAUAAUUUUAUAAGAUUAAUUCAAAUCAGUAAUUUUUUUGACUAUCAUUAGAUUUAUAUAGACUUUUAAAAGAUCAUAAUUAUUUUUAUAAAUUUUAUAAAAGUCGAAAUUGAAUGCCACUGAAUUUUAAUACACUAAACAACCCUAAAUUGAGUCUAAUCAUUUAAAAUUUAAUAGAUUAUUAAUCCAAUAUACACUUCUUAAAUUAUACUAUAAAAUAAUUUAACAAGUUUAAAAAACAAUUCCAAAUUCGAAAAAUCAAAUCUUCAGAUACUGACAUAUGAAAGAGAGAGGGGAUACGAGUUAGAAUCACAAGUAUUCGUGAAGGAAGCCCUAGACCGCCUCUCGAAAAGAAAAGAAACACAAAAAGGAAGGCUAUAGAGGGCGACAGGUGUGGAGGGCAAGACAAAUCUGUUGGGUUGAGUGUGAAUUGUCCAAAAGAAGAUGCAGUAGCCAUUAGACAGAAUAUAAAGCCGCAUUUGCAAAUUCCAAUUUUCAUAGCAAUUUAAAAAUCUCCUACGCAAUGGCUUCCGACGCUAUCGGCGGACAAUCGGAAAAGGCAAAGAUGGCGACGUGGCUGGUGGUGGCGGUCGGAGUUUCUCUAUUAGGUUUAUAUUUGAGAACCGGAGAAUUGAAUCCGUGGAGAAGGAUGAGGAAGAAGAAGAAGAAGAUACGCGUUUACAUGGACGGUUGUUUUGACAUGAUGCACUACGGUCACUGUAACGCUCUUCGGCAGGCGCGUGCUUUGGGCGAUGAGUUGGUGGUCGGCG
Molecule: long non-coding RNA, 285464 nt
Filed under: Jatropha curcas
Lineage: Eukaryota; Viridiplantae; Streptophyta; Magnoliopsida; Malpighiales; Euphorbiaceae
Description: long non-coding RNA (JCUR_LNC003283)
Source: RNAcentral